GAAGUCGGAAGCAGCAUCCAUGGCUUCUUCCAUGAACCGCUCGGGCAUGAACUCCUCUGCACUCUCCCAGUAGGUGGUGUCCCUGCAUAGAGCCCACGCGUUGACGAUUACACGUGUCCCGAAGGGUAUGGUAUAGCCCUCCACAUUGCAUUCCGACUUUUUUAUUUUUUGAACUUUUUUUUGAAAGAUUCUUACAAAUAGGUCCUUGGCGAAAACAUUUCAAAAUCUGGACCCUUAGCUUGGCGCCACCAUCGUACACGUCUCGGCGCUAGCGGCUCUGGCGCCUAGGUCAUUGCGCAGCUGGUGACGUGGAUGCUGACAUGGCGGGGGCUUGGCACCAAGGUGGAUGACGCCAAGCUUCGUAUUUCAACCACCUGCCUCCUUCCUACCCGAGCCUUCCUCCUCUUCUUUCUCCUCCCUCUCGGAUUUUUUCUCUCCCCACUUCACCCUACAUCACGAAUCGGCCUAUUGGAUCUUGAAAACUUUGAUUUGAUCCGUGGAUCUUCGAGAGCAAGGUAUCCUCGCUCCCUCAUAGUUUUUUUUCACGUCGAUUCGGUAUAUAUUAGUCGGAGUUUUGAACUUAGGGUUCAUGCAACCGUAGGAUGUCAAGGCGUGGAAAAGCUAGGAAACUAAGGUAACCUCAACGCACGUUGUUAUGUUAUGGGUUCAUUGUUGUGGAUCGAAUGGGAAACCCUAGGUAUAGGUUUAAUGUUAAUUGCUUUCGGUUCUUACAACGAAAUGGACUAAAUUGUAGUUAUGGCGGGAUGACUGGAAAUGCCUUCGACCCAUUGCCUCUGCCAAGUGGUGUUCCAGUGCCCAUGUGCUUUUACAGCGAUCCUUGCAAGGUAGCCAAGUCCGAUGCAGAGGACACGUAUAGGAAGAGGUAUUGGAUGUGUUCCAAUUUUGCGUUUGAGCCUACACUUCGUCAGCGCCGCAUUAACAAGAUGGUGAGAAAUUGAUGUUGUCUAAUAAUUAUUUUGUUUCGUAUGACAUCUUGCAUGAUUUUUUUAUUUUCUAACAAUUGCAUUUGUUGCAAACCCCUCUACUGCUCUGUGAUUUUGAGCAGUGGAUUGACACUGAGAUCAAGCCUGAAGAUAAGGAGGAGAUGCAGGAAAUGUUGCGGUGGGAGGCAGAGAAGAAGGAGACAACGGAGAACAGACACAGAGAGGAGGCUGCAGAAAAGGAGCACAAGGAAAAGGAGAAAAAGAGGCAUGCUGCUGCGAACAGGGAGGAGAGGGAGAAGAAGCUUGAGCGUGCACGCUGAGCGAAAGCAGCGAUUGAGGAGAAUCCCAAUGCCCUGAGGAAGGGAAAGUGGCCUCGUUGCACACAGUAGUCUUCAGUACUUGCUAGUUCUAUGGUUUAUUCAUGAACAAUGUUAUCUACUGUUGGACUUUUCAUUGUGUUGUCAUGUAAUGGACUUUAAGUAUGGAUGAUGAUAAAAAGAAGUACCGACAGAUGCUCAUCACUGAAUCAACACAUGCCAUCGAAAUUUUGGCAGAAUUUCCCCUAUUAUUUUUACACAAUCCAUACAUGUAAGUGAGAUGAAUUUUUAACCUCAAUACAACAUGUUCAAACAUACAAAUAUAUGCCACAUUCAUAAUGAAAGUCCACAAAAUGCAUAAUGAAAGUCCACAAAGUUCAUAAUGAAAGUCCACAAUAGUACAUAUACACAAUAGUUCAUAAUAAAAGUCCAUAUACACAUUAGUUCAUAAUAAUAGUCCAUAUACACAAUAGUUCAUAAUGAAAGUCCACAAAGUCCAUGUUAUUACAUAAUAACAUCUACCACAAACGUUCACUACCUCCUAGUCUUACCCUUACCCUUGUGACCAAGAGUGUCGGUACCUGGAGUGUAAGGGGAAGGUGGACGAUAUCUCCUAGUGCCUGCAAGCUGUGUAGGCUGAGUCAAGGGAGCGUCCUGGAGCUGAAACGGGCCAAGCUCUUCGUGCCUCUCGUCAUCCUCAUCCUCGUAUGCAAUGCCUUUGGCCUGUGUAGCUGCUUGGCUAGACGAACCUAUGCCUCCUCUGCUUGAGGAAGGAACAUGCAUGUCUCGCAUUGUGGCUGUCCUGCAACCACAAUGAGCAGCCGCACGGCGUAGCCGACGUGAUAGUCUCUAUUGUACAAGAAAUAGGUUAAGUGAAAGAAUUUAACGUAUUAAUAAUAUAUUUGAAAGCAUAUUUAGAAUCUUAUGUCUAGGAAGCUACGCGUCUCGUCGUCUCUGACUCUCGGACGAAACUGCUCAAUGUCUUCAACCGAGGUUUUGAGGGUAUGGCCCUACAACAAAGUAAAUGUACCAUCAUUAAAUCACUAAGUCACUAUCUACCUAAAUCACUAAGUCAGUAUCUACCUAAAUCACUAAAUCACUAAAUCUACCUAAAUCACUUAAGUCAACUAAUCACUAAGUCACUUAACAUAGAAAAAUAAGGCAAUUGACUUACCAAUCUAUCCAAGAUUGGUCCUGCCUCCACUUGCCUUCCUACACAAGUACUUCGGUCGUAUGUCGUGUCUUCAUCGUCGAAGGACUCGAUGUCGCUGUAGUCAUCUUGUGUCCAUUGUAGCCUCAGCCUGCAACGGCUCGCACCUUGGUACCAAGCUUGGUAUCGCAUGUACUCACUGUUUGUGUGCGGCUCGUUGUUCUCAUCCACGUUGUCGUGGAACUCCUCCCAUUGCUCAAUGUAAGGCUGGUGGUAUACAUGUCACUCAAAAACCUUCCUGUUCUUCUUAUGAUCCAACCUGCACGUCACGUAAGAUGUAUAACUGCCCAUAGUCGUAUAACCUGAGUUAAUGUAAGGGACCAUCAUGAGAUAAUUGAAAUAGCAAAACACUUCCUUGUGUAAACUCUACGCCAGUCGAGAAUGGAGCCGUUGGCCCAAAUCUGUUCUCAUGCCAAAUUAGAGUGCAACUCGAUCAGGCUGGGUGGAACUCGACCGGCAUAGAAAACAUAUAAGAGGGCACCUCAUCUGUAUAAAGUCAUCCAUCGCUCGCACACAUGGUGCUCAAAAGGAAAAGUAAGUGCCCCCUCUCCCUAUGUAUGGCUCCCACGACACCUGCAACAUGUCCAAACAAGAUGUCAGAUGAUAUACUAAAACUAAUUGAAAUCAGCAUGGGAAAUAAAAUGUACUUACACUAGACACCGUGAGCGUGUCUAGCUCGUUCGUGAAAUCAUGGUACGCCCACUCCAACAUCGUGUGUAGAACCCUAACCUGGUCCCAAAGGUACGCCCACGUAGGAUGCUGUCUCGGAGGCUGACCUGGGAACCACUCAUGGCGAGACAGAACCUCAGGACGGCCAACUGGUAGACGCGCCCACAUCCACAACUGCUGUAGGUACACACAUCCACCAAGUGAUGCUGAGGAUGAAGACCGACGACAAGCCUCGCACAGCUGCAGGUAGAGAAAACCCAACAUUGCAGAGCCCCAGCUGUACUGACCCGCCUGGUGCCAGUCGGUGAGGCAGUGGAUCCAAAACCACAAUGUAGUGUCACCCGUGGCAUCGGGGAAGAGAAUGCAUGCAAAGAGGUGUAGGAUCCAUGCCCUGCAGUAGUUCUCAACUGUUUGCUCAUUUACAUCCUCGAGGCAUUGUGCAAACUGUUGCCGGAGCCAGGAGAUUAGAACACCAGAAGUGUGAGCACCUUGCUCGUCAACCUCAUGCCCAAGGAAGGCUGCUACUCGUUCUCUCCAACCAUCUGACCUGCACGGCCCAGUCACUGCAUCACCGCGAAUCGUCAAACCUAACAUCUUCUGACAGUCCUCAAACGUAACUAUUAUCUCUCCGAAAGGCAAGUGAAAGGUAUGAAUCUCAGGCCGCCACCUACAGUUUAGACAAAGGAAGAUUACAUGUCAAAUAGGCUAGGGCAUGAACGAUUGGCUAUGAAUGGACGCAAUGAUUGAAGAUAGUACCUGUCAACCAACGCUGUUAUGGCUGCUGAGUUGAACUUGGGCAACCCAUGACGAACCUGAAAUGAGAUGACAUCUAGGCCAGCAGCUUGCACCAUAGGAGUGUACCGGUCGUCGUACCGCAUGUCCAAGAACCCAUCGUGGGUUCUAGAACCAAGGAGCGGAAGGUCAUGCAUGCAAUGAAACAGAGUCUUCCGUUAUUUCACGAACAACACAUGUACGCUUACAAAAAAUCAAUCAACACGUACAUAUUAUUACUACCCCCCCACCCCCCGCUAUGAGACAUCCUUGAUGGGUCUGGUCGUACACCGGGUCGAGCAAGUGGAGUUGCGCCAUCCUACAAAAAAUCAAUGAAAUAUAAAUUAAGUAUGCAGUGAAACAUAAACUUAGAAAUGUACAAAUAAUUGACACAAUUGCAAGUAUAAAUUGAGACAUGCAUAAUUAAUUGAGUGGAUACGACAUAUAUGAAAUAAUGAAAAGAACCACUAGUCGCACCUCACUACUCUGCCAAUGGCACGUGCAUGAACUGUGGUCCAGUCUACCGCACUUGCUGCACUCGUUCUGCUCGGGGUCAGUAAGAAAUGGGGUUGCCCUACCACGCCUCGCUCUUCCGGGUAUUUGAUCCAUAACCAUCAUGUGCCUCGUCCUCUUUCUUGAUCCACGCCUGUUCCAACGGUAAGCUGGAUCCGCAAUGUACUUUAGCCCAUCAUCAACAUGAGGGACAUGACUAGUAUUCCAACAGAUGCGCUCCUAUUCUUUCUGCACUUCUGCUCCCAUCUCCGUGUCAAAUUGUAUUACGGGUGUAGUUUAGCACUGAACAACAUGAUUUUGUGGUGCUGGGAUUGAAUCAUAGGAGUGCUAUUUGUGUGUCCGGAGCCAACUUUGACUGAUCUGAAUUUUGGUAAAAUUUCAUCCGAAUUUGUUUAAAAUCCAGUUGAAUCCAGGCCCGAAAUUUCCUGAAUUUCCGAAUUUCGUCCAUUUCGGAAGGCUCCGAAUUUUUUCAACUUUUGAAUCCCAGAACCUUGGUUGAGAAGCGGAGAGAUGGGAGACCUAGUUUUCAUCUUCGUUGCCUCGUUGGAGGGGAAUACUGCAUCUGGAGGAAUCGCGCGGAGGACAAGCUCAUGGAAGGCCCCGCUUUCGAUUACAGAGAAAAUCUUCGUUGGUCCGUGGGAUUUGAUUACAGCGAAGGCGAAGCAAACAUGUUUAACCGGUAUCUGAUUACAUGGUACCAGAUACGGAGCGAUUUUUACUGAAACAAACAUCACCUAGAGCUGACUAUUAUAUUCAAAUACUGACAAAAAGUAGAAUACUUCUCAGACAAGCCAGCCAUUACAACAAUAACAACACAACAACUGGAUUACCGGCGUGUCACAAUAACACACAACAAGAAGCUACGUACCACGAAGCAACAGAAACAGCACUCUUGCAAAUUAAGGGAUAAACAACACCCCCAAGGAAAUGGCGAUGAAAUUAAACCAGGCCCCGCCUGCAGAGCUUUGAGCACCUACACAUAUAUAGCAGGUGCAUGCAGCUCUCUAUUACAGAAACAGUAGAUCGAAAACGACGAGCAACCAAGCAUCGAGCAGCAACACUACUUACUUCUUCUCUCAAUGCAAGCAGGAAGAGAAGGCAAGCUAGCGAGCUGAUCAGCAGAGAAGUCGCCGGGAUUCAGAUGACUGCCGCGGUCGGCGUGCAGCGGCGCUCGCAGAAGUUUCCAGCAAAAUGCGGAACUUCAAGCGGGCCGGGGCUCCUAGAUAGCAUGUACAUCUUUGGGCUUGUUCGCUUCAGCUUAUAAGCCGGCUGAAAAGCUGAAACGGCUGAUUUGUUGUAAGAGGAAAACACUGUUUGGUGGCUGAUAAGCCGGCUGAAUAAGCUGAAGCGAACAGGCCGUUUGAUCCAACAGCAGCCCAUGAACAACAAACAGUAGCAGCAGCUAGCGUAUGAGGGUGGUGUGUGGUGGGGCCAAAGGCCAAUCUUGCAAGACAGCAGGAAGGAGCGUAACAUGCAUGCCCGUGUGCAGUACUGCCGUGGGUGUUGAGCACUUUUUUUUCUUGCUCCCGUUGUACUCAUGGAAACAUUUCAAAAGUAUAGAUUCAAUAUUUUGCAUAUUAUUUAAACAUUUCAAACAUUUAUGGAAACCACAUUUUAGAUAAACUGGUUCAAUAUUUUGCAUAAUAUUGUUGAAAUAGUGUACCUUAAACGUUGAGCUAAAUAUAUAAAAAUGUUGAGCUAAUAUAUCUAAAAUGAUGAAACUAAGAAAAUAAAGAUGAAAAAAAUAUAUACAGUCAUGUGGGAUCUCAAUCCGUUAGAAAAAUUUCGAAAAGGCUCAUAGUUUAUUCGGAAUUAAAAUUAAAUGAACCGUUAGAGAGAUAAGUAAGUUGAAAAGUUCGAAAUCAAAACUCACAUCACCCAACAAGUAGCUGACACCUAUCCGUCCUUUCAGCAGCUCCACCCACCUCGCGCCAGCAUACUAGCACAUGGUGGUCCCCAGCCACCUCUCGCCAGAUCGCAGUGCCCGAUGGGAGAUCCGGCGAUGCCGUUGCGUCGAAGGAGAGGGCGGAACCGACGAGGGUCGCCGGCGGCUCCCACCCCGAACGCGUCCUGACCCACUCCGGCAGGGCCUCCCGCAGGUACGGUGAGCGCUUCCAUCCGUGGUCCGCAAGCAGUAAUGUCUGAUUUUUCGCUUUCUUCUCCGGAAUUCGUCACAUAUGUCAUCGUCCUGUGUUUAUAUAUCCUUUUUAUGCUGCAAAGCUUUCACGAUUUUGAUGAGAGAUUUGUUCAUGUUUGUGCCCACAUAGUAGUCAAUGUGCCACUAGUACUGAUUGCAAUACGUACGGAAAUUGGUUUUGUGUCUGUUCUUUCUCCAUCUCAAUCAUCAAUCAAAUGGGGGUAGUCGUCGGUACGCCGGGUGGGCCGAGUUGGCCAAACUGCACAGUGGUGGUGGCAGCCAAGGUGUUGUUCAAGGUCGGGCUGGCACGCACACGGCCGUACCACAUCAGGGUGUGUCCUGCUUCCCCGUCAACUUCCUCAAUACGACUCGGUACGCCACUGUACCUAAUCCUCCAAAACUCCAACUCCAAAGGCUCGCUGAACGGAAAAAAAUUCUAGGAGGACGGUCCCCAAAUCCUUCUCCGUGAGGAUCCACUCCCGAUGGUUGCAGGCAUGGCAACAUAUAAUUGAUCCGCCGCCACCAACGACUGAGGUUUCUUCCACCUCGUCAACUACCACCACCUCCUCCACCCACCUCUCUUCUUCUCCGGCUACCCUGCGCGCGCCCUCGCCGCCGUGCGUGCCUCCAGCGAGCUCCCAGGCCCCGACGGCGCCAGCACUACGGCCGCGCCCCGGUGGCCGGCGGCGUCUCCUACUCCUCUAACGUGGACCUGUUCCGCUCGCCUUCAGCUGCCGUGGGAGCCGCGUAAUGGAGGAGGGUGGUGGGCCAAGCGACAGCUAGCUGUGGUGUGGUGGGCAUCCUCAUUUACUAAUCUCCACCCACCUUCCGAUGAAUAAAAAUUGACCUCUUUAUGCUGCCUUUGUCAUNNNNNNNNNNNNNNNNNNNNNNNNNNNNNNNNNNNNNNNNNNNNNNNNNNNNNNNNNNNNNNNNNNNNNNNNNNNNNNNNNNNNNNNNNNNNNNNNNNNNCAUCUAAGGUUAGCAGCCUCUUUCAGUGUACAAAUGAUUAUGCACCUAAUACUUUCCUCACCUUUGCAGUGCCGUGGGCCGCCACUUCCCUUCUGGCCCACAUGUCAUGGAGGCGCGCGAGGAGGGGGAUCGGUUUCACGUAUGAUUAAUAAAGAAAGGCCCAAGACACGUCACGCUGCGGGGGACAAGGGAAGACACCGCACCGCACGCACCUCCACCACUUGCGUUGCCUUUGCCUUUGCUUUUCCCCUAGCUCGCCCGCCUAGGAGCUCCAGCAGCCGGUCCGCUCCGCCGCCGGUGCGGCAACCACGCCGCCGUCAGAUCGCCUCGCGCGGCCACGCGGCCACCGAUCGUCCCCGCGAUACACCGCCGCCGGUGCGCCGUGCGCGGCGGCGCUGUCCCGCCGCUCCUCCGCCUACCGUCGGCCUGCGCCACCGCCAGCGCACCGGCAGCACCGCGAGCUGCUGCGCCGCCCCGACGUUGGUCCUUCCUGAGCCCGGUGUCGUCACCAGCGUCGCGGAGAAGCUAAUUACCUGGAGCAAUUUGUAGAAACAAAUAGUACUGGUUCGUUCACUUAUUUCUUUGCUCAAACUUAAUUUCUGCUUAGAGUUUGUGCCUAAAUUAGCUGCUUAUUCUGCUGGUUGCACGCAGGAGAUCGAGCUGCGGGCGUACGGCCGGAUCGGAGGAGGACAUAUCAGCCGGGUUCCUGUUGGUUGUGUACUUGUGUUCCUGCCGGCGGAGAAGCAACCAUGGCCGAGUUACUGAUCGGGCCACUGAUCUCCAUGGUGAAGGAGAAGGCAUCCAGCUACCUGCUGGACCAAUACAAGGUGAUGGAAGGCAUGGAGGAGCAGCGCAAGACCCUGGAGCGCAAGCUGCCAGCAAUCCUGCACAUCAUCCAGGAUGCGGAGGAGAAAGGAGCCUCCCGACCUGAAGUUGCAGUUUGGCUUAAAGACCUCAAGACAGCGGCCUAUGAGGCCAACGACGUCUUUGAUGAGUUCAAGUACGAGGCGCUUCGGCGAGAAGCCAAGAAGAAGGGCCACCACAGCAAGCUUGGAAAUGAGGUAGCAAGACUCCUAGUCCCCGCUCGUAAUCCCAUUGUAUUCCGUUACAGGAUGGGCAAGAAGCUACGCAGGAUUGUGCAGACCAUCGAGGCCUUGGUCACCGAGAUGAAUACAUUUGGUUUCAGGCACUUGCAGCAAGCACAGCCAUCAAGGCAGUGGCGACAGACAGAUUCCAUAAUCAUUGACUCCGACAGAGAUAUUCUUAGCAGAUCUAGAGAUCGGGAGAAGAAGAAAAUCGUGGGGAUGCUCCUUGAUCAAGCUAGCAACAGGGAUCUCAUGGUUCUUCCAAUUGUUGGGAUGGGUGGGAUGGGCAAGACCACCUUUGUGUUGGAGUUGUUCUAAAUUCACUCCAGGAAUAAAGGCCGACCUUCCCGACCCUUGACACUCAGGGUCGGGCGAGGCGGAGAAUCUCCCGACCCCGGGACUCGGGGUCGGGCGAGGCGGAGCGUCUCCCGACCCAGGCUUGAGGUCGGGCGAGUCGGAGAUCGACCCUCAAGGGGUCAGGCGCAUCCGACCCCAGGCUUGAGGUCGGGCGAGGCGGAGUCCCAGGCGCAUCCGACUCCAGGACAAAGGACUCAGGGUCAGACGAGAAGGAGUUCCAUCCUUGUACGGGACCAAGAGUCCGUACAGCUCAAUACCCCCUGUCUGGGGUUUCGGUACUAUAUAUACAUACACCCUUGCUAGGGUUUUGGGUGGUGACAGAAGAGAUAGAAGAGAGAGAGAUUAUCAGAUUCUCUUGUAAGCCGCCAUAGGCGUGUAGCCCUAAACUCUUGAUAUAGUGAGAUUGUUGCCGGCUGGUGCCCGUGGUUUUUCCUCUUCACAUUGAAGGGGUUUUCCACGUAAAUCGUGUGUCUUCUUUUGUGGUUUGAUUCUUUACUUCAUAUUCCAUACGUCGUACCUAACAAGUGGUAUCAGAGCUUUGGUUGCUGUUUGGAUUUCAUGUCGACGUCGAUGAAGUUUGAUCUACCGCUGCUGAACUACGACACGCGGUUCUCUCUAUGGCAAGUCAAGAUGAGAGGAAUUCUAGCGCAAACUCAUGAUUAUGAUGAGGCGCUGGAUAGCUUCGGAAAGAAGACAAAGGCCGAGUGGACUCCAGAAGAGAUCCGCAAGGAUCAGAAAGCACUCGCCCUAAUACAGUUACAUCUUCAUAAUGAUAUUUUGCAGGAGUGUCUGAAAGAAAAAACUGCUGCAGAACUAUGGCUGAAACUGGAAUCGAUCUGUAUGUCCAAGGAUCUAACCAGUAAGAUGCAAAUGAAGAUGAAGCUGUUCACCUUGAAGAUGAAGGAGGAAGAUUUAGUGAUGAACCACAUCACUGAAUUCAAGAAGAUCGUCGCCGAUCUAGUAUCAAUGGAGGUGAAGUAUGAUGAUGAGGACUUAGGUCUUUUACUGUUAUGUUCUUUGCCAACUUCAUAUGCAAAUUUUCGUGACACCAUACUCUUGAGCCGUGAUGAACUAACCUUAAAGGAAGUUUAUGAGGCUCUCCAAUCAAGGGAGAAGAUGAAAGGUAUGGUGCAGACUGACAGAACGUCGUCCUCCAGAGGCGAUGCUUUGCUUGUGAGAGGCAGAACUGAUAACAGAUCCUCCAAUGAUGAUGGAAGAAAAAACUAUGAAAGGAGAGGCCGUUCAAAGUCCAAGCCGCAUGGUAACAAAAAAUUCUGUGUCUAUUGCAAGCUAACAAAUCACAAUGUUGAGGAUUGCAGAAAAGUACAGAAUAAGGAGAAGAAGAAAAACAAGUCGGCUGGUAAGGUCUCUGUUGCUGCUGCCGUGUCUGAUGAAGAAUCUGGAGAUGGUCUGGUGGUAUUUGCCGGUUGUGUUGCUGGUCAUGAUGAGUGGAUCCUUGAUUCUGCAUGUUCAUUUCAUAUUUGCAUUAACAGAAAUUGGUUUAGCUCUUAUAAGUCUAUGCCGAAAGGAGAUGUUGUGCGGAUGGGAGAUAAUACCCCGUGUGAUAUUAUGGGAAUUGGAUCAGUUCAGAUCAAGACUCAUGAUGGCAUGACACGCACUCUGAAAAACGUCAGGUACAUACCAGGGAUGUCCAGAAAUCUUAUUUCAUUGAGCACGCUUGAUGCAAAAGGUUACAAAUAUUCCGGUUCGGAUGGUGUUCUGAAGGUAUCAAGAGGUAAUCUUGUCUGCUUGAAAGGUGAUCUCAAUUCUGCAAACUUAUAUGUCCUUAGAGGGUGUACUUUACCUGGUUCUGAUUCCGCUGUUGCUGCUGUUACUAAUGAGGAACCUAGUAAAACUAACCUUUGGCAUAUGCGUCUGGGACAUAUGAGUCACCAUGGUAUGGCAGAAUUGAUGAGGAGAAACCUACUGGAUGGCUGCACUUCGAGUAAAAUGAAGUUAUGUGAGCACUGUAUUUUCGGGAAGCAUAAAAGGGUACAUUUCAACACUUCUGUUCACACCACUAAAGGUACUCUUGAUUAUAUUCAUGCUGAUUUAUGGGGUCCUUCCCGUAAGUCCUCGCUUGGUGGUGCUCGUUACAUGCUCACAAUUAUUGACGAUUACUCUAGAAGGGUGUGGCCUUAUUUUCUGAAACAGAAAGAUGAUACCUUUGCUGCUUUUAAGGACUGGAAGGUCAUGAUUGAAAGGCAAACUGAAAGGAAGGUGAAAUUGCUUCGUACUGAUAAUGGUGGAGAAUUUUGUUCGCGUGAAUUUAAUGAUUAUUGCAGAUCAGAAGGUAUUGUAAGGCAUCACACCAUACCCUAUACUCCACAACAGAAUGGUGUGGCCGAACGCAUGAACAGAUCCAUCAUAUCCAAGGCCCGUUGCAUGCUGUCUAAUGCCAGGAUGAGCAAGCGUUUUUGGGCUGAAGCUGCUAAUACUGCCUGUUACUUGAUAAACAGGUCACCUUCUAUUCCACUAAAUAAAAGAACUCCCAUUGAGGUAUGGUCUGGAACGCCUGCUGAUUACUCACAGUUGAAAGUUUUUGGAUGCACUGCAUAUGCUCAUGUUGAUAAUGGAAAAUUAGAGCCUAGAGCUGUUAAAUGUCUUUUCCUUGGUUAUGGUUCGGGUGUCAAAGGCUAUAAAUUGUGGAACCCGGAAACAGAAAAGACCUUCAUGAGCAGAAGUGUUAUUUUCAAUGAAUCUGUGAUGUUUACUGACAGCUUACCCUCAGAUCAAGUUCCAGACAAAGGACUGCAGCGUAUGCGCAUGCAGGUGGAGAACGCUCGUAAUGAUGUUGAUAACCCCGACCCCUUGGUCUCGGGGUCGGAUGCGCCAGACCCCUUGGCUCCAGGGUCGGCUGAUGCUCAAGCGCCAGACCCCUUGGCUCCGGGGUCGGAUGUUGCUGCGCCAGACCCCUUGGCUCCGGGGACGGAUGUUGCUGAUGCGCCAGACCCCUCAAUCUCGGGGUCGGCUGAUGCUCAUGAUAAUGUCCAGCAAACUCCAGAGGAGGAUCUACCCAUUGCUCAACGCAAGUCCAAAAGGACAGUUGCCCCUCCUAACCGCCUCAUUGAAGAGUGUAAUUUGUCUUACCAUGCUUUGAGUUGUGCUGAACAGGUGGAGAAUGUUCAUGAGCCAGCAACCUAUAAAGAAGCUAUUCAUUGUGGCGAUACUGAAAAUUGGAUUUCGGCCAUGCAUGAGGAGAUGCAAUCUCUUGAGAAGAACAGUACAUGGGAACUUGUACCUUUGCCUAAGAAUAAGAAGGCCAUCCGCUGCAAAUGGAUCUUCAAAAGAAAGGAGGGUUUAUCUCCAAGAGAGCCUCCGAAAUAUAAGGCAAGGUUAGUUGCAAAAGGCUACAGCCAAAUUCCGGGUGUCGACUACAAUGAUGUUUUCUCUCCAGUGGUAAAACACAGUUCAAUUCGCACUUUCCUUAGUGUUGUUGCUUCACAUGAUCUUGAGCUUGAGCAGUUAGAUGUGAAGACUGCGUUUUUGCAUGGAGAGCUCGAGGAGGACAUAUACAUGAACCAACCAGAAGGUUUCAUAGUGCCUGGCAAGGAGAAAUAUGUGUGCAAGUUGAAAAGAUCCUUGUAUGGUUUGAAACAGUCCCCUCGACAGUGGAACAAGAGGUUUGAUUCAUUUAUGUUAUCACACAGUUUUAAAAGAUCUAAGUAUGAUAGCUGUGUUUAUAUCAAGCAUGUUAAUGGAUCACCUAUAUACUUGCUGAUAUACGUUGAUGAUAUGUUGAUUGCUGCCAAGAGUAAGACUGAAAUAAAUAAGUUAAAGAAGCUAUUGAGUAGCGGUUUUGAUAUGAAAGAUCUUGGUAGUGCUAAGAAAAUUCUUGGUAUGGAAAUUAGUAGAGACCGAAAUUCUGGUUUGCUAUUUCUUAGUCAACAGAAUUAUAUCAAGAAAGUUCUUCAGCGUUUCAACAUGCAAGAUGCUAAGGCUGUAAGUACUCCUAUUGCACCUCACUUCAAGUUGUCAGCUGCUCAGUGUCCUAGUACAGAUGCAGAGGUCAAAUACAUGUCAAAGAUUCCUUAUUCUAGUGCUGUUGGGUCCUUGAUGUAUGCCAUGGUUUGCUCUCGCCCAGAUUUGUCAUAUGCUAUGAGUCUUGUUAGUAGAUAUAUGUCUAAUCCCAGCAAAGAACAUUGGAGGGCAGUUCAGUGGAUUUUCAGAUACCUCAAAGGCACAGCAAAUUCCUGUUUAAAGUUUGGAAGAACUGAUGAGGGUCUUAUUGGCUAUGUGGACUCAGAUUAUGCUGCUGAUCUGGACAGGCGAAGAUCACUCACAGGCUAUGUGUUUACUGUUGGCAGUUGUGCUGUGAGUUGGAAGGCUACUUUACAGUCGGUUGUUGCUUUGUCUACUACUGAAGCAGAAUAUAUGGCGAUUUGUGAAGCGUGCAAAGAAUUGAUUUGGCUGAAAGGUUUGUACGCCGAACUUUGUGGAAUUGAAUCUUGCAUAAGUUUGCACUGUGACAGUCAAAGUGCAAUUUACCUCACUAAAGAUCAACUGUUCCAUGAGAGAACUAAGCACAUUGAUAUCAAGUAUCAUUUUGUGCGUGAUGUGAUUGAAGAAGGUAAGCUAAAGGUAUGCAAGAUCAGUACUCAUGAUAAUCCUGCCGAUAUGAUGACAAAGCCUGUUCCUGUUACUAAGUUUGAGCUGUGCUCAGGCUUAGUUGGUUUAAUUGGAUAGUCCAAGAGACUAUUAUUGGCACCAGUGGUUUUUCCUGUCUUUGUUCUGUUCAGAAUGAAGGGUUGAUGAUACAAGAUGAAUUUGUCUCAAGGUGGAGUUUGUUGGAGUUGUUCCAAAUUCACUCCAGGAAUAAAGGCCGACCUUCCCGACCCUUGACACUCAGGGUCGGGCGAGGCGGAGAAUCUCCCGACCCCGGGACUCGGGGUCGGGCGAGGCGGAGCGUCUCCCGACCCCAGGCUUGAGGUCGGGCGAGUCGGAGAUCGACCCUCAAGGGGUCAGGCGCAUCCGACCCCAGGCUUGAGGUCGGGCGAGGCGGAGUCCCAGGCGCAUCCGACUCCAGGACGAAGGACUCAGGGUCAGACGAGAAGGAGUUCCAUCCUUGUACGGGACCAAGAGUCCGUACAGCUCAAUACCCCCUGUCUGGGGUUUCGGUACUAUAUAUACAUACACCCUUGCUAGGGUUUUGGGUGGUGACAGAAGAGAUAGAAGAGAGAGAGAUUAUCAGAUUCUCUUGUAAGCCGCCAUAGGCGUGUAGCCCUAAACUCUUGAUAUAGUGAGAUUGUUGCCGGCUGGUGCCCGUGGUUUUUCCUCUUCACAUUGAAGGGGUUUUCCACGUAAAUCGUGUGUCUUCUUUUGUGGUUUGAUUCUUUACUUCAUAUUCCAUACGUCGUACCUAACACUUUGUGCAACUCAUUUACAAUGACCCUGCAAUCGAGAAGCACUUUGAGUUUCGGAGGUGGUGCUGCGUGUCAGAUGAUUUCGAUGUCAGUACCAUUGCAAGCAACAUCUGCCAGACCAAUGAGAAAUAUCGUGAAAAAUCAUUGCAGGAGCUCCAGAGUACAAUAAGUGGGAAAAGGUACCUCAUUGUGUUAGAUGAUGUCUGGAAUCGGGAUGGUGAUAAGUGGGGAAAACUAAAGGCCUGCCUUAAGCAGGGUGGCAAGGGCAGUGCAGUACUAACAACAACUCGUGAUGCAGAAGUGGCUCGCAUUAUGACCAUGGGUGUAGCUGAAGCCCAUAAUAUCGAGAAUCUGAGUGACGAGCAUUUAAAGGAAAUUGUCCAGAGCAGAGCAUUCAGCUUGCAAAAUCCAAAUAUGGAAGAGCAAGAUGGCAUUCUCAGUGGAUUUGUUCGUCGAUGCGUUGGAUCUCCCUUGGCUGCCAAAGCCUUUGGCUCUAUGUUGAGUAACAGGACUAGUGUAAAUGAAUGGAAGGAUGUAUUAGCUAAAAGUGACAUUUGUAGUGAGAAAACCGGAAUUUUACCGAUCCUCAAGCUCAGUUUUGAUGACCUAUCCUCAGAUAUGAAGCAGUGCUUUGCAUUUUGUGCUUUAUUUCCUAAAGAUUAUGAGAUUGAUGUGGACCUCUUGAUUCGACUGUGGAUGGCACAUGACUUCAUACCUGUGCAGGAGGAUGACAAUCUAGAAACCGUAGGAAAAUAUAUUUUUGAGGAGCUAACUCGGAGGUCAUUCUUUCAAGAGGUCAGGCAAACACUUCAAUUUGGCUAUUUUGGAAGGUCGUCACUUCGUAAGUCAACCAUAUGCAAGAUACAUGAUCUCAUGCAUGACAUUGCUCUAUCUGUUCUGGGGAAAGAAUGUGUCACUAUAGUUGGUAAGCCGAGCAUCAACAAGGUGUUGCUAAAUCCGACCCGCCACGUCUUCUUAUCAACAAGGUGUUCUCAUUUCUGGAAAGAACAGGUUACAAGUCUACUAGAUCAUCUAUUGAAGAAACAAACUGCAAUGCUCCAUACGUUGUUUAUCAAAGGUUAUGGUCAACCCCUUGAUAUAUCAAAGUACACUUCACUGCGAGCAUUACACCUUCCAGCAUAUAUAUAUAUACCAUGUUCAGGACAGGAACAGCUUACAAGACACAUACAACACCUAAGGUAUCUUAAUCUGUCGUCACAUGAGUUCGAGAAACUUCCUGAAGGUAUAAGCAUUAUGUAUAAUCUACAAACGUUGGACCUCUCAUAUUGCAAAUGCCUUCGUCAACUUCCAAAGGAUAUGAAGUAUAUGGCAAACCUCCGACACCUCUAUACCCAUGGAUGCGAAUCAUUGACAUGCAUGCCUCCAGGACUUGGACAGAUCACUUCUCUGCAGAAUCUAACAUGUUUUGUUAUUGGUGAUGGCUUGGGAUGUAGUACUAUAGGAGAACUUCAAAACUUAAACCUUGGUGGAGAGUUAGAGUUAAGUGGUCUGCAAAAUGUAACAGAAGUGCUUGCAAAAGCUGCCAGUCUUGAAAAUAAAGAGAAACUCACACACUUAUGUCUCAAAUGGAAUGAUGAUGCCCGUGAGAAACCAGAUUCUCAUAAUGAGGUGUUAGAUGCCCUUAAACCUCAUCAUCGGCUGGAGAUGCUAGGCAUAAAGUCCUACAAAGGCACCAAUUUACCGUCAUGGAUAACAGAUCUUAGUCUGUUGCAGCACUUGACUGAGCUCCAACUGGUUGGUUGCACGCUGUGCGAGGAAUUUCCUCAAUUCUGCCAUUUCAAAACCCUUGAAGUUCUGUAUUUGAAAAAGUUGGACAAAUUGUAAAGCCUAUGCAGUCAUAUGGUGUCUACGCCAUUUCCAGCACUGAAGCAACUCCGGUUACAUGAUUUGGAGAGCUUGGAGAGAUGGGUCGCAACAGAAGGAAAAGAAGAUGAAUUAACCUUUCCUGUACUUGAGGAGGUUGAUAUAAAAAACUGUCCAAAGUUGACUAGCCUACCUGAAGCACCAAAGCUCAGGGUUGUAAGUCUGGAUGAAGGCAAGCCGCUGCUCUCCUUAGGAAUAGUUAAAUCAAGGCACAUGUCUUCAAUUUCUAAGCUAAUCCUGUGUGUCCGUGACACAGAAGCACUGCCUCAGAUAGAUUAUAAUUGGGAUUCAUCACAGAAACUGGAACUAUCCUUGGGUGGCACAGAAGCCGCACCUCUGUCACAUCUGAACAUAUCUGGCUGCAACUUUUUCUUCGUAUCAAGCCAGUCACAGCUAACACCUGGGGUCUGGAAAUGGUUUGAACAUCUUGCAGUUUUAGCAAUCAAAAACUGUGAUGUGCUCAUCUACUGGCCAGAAGAAGUGUUCCAAAGCUUGGUAUCUUUGAAGGAGUUGUGGAUUGAGUCCUGCAACAAGCUAAUAGGGCCCACACAAGCGAAAGGUGGCGAACCUACACAAACGACAGAUCAACUCCUGCCACAUCUAAACAGGAUAUGUAUACGCAGUUGUGAAAGCAUGGCACAGCUCUUCAUUCUUCCCCCAUCUAUCAGAAUUAUUGAUAUUAUGGAUUGCCCUAAGCUUGAGUUCAUAUGGGGAAAGGAGGAGCAUCUUGACACAUAUACAUCGUUGGAACAUUGCCGCGACCCUGCAUCCACUACUGGUACCCUAGAGCAAUCGCCGUUUCCAAUUAUUCGUCGUCCAUGCCUUGUACGUUUAUCAAUAAGAUUGUGUGAUAGCCUGGUAACACUUCCAAAUCUACCACCGUCCCUCAAGGAUUUAAGCAUCUACAGCUGUGAGAAGCUCUGCUCUGUGUCAGGAGACCUGUGUGCACUCGAGGAGCUACAUAUUUAUAACUGCAAUAAGUUACAGUCAGUCAAUUCCUUGGGAGACCACCCAUCAUUAGAAACACUGAUUCUUUAUGACUGCCGAUGCCUUGCAUCUUUAGGAUGUGAUGGUGGUCGUGGAAGUUACUCUGCUCUUCAGAGCCAUAAGAUCGAAGAGUGCCCAGCCAUAGACAUGAAGCAGUUUUACUAACGCCAUCAAACAGCUGCUUGACAGCUUUGAAUAUGAAGACGUAUCACACGUUCAUUCAAGCAGCUCUGAUGAAGGUACGACCUUUCACUUUCCUCUUAUUCAAUUUGUUUCCUUCAAAUUUCCCUGCUUUGCAUGCCCUCCUAUUUCACUCAUGUAACCCCACAUGCAUUUCAUUUUUGCUGUGCAGACAUGACCCAUUUGUCCUUAAAAAGCAUAAAGGAGGGCACUCACAUGUACACACGACUGCCAUCUGGAAGCUUCAUUAUUGCGAGCCUCUGCUAACGAUGACAGGCCUGCAAUGGACGACAAAAACGACAAAGUUUGUUUUCACGGCACUACCAGCUAGCUGCUGGUAAUGCUCUUGUCACUAAUGUACAGUACUCCAUUCUGUCAUCCAUGAAAGUCGUGGAGAAUGGUCUAUGAUGUUACUCCAUUCUGUCAUCCACGUGAGCCGAUGAAGCAGAAACAAAUGAUGAUGAUGAUGGAUGAUAUAGCUGCCGGGACCCACUGCAACCUCGUGCAUCAAUCAUGACGAUCUCUAACGGCAAAGGCAUGCAUCCAGUAUGGCCUGAUGAAGUAAUUUAGUCUGCCAAAUUUCUUUCUGCUCGUUGCGCAUAGAAGGCGUAUUUUCUUUUCCUUUUUUCCACCCGAGAAGGAAGAAGAAGAAGAAACUGCUGUGGCCAAUUCAAUCCGGAUCAUCAAAACAACAGCCCAUUCCAGACUAGAAGAAUUUGGUCACCAAAUUCGGAUGGAGGUAAAAAGUCACUAGUUACCUGCAGCACCGAAUAGUACUGGUUCGUUCAUUUACUGUUUCCAAAAACUUUCUGCUGAGAGUUUGUGCAUUGUGGUGACACUAAAUAUGCGCGUGCGCGGUUCGUAGGAUUCGAACCCACAACCUCCAACCUCGCGCGUAGCUUUCUUGCCAUCCCACCUACACACCACAUCUAAGUAUGUAGGGGAUCCUAUCCUUUUGUAUUAACUCGUGGGGGACCCUUUUAUCCCGGUUGGAAACACCAACCGCGAUAAAAGACCCCCUUUUAUCCCGGUUGGUAUUACAAACCGGGAUAAAAGGGUUCGAGGAUUUAAUCCUCUUCCAGCCACCUUCCAGUCACCUCGUUGGGGACCCUUUUAUCCCGGUUUGAAACACCAACCGGGUCAAGAGCCUUUUAUCCCGGUUGGUGUUUCAAACCGGGAUAAAAGGCCCCUCAGAGUCUUUUUUCCCACUAGCCUUUGCAACCGGGAUAAAAGGUCCCGGUUGGUGAGCCCCCCACCAGUGACCGAGUUUUAAUCCCGGUUGGUGAACCUUUGUCCCGAGCCAACUUUAAACCGGGAUAAAAGAGGGCGCAUGGAAAGUUAAUUCUCUACUCGUGUUUGCGGGACACAAUCAUUUCAAGCAGGAGACGGUGGUUCAUCUGGAUGGACACCGGCCUCCGAUCAACAAUUUCCCCAGUUUCCCGUGUAGGCAAGGGGGAAGAUGGCAGGUCGCCAAGAAAUAGCAGCAGAUAUGUCCCUUGUCAAAACUUCAAGCCAGUAGUCUGUAAAAUAGAAAGAGAGAUUUGUUCCACUUAGGCUGCUACGCCUACAACAAUAAUGACUGUGGGGAGCUAGGAAAUAGCAUCAUGCUGAUAAGCCCAACAUCAUUGGAAUACAGUAACAGCGUACUGAAAACAAAAGAGGCUACAUCAUGGGCCAACUGAAAUUGUGUUAUCCAUAACAUUUUUUUUUAGAAAAUCCUCAGCCAUCAACACACGCAACCAAAUUAUUACAGAAUCUUAAGCUCAGUUGCUGAUUAAAAAAAUAAAAAGAGAAAAUAAUUAUAAGCAAUGUUUAAUGUUGCUUAUCCAUCCAUUUUUAAUAGAAACUUUCCAAAGCUUUCGUUGCUCUACUAUCGAACGGACGGUCUCCCUUAUGUCUUCACACCACGUUAAUAAAUCGCAAUUAAUAUGUUCUCCCGAAGGUAACCUUCAAAGCGAUGAAUGUAGAUCACCCACGAGCAACCGAGCACGCACAAGGGAUGCUGAAACACCACAUGGAUCUCCAUGACAACACCUUCAACAAGAACAUGACGCUAAUGACACCAUUGUCAUUGGCCCAAGUAUUGGGUUGGGUUUACACCCGGAGAAUUAAAAAAUCACCAUUCGGGGGAGGUGCAAACAAAGUCGCCUCCAAGGAGGCAACGGCACCCGCAAGCGUCACCAUCCACACUUUCAUCCCGACCUCCACCAUGCCAUGCCGGCAGCAGCCUGAGCAGAAAUCCACUCACCAAGCUGUUGAUGGUGCUGAGCAAGUUCGCAAGUGCCAGCCAUCAUUAUUGAGAGCCAGCUGCUGCCGCCGCAAACUCAUGCCCAUUGCGCUAGGGCUAGGGCGCCGGCCAUAGCAAGGCCUAGAUGCACGUGUUGCGUCAUGGCUGGCACCACACUAAGCCCACCAUGUCACCAGACUGUCACAGCCGGAAGGGCGCCGGUCGUCAGAUCCGACCCCCAGCGCAUGGAAUCCACCGCCUAGAAGCUAAUAUCUCUAGAGUGAAAAUCAACACUUCAGAAGAUCCCUGAGGGAGGGGGAACGUGAAGGAGAGGCUCCCCGAGUGCCGUCAGCAUCACCGGAGAACCCAAGCAGCCACAUAUCCAGGGGUCUCCGAGGGACCCGUCGUCGGAUCCGGUCACGCCAAGGGGAAGCACCAUCACGUUCAAAGGUUUCACCUCUAUGUGUAACGCUGCACUGUCCGACUGCCCGAGUACCUCCAGCAUUGGAUGGAGUGAUGGCAAUCUUAUUAGGGGGAAAAGAAACUACACACACCAAUGACAUAUGGUAACAGCUUACAAUGAUGGUAGUGGAUAAAAGAAAUGGGAGCACCAGAAACAAAAUCUAGAGUCUCAACAGUCAAAAUCAAAUUAACAAGAUCAAACAAUAAAAGUUAUGAGUACCACAAGAGCUUACACUGUCCGACUGUCCGAGUACCUCCAGCGUUGGUUGCAGAGCACCAGGGGGGGGGGGGGAUCAUUUCCAAAGUGGAUGCAUCAGUGGAGAUCUCUCAAUGUUUGUCACAUAAGCAGUGUGGUGCCCUCCAGGUGCCCAGGUUGGUGUGUUAAACUGCCUCCGAUCCACAGCCAUCUUAGAACACUGCAUUCCAAGUUUCCAACACUUUUCAUGGUCUCAACUCUACUUUUACAUUCUCUCAGGGGGUGUUUGGGAACACCGUGCUAAACUUUAGCACCUGUCACAUCGGAUGUUUGGAUACUAAUUAGGAGUAUUAAAUAUAGUCUAAUUACAAAACUAAUUGCACAGAUGGAGUCUAAUUCACGAGACGAAUCUAUUAAGCCUAAUUAGUCCAUGAUUUGACAAUGUGGUGUUACAGUAACCAUUUGCUAAUGAUGGAUUAAUUAGCCUCAAUAGAUUCGUCUCGCGAAUUAGACUCCAUCUGUGCAAUUAGUUUUGUAAUUAGCUCAUGUUUAGUCCUUCUAAUUAGCAUCCGAAUAUCCGAUGUGACCCUGCUAAAGUUUAGCACCUCGUAUCCAAACACUCCAAUGUGCUUUAUCUUGCUCCAAUCAUCUCCUGACUCGCUGCAUCUUUGCUUAAACCUCUUUGUGCAUUGUGACAGUGUCAAGGUAUGCAAAGAGGUCAGCCUCUCAAUGCACGGAGGCAAAGUUUUCAUCCAGUAGGCCUCUACUUUGAGCUCACGGAGAGAUGCCAUAUCUCCCAACCAUUCUGGCAAGGUUUCCAUGUCCUCACAGUUCAGUAUCUCUAGCUUCCUGAGGGAUUUCCAGCCUAGAAUGCACUUUGGCAAAGGUACAGGAUCGAUGCAACUGUCAACAGUUAAUUCUUCAAUGUCAAGCAGUUGAAGAGAAUCAGAGUCAGAAGAUAUAUUUUUGAUGUACUUGAUUUCCAUUUUGGAUGAUAAAGCAGAUGUUGAUAGCCCCAUGAUCGACUUGGUAGAAUGAUGGCCAAUUGAAUAAGAACGGAUAUUGUUUAAUUCCAGAUAUGAUAUACCUGGCACUCCAAGGGAUUGAUGGUUCGAAUCUUACAUUCAAACAACAGUCUAUCUCCACAGUAACUUCCCUACUCUUACUAUUGUAACUCUUCUGAGAUUUUUCACUGGCUGUGUGAUCAAGAUGCAUAUCGAUGAUUUGGCAUAUAGGUUCACUAUAACUUCACCAUCCCCCACAAGCAGAGACACCGGGACAGACGAGAUAUACAAGUCUUCAAGAGAUUGUAAAUAAUCUAAAUGGAGGUCACCAGAUUGAACAUUGAAAAGCUCCAAUCGUACAAGAUUUGGUAGCCAACGUAACCAGUUAGGAAAAUCACCACCAACAUAGUUCUUUAUGCAAAGCCUUUUAAGGUUUUCACGAGGCUGGAGCUCUUCUAACGCGACCUUGUUCAACACUGGCCCACUCCACUCCAAACUUAAAAAUUGGAGCUCCUCUUUUUGCGCCAAUUCAAUUAUGUUUGCGUCUGAGCUUGAUAGAUCUUCGAGAUGUUUAAUAUUAAGUUCAGUAAGCUGGUGACUUGUAGUCUUUUGUAGAAGAGCCAUGUCCUUUGAUGAACUGACGGCGAAACUAGGGCCCUGCUAUUUUACAAAAACAAAGAAAAUGAAAAAUAAAACAUUCUGCUUUAGUCAAGAUGGCAUGCAUACUAUAUAAAACCAUCUCUAGGUGCAAACAUGCAGCUUAGAGCAUCUCCAAUAGUCAUCUAAUUAAUGUUUCUAGAUAACUAGUUAAUAGGGAUAUCCCGAGUUGCUUUUACAGUCUUCUAUAACCUCAUCCCAAUCUAACUACCGUUGUUGGGAGAGUCACAGCUCCUCAUUUAUUUGGGGAGUUGGGGUGAAUUAUUUGUCGAAUAAUUAUUGUAAAAAAGGAAAGGUAAAGGGAGUGUGUUAGAGCACUAUUUUUUCACAAACUCUCCAAAUAUGGUAGUUGUAUUGGAGCACUGAAUAGUACUGGUUCGUUCAUUUACUGUUUCCUCAAACUUUCUGCUGAGAGUUCGUGCAUUGUGGUGACACUAAAUUAGCUGCUUAAUCUGCUGCAGGACAUCAAGCAGUGGGCGUAUGGCGCACCUAUCAGCUGGGUUCCUGUUGGUCAUCUUAAUUCUUGCUUGUGGUAGAGCAAACCAUGGCCGACUUAGUGAUCAGGCCCAGGGCCGGCUCUAGGGGAGCGGCAGGCCGUGCGACCGUCCGGGGCCCAUGAAGCUGCGGGCCCAAAACCAUAUAGGUAAUCAAUACAUAUAAUUUGGUUGGUGGACUUUGUUUCGGCCUUUCUAAAUGGCCCGCGUAACAACUGCGGCCUGCCUCCGUCCGUGCCAAAUCAGGCCUACCAAAUUGCUCCAUGACUAUGCUGUCCCUGAUUCUGUAUACAUAUACGCUCCUGACUCCGUGGUUGUGCUGUCGCUGAGCACCGCGUCUGGAGCGCGUCAGAGGAUAUAGGCGAGCCGCGAGCACCGUUAGGGUCAGAGGCGAGUGCUUAUUUGAAGUUCAAUCUUUGUUUUCUUUUUCGCCAAUUUCGUCAAAAAGCAAUCAUUUAAUUAAUAUUAUUUCUUUCGUGUAGUAAUUCCAUUCUUCAUCAAUUGCGUAGAAGGAGCAAUGCCUUACGACAUUGAAGGAGAAUCUUGGUAAUUCUAUCGUCAAUUGCAUAUCAGAUUCUCUUAACUAUUCCAAUGACAGUAGUAUCAGCCGAAAGUAGUUUCUCCAUUUUGAAACUAUUGAAAAAUUAUUUGAGAUCAACUAUGUCACAAGAAAGAUUGAAUGGCUUGGCUAUGUGCAAUAUUAAGAAGGAUGUUUUGGACGACAUUAAUCUUGAUACUGUUCAUGAAGACUUUGCAUCAAGAAAUAUAUCCGAAGAUGUUUUUCUACAAAGCACUAAAGCAUUAUAUUUUUAUUUGAGAUAAUCAUAAUGGUUAUUGUUUUUAGUUUUUUUGUUACACUAUUAUUAUGUUUUAUGAGAGAUAUAUAUUGCAAAAAUGAUGCGUAGCUCUCCUGAAUAUAUAUAUAUAUAUAUUGCAAAAUAAUUUUUAUUAUUCGUAUUAUAUACUUUAGUUUUGAUAUUAAAAAUAGUUCAACGGGUCCUUAUGUUUGCCCAAGGGUCUUCAAAAUUAUAGAGCCAGCCGUGAUCAGGCCAUUCAUCUUCAUGGUGGAGAAGGUGAUCGAAGGCAUGGAGCGCAAGCUGCCAUCAAUCCUGCAUGCACAUUAACAAGGAUGCGGAGGAAAGAAGAGCCUCCCGACCUGAAGCAGCAGCUUGGCUCAAAGACCUCAAGACAGUUGCCUAUGCGGUGCUGGCCGGUGGCGCGAUCCAACGCUCUUGGGCAGCGGUAGCGAUGGCUUCCUGUUCCGCGGGCAGCCACAGCAGCGGCGACGGCGCGCUCAGCGGCCUCAACCCGUGCGCGGGCCCACUAGGAUUAAAACAAUCUAACACAUCCCAAUCUUAAGGAAGUGCACCAGUAGGUUCUUUUGUAUCACUUUUGGAUAGUCAUCGAAUUGCCGAACCUUUGAGCAGCGGAUCGACCCCCGCAUGCACUCAUGUCACACCCGAUUUUAAGGACAAAAUCGAGUGCAUUAAAUACAUGUGUGCCAGGAUCAAGUUACACACAUGUACGAUAAUAGUGAAUAACAAAGAUAGUGCUAAAACGAAUAAAGAGAGUAUUAAACAUUAUUACAUGACCGAAAGUCUCAAUAAACCAUAAGCCUAAUUUAUUAUGCAGCGGAACUCCAAGGACGACGACGACUCCACAGGCAGCUGACUGAAGAAACGUACGCCUAGAACUCCUCAAAGUCGUGUAGGUACUCCUCCCAAUUAGCUUAGUCUGAACAACGGUUUUGCAAGGGUGAGUACUGUAACAACUCUACCUAAAUUAAGUACUUUUAACUCUAAACCAGUGAUAAAUCCCUAAGUUAAGAAGUGAAAUGACCUUUAUAAACCUAAGAAGCUCGUUUUGGAGUUUGAAUUAAAGCUUGAAAUUUUGUAUACAAACCUGAGUUUCUGCCCAAGUAAGAGUUGUAAAACUUUUUAAUUCCAACAACUUUUGUUAAAGUCACUUUGACUAAUUCGGAGUGGAAGGAAGUCAAAAACAUCAACCAAAGCCAGUUUUUCUAAAGGACCCUGAAAAUCUCUUAAGUCCUGAAAUUCGAGUUUUCCUCCAUCUUGCAAGCUUUCAUCUCCUGUUUUCCCUAUCUAAACUCAAGUCAGGGCCUGAAUGAAAGUUGUAGUACCUCAAGAUUGUUCCAACUUUGUUACACUGAUCCAGAUCCAAAUCGGGCCCGAACUUGUUCAAAACUCCGGUCAAAGGGAGGUAAACCAGUCAACUCACCCCUGGUGCCUUAAAAAUCCUAAGUCUGGAAUCCCAGAUUUUUGGCUAACUUUGACCGGAAAUAUCUUUGAAUCCUUUCACAAUCUAAACCAGCACCUUAAACAAAGUUUGAAGAACAAUCAGAGUUGAGCAAGUUUGUUUAAGGGAGUUUUGGAAGUUGUGUUGAAAGAUUCGGAGGAAGGAUCACUCCAAAGCUGGUCGGGCUUGUUGCCCGAAGGGAGCCUCGACGCCCGCGCGCCAGAGCACGUUCACUCGCGCGCCGCGUGCCGCGUGGCCGCCGGCCACCGGCAGCUCGCCGGCACCCUAUCCCCAGCACGACAGCGAUAGGACGAGAGCCACGGCGCCCAACCCGCGCCCGCGACAGGACGGAGCGAGCGCAGGGCUAGCCAACCGCCAGCCGCGCGCAGGUCGCCUUCCGCCUGCCACGGCUCUGCUCCGCCAACCCUGUUCCGCCCGUCCGCUGAGAAAGCUGACACGCCCCCGACGUCCCGCGCCUCCGCCCGUUCGCCCAACCCCCACGGUAGCCCUUCCGUCUCGCCCGCCCGACAGACCGGAAGCCCUAGAUGUGCGCCGCCCAAGGCCAAUCGCCGCCGAAGACCACCCGGAGCUCCGCCUCCUCUGCCCAAUGGCGUUGUCGGCCAAUGGCCGCCUCGCCUGAGCACUCGCCGCUCCCGGCCUUAUCCUUUCCCCACCGGAGCCCCGCCUCGACCCUCCGCCCCACCACGACCCUAUAAAAGAGAACCCCCUCACCGGCAAUGCCACCCCUUGCCACCGCCUGCACCUGCGCCACCGCUUUCUCCUCUGCGCCCCCGCUUUCUCCUCUGCGCUACCGCUGAGCUUCCGUGGAGCUCACCCCUUUGCGCCACCCCACACUCCGGCGAUUUCGCCGCCACCCUCUUGAGAAAGUUCCCCUCUCCGCUCCAGCCGCUUCUUCCAACCCACCAGCCGCCCGCUCCUCCGCGUGGUACUCGAGCUUGCUAGUGUCCGCAAGAAGCACCGCCGCCGCCGGAGCACCGUCGAAGCAACGCCGCCGCCGGACCACCGUCGAAGUCUCGCUGCUGCCCAAGCCUUAGCGCGUACAACUUCCCGCCCCAGCCUACUCCUGUUCGGCCCCAAGGCUUCACCGGUAGACCUGGAGGUAAGUGACCGACCCCUUGUGUUCCGUCUCGACCGACCCCUUGUGUUCAGCCUCAACCGACCCCUUUUCUUUCCGUCUCGCCCGACCCCUGUCCUUUUUGUUUCGCCCGACCCCUGUCCUUUUUCGUUUCUCCCGACCCCUUUGUUUCGGUUCGCCCGACCCCUUUUCUUUUCCUCUCGCCUGACCUUUUUCCCGUUCGCCUCGCCCGACCCUGCCAAGUUUCGCCGACCCUUUCUCCGUCUCGCCCGAGGGCUCGGCUGUAACUUUUUCUUUGACCCGAGGGUAUCGGUGAAAUAUUUUCGGGGAUUCCUCUGUGUUGAGUCUGAGGACCUCGGUACGGUUUUCCUUAAACCUGAGGGUCAGACCCUAAGUUUCCCCUAAUCCGACCCUCUCAUCCUGAUCUCCUCCAACAGAAGUUGAACUCCCCCACCUUUCCUGUAGCUUGGCUACAAGUGUCCGUGUUAAAACAUUAGUGUGUUGAAAUAACCAUCUAAAAUGUUUAACCCCUGCAUUGCAUUUCCGUGUAGAGUUGAAUCUCGCCGAUGGAACGUACGAGCUUCACCCGGCACCGGAAGAAGACCCCGCCGAGGAACUGCAUCCCUUCGAAGGAGAGCCCGAACCGGAGCAAGACCCCGAGGACCCGCAAGCUUUUCCUGAAGGCAAGCCCCGGAGCAUAAAUUCCUAUCUUGAAUUCAUGCAAUAUUAUUGAUUACUUGAUUGCGCAUUUACGUUUCGAGGAGUUGUAAUGGAACCUUAGAUGCAUAACUUAGUACCUUAUUUUUGAAUACUAGUUGCUAAGGCCGAGUAGUUGCAUUGCUUAAUAGGUUCCGGUAAAAGUCGAGUGAUCUCCUGUCACUCGCGAGUUAUAGGAGUUGAAUGUUUCAGAUAUGUCGCAACUAUAAGGACGACGGACGGGGUCAGGCUUAUGUUCGAUACUUGGUGGAUUGCCCCGUCUGUCUAAAUGAAAAUGAACUAAGGUCGAAACGUGUCGGCGUUCGUGAUCAAGUGUUUGAAAGUACUAAUCUCAUACCUAGUAUGGGAUGGGGAAGCCUAGUACCUGAUUGAAUUGGGGCGUGGCAUACCCUCCGGCUGUCCUUGGAACGUCGUUCCCAUGGUGCAUCAUGUGGGUGCAAGUGCGGUCACAGUGCAGCAAUAGGCCGGGACUGUGGAGCAUUGCAUGCCAAAGGAAGUUGGCCCUGACACGUGCCUAAGGGAUCGAUGGGGACGGCUGAUAAAUGAAGCGACCCUUCGUGGUGCGCGGAUGUCAUGAGAUUAGGUUUGCCAUGCAUGGUUAAUAAAUUCGAAUCGAUUCAUCUGCCUCUCAUAGAUUGGGACUACUUGAUCGCUAUUCUGCACUGAGUAAAGAUGGAACAUGAUGAUGAUUUUAAUCUUGAUGCUUGUUAAGUAAUUGCUUGGAAACCAUGUUUGUUUAGUAUAAGUUGCUAAUCUGGAAUGGAUAAAGAACAUAGAACAUGAGCUAAAAUGUUGAAAGUAAGGACUGACUUUAGACGCUUUUGGCAAAGAAAACCCCAGAGCCAGAAAGCCUUGCAUGUCUAGGUCUCGGUCGUGUCUUUUCGACAGGUCAGUCUUGCGGAGUACUAGUUGCUCAGCCUUGUUGUGGCUAAUCUUUUUCAGGUAAUGUCAAUAGUUUGGGUGUUGGUACCACUUGGCCGACCCAGCUUCCUCCAGGUUGGACCGUCGAGUGGGAUCCUUCCUUGGAUGGCGAAGGAAGAAAUUUUUGAUGUCAUGAACGGCUCCGUCGUGAUGUCAUGUAUCGACGUUUAGUUUUCGCUAUUUUCCUUUGACUUCGAACCAUGCAAAUUUCGAUUUGAAUUUCAGAAACUCUGAUGUAAUAAAUUGUUGAACUAUGUUGUCAUGAUGGAAUGUUGUAACCUCUGUGCUACUCACCUUCGCGUGAGCGAUGCUUCUCGAUCCUGUUUAUGUGGUUUAUCGGAGGAAAUCCGACGGUCGACCAAGUUGACUUGCUUAAAGUGCAUAAUCGCGUGUCAGACGACUUCAAUGCAUUUUAGUCAGGUUAAUUUGGGCGGUUCCGCCACAAGUACACUUAUGGUUGGUACUCAACAAGUCGUGGGGAAUAGUGUAGUGUAAGGCAAAUCAAGGUACGGCUAAGGCAUAAUUAGCAUUCGCUUUUAUUUAAGUUGGUCAAGUUUUAUUAGCAAUUAACUAAGUAUAAGUUCGUACCACUCGAAAUUAAACAUGAUCAUAAAUAAAGUAAACAGCAUAUGCAUGAAAUGACAACAAGUUAAAUCCAUCUUCCGAUAAAUAUUAUCAUGUGAGGGUCCAGGCCUCUCUUAACCGUGAGCACGGCUGAUCGAUCAGUUUUACACUCUGCAGAGGUGGCACAUCUUUACCCACAAGUCGCGUAAAAGUUCAAAAGAACUUUGGACCCAACCAUGCGGUGUUUGCAAGGCACCAUACCACACUUCUGAGGUGUGAUUGCAUAGGGACGCUACGAGGCCUUUACAAAGAUUCAUUAGUCAGUGGUAACCCGCUAAGGUUUCGAUGUCUGGCGUGCACCACCCAUCCCAGGCAAAAAUGCAACGACUCAGUCCCCCCUCUUGCCUCAUCAUGAGUAAGGUCACCCUAGACUAAGGUUUCUAAUUAUUCAGCCAAGACCAGAGCCAUUUAGUCUUGUGGUAGCACUAUUUUCCUGGGUGGUCGCUCCAUGUUACGAUUAAUAAUACAUGAUCUUAUAUUAAUGAAAGGUAUAACAGAAGUAAAGCAAGAUUAAACAUUGUUUUUAGUUAAACCACCAUGUACCAAGUAAGCGCUAAGCAUGAGCUACCCAACAAAAAGUAAACCGGUUGAUCAAGGCAAAGGUAAUUCAAUCUAGGCGAACCUUAAUUGGGACCCAUCAAUUCAAUCUUAACAUGUGCAUAGCAUAAAUGUUGAGUACGAGAAAGUAAAGGUGUAUAGGAUGAAAAGUAGUGAUCAAGGACACGACUUGCCUUCUUGGCCUUGCUCCUACUGUUCGUACUCCUCGAAGGCUUGGUCUUCAACUCCCUCGAACUGCGGGACGUCUACACGCGUCACACGAGCACAUACAAGCAAACAUGGGCAAAAAGUAAGAAACAGUACACCAAUCACAAUUAAACAGAGAAAACAAGCUUGAAAAGUUGAUCUACGCUUUAAAACGAACACGUGGAUAUAAAGAACGCGAAAAACGGAGUUAAGAUGCAAAAGAGAUGAUUAAAACAAGAUCCAGGGGCUUUUCUGUGAGAAAAACAAAACUUUUAGGGCAAAACCGCAAAAACCGAGGGCUUAUACGUAAAUACGCGUAUAAACCAAAGGUCUAACGCGCAAAAACUCCAAAACGGACGGCGGGUUGAUUUUUAGAAAACUCGGGGUUUAAACCGAAAAGCACGAGGGCAGAUCUGUGAAUAUUUUCAACGCGAUCUGGACCGCGGGUUGAUUUGCGGAAAAGGCAGGGGCUUAAGAGCAAAAUGGCGCGGUGCGGCACGGUUGACCGUUACGCGGUCUUGUUUGACUCGCUAUCGGCCGUCGGAUUUAGGUCCGACGGUCACGGUCGGCGAUGACUCGCGACGGCGACGGGAAAAGGGCAGCCAGCGGCGGUGAGCGACGGCGAGGUCGCCGGAGUAGGCCGAAACAACGCCACGGGGCUCGGUUUCGCGCGCGGAAAGCACCAGAAGAGAGCGGGGAACAUGGCGAACCCGUUUAGUGCCUUGGCGGGAGCCACGGCGCGGCGGCGCUCACCUUUUGGCGGCGGCGUGCGGCGGAGAGAGGCAGCGGCGCAAGAGCUUGCGGCAGCUAGGGUUUGGAGGGUGCUGGCACGGGUGCUCGUGGCCGGGGGAGGCGGCAGCUUAAAUAGGGGCGGACGGCUUGGAGAUAGAGGCGGCCCCGGAUUCAAACCGGUCGGGGAAUACGGCACCCACCCGGAGAUCUCGCGCGGCGGUUGCGGGCGGAGGAGAGUCUGGUCGGAGGUGGGAGACGAUGGCGGGUCCCACCUGUCGGCGGUAGCGGGCGGUAGGCGGGCCGUAGCGGCUGUGGGCUGGCGCGCGCGUUCGCGGGCCGCGGGAAAGGGGCGAGCGGAGAGCUUCGCAGGCCGGCUGGAGGUGGAGCGGUGGGCCGCACGGGCAAGGGGGUUCGCGGGCCGGCGAAGAAAGGCGGAGCGGGCCGAGCGGCUGGCACUGGGCUGCCGGCAGAGGAGGAGGCGCUAGGCCGAAAGAAAAAGAAGAAGAGAAAGGAAAGCAAGGUGCGGCCCAGGAGGAGAAGAAGAAAAAGAAAAAGAAGAGGGAAAAGGAAAAAGGUUUUGGAGAUUGAAUUUAAAUUUGGAAUUCAAAUUUUUGAUUCAAACCCAAGCAAUCAAAAUAAAUGCAGCAGCAUGAAUGCACAAUUAACUCCUAUGAUGAAUUAAUUAAAUUAAAGAAAAUGAAAUUAAAUGCCUAGAAUUUAAAUGACACCCUAAUUUGAGUAAAUUUUAAUGAAUUUGAAUUCUCUAAAAUUUUGGGUGUUACAACUCAUGAAACUAAAAGGGAAAUCCUUUUCUCAUAGCUGGAUAAUAGCGCGCGGCGACAGAAAAGCCAGCAUCGUUUCUGAUCUCAUUCACGUAUAUACAGCCAGUUGCUCGCUUCCGACCAUGCAGCUGCAUGAAGAAUAUGGACCGAAUGUUUAGUCAGUAAGCAAACACUGCCUAAAGUAAGUUUACAGAGCUACAUGCUGGGCAUUUCAGACUUGUUUAAACAGAGGUGCAAACAAAGUCGCCUCCAAGGAGGCAGUAGCACCCGCAAGCGUCACCGUCCACGCUUUCGCCCCGACCUCCAUGCUAUGCCAUGCCAGAAGCACCAUCACGUUCAGAGGUUUCACCUCUAUGUGUAACGCUGCGCUAUGGAGAGAUGACAAUCUUGGGGGGGGCGGGGGGGGGGGUACCAAUGACAUAUGGUAACAGCUUACAAUGAUGGUAGUGGAUAAAAGAAAUGGGAGCACCACAAACAAAAUCUAGAGUCUCAACAGUCAAAAUCAAACAAGAUCAAACAAUAAAAAGUUCUGAGUACCACAAGAGCACCAGGGGGGGAUCAUUUCCAAUGUGGAUGCAUCAGUGGAGAUCUCUCAACGUAUGUCACAUAAGCAGUGUGGUGUCCUCCAGGUGUCCAGGUUGGUGUGUUAAACUGCCUCCGAUCCACAGCCAUCUUAGAACACUGCAUUCCAAGUUUCCAACACUCUUCAUGGUCUCAACUCUACUUGAACAUUCUCAAUAAGCUCUAUCUUGCUCCAAUCUUCUCCUGACUCGCUGCAUCUUUGCUUAAACCCCUUUGUGCAUUGUGAUAGUGUCAAGGUAUGCAAAGAGGUCAGCCUUUCAAUGCACGGAGGCAAAGUUUUCAUCCAGUAGGUCUCUACUUUGAGCUCACGGAGAGAUGCCAUAUCUCCCAACCAUUCUGGCAAGGUUUCCAUGUUCUGACAGUUCAGUAUCUCUAGCUUCCUGAGGGAUUUCCAGCCUAGAAUGCACUUUGGCAAAGGUACAGGAUCGAUGCAACUGUCAACAGUUAAUUCUUCAAUGUCAAGCUGUUGAAGAGAAUCGGAGUCAGAAGAUAUAUUUUCGAUGUACUUGAUUUCCAUUUUGGAUGAUAAAGCAGAUGUUGAUAGCCCCAUGACUUGGUAGAAUGAUGGCCAAUGGAAUAAGAAUGGAAAUUGUUUAAUUCCAGAUAUGAUAUACCUGGCACUCCAAGGGAUUGAUGGUUCAAAUCUUACGUUCAAACAACAGUCUAUCUCUAAAUAUUGAAGUCCAGGAAAUAAUGUGCGCUGGUUGGAGGAUUCCCUGCCACUAUCACUGUGUCUUCCUCCCUGCUGCUCUCUUUGAAAUACGUUCUUAUCAUCCUUCUGCUCAAUACAAGGCAACGUCGAUGUUUUCCACAGUAACUUCCCUACUCUUCCUAAUGUAACUCUUCUGAGAUUUUUCACUGGCUGUGUGCUCAAGAUGCAUAUUGAUGAUUUGUCAUAUAGGUUCAGGUCAUUUGGCCUAUUAAUCACCGGGAAAGACGAGAUAUACAAGUCUUCAAGAGAUUGUAAAUAAUCUAGAUGGAGGUGACCAGAUUGAACAUCGAAAAGCUCCAAUCUUACAAGAUUUGGUAGCAAACGUAACCAGUUAGGAAAAUCACCACCAACAUAGUUCUUUAUGCAAAGCCUUUUAAGGUUUUCAUGAGGCUGGAGCUCUUCUAAUGCGACCUCGUUGAACACUGGCCCACUCCACUCCAAACUUAAAAAUUGGAGCUCCUCUUUUUGCGCCAAUUCAAUUAUGUUUGCUUCUGAGCUUGAUAGACCUUCGAGAUGUUUAAUAUUAAGUUCAAUAAGCUGGUGACUUGUAGUCUUUUGCAGAAUAGCCAUGUCGUCUGAUGAACUGACGGCAAAACUAGGGCCCUGCUAUUUUACAAAAACAUAGAAAAUCAAAAAUAAAACAUUCUGCUUUAGUCAAGAUGGCAUGCAUACUAUAUAAAACCAUCUCUAGGUGCAAACAUGCAGCUUAGAGCAUCUUCAAUAGUCAUCUAAUAAAUGUUUUCAGAUAAAUAGUUAAUAGGGAUAUCCCGAGUUGCUUUUGCAGUCUUCUAUAACCUCAUCCCAAUCCAACUACCGUGUUGGGAGAGUCACAGCUCCUCCUUUAUUUUGGGAGUUGGGGUGAAUUAUUUGUCGAAUAAUUAUUGGAAAAAAGGAAAGGUAAAGGGAGUGUGUUAGAGCACUAUUUUUUCACAAACUCUCCAAAUAUGGUAGUUGUAUUGGAGAAUAGGGAUCUGCUGGAGAUACUAUGUAAACCAUUGGACAAUUGAAUGCUGAUGAGGCUUAUGGAAACAGAGCCAGCCAAGGAUCCCUACCUAACUCUACCAAUCACGGGUAUGCACAGCAGAUAUGCUGGCAACAGAUCCUACCAGUAAGUUUUUUUUUCCAAAAAAAACAUAUCCUACCACGUACACAGCACAAAAAUACAAUUCUAAAAAAUUUGAUGUUCGCCUGGUAUAUCCCAAAAGUUGCAUGACUAUUUUAAUUUGGAACUUGCUUGGCUACUCCUUCCAUCCCAUAUUAUAGGUCAUUUUGGCAUUUCUAGGUUUAUGAUUUUUUGUUGUACACCUUGAUGUAUAUUAUAUCUAGAAGCUAUGAAUCUAAAAUUGUCAAAACAACCAACAAUUUGGAUAAUUUGGGAUGGAGGGAGUAUUUUAAUUUGGAGAAUCAGGUCUACUAUAAGUGCCACAAUUAAGCAAGGUAGUGGCAUAUCAAACAAUAAAUUAAAUAUUUAUGUUAGAAAGGGAUUCCAUUAAUUCAUUCAUAUAUACGAUAUUCACUCCCUAGAAUUAAUGAAAAUACAGUAACAAAUCACAUGCCUGCAUGAUAGAUUGAGCCUCUUGUUAUGCAACCGUAAUUUAUAGUAUACAUUGUAGAACAAAAAAAGUAAUAAUUAAAAACAGUGCAUAUUACCUCAUGUGCAUAUACAUGUUUGAUGGGUUUAAUCUUGUCGUAGUCCUCUCCUAAACGGCUGCAGCAUUCACGCAGUUUGUAAUUGCACUUCUUAAGAGUUAAUGUCUUCAAGGAGGUUACAUCCUUGAUGGAGUGAGGCAAACGCUGCAGUUUGGCAGAAUAAACUUCUAGAUGCUCCAGAGAUGCCAGAUCCCCCAACCAAUCUGGGAGUGCCGCAAAAUUACAACAACUGUCCAAUAUCUGCAAGCUCCUAAGGGAUGAUCUCCGGCAAGGUGAUCAGAUCACUGUCAGAUUUAAUAGUUAAAUACCACAAGUCGGUGCUGACGUAUUGGAGAAAUUCUGAAGCGUCAGAGAAGCCAAACAUAUUUGGUUCCAAUUCAAGUGUAAAAAGGUGUGAAGAUCCAACAAGUAUCACGGGUGAUAGUUCUACCUUACUGCAUGAUGCAACUAUAUGCUCUAUGUAUCCUUGAAAAGCUGAACCGAGGGUCAACGUGGAAAUAUUUCAUCUCCUUGCACCUUCUGUUCAUCAUCAUCCCAAGACAUCUCUCUAGCAGACAGCUCCAAGUUCGUGGACAGCACCUCCAAAUUCUCCAUCUUAUUAAUACAAAGUUCCCUUAAUUUCCUGAAUGGGUUCCUGCCUCCAUAAAAACUAGUAGCCACUUCUCGAAUAUUAGGCAUAUCUGAAAUGUGCAGUUCUUCAAGGUUUGCUAACUGUCCUAGUGAAGGGAGGCGUGCGCACCUUGGCUGCCCAUCAGCACUAUCUUCACAAGAUUUGGAAGAUCGAGAUUUGGAUCGCUCAUCCAGCCACAAAAUGUGGCAUCUCCAUAACCUUCUAUUUCAAGUGUUGAUAGGUUAGGAUGAGGAUGGAGUCUUUGGAGAACUGAAGAAUCAUCAGCUCUGGAGAAUUUUUUGCUCAGAUUAAGAUAUACAUUGUUAGGCCUAUCGUCUGAUCCAGAUAAACCAUUGCUGGAAUAAGAGUUUGCGUCAGCGUGCGCAGCUGGUCAUAUGUAGCCAACUCUCCAAGGCCAACUUCAUCAGCGCUAUUCACCUUCUCAAGAUUUGAAAUAAAUAGGUCUGUGAUUCCAAAGUCUGUAUUUUGACAGAGGAGAAAAUCACUUUCUUGUACUGCAAAAUACACUCCCUGUGAAGGAAGAGACAGAGUUAGACUAUUACCAAAUGCAACGAAAAUAUUUAUGCAUCCAUUCUGUUCUAGAUAAGAAUUAGAAAAUGUCCAUUGUAAAAGAGGAGUAACAAAGCACAGCCAAGAGAACUUACCUCAUUUAUCUUGAUGCAUUGAAUGUGAGGAAUAGCCUGUAGGAUUGCAGCUUUGUCUCUGUCCAAGAAAUUCCCAGGAGAUGACAAAGUUAGCUUCGCCAAACGAUCCAUGCAUCUCAAUUCAUCAAAACGGUCAAACAUCUCGAGGCAAUCAAUUUCAAGCUCAUGUACUGAUUGAAUGCCAGGAAGUUUCUGAAGAUCAUAGCUCUUACAGUUCGAUAUCUUGAGUUUUUGGAUGGUUUGUGUCAAUAUAGGGGUUUAUGACCACAGAUUAAUCUUGGAUAAAUCACUCUCGUUGAUGAAUAACUCCUUGCUGUUGGGGAUUCUUGGAUAUAGUUCCAGAUAACCGCAGUGUUCUAUCUGCAGAUAGCAAAGCGGAGGGAAUUCUUCUUCAUCAGUGUUCAUCAGUGCGGAAGAAGAUACAGGAACGUGUGUCAUCAGUGUUCUCUUUUUAGUCACUCCCAAAAAUAUUUCCAUCAUGUUCCUAAACUUUGCUUUUCCUUUUCCUCGGGAAGGAUCACCAGACUGCGCCCUGAACAUUUCAAGCCUCUUGAAUUCUUCUAAAGGAUCUAUUUCCAUGUCACGUAUCUCUUCACCAUCUUGGCAAAACCACAAGGUGCAUCUGGAUGCUAGUUUAACAAGCGACAGUCGCUUUAGGUUUCUGCAUGGUGCUAAACAUGCUUCCAUAAGUUUAGGCAUAUUACGAAUUUCAAGCUCCUCUAAGUUUGAUAGAUUUCCUAGAGUUGGAAGCUGGUCACACUCUACGAGAUCAGACAAUACCAGUUUCACCAGAUUUGGGAGUGUAGAACAUAUCUUCCUCAUCCAACUAGGAAACAUACUGUAAUUAUAGCCCUUUAUAGUGAGAUGCUUUAAAGCUGGAUGAGGCUUCAAAUUUUCUAGCACAUCCAUUGUCGUCACUUUGGGUUCCUCUGACCAUUCUAAUAAGGACCACUCCAAACUCAAAGAAGCAAGCCGAUGUCUCCUUCCCAAUUGCACCCCCUUUGCUUCCUCUGCAGACUUCACAACCUCAAGGCAUUUGAUAUUUAGUUCACUGUUUGUAGAAUCAAGGAUAUUCUGUAGAAGGAUAAUGUUGCUGCAAUCACCACUGCUGCCACUUUCUGAGACCACAAAAUCCGGUAGGGUUAGUAGGUCACUGGAGAUGCCUUCCUUUCAGAACAGUGACAUCCCUCCAACUGAAAGGUACUCAAGACGAUGCAUGUUUUUCAAUGUGUCAUGCAGCAUUUUCAGGCUCAACUCCUCACCAGAAUAAUCAGAGGAAUGCUGUGUAGAGGAGCUUGGAGCUUCAGAAUCUUUUCUUACAUCAAAUCCUGAUAAUGCUGAUAGGUUUAGGUACUCCAAAUUUACAAAUUUACCAAGAAAGCAGAUAAUUUUCAAAAUGCAAGGACAGCCAGAUAAAUUCAGAAAUCGGAGUUUAUUUAGUCUGGCACAAGAUUCAGAAAGAUCAAUAAGCCUCGCACAAUCAGAUAAAUCCAAAAUCUCCAGGUUCAGGCAGCCAUUGUUGCCCACACAAAAUUCAGGAAGUGCCUCAAGGCAAGUACAACCAGACAUAUUAAGAUAAAGAAGUCCCUUCAUUCUAUUGAAUGACAGGGUACGCAGUUGCUUAAGCUGGCAGCAGGAGGACAGAUUCAGAUGUUCCAAAUUUUUCAGUAGACUGAAAGAGUCUGGAAGCAUCUCAAGCUUUGAACAACAUGAUAAGUUCAAGAACGAAAGCUUUGGCAGCUCUCCAAAUUGUGAAGGUAGCUUUUGUAGGCUGGUACAACCUGAUAGAUCGAGGUGUUCCAAAUUUUCCAGUAGACUGAAAGAGUCUGGAAGCAUCUCAAGCUUUGAACAACAUGAUAAGUUCAAGAACGAAAGCUUUCGCAGCUCCCCAAAUCGUGAAGGUAGCUUUUGUAGUCUGGUACAUCCUGAUAGAUCAAGAUGUUCCAGGACUUGGAGUCUGUGAAUGGGACCUGGAAGUUCACUAAGAUUCGAGCAGCCAUGUAGAUCCAAAUAGUGAAGCUUCUGAAAGUCACAAAUGGAAGUGGAACUAUGGAGCUUUAAUUUUUCAGAAAAGGAGCUAUGGAGCUUUUUGAGGCUGGUAUUUUCUGAAAGAUUUAAAAACUGCAGGUGGUGCAAGUUUUGCAUAGAACUGGGUAGCUGGACAGUUUGCAUGCGUGGGAAGUCCAAUACACGCAGCCAUUUAGUUUCUGAAAAGGCACCCUUCGAAGGCUGACAUCCUGUGCAGCCACUAAAAUGAGCAGCCCUUGCUUUGAAAGGCGUAUCUUUGCAUUUUGGGUACUGACCUUUGAAAUUCAACAACAACGUGUAUCGAUAGUUGUCCUCUUUACCGAAGCUUCUUUGUUUGCCAUCACAGAUGGCAACUUCCUCAAUAGCAACUGACCUAGCAAGUUCAUGAACUAAAUCGUGCAUUUUGAAUAAUACAUUAUGCAUAUGAGGGUUAUUAAGCUUGGAGUAUCUUGCAGAAAUCUGAAAAGCAAAUUUGCAGGUCGAUUAGUAGUGCACUAGAUAUUUUUUUCAAGGACUCAACGGUAGGUCAAAAGAAAAAAAUAUAUAAAGAGCAUGCCAAUUUCACAUUUAGAAACGAGAUUGAUCAUUGCCACAUCAGCCGUCCCGCAUGGAGAUGCUAGAGCAGUCAAAGGGAGUGCAAAGGGUUUAAAAUUGCAACGAAUGAACAUUAUUUUCUCUCCAGUAGCAAUUGUGUCAAGACAACCAAGUUGACGUUUCUUCUAUCUGAAAUGAAAGAACACUGCCGAUUUAUUUAUUGCUAUAUCCAAUUUAUAGAAUGGAUAUACCAUUUAAUUGAUAUCUUUUCGUAAAAAUGAAACGCAUAAUAUGCAUCCACAUUUCAGCUUCGAAUUUUACUGGAUAGAGAUACAUGAUCUAGGCUAUUAAGUAGCGACUCAUAAAAGCUAAAUCUUGUAACCAAUGGUGGGUCAAUAAUGAUCAUUUUUGUAUAUAUGUAUCGACUGUUGUAAAAAAGUGAUUCGCUUUUCCUAUGCAGUAACCUUCUGCUCCUAAAGAAUGCCAGGAUUGUGUUUUAAUUAUUGCAAUUACUAUUCACUUAGUAACUUAACUCGCUGUCUUGGCAAUGUUGUAGAGCUUAUGCCAAAAAUACAGCUCAGCCCUUUUUGCUCAGAUUCCAUGACUUUAUGCAGAGAAAACUUGACUUAAAACAAAACUUAGGCUAUGUUACUAGUAAUUUGCAACCUCAGGGAGUUUACUUGUCAUGUUUAUUUGCUUGGUUGAUUUCAGUAAGCAUAAAACUGGCAACUUAAGAAAUAAUGUUCGUGUCGCUAUAUUUAUCUUUUAAAUAAUGUUGACUCAAAUAUUUAUAAGGUGUUAGAAUUGAGGAACCAAUACAACCAUGUCCGAAUGAUUCAUCGUAGGAUCACUCCAUGAAUUUUACACCUUGAUCAAUAUGCUUGUGCGAAAUGAAGUGGAUUAUUCAAAACUAGAAUCAAAGGAUUUAUGACUAUCUCAUUCUUCAAACCAAAGAUUAUAUUGAAUUAGUAGUAGAUAAACACCAUAUUCUGAAAUAAGAUUAAAAUACUAAUAAAUCAUGCGAGAAAUGACAGCACAACUCGAUACAAGGAAAAAAGUUAACUGUACCAAGCUUGGGUAUAUAAUAUAACUCACCGAGAUAGAGUCACUUGAAGCCUCCAGGAAUGACAUCUGACAAAGUUCUAGUAGGUAUUCCUCAGCACGAUGUGUGGUCAGAACAAAUCUCAGAGCAAUCCACUUAUGAAUCAGUUCUCUCUUCUCUAUGAUGAAGCCUUUUGGGAAGGCAGAAAAGUAUACAAAGCAAGGUCUCAGAUAAUAUGGCAUGUGGUAGUAACUAAUCUUCAAGGAUGGUAAUAUUAAAGUAGAUGUUGUUCCAGUCGUUGGAUCGCAUUCGUCUUCCCACAGGUCACUCUUCAGUGUUUCUUCCUACUUGUGCAUCGGCAUAUCUAGCAGACGAUCCCCAAGAGACUUGACUGCCAAAGGCACUCCACCGCAUUUCUUUACUAUUUUCUCCCCCAUAUGUACCUUUGCCAUUUCAGAUUCUUUAAUUCCAUUUGGAAAUGCCUUAGCUUUGAACAGCUUCCAGCAGUCAUCGUACGGCAAGGCACCCAACUUGAAUGGCAACUCACGAUUCAGCCGCUUAGCAACCUGUUCACUUCGAGUGGUCACAAUUAUCUUUCUGCCUGGUGCGCCACCUUUCAACAUCGCUUCUAUCUUUUCCAAUUGUCCUGUGUUUUCUUCCCAUAAGUCAUCUAAAACAAUAAGAUACUUCUUUCCACGGAGGAUCAUCUCCACGCGCAUCUGCACGGAGGACAGGUCAUACUGGUUACUCUGUCCAUCUACUUGGGAGAUAAUUGAUCGACCAAUCUUUUCAUCGCUAAAACUUGUGGAGACAUAAACCCAAAUCUGGAUAUCAAAAUCUCUCUUAGUUGUAUUGUCGUCAAAAACCAUUUGGGCGAGAGGUGGUUUUACCCAGACCACCAAAGCCAUAUAUAGGGAUGAUGAUGUGUUUGCAAUCUUCUUGCAGCAACUUCAUCAACUCUACCUUGUCCUUGUCCCUCCCAAGUAUACCUUCUACAAGGCAAGGGCCUGUAGCCCUUGUCUGGAUCACGUCCUGGUCGUCAGAGCUUGUGUCCACCAUCAAGUCGAACUGCCUCAGCUUUUCUAUGUCGUCCAAUCUUUGCUUCAUGGCCUUCAACUUGCUAGGCAUGUUUAGCCGCAACUUCAGAGGAAUGGAGAUCUCCUGCAAAUCCAUGUCGUGAAUUAGAAAAGGGACGAGAAAUGGAAAUGGACAUAUCGACAUCAAACACACUCGAGACCUACCGUUGUAGAUUUGUUAUUCUGAGAGCCAUCUUUAUUACUCAGGAUAUCACCUUCCAAUUCCAAUAAUAAUGUCCUCCAUGUCAUAGGCUGCUGCCUUUAGCUUCCUCAUCCAGACGCAGACGUCACCAUCUUUCAUCAGCCGCUUCUCCGCCCUAACCAUGCUAUUUUGGAUGGUAUCCACAGUAUCCUUGAGGCCUUUGAGCUCAUCACCUAGCUUCAGCUGCGAGGCGAUCGCCUCCCAGAUGGCACUACCUAGCAUGCCGCCGACCUUCUUCAAUGCGGCCGAGGCAAGAAACUCCCCUACCCCCACCAUGUGGCUGAAGGGGACGCCAAUCACACAGUGUGAUGAGUGCUUGACGUCAGGCCGGGUGAGGAACAGUCCCAAGAGAAAACUGGAGAAGACACAGCGAGAAAUUGUCAGAGUCUCUCUGUUUUUGACCUGAAAAUCACAACCCUUGCAGCAAACUCUGUAUCAAGGACAGGCAGGAAAUAUUUACAAGCAAGGAGGAAAAGGGCAAAUAUUUCAGUCAGAAUUGAGACAAAUAAUAGCACCCAAGGUGCGCUUUAGAUCGCACUCUGUUUCAAUUAAACUGACUCGAGAUGGAAACCCCAAUUCGGAUGCGAGGUGGAAGGAAAGAAAGGUGAUUAGUUCUCAGCUUUUACCGUGAGGGUGGUGUGUUGUGUCCAGCACCCGAUGGGAUGGCAGGUAACUAAGGCCCCGUUUGGGAGGGCUUCAGCUUCGGCUUCUCUACUGGCCGAAGCUUGAGCCCUACCAAAUGACGAGAUGGCGAAAGGCUUCGGCGGAGAAGCUCCGCGAAUCGCUCUGACUGAAGCUGAUUGAGGGAGCGGGAGCUAAAAAAAAUUGGCUCCCCGCGGCUUCUCGCGUCGUUGGACACCCUUGUGCUUCGAUGGGGCCCGCGGGUGGAGGUGGCUGGCGGUGGGCGCAGACGAGGCAUGAGGAUGGCGGCGCGGGAGCAGAAGUGGCCGGCUGCGGACAAGCCGCGACAGAGGACGGCCCAGGACGACCGGCGGCGGUGGGCACGGGGCGGAGGACGUCCGGCGGCGGCGGGCGCGGGGCAGAGGUGGCCGGCGGCGCGCGCUGGGGCGUGGGCGCGUGAAAAGGGGAGGCGGGGGCGCUAGGGACGUAUCUCAGAUGGCAGCGGUGAGAUUCAGCCGGGAGAAGGAGGCCGGGUCAGAUCUUUCACCGGGUGAGAGAGGGGCGCGGCGGAUGGAACGGUCGGUGGUGGUGGAUGGAACGGCGCGUCAGUGGAUGGAACAACGCGUCAGGGUGCCUGGGAAUCAGGGGGUGAGGAGGUGACGAUAGGGUUCGGGGCGCGAUCGAUCCUACCUCAACGUAUGCGUAAGUAGAAGAAUGCAGUGGCGAGAAAUGCGUACGCGAUGGAGAGGGCUAGAUCCAGAAGUAGCAAGUUGCCGAUUCGUAGAAGCGGAAUAAUAAGCUAGUGAUGAAACAAUGCGUUAUUAGCUCGCGUUACGUUGUUUAGGUCCAGAGAGGAGCAGCAAACUCCAUAGCUUAUAGUUUUAAUUUCUCAUUGUUUAUUGCGGCCGGUCUUUUGACAGUCUAGGGACACAGUCGUCGUAGAUCUCGGGAGCCCUGGUGGAAAACAGAUCAGCUUGCGGUUGUUUAUGUAGAGUCUCUCGAGACAAGGCAUGCAUGGCUAUACUCCCACUCACCAAGCCCAAACAGUGCCAGCUCUACUAGUUUAGUUAAUAAUGUUUUAAGUGACUUUUGCCUUUGCAGAAUAGCCCAUUCUACUACGGAGAGGCGACGAACAAGCUGACCAUGUACGUAGCUGCCUGCUUGUCGUCGACCACCACCGCAGAUUCUUCUCUUGCCAUGCAUGUACUCAGCAAAGGAGCGGACCACAUCGUCGUGCAUCUCCAGUUAUCCAGUUGCUCAGGCAGUCCAGCUACUGACCAUGCAGGACUUGUCAAAACAACAUUCCACUCACGCUCGCCUUGCGUAUCUUGUGCUUAAGAGCCCUCCAAUCGCUUUAAUUGCAAGUGGUAAUUAUGCCUUCACACUUCUCAAGAAUUUCCAUCCCAACGUUUUUUAGGCGGUCAGUGCCGACUACCUGCCAACAGUUAAUUAUUUAUUGGAUUAUUAUUUCUGACUACAGUAAGGUCGUCGCGGCACUACUUGCUUAAGUACAUUUUCUUACGUUCCUGUUGUAAAAAACAAUUGGUCAUCAUUUUUUUCAUCCCUUGCACAAAGCAUGAACAGACGAUCCAAUUUCAAAUGGGCUUUACAAGGAUUUUGCAUAAACCGCCACAAAAGUUGUAACGAUCUUACGUAAAUCCUGCAUUCCAAAUGGGGCCUAAACAUUUCAUUUGGGACCUUGGAAUGCAGACUAGAUUGUGUUCCAGUAGCUUGUAUCGUCUUUCAUAAUCACGUUGCCUUUUGUUUUAAAAGCAACAAUUUCAACUAAUAAUGCCAUAAGAUCAAAUUUGUCUACUCCAUCUCAUUUCAAAUAUAAUUCAGUCGAGCUUGUGCACAAGAAUUCAUAAGGUAGGUGGUGAAGUGACACUACUUGCUUAAGUACAUUUUCGGGCAAAAAAGAUUUGGCUACGUUCCUGUUGUAAAAUAAAACAAUUGGUUCACCCUCAGCAUCAGUUCAACAAUGGCCGACUCAUCAAACUCGGACGUCAUCUUCUGUAUAGAACUUGAACUUGAACCCGGACUCAACAGUUAGCAUCCUCGGCUCCGGAUUGAACUUGAACUCGAACCUGUCUGCCUCCUUGUGGAUGCCAUCAAGCCUCUGGUUGACGUCCCUGAUGCUGCUGCCUAUCUCGUGGGCGAACACGGGUUACGCAGGCAGAAGAGCAAUCGCUGGAAGAAAUCCUGCAUCUUUUCUAUGCUCCUGCACGUGAGGGUGAAGAUGGGGUUCCGUAGGCACAUCAACCUGCACUCAUCAGCCUUGAGUUGGCACAGGUCUAGGAUGUCUGUGUGGCAUCGUACAUGGCGUCCUUGAGCUUCCUCACCCAUCUUUGCACACUCUUGUCAGUGACGCGCACCUCCUCUCUGCAUCCGCGAGGAAAGCUUUGAGGCAUCCGGGAUGGCGGCCAUGGCUCCAGAGUACGAUCUAGCUAGUACACAAUACAUGAUCCCUCCGUUUCAGUGGGAUGAGCUCAACCGGAUCUCAAAGGAAUAUACUAUAAGGGUUGGGAUUCAACUCACACUCCUUUGCAACCAGAUAUGGGUUGAAGCGGGUCGAACCCAUCCUAACCCACUUUGACUCCAGAACCAAACACAUGAAAAAAGAUUGCACGAGGAAAAAGAAGGAAAGAGAAAUCGGCGACUCGUAGCAGGGAUGACUGUACGUUGAUUUGGUUGGUUCGGAGCUAAUGUCUUAGAAGAAAUAUCUCUGUAGGAUAAAGGAGAGAAAGUAUUUUUAUUGUGUCACGGCAGGAAUAGAGCAUUCGUCUAACGCGUUUGUCGUUGUCAAGAUUAGCGGAUCAAGACUUAGACUAGUAAAUUUCUUUUAUGCGCGUAAGGCUUCGGAUGGUGGCGUGGGAGACACGGGGUUUAGACUGGUUCGGGCAAGGGAAUGCCCUACGUCCAGUAUCGGGAGCUGCUCGUGUUGCCCACGCGGGGUUCUGUAGUAGGGGUUACAGGAGUGCGAGAGAGGGAGCUGAUCCCAGGUCUCUUGGGUGUACACUGAUGCUCUAGGUGGGUAUGAGUGUGUUUUGUGGCUUGGAGAACCUCCUUUGUCUCAGGCCCCCGGUUCUCCUUUUAUAGCGCAAGGAGGCCACCAAGGUUACAGGCGAGACCGGGUGUAUGGAGAAGUAAAAGAAAUAAACAAAGCUAGGUAAAAUACAACACAAGGGGAGGGACCAAGUCCCCAGGCCACCGGCAUCCUCGCCGGCCUUCGGCUCCUGCCGGCGCGUCUGCCGGAGGAGGGCGGCCGCCGUCACGUCCCGUCGAUGGUCUCCUCGGCGGCUGUCGCCGCCAGGCGUGAUGAUGGUGUUUUGUUGUGGCACCUGUGUCCGUUGGGGCAUUAACGAGUCAAAGUUAAUGCCCUCUCACCGUGUUAUCUUGUCUAAGUUUAAUUACAUAGUCAUGAAAUUGAUUAGAUUUUGUUAACUUAAUUGGCUUGUAAGCGGUAGGCAAGAUGUCUUUGGUGAUUGUGCUCUAGUCUUUUAUGUUGAUAGAUUGAGGUUAAUUCCCUCUCAUUCGUGUUGCCUUGUCUAAGUUCAAUACACUUAUCAAGACAAUUAUUAAGAUCUAUUAAUGUAUCUAGGUUGCGUAUAGUCAGCAUCGGCUGGUCCUUGUUGUUAUGUUCUAAUCUUUUAACUUAGUAGAUUGAUGCCAAUACCCUCUCAUUCUUGUUACCUUGUAUGAGUUCAAUACACUUGUCAAGAUAUUGGCUAGAUCUGUUAGCUUAUCUGAUAAGCAUGUGGUUAACAAGGACUCCCCUUUAUGGUUGUUGCGUUACAAUGCUUUGUCUUAGCGCGUCGGCUGAGAUAGCCGAUGGCACAUGCCAUUAAUGUUUUAUUUAUUUACACUGCAUGCUUACAUUAAAUAUCUAUCUGUCAUAGUGUUUAUUCCAAGAAUGCCUACCCAUGAGUUCGAAAGGCUUCGUCGCCGAUCGGCAAUGUUUACCUUGUCAAUUUUCAGGUCAAAUUGACUGACAGGCCUUGCACCAUUCGCGAGCUGAUUUGGAGCCUGCACUGGAGGUAAGCAGAUCUCCCAGAUCAUCCGUGUUGUUCAACGCAGAAGCCUGAAGUCCGGAUUUUGCAUCAACAGGUAUAGAGAAACAAAAGGAUCUAAGGAAAUAAAACAAAAGAAAAUUAAAGGGUAUUGAGCUACGCAGACAUAGCCAGAAUCAAAGAGGGUUUGGCUCUGAGCAACAGUAAGGAGAAUUCAGACAUAAAUUUUCUUUUACAAGCUUCGAUUAUAGGAUCAAUGUUACUGAAAAUCCGUUCGUUUCUAGUGGACCAUAUGCUCCAUAACAUUAAAAUGAUGACCUCCAUGAAGAACUGGACUUGAAGCUUGUCUUUGAUGAGCUUGAAAAUUUGAAGGAGGGGCCUUGUUGUUAUGACUGACACCCCUAUAGAGGCCCGUCAAGCCUUGGUAAAGUUACAUCUUAAGAACAUAUGGGCAACCAUUUCUAGCUUUUGAAGGAUUCACAAGUCACAAGUAUAAGAGUCUAGGAUCAUGUUUUUUCAUCUAAGAAACUCUCUUGUGCUUAAACGGUCCUUGAGACUAACCAGAAGAAUACCUCGUGUUUCAUUUGGCAUUUUGAACGUUUUGAUGUCCAAUGAUAACGGGAAGCGGCAAGACGGUGAUGUCUUGCAGUGUAGCAUUGUCAUUAGUUGACGGCCAAGAGCAGAAAAAAUUAUGAGAGAAGGAAUGAUAAUGAUUUAGCCAAGGUUGAGUGCCGAUGUGAUAUACAACAAGGGAGAACUAGGAAAUCGAUGUUUGUCAUGCACAUCCAUCCGUAGUAAGCUGAAUGAAGUGGUUGACUAGAGAGAAUGAUGUGCCCAGUAAGUGAUGCAUAUUCCAUGACCACGGUAUAGCUGGCAAAGAUCACAAAGGAGAACUCUAUCUUACUAUUACUAAUUGGAGGCUCCUUUUGAAGCCUCCAGGUGAAGCCACCUAGGAUUACUAGGUGGACACUCUAAAAAAAGAGAGAAAUCCUAGAAAUUCUCACAAAAAAGCAAAACAUCCAACCAUCAAUCUAUAGCUUCAAAUCAUCAUAGCCAUUGGAUCUAUUAUAUUUUCUAAAAAAUUACCCACCUAUGCCAUUAUGAAAAUAGUCUAAAGUAACCCCCUAAAUCUAUAUAUAAAUUACCCACCCCACCUCUGCCAUUAUAGAAAAUAAACUAAAGUAACCCCUAAUCUUAAUCAAAAUUACCCACUUAUGCCAUUGUAAAAAAUAUUUAAAAUAACCCCCUAAUUUGCGACUGAAUUGCCUACCACUAUUACUUAAAAAACUUAAAGUAACCCCUUAAAUUUGCAUCUAUAUUACCCACACAUGCUAUUAUUAAAAAUAACAUGAGGUAAUAACCCUACGUAAUGUACAACAAUAUAUGAUUCUAAAUUAUCUAUAUCUUGCACUAUUGGUAUACAAUAUAAUAAUUAAGAUCUAUACGUAUGAUGUGUGUCACCAUUUAUAAUUAAAGAUAUAAAAUGAUGGGAAUAUAGAUUUCUAUGCUAAAUUAAAGAUAUAAAGUGAUUGCAUAGAGUAAUUAUUAAUUAAAAAUUAAUCAAAACUGAAUAAAGAUAGGUACAUGUAUUAUGUUGAAGUAUUGAAAAAAUAAGAGAGUAGUAGGUAAACAAUUUUGAUCAUUAGCUAAGAGUUUAACUUCUAAAUAAUUUUCAAAUACAAUAGCUUCUAAAAAUAUUAGUCCGUGCGGGAGCACGGGUUGAUGGACUAGUAUGUAAAAUAAUAUGGGAACAUUUAUUUAUGGGGCUACAACCACCGGAUAUUGGUGAUCAAAGUAAAGAAAGGAGAUUGUCACACCCGGUUUUAAGGACAAAACCAAGUGCUACCUAUAUGUAUGCCAGGAUCAAGUUUCAUACAUAUAGUGACAUCAUAAGUGAAUAACAGCAACAGUAUCACGUAAAAAGAUACAAAUAAAGACUUACGAGACCAUCAGAGAUACACAGCUUAAAUACUGAAAACGGAGACUCCAAACUUCACAGGCAAUCGACUGGGGGUUGCGUACGCCUAGAACUCAGCAUCAUCUUCGGAACAUUUCACACACCUUCUUCUUCUGAGCAGCAGUAAGCAAGGGUGAGUACACUUAUGGUUGGUACUCAGCAAGGCCACAAGAAAUAACCAGAAUAACGAUUUGAGUCCAUCUUCAAGUUUAAUUAAUCAUGUGAGGGUCCAGGCCGCUCUUAACCGUGAGCACGGCUGAUCGAUCAGUUUUACACUCUGCAGAGGUGGCACAUCUUUACCCACAAGUCGCGUAAAAGUUCAAGGAACUUUGGACCCAACCAUGCGGUGCUAGCUAGGCACCAUACCACACUUCCGAGGUGUGAUUGCAUAGGGACGCUACGAGGCCUUUACAAAGAUUCGCUAGCAAUGUGGUAACCUGCUAAGGUUUCAGGUCGAAGCAGAACAUAGCAGUCCCCUAGUUGGUAUAGUGUCUUAGCAAAGCCCACUUCCCCCAAGAGCGAGUGCUAUAUCCCAUCAACGCCUCCCCUCUUGCCCUUUCGGUAAGAUCACCCCAGACUAGAGUUUCUAAUUAUUCAGCCAAGACCAGAGCCAUUUAGUCUUGUGGUAGCACUGUUUUCCUGGGUGGUUCUCCAUGUUCCGAUAACAUAAUCAUGAUAUUAUUAACAAAGCAUAGGUAGAAGGAUGGUUAGGGACACUUGCCUUUCUCCAACAGAAAGUUACUCUUACUGCUUUUCAGCUCUUGCUCUCUUGAAGCUCUUACUCUUCAAAACUUCCGAAUAGGGAUCCUUCUACUCAGAGCAAACAUCGGCACAAACAUGCAAGCAACAAACAAGUACAACUAAGAACAAUACACCAAAAUAAAAGGAAAGCUUUAAAAGAGCGUACUAAACGACAAGGCUCGAUCUAAGGUCACGCGAAUGUAAGGAACGCUUAAAACGGAACUAUGGUUGAAAAGAUAAAGCUAUCGAGCAUUUUAAAUUAUAAAAGAAAGAUGAGAGCUACAAGCUUCAUUUAUUUUAGUUGAGAAAAACAAUGUAAAGAUAUUUCACAGAAAUAUCCUUAGUUAGAAUUAAUCAAGUCAUAUUUAUAUUUUCAUAAGAAAAGACGGUGUAAAGCUUAGUCCAAUUUUAUUUAUAAAUAUUUAAGUAUAAUUUAUGCAAUUUAAACAUUUAAUAAAAAAAAUACAUGUAGACAUCUAAGCGUAUAGCUUUACAUUUCGACUUCAACUAAGUAGAUUAAAUUAAAAACAUAUUUAUAUUUAUAUUAGCCAAAUUAAUAUUUAAUUAUGAAAACUCGAGAUAUAACCUAUAUAUAUUUUAUUUAGAAAAAAAAUUAAAUAAACAUUAAUCAAAUUGAAUUUAAUUUAUGAAACACCAAGGUAUAACUCUAAGUGGCUUUUAAUUGAAAGAAUUAUUUGGACAGGCAUUAAUCAAUUUAAUAUAAAAUAUAUUUUCAAAAACAUGUGUGAAGGAAAACUUUACCACUAACGUGUAAUUUACAUCAUUAUGAAUCUAAUGCAACUUGAACGGACAAAAACGGAAUUAAAACGUAGAAUCUAUGGUUUAAACAAGGUUGUAGGGGUCUAAACAUAAUUAACCGUAUACUUGGAGGGUUAGCUGAGAAGAUUACCAAGACUCAGAGAAUAGUCACUGCGAAUAGAUGGAUCUUCGGGGUUAGAUCUGCAAAAGAGGAUGGCUUGGAUCAGAUUGCAAGGAACUGAAAGUUACAGGGGGUUUUCUACAAGGUUUGAAAGACACAAGAAAUAUGAACAAAAAUUAACAGAUUUUCCAGGGGCUAGAUCGAAAAGCAGCGCUUCAUCUUCUUCCUCACGCCAGGAGCAUGGUGCAGCUCCUGGCCGGCGGCCUGCCGGCGUUCUGGUGCGGCGGACGCCCGGGCGGGUGGUGCAGCGCGAUGCGCAGGGCAAGGAGGCGAUGGUGCGCGUGCAGGCAAUGGCACAAGCGAGCCGGAGGUGCUGGGCGAGCAGGAUGAACGGACCAGGCGUGCUGGCCCAAGUUGCGUACAGAAACACAGAAACAGGAGGGAAAGAGAGAAGGAGGGGGUAGCCGGAAACGAAAUCCGAUCUCGCGCAUGAACGGCAAAAUGGAACGAUAUUGAUGAGACGAACAAGAUGGUGUGCUCACCUUCGGCCAGAGACGAACAAUGGCGGCGGAAAAGCUCGCCGGAGUUGGGGAAGACGACGGAGCCGACAUCGGAUUCAUGCAAUUCACCACACCACGGCGUAGAGCUCGAAGAGAGGAACUCCAUGGUGGUGUCGGUUUUCGCCGGAAGUCCACGGUUUCGCCGGAAAAGCUCGCCGGAGUUUGACGAAGACCGAACUUUGACUUCACAUCUACGGAGUUAGGAGAUGCAACUCGUGAAAAGGUUUGCAGAUCUGAAAUCCUCGCGUCGAGACGAACGCGGUGAUAUAUAUAUAGGCCACACUCGGAAAAAGAUAUUUUCGAGUUGACUUUUUAUUUUCGGAAUUUCUGAUUUUAUUUAUCUGCGCGAAAACAAUUCCAGAAAUAGCUGGACUCGUUUUCUAAAGCGAGAAAAAUACCUAGAAAAUUCCGAAAAAUCUGAGAUAAAUCUCAGAGAUGGAUUGGGAUACAAAGAAUCCAAAUAAAAUACUUGGAGCUCGUGAAAAGGAUUCUAAAGCCUUCCAAAAAUUGGAUUUAGCUCUAGGAAAAGGAGAAUAAUUUUCAGAAAAAGAUGGAAAAAAUCCUCACAAGGGUCUGGGCAACGUCUAAACGCAUUUUUCAAACUUUUACACUCAAGAAACACCAAGAUGCAGUGACAUGAAUGCACAGACAUAGAACAACAUUAUUUAAUUUAGAAAAGCAAACAAUUAGUUUCCUAUACUAAAUUUCCUGUAAAGAAAAAUAAAUGUUGGGAAAAUUUUAAAAUGAUGAGAAAAUUAUUGUUUAUUUAUUCUUUUUAUUCACAUCCUGAAAUUUGGAAAUUUCAGGGUGUGACAGAGAUGAUUACUUCUGGUGCUAUACAUUGAAUCACUAACCUUAAUCAUGCAUUGUACCUCAAACUCUCAAGCAAAAAUUUACAUCACCAGCCAAAAUAAAUGUCAUAUUCAUGUUAAAUAUAUAUAUAUAUAUAUAUAUAUAUUAUUGUCAGUACGCACCAAAAAGUGUGUGUGUGUGUGUAAAAGGUACUCCCUUUUCUCUCCUAUCAUGUUCAAAAAAUACAGAAUAUAAUGAUGGAAAAAAGCAUAGACGACACUUUGGUCUGGGCCAUUAGGACAAAAACAAUUACAAGGAUAUGACUAAACAAAACUAUUUGCAUCCAUUUAUUUAUAAAUAAACAUCCAAAAGUAGGUUAAAAAAUAGUACCCACCCUAUUUGUGCGGGCCACAUUGCUAGUUUGACUCACAAGACUGAUCAUUUAUAGCAUGGGGAGAUGGAAAGGGAGAAGAACACAGCGCUUUUAUAUUCCCCAGCAUGCAGCUGGCAAGAUUGUGGAUGAGCAUGACCAUCACGAGCUGGUUAAUAGCCAUGGGAUCGACGACGAACCUGGUUCCUCCAGCCUCAAAAUGGGUUUUACGAUUUCUCCGGACCAUUUGGCAAGCUCGCUCUCCAAGUGUUGCUUGAGGCCGUCAUCAUAGGGACUGCUAAGCCAGACUUCCACCAGACCUUUUAUCUUCUGUAGGCCAGAGAACCGCAGUGCUGACACACACCUGCAGCGAAUCCUCAGCACCUUAAGAUAAAAGUCAUCGUGAAACGUUAUUGUAGCUGGCAACCUGGCGUCAUAAGAGAUCUCGAGGAAGGAUAAGAUGACAGGAUUUUGUCUACCAAAAUGGAGGUCAUGAAACUCUGACAAAAAAAGACGUGUAUUCUCCGGCCAACCAGGACUGUCAACGAGAUCUUGCUGCAACAUAAUCAUCUGUAAACUCAAUUUUGUGAGAUUCUUAAGCUUUUUGGUCCAUACUGGUAACUUGCUUACCAGCCCGUAUAACUUAAGACUCCGUAGGUUCACUAGAUGUUCGAAAGAGAUGCCGUCCAUGGUGCCAGCUUCAUCGUCCUCAUCGACCUGCAUUCUCAAUGACAACGAUUCCAGAUGGGCAAGACCUGAGAUGGCUGAAAAAAGCUUCCAGAUGUUGUCCCGGUUAAUGCCUGACACUCCAAGUUUGUGCAACUGAGUAAGCUUCUUGAGCUCCUCUAGAAUGGCGUCCCCUUUUCCAGUGCCAAUAUCAACGUCACCCAGCGUGUGCAAGUUAGAAAGUUUCCCAAUACCUCUGGGCACCUUCACGCAAUUAUGAGAGCCAUCGUCGAGAUGGUGGUAUCUGCUCAACUUGGACAACAAGCAGGACCCCAGCUGAGUAGCACAUGGCCAGCUCAUUGGCGUUGCGGUUAGUGAUGGGUUCUCUGCUGCUUCUGUAGCUUGAUGAUGCUUGGUGGUACCAGCACGAAUGUACUGCAGUUUCUCCAGCUUGAUGAUGCUCUCUGGUAGCUUCAUCACAGAUGUUUCCCUGAUAUCCAGAGUUUGGAGGUGCUUCAGAUCGCCCAGGGAAUCUGGCAGAUGAGUGAUUUCUCGGCACCUUCUCAGGGAAAGGAACUUCAAGCAGGGCAGCAGCUUCACCAUCUGCUCGACGUCACCAUUUGUUACACCUGAAGACACGUCCUCCAGAUCAAGCACACGGAGCAGCCUCAUCUUUUCAGAGAUGAAGAACGAUUUCCACUCACCAAACACUGUCAAAGAUCGCAGCCGGGAAAAGUCAAUGCUCUUAAACACAUUUCUGUCUCUGUCCCAGCUUCGAUCUAUGGCAAGGUGACGUCCCGUGCGAUGGAAGUUCUUUUCGCAAUGGCCCUCUAGUGCAAAGACAAGAUUAUCUUCCAUCGACUGUGAUAUGAUGUAUUCACGGAAGAAACCAUUAACUUGGCACAAUGGCAUCCUCUUGGAUUGCUGAACUGAUGCUGCUGUUGUUUCUGUUGUUCGUGGCACCUGGACCAUGCUUAGACUGACGAGCUUGGAAAAGGAUAUCUCCCCGUUUUUCUCUGCGGUGUUUUCUUUACUGUCUCUAGAGUAUCCCUCCGCGAUCCACCGUCUCACCAAACGCCUCCGCCGGAUCGUGUGGUUCAGAGGGAAGAUUGACAGGUAGAAUAUACAUGGCUUGAGGAUAUCUGGGCAGGAACGGAAGUAGGAAAGCAACCAGGCAAACAGAUCUUCUAGGCUUGGUUUGUCCUUCAACGCAGACACAAGGUUAUCUUUUCUGAGAAAAUCCCAAAAGAAAUUGCGUCGCGAUCAUCACCAGCUAUAGCGCAUAUAACUUUGGGAAGUCCACCACACUUGUGCAAGAUUUGCAUUUUGUCCUCGGUCCCUUGUCUCUGAAGGUUAUAUCUCUGAGAAACAUAUUGUCCAAAUGAUAUAUAUAUAUAUAUAUAUAUAUAUGAAUAAAUUUAUUUAUUACCAAAAAAAGAUAACCAUAACGAUGGCAUAAAAAAGAGUGUAAAAUUUCUCUUAAAAAAAAACCAAAAACAUCCCGCCCUGAGAUAUUAUGCAGCUACCAUGCAAAUUUGGCAUGUAUAGAUUACUGCAUACUACAAGGUCAGUCUUGAAUUGGAUUUUGAAAAUAGACUAUUUGCUGGAUUAGGUACAUUUGUUAGUUACACCUUCCAAUAAAAAUGGACUAUUAAUUUGACGCAAUACAUUUAUGAGACAAACCUUUUUCAAGAUAAAUGCUAAAGUUAACUGUUGAAUCUAGCCGUGCCCUACAAAUGCACGGGCCACCCCACUUGUUAUUUCUAAAUGAUAUAAGUUUGAUGCUGACAUUGUGCGUUUUUGUUGAUGUCUAAGCACAUGGACAACAUUGUAAGUAAUAUGAUUUAAUUAGGAUAAAUAAGCUGUGAUGUGGUCUAAGACGAAGAGGGAACAUAUGUUGUUAUGACAAGUAUCAAGUCGUUCUCCAGAGUCCAAAAAGUAAAAUAUGACCUUCAUUCCUACCUUGAUCCCAAAUAUCAGCCUAUUUCAAUUAUGUAUAAGAAUUUAGGUGGUCUACCCAUCACUUAUUGUUGCAAACAGUAAGGUAGUUGGAAUGUCUAUUUCAUUCAAUAAGCACAACUAUAUAGGGGCAAAAUAGGAAAGGGUGGGGUCAAAUAGAGCUGCCACGAUGUUUGCUGCUGGACAUGUAAAUAUGGCAUAUAUAAGAUGCCAUGCAAGAACGUUUAGUCUACAUGACAGUGACUAAACGAAGAGAGAGAGCAAAACUAUCUCUUCACCAAGAAAUGGAUUUGGCACAUGAUAUGAUGACCAGCACAAUUGACAAUGUUAUAUAAACAAUGCUCUACCAUUGUAUAUCUCGUCUAUGUGUCAUCAUUAAUUAGUAUAUAAUUGUUGAGAAACGAUGACAUAAUAAAAAAAUCUCAUUAUAUGAGCUAUUUAUAUUACUGUCUUUAUGUGACAUGACAAAAACUUUUAGAUGGUUGUUGUCUAACGGUUGUACAUGCCCUAAUUGUUGAGGUAAUAGAUAUGCUAGAUGGACUUCUAUUGGGGAUAAUAUAGUUCUCCAUUUUUAUUAAAGAUUUUCUUGGUUUAGAAAGUGCUUGCAUGAAGCUAACUAAACAAGGAAUUUUGUGCAUAAGAUGUUAAAUCUAAUUCAAAGAUGGAACUCAUUGGUAUACUGAAGGAAUUAUUAGAAUUGCGGAAUGCUUAUUGCGAGUAAACGGACCUCUGCGAUGAGUUCAAAGGCGCUGUCAACUCCGAGACCUUUGACAUUCCACACAUUCUUGCUGUUUGUUGCGCAGUAUUGUGCGACACAUUCUUCAUUGGUAAUGACAAAUAUAUCCAAGCCGAAUUUUUUGGUUCCUAGUUUCAAGGCAGCUUCUAUCAUGUCCCAUUCUUCUGUAGAUUGCAGACCGUCGAUAACAAUUGUGCAUCCAAAUUGUUCAUGUAGAUAUUCACGGCACUCUUGAAUUAGGUCUUUCAUCGUUGACAUCUGGCGGUCAUGGAGAUAUCCAGGAUUCAAAUCCAAAAGUAAGCGCCAUGACAAGUCCAUCAAAUCGAAUGGAUGGGAUACAUUCACCCAACCGAACUUGAUAUAAGGAUCUUCAAUCCGCAUCUCGUAGCAGAGAUGUUUGACAAGAAAUGAUUUGCCAACACCAGACAUCCCCCACACAGAGGACACAGGCCCAGUACGACGAGACCUGCGCAUAGAGAAACAAAGUAAAUCCGCCUCUUGGCCAACAAGUGGAUGUUUGUCCAGCCAUUCACGAGCAGUUUCCCGCAAGUCCGCCACGGUUUGCUCAACUUUUCCGGGCGCAUCCUGCAAAGAAUUGGAAAGAGCAUUGUCAAUUGGGUUUAUUUAUUGUGUCAAAAUUACAUCCUUGUAGAAGACAACAUACAUGCUCCGAGUGAAGUAAAAUGCAUCCAACAAAGACAAACAUACACGCGUGCAGUAUUAUGCUUUAUUUGUAGCAUCCAUGCAGCAAAAGGUUAAGAAGCAUGAAUCAGUUUUAUAUCACCUGGGCAAAAUGAUCUGAGUAUUCAAUAACACACUUUGACUAUCAAUAUAUAUCAUAUAUUAUAAUACUCAUGACCAUAAAAUUGGCAUCAUAUGAAAGUGCUUUCAAAUUGGAAUGAUAUGAUAAAAGUUUGUACGGUAUAAAAUUUACAAAUCCUUGAUAAUCCAUUGAUACCAUGUUGUAUAGUUAGAAAAUUUGAAUGUUGGAUCUUCGAAACACCCAGUGUUCGAUAGGCACAUCCUUCUAGAUAAACCAUUCUUUACUUUAGAGGUCAAAUCAAAAUGUUGGAUAAUUCUGCGAUCCACAAAUUAAUCACCUAUGUACAACCAUGCCAUAUACUACACGAUGCUAACCGCAAUUUGUGGUUGCCUGAACACUUGCGUCUCAGUCCCACAGACCAUCCGUUGCUUCCACAGUUUAACCUAGAGUAAUCACCGCCAUCCGCAGCUUGUUCAGUACCCCUUUCAUAGUUUUUUCUUUUGCGGAAUUCAUAGUUCUUCCUCGUGAUCCUAUAAUUUAACUGUUUUGAAUUUCUCAACCCCUAUGCAUCAACUAUUUACAAACGCAAAAUGAUGAAAAAUAAUAAUGGCAUAAUUGGCAUGUAAACUAAGUUUUGUAGAAUUACAUUAUGAAGCACAAGUCAGGAAUGUGAUAACAGUCAAAUACGUGCAUUGCAGACCACGUUGAUGCAAAAAUGUAAUGGAAGUAGAAGAGCGAGUAUAUCAUUUUAUUGGAAAUAAUUGAGCAUACCUCCUCGACAAGGGCAUAGACAGAGUGAUGAGCCGAGAUUUUUUCAAGCUCCAAUAGUCGGUGUGGAUGCCUGACACAAAGGCUUGCAACUUCAAACUGAUGCGUGCUGACGAUGAUGCAGCUGCCGUUCUUGUUGUCUGGCAGGUAAGCCCUUACCGCCUCCCAGUCAUCCAUGGUGGUCACGUCUUCAAGGACAACAAGGUAAUUUUGACGGCACAUUUGCUUCAUGAAUUCGUUGAUCAGAACGCCUUCUGUGGCCACCGUCAUCUUCACAACAAAAUCUACGGUAGCGCUUUCUUGUGGACUAUAGCUUCUGCAAAAUUGGGCCACCAAGCGCCUGAUAAAUUCCCGGGCAUUGAAAGGAUGCAUCAGCUUCACCCAGGCGCGGCAUCUGAAGUUGGUGCAGAUUUGUGUGUCUUCAUAGGCCUUCUUGAUGACGGACGCCAUCCCAACUGUUCCUAACAACGAGAUCACUUGAAGGGCAUGGUCACCUUUCCCGCUGAUCAACUUGACGAGUGCCACAGGUGGCCAGAUGGGCUCCCUGGCGGCUUCCCUCGCUGUGGCGGAACGAGGGAGGAUGUUUGAUGCUGUUGCGCUGGCCGCACCCUGCUGAUGCGUCUGCUCGGCAGGCUUGGAGCCAGGGUUACCGGUGUGGUUGUAGCGCAGGUUCCGCUGACCCAUGGCCUCGACCCUAGCCUUGAGUAGCUCUAUACCAGCGACAGCGUUGUCCAAGGCCACGGCCGGCGCCGCCGCUGGUACCCAGGAGGGGAGCAUGCGGCGCCACCAGCUCGAUUUGUUGUCCAGGUAGAGAAUGGAGUCAAUGCAGUCCUCCACGUCCAGGGCCAUGUCGCGGACCUGCCUCACGCAAGUCGUCGUCAUAUCGUCCGCGACACGAUCCUUGGCAACGUUGAGGAAGGAAUGCAUCAUCUCGAACUCGUCCGAGACAAGCAUAAGGUCACGCUGAACGCUCUUCUGCAGCUGCUUCUCCUCCUCAAUAGCGGACUUGGCAAUAUUCACCGUCUCCUUGACCGCCGACUUCGCCAAACCCAGCACAAGGUCCGCCAUUGCACUCCCGUUCACUCUUCGAUCUGUGUGAGGGGAGGUGGGUGGGUGGGUGGGUGGUGUACAAGAUAGAACCUGGUGACGAUGCUUGCAAAUAUAUAUUAUGCUUCAAAAUCAUGCAUGACAUCGGCUGCAAGACAGAAAAUUUGCACAUUAUAAAACAAGAGUGUCGCAGUAAAAGAAGCCAGUUAGAUUCCCUAAUUAAAUUAACAGUGGGCUUUCCCUUAUGGUCUUAUUUUUAGGGCUAAAAGUUGCUUAUUUGGAGGAACUAACCUCAAUCCUACCUGUUUGGUUCCAUGAGCAAAACAACAUUUAAUAAGGUGAAGAAUGAUUUGUUUACCUCUAAUCAUUGCGACGCGUGGGGGGAGAGAGAGGAAUCAGAUAGGCAUUGAAUGAGAGCAAUGGGUGUCCAGUGCACCUUUUAGUCCAAAUAAGCAACCCAAAAUUACCUUAUGGACUAAACUUUAAAAGCUAAACUUUAACUUAAAUAAGCAAGGAUGUUCGGCUCUUUAUUUGGUACUAUAAAAGGGACUAAAAUUUAAUCUCUAAAGUUUAGCAAGGGUACAGCCCCUUAAUCUUCGCCGGCCAAGCACUUAAAUUAAGCUAGGUCAGACAGCUGAUGCAUCGAACGCAGCAGCAGUGAAAAACAAAUAAAGGCCAGUGUGCUCUGUAAGAAAUAUAAACCAAUAAAAUACAUCUUGGCAGAAUGGGGUCAAGUGGGUCUAUAGUCUAUUCUUGUGGCAGUAAGCUGAUCCUUUAUAAUACCGCUGGAUCGGAUCUCGAUCUCCUUGAUUAGCGCUCCACUAGCCCACUAAUGCUUGUCUCGUACUCCAACCACCGAUACCCAGCCCAAAAACUAUGCAUCGGGGAUUCACUUAACUUUUUAUUAUUUCGAGGUCUAAUUAAUAACACUGUUUGGAUUACGUAUGGGUUGCCUGCUGCUGGUAAAUACAUCUAUUUAUCUUUCAGCAAAAGCAUGCCUGCUGGGAAAUAUUAGUUCUGAAAUCUGAGCGCAUACCAGCUGUCAGUUAACAUAUUGUCUGUCAGCAAAUCCCUGCCAGAGCUUACGAUAAGUGGUCCGUCAGCAGACGUCAUCCCCCAACGGAUAAAGUACCCCAUAUUGCCUUCUUCAAGUUUCAUGAUGAAUGCAAUUCUCACACCUUGAAAUUUUUGGAUCUCACGAGGUGAUUAGGAGGAAUAAUUAAACAAUCAUUUUCUCGUAAUUUUAAAAUUUUUCAACAUUUGUUUCUUGACAGAAAAUUUAGUGUAGGAAUAUAAUUGGUUGUGUUUCCUAAACUAAAUGAGGUUGUUCUAUGUGUGUGCAUUCAUGCCCAUGCAUCUUGGUGUUUAUUGAGUGCAAAGGUUUUAAAAUGCCUCUAGACGACGACAAGGUUCUUCUGAGAAUUUACCAGUUUUUUCUGGAAAUUAUUCUCAUUUUCCUAGAGCUAAAUUCUUUUCACGAGCUUCAGUUAUUUUAUUUAGACUCCUCGUGUCCCAAACUAUCUCUAGGAAUUUUUCUGGAAUUUUUAGGAUUUUCAGAGUAUUUUUUGUGGGUUUUAUUGAAUUAUCUGGAUUUUCCUUUAUACGGGAAAUUACUUCUGAAAAGAAAAAGAAAAGAAAACCUCAACCUACCCUUUUGGGUUAAGCCCGCACCCACAAGCUCUACCAUGGCCCAACUCUCCUUCCCACCCUCGGGCCUCAUUGGCUCAGCCCAGUCCAGGCCCGACCAGCCCAGCCAGGCCCAACCGGGACCAUCUGCUCUACAGCUCUCUCCCAAGCUGCACAGGCAAGCAACGCCACCACCAAACCUUUUUGGUGUGUGUGCCACGCCAGGCGCAACCACCGGCGCCCUAUCAAUAGCGAAGCCCGACCCCCGCACGCCACUGCCAUCCUCGCAAGCCACCCUGCCUCGCCUGUGCUGCACCGCCGCCUUGCAAGCCCGCCAGCCGAGUCGGGCACCGCCACCGACUUUCCACUCGAUUCACCAGCUCCGCUGCCCGCCGGACGAAGCCGGCCCCUUCUAGAGCUUCGGGACGUCGUACAACGGUAGAAGCACCAUCGGUGUAGCCUGGGAGGAUGAGCCACAGCGACGGCUGCGUUCUCUCACCGUAUUAACUCACGUACACGUAAGAUGAACUAGCUUUGCUGGCGGUAUACAGACGCCCUCGCAACCACCGUGUACGUGCCCUAAUCUGUCCUGAAAAUUCUAGAAUGCCUUAUAUUAGGAUAGAGGGACAGAGGUGGUACUCUUCAAAUAUCUAGCCCAAAAACCAUGUCAAGAACUUACAACAUGCCUAUAAAUACCCGACUCAAUUCAUUGCAUGCUGCGACACUCCUACCUUUUGCCUUUUUCUUAACAAAUCCUUGCAAUGUAAAUAUAAAUCAUAAGCAAAUCAAAUCAAUCGAAAUUUUUUAUAUAUCGUUUCUUUGUAAAUAGCCACACCAAGAACAAUGUCUUGUAGUCUGAACAGACGAAAAUGGUGGAUGCCUUGGCUUGCUCAGGUGGCUUCUCAAACUUGUAGUCUUAAUUGAUGAAAAUGGUAAUUGCUUUGACUUGCUCGGGUGUUUUUUUGAGCCCUGGCAACCUGCCAAUUGCCUCACCAAACAAGUUGAUAGCUAGAGUUGCCCAAGCUCAAAAAGAUUAUUGUUCUUUUCUCCUUCAAUAAUGAUUUUGCUCCCAUGUUUUGUGAAGCGCUUUCCACGAUUGUUUUCACAACAUGUUCCAUACUUAUAGCUCAAUGCAAUGCAAAAGCAUCCACAUAUUCCAAUAUUAAUUCACUGGUAUGUGGAAUAUCCAACACCUUCUUGGAUUCUAAAAAUUUUGUGCCCAAGUAUCAAUAUCAGGUGCAACAUUUUCGUGUCAGUUUACCUGUCCGCAUUGCUUCACAUAUCCGUACCUUGUCAAGAAAGGUCUAUUUUCCUGACAGAGAUUUCAUUACCGUCAGUGCAAUGUGACCUUCCACAAUAGCCUGUUGCCGCUUGGUGUCCAUUGUGCUGCCACGGACGGAGUGAUCCCUUUUACAGUUUCUUUCUUUUGUUUUCUGUGGAGGACUUGAGAAGAGUCCGGUUUUCUAGAGAAUACUUUGUGCAAAUGAACAGAAGUAAUGUUCCUCCCUUCUAUACGAAGUUCACGUUAGGUGAGUACUCGAUCAUGUUAUUAAUUUAAUACUAGAUACUCCUCGCUCCAUAUGGUUGCGUGAGUCCGCGAAACUUGCUGACAUUGGCUUCUAGAGCGAGGAAAUAUGUUAACAGGAAUGAGAAUAUAUAACAAGCAGCUCGUACAACUAAGUGCGCGCCUUAUCACCUAAUCACCUAGCCAAGCAUCUAAUCACGUGGGGUACCUUUUUUUAUUUGUCUCCUCUUUGAGUAUCCUAUGCUUGACUUGAACCUAGUCUUGCGUAACCAAUCCAUCUUCUCCCGGGUUACUUUACAAGUUUUGAACUGAAUCAACAUAAGGGGCCUCUCAUAUCAGAACCUCGCUUUGCUCCCUUUCGUUGUGUUCUCCCAGCUAGGAUCCCUCAACUGUUUUUCUCGGCCCCGAGGUUAGUACCUUUAAUCAAGAAGCUGGUGUUUUUUCUGUUCCACAAACAGUUAAACAUAUCUAUGUAUAUUUUGUAAUUAUGUCUAGUUGUAAUACAACUGUUUUGUUUGGAUAAAAGAUCUAGUUGUAACGAUAUGAGUUGUAGCAGCUUAAAUCUAUAUCUAAAAUCAUCAGAAAUGGACACUGGUUCGAGCACGCCAAGCCUGCUGAGUACAGUGCCGAAGGAUCUAUCAGCAGCAUUCCUGCGUGAUAUUACGGAUGGUUUUUCCACUGACAGAGAAAUAGGACAAGGGGCGUUUGGAACAGUUUAUAAGGUAUGUUUACGACCUUUUCUGCGUUUUUCAGAAACUGGUAGGCAUGCCAAUAUAUAGUAUAUGGACGGUUAAACAGGGAAUCCUCCCAGAAGGGGAUUGUAUUGCUGUGAAGAAGCUUGUGGAUGAGGACAUAUAUGACAAACAAUUUCAAAAUGAGAUUACGCAUCUUAUGAAUGUCUGUCAUGAAAAUAUUGUGAGGAUAGUUGGCUUCUGCCAAGAACGUGAAAAGAAAGUUGUGGAGCAUAAUCGAAGAUAUAUUAUUGUAGACUCAGUUGAAAGAUUUAUCUGCUAUGAGUAUUUACCAAAUGGGAGCAUUGAUAAGUGUAUAUUUGGUACGGUAAUUUUUUAUCUUUUCUUUCUUUCUUCACUCAUACUUUUUAAUUUGGAGUGUGGAUAUCAAUUGUUAUAUAUUACUUCAGUUUCCUGCACUAAAAUAUUAUUCUCUCCAUCCCAAAUUACUAUUGCUUUUGUUUUUUCUAGAUAUAUAGUUUUUAUAUGCACCUAGAUAUAUAUUAUCUCUAGGUACAUAGAAAAUGUUAUGUAUCUAGAAAAGUCAAAAUGAAUAGUAAUUUGGGACGGAGGGAGUAUGAUGGAACUGAUUAUGGUUCAGGCUAUGAACAUACGCUUUCUAGUCACUAUGUUAUGAAAAUUGAUGUUUUGGAGGUCCUUAUACCAGAUUACUCAUAGAGGAUCUAUCCUUUUUUCUUUCUUCAGAUGAUACACUUAAUUGGGCUACACGCUUCAAAAUUAUUAAGGGGAUCUGCCAAGGUUUACAUUUCCUACAUGAGGGAAUGGAAACACCUACAAUUCAUAUGUCUCUUCAGCCUGCCAAUGUAUUGUUGGAUGAUAGAAAGGUGCCUAAAAUUACAGAUUUUGGUUCGUCGAGAGUCUUUGGUCGUGCUGAUAAAUCAAUGAUGAUCACACAAAACCCUGUGGGAGUAAUGUAAGUUUAAUUCAGAUAGUGCAAUAAGAGUACUUUCCCAUCAAGUAACAAUGCUUACGAAACUCUUGUUGGUAAUGUCAUUCAGUGGAUACAUGGCUCCAGAAUAUCUUUAUAGAGGUGAAAUCUCAACCCAAGCAGACAUAUAUAGCCUAGGCUUAAUGAUAAUCGAGAUCACAACUAGGAAGAAGAAUUAUUCAGACGAUCGAGACAAGUCUGCCCAGAGAUUUAUUGAUGAAGUAAGGCAGUGUUGAUGAUUAGUUGAUUACAAAAUAAUUUUCAUAGAAGCAUGUGUUACAUUUAUUUCGUGUAUCCGUUUUUACAAAAGAUAUAUUUUUAUUUUUAUUUCGUGGUUUAUUAGUGAGUAUUAUGAGUUGAGUUAUGUAGGUGCGCCAGACAUGGACGGAUGAUGUGUACAUUUUAUCCAAAUACUCCCAAUUGGAUGCAGGCUUACUGCAAGAAGUAAAGGCAUGCAUUCAAACUGGGCUUAAGUGUGUGGAUAUUGAUCGCAAGAGAAGACCUUCCAUAUCUGAAAUUGUUAGACUGCUCAAUGCUGCAUGGUAAACGGUGGACGAGGUAUGACUAGGAAUAGCAUACAUUCCCUCUGGUCUUUGCACAUACUUACCAAAUUUUACUUUGCACAUAUAUAUUUAAAGUCCUUAAUAUUUAUGGGAUUUUGCAAGUGUUGCUCAAUACAAUUCCACAAAUACAACUUGCAUGCUUUCAAACUUAAUAAUGUAAAAGUUAUUGAUGUUUUUAAUUUUUAAUCUUUGACAAAACCUUGUCCUAAACAACAUGUUUUUUAUGACUGGAGUUACGGGGUGUUUGGAUACGAGGUGUUAAACUUUAACAGUGUCACAUCGGAUGUUCGGAUACUAAUUAAGAGAACUAAACAUGAGCUAAUUAUAAAACUAAUUGCAGAACCCUGUGCUAAUUCGCGAGACGAAUCUAUUAAGCCUAAUUAAUCCAUCAUUAGCAAAUGGUUACUGUAGCACCACAUUAUCAAAUCAUGGACUAAUUAGGCUUAAUAGAUUCAUCUCGCGAAUUACACUCUAUCUGUGCAAUUAGUUUUGUAAUUAGCCUAUAUUUAAUACUCCUAAUUAGCAUCUAAACAUCCGAUGUGACGGGUGUUAAACUUUAACACCUGGUUCCAAAUAGGCCCUUAGUAUAUGAUCACUAAUAGUUUUCUUAGUUUUUUGAGAGGAGAGGAGUUUUCAUAGUUUUACAUGCAACAACUACAUAUGAUCACUAUUAGUGGAAUCUUGUACUUCUAUAUAUGGCAAACUGAUCAGGUGAUCUUAACAUGCUAUCUCAAACUACAGGUCUACAUAUAUACCGUGUUCGCAUCAUGAAUAAAAGUUGUCAUUGUGGAGAAGACAUGGCCAAGAUGAAAUAAAGCAUGCUCUAUUAUUUCUAGAAGACCUGAACUUUUCUAUCACAACUAAGAUUCCUUUGAUGUAAUUUCAUUGUGGAAGCUACAUUUACUCCUCUUUUGGAGAUUGACACUCCAAAAGUGAUUUUCGAAGACACCCCAUUUACGGCACAGGUGGUCCACAAGGGAAUACGCUAGGGUCCUCAGUCAUGGAAAGCCUAUAGAAAUGAGUUUCCAGAGAAUGUUGGUUCAGCCGAUCAUGUCUGAAAAAGGUUGCUGACUUAAGUGACUGCGUUAGGAAAUCCCCAUUACUAGACGUAGACACUUAAGCUGAUGGACUAGAAAUUGAUUUCAAGAGAUGGUUCCUCAAUUUGGGCUGCCUCUAGAAACUGUUUUCCACAAGAGGCAAAAGAAAAGGUCAUCCCAUUUCCGUUAUCAAUAGGUUUGUGGUGGGAUGGCAAGGGGGGAUGUUGUUGUGGGUUUAAAGGUUGACACCCCCCCCCACACACACACACACAUUUCACGCAAAAAAUUGCAUGUGUGGUGCAGCUCAAUGGUUUUUACAAAUCUUUUUGUAGUUUUUCCAUGCCCAAUGUUAUCGUAGACAGACCGACAUAACCAAUGUCAUGUGGAAAUGCAUUUUUAGAGGUAAUUAAUUCCAGAGGUAGUGAACUUAGGGAACUUCCUCUAAAAAUGUCUUUUCUUAAUACGAUUGAUUGUCCACCUAUGAAAAUGCACCAUUUCCAUAUGCGAUGUCACACCUGGUUUUAAAAAUAAAUCAAAUGUACACCAUAUGUGUGCCAGGAUCAAGUUUCAAACAUACAACAAGCCAAUAGUGAAUAACAGAUACAGUAUCAUGUACUAACGAGUUCAACUAAUACAAAGUGACAUAAAUCUCUAAACAAAAUAAACAUACAAACGUCUCCUAGCAGCGGAUUACCAUUCUCCAUAGGCAUUCAACUGGGGGAACAUACGCCUAGCACUUAUGGAAAUCUUCUAAUACUAACAUCCUCUUGUUCUGAGCAGCAUUCAUUGUGUGGUACAAAUAUAUGUAGGAAAUAGCAAGUGUGAGUACAUGCCGUACUCCCACUACUACAGAAGAGGCCAUCACCGCUGGGCUAUCACCACCAGUUAUAGAUGAAUCAUUUGUGAUGCCUUUUCACUGUCGGUUUUGGAGCAAAUGGGGGCAGCAGCCUUUACAACCGGCGGUGGUGCUCGUUUUCAUUGCCGGUUCCUUAUUGAGCCGCUAGUUUCAAGCAAGAGCCAGCAGCGAUACUCGAUGCGAACCUGAAAUUUUUCUUCAACCCAAUUUAGAAAACGACUUUGCGUCCACUUGCCUCCCUCUCCCCACUCCUCCCCUCCCCCACCCUCUCUCCACCCCCUCCCUCUCUCCCUCUCACCCCAGCCCUCUAUCCCACUCUCCGCGGGCCCCCUCCCUCCCUUCCUCUCCCGCCGGCCCUCCCCUUCUCUCCCUCUCCGUUCGCCGCCCCUCCGCUUGCUUCCGCACCCCCCCCUUUCCCCCUCCACUCGCUACCCCCUCGGCCUGGCAUAGAGGAGCGCUGGCAGCGUGCAGGGAUCCGCAGCGGCAUGGCAGGAUCCGCGGCUGGCAGUAGGGAUCCACAAUGCAGCGAGGCUCCAGUGACAUCAAGAUGUGCGGGGUAAGCAGCGGCAGUGACAAGGCCGGGUCAACGGUGGCGGCUGCAGCGUGAGUAGCAGCAGCGAUGCUACCUAGGGGCCCACGGUGGGCGCGGUGCGAUGGCGGUGGGGACGCCAGGUAUAUUUCUUCUUUUUUUUGUGAUGUGCAUCACCGUCAGUUCCUGGUUUAGCGGUGAUAGGGACUCCUAUCACCGCCGACCUAAUAAUGUCCUCACUCAAAAUGAGGGUUGCCUAUAUCAUAUUGAGAUAUGAGAUACAUCCCCCUAAUGCUGUUCUAUGGACAUUCUUGAGGCACUGACUCUGGAGCCAAAAAAAAGGUUUAGUCAACGAGCACAAAAGUUUCAUACUAGAACCACUAGACCUAUGCUAGUCAAUUCACUGUGCUAAGGGCACAUGCAAGAGCUACAACCACCCUAUGCCCAUUGAUCACAAUUAAUUUGAAAGGAUGUUUAUGGAUGCUUUUGUUUACCAUAAGUGUAAUAAAUCUUGUAGUCAUUUUCGGCACAAGUCUUGCAGCUAGCCAAUAUAAUCCAAGUUUUUGGUACCCUAUAAUCCAAGAUAAGAUAUAAUCUCCUACUGUUUUCAAAUCUCAGAAUCUUUUGCAGUAAUCUCCUACUGUUUUCAAAAAGUGGUAUGUCAAUCGUAACAGGAUUAGACAGAGGGAAGUACCGAAUGGUUGCUUGCAGAUGAGGUGAUUCUAACUUUAGACUUUGCAUGUAGACGGCGUGGAGGAUAUGAAUAGUUGCAUGCAGAUGAGAUGGUGCUGACAUUAGCCUUUGCAUGUAGAUGGCGUGGACGAUUUGAGGUAAAUGACACAAGAACACACACCAUAUAUAUAGUGGCAUUGUUGGACCUUGUUUAGUUACCCCAAAAUCCCAACUUUGGCACUAUGCAAAAAUAAGAUUCCCCAUCACAUCAAACUUGCGGUACAUGCAUGGAGUACUAAAUGUAGACGAAAUAAAAAACUAAUUGCACAGUUUUGUUGUACUUUGCGAGACGAAUCUUUUGAGCCUAAUUAGUCAAUAUUUGGACAAUAAUUCAUAAAUACAAACGAAACACUACAGUAUGCUACAGUGCUGGCACAGUGAUUUUGGUUGUCCAAAAUUGGGCAACUAAACAGGGCCUCGUUCUCUUCUCAUUAAUUGUUAAUAGAAGUUACUACAUGUACCUAGAACUCCUAAACUAGGUGUCCUAUCAUAUGAUUUGCAAUUAAUUCCAUUAAGCUUGAAGCAGGUGGAAAGGGCACUUGCAUCGAUAGGAGGCGCACGUGCACAGAGAGUCUGUUAUGUCUUUUAUCUUUUAAUGAAACUAGGUGGCGUUGGGGCUGCUGGCCUUUCCUCGCUGUUUAGCAUCCUGAGAACAUCCGGCAUGGUUGGCCGCUCCCUUGGAUUGUCUUGGGUGCACAACAGUCCGAUAUGUAUUCUUCUUUCCACUUCCUGUAGCUGUGACUCUCCACAAGAUGCAGAGUCAAAUAAAUCCUUCAGACUCUGAGCUUCCCGUACCUCCCAAGCCUGUGAAAAAGGUGUCAGUGUGUAUAACAAGGCAACAAGUAAAACCCAUUGUGUAACUGAAGUUCUUCAUGUGGUCAGCUAAGUUGCCAUUUUCUUCAGAUCCGUCUAACCAAUUUUGAUUAACGUGUUGGAUCAUUAACACACUAUUGCUUCUUGACUGCAUCAUUUUGGUCGAGAUUGGUCACUGACUAGUCCUAAGAUGAACAUCCACAAAUUCAAACAAUGAUGACCUAUAUGCUACGUUAUUGAGACUGCUAUUUCUUUGAUAAUCUUAUACUUGUCUGUAUUGAAAGAUCAUGUUGAUGUUUGGUGUAGUAAAAUUUGGAAAGGUAAGAGAACUUUUGAGAUUAUACGAGGCUACUACCCAAAGUAUGAGGUGGCACCCAAAUAGAACGACAUAUCCUUAAAAGGAACAACAUGACAUGAAGAGAUGAGCAAUUAUAAACCAAUCCAGUUUUUUAUGCUCAGAAAUUAUUGCUAGCGCUGACAGCGAGCAAGAUGCAGAAUUACCAAAUAAAGUAUGACCUACAAAAGGAUUCCUCUUUUUUUUGUGUCACAGCUGAUUACACUUUUUUCCCUUGUUGAAAAAAGUGGACAGUUUAAGGCCAAUAUCUCCACCGAAGUAUGGAUAUCAGAAUAGAUCGAAUAAUGAUGAAUGCAAAAAAGAGAAAACCUUUAUCUGAACAAGUUCCUUGUGAAGAUACCCAACCAAUGCCUGCCUAUAAAUGUUUUACGUACCCACUCAAUUGAAUGUUGGAGAAGUCCAGACCUGCUCAUUCCUCUAAUGGUAGAUAAGACUAAGAGGCCAAAACUGUAGACAUCAUUCUUGGCUGAGAUGACACCUUGAGCAAUAUAUUCUGGAGCCAUAUAUCCCCUAAAUGGUGAAAAAAUAAAUAAAUGGGUCAGCAGAAGGGGGGAAGCGACAAGAAGCUUGAUCGUGCAUGUCAUGGCAACAAAAAUACAGUAUAUAUGGAAAGUCGUCCUACAGGGUGCCUGCUAACUCUUCCGUGACUUCUUGAGUCACCUCUUGAUCAAAUAUUUUGCACAUUUCAAAAUCACAGAUUUUAGGGUUCAUAUUAGAGUCAAACAGGAUGUUUUCUGGCUUCAAAUCCAUAUGGAUAAUGUUUUUCCAGUGCAGAUGAGCUAUGCCUUGUGCCAUCCCUUGAAUUAUUUGGAAUAUGAUAGACCAAUCCAUCUGCGGACACUGUCCUGGAAAAUUAAAAAAUCAAACAUCCUAUAGAGUUAACAUUGUUAAGCUAAAUUUUGCUCCAAAUGAUAACUGGAGUCAUUCUUUAAGUGGAAACAUGCCUUCGAUAAUGUCGGACAAGUUUCCAUUCGGGGUGUACUCUUCGACCACUAUCAUACUAGUUAUUUCAGCCUCCACAUAGCGGCCCUUGUAUAGCAUCUUCUCGUAUGUGGUUUCCUGGCAAUAUCCGAGAAAGCAAACUAUAUUUUGGUGCUGACCCAGCAAUGCAAAGACAUUCACAUAAUGAUCUACAUCUCUUCGUAAGUGCCGAGCUGCACAAAAUCUCUUUAUGGCAACCAAUACGUCAGAUAUUACACCCUGGAUCAUAGGCAGCAAUUUUAAUCACGAAUGCAGUUAACGUGAUAUUAUAAUUUGAAUGCCUCAAACAUAAUUAAAAUACCAAGCAUAUGGAGUACCUUGUACACAGUAGCACUGCCACCUCUCCCAAUCAGGUUGUGUUCCGAGAAGUUAUUUGUAGCGGCCUUCAUCUCAGAUAAACUGAACAUUCUAAAUCCUGUCAUAAAAACAGGUACACAUACAGGCAUAAAUGAUGUUCUGCAAACACACACCAGCAAGAUCACUAUCACUAGUGAAUAAUAAAUAGCUCGAAUUCAAGAUCAAAGAGGCCGGUAAACAAAUAUGUGAUCUUACCUGAUUGGUUGAGAAAGUGCUCCAUACAGGCUGGAUCACUUUUUCUCUCACCAUCAGCUCCAAAUCUGUCAUCGUACAUUCGAUAAGCAAAAUGAGUGCCCUCCGAUCGAUGUAAUAAUACUGAAUGGAGGUAGACCAAUGGUGGUAGCAUAAUGGUAAGGUUUUAGAUGCUUCCUCCAUCCCAAUUGUAAAUCGUUUUGGCAUUUCACCUAGAAAUGCCAAAACGAUUUACAAUUUGCGACAAAGAGAGUAGUUUACCAGGGCUUUUAUGGAAAUAAAAGCUAAAAUUGCGCAAGUGCAUACUUUGAUGGUAUACAGACUUGCCAAGGGAAUUACAGUUUUUCGUAAUGGUGAUUAAUUUCUAUGUUGAACUCACUAAGUAUUACAACAUAUAAUUUACUAUGCUACAAUUGGAAUGGCACACUGUAAAUAUCAGACCUAGUAUCAUUGUUUGACGCACUGCUAGACGAGCUCUCCACUGCCCCUAGAUGGCCAGCAUCCUGAAAUAGAAAACCAAAUCCCUCAAGGUAUUAUUGAUGAAAUUUUUAUCCUAUCUUAUUAGUUGAAAUGGAAGAGCUAGGAAGUACCAAUUGAAUGAUACCCCUGAAAUAAAGAAACUAUCUAAAGGUUGCUGCGAAACAAAAGAAACUGUCCGUAUAUUGAUCUUGACGAGGUGAGGUGGGACACUUAAAUCUGUUAAUGCCGGACCCAACACCUGGGUCAACCGUGCUUGCGGUAGAGGCAUACAUUCUACAAAUAUGAUACGUACAGGUUGCAUCUGUCCAAUUUUUAUUCUUAACAAAAUGAGUCUAUCAACCCAAAGCUAAUGAAAAACAUGGAGAAGUUUCUCUAAAAUGGUGGAUAGAAUCGUAAGGAACAUUAUAUAUGGAAGUGACAAAAUUAAAAAUACGCUGUAAAGAUGUAGUACCUGUGUAAUCCAGUUUGCGGCCGCAAUUUGGUCCAUGAUAACCUGGUUUACCUGGCGCAACUCUUUGGUCAGGUAUCCAGUUGCACCCAGGUGAAUGUUGCGCGUCGACUGGCAGGCCCUGACAAGCUUCAGCGCCCGAUACAGGGUCUCCUCGAGGUUCUCAAGCGCCUGGAUCAUCGCCUGGUCCUUCACCAUCUCCAAAUUCUCCAUCUUUGACAGGAUAGCACUUAAUCUGCUUACGCGCCUUCCGAUCUCAUAACAAUCAGCCUUAUUCUUUCGAACGGUGUCGACCGCCUCCUUGAUCUGGAGCGCAACCUCGACAAUGUUCCUCACCCUGCCCAAUGCAUCGGACAUCCUCUCUCUAGGGGAUUAUAAUCUGCAGAUCGAAAGGAUAAGGGAGUCGUAUCGAAUCAGACGAACAAGCCUGAUGAACCAACUGGAACAAACAAAAAAAGCUCUUCGAUUUUCUUUCUCAAAGCAAUCAAAGCAAAUAAAGAAGCAAGCAUAAACCUGGCGUCUUCGGCCCUCCUUUACUAGCUGCGUCAGGGAUCUCUUCCUCCAAGCUAUGGUACGCCCGGAGCAUCCGGUGUUCGCCGGGAAUCAAGUCUGCUCGAUGGGCAAGCUUAUCUGAUAGGGACAUAAACAAUUCCGUGAAAAACAAAUAAAGGCCAGUGUGCUCUGUAAGAAAUAUAAACCAAUAAAAUACAUCUUGGCAGAAUGGGGUCAAGUGGGUCUAUAGUCUAUUCUUGUGGCAGCAAGCUGAUCCUUUAUAAUAACGCUGGAUCGGAUCUCGAUCUCCUUGAAUAGCGCUCCACUAACCCACUAAUGCUUGUCUCGUACUCCACCCACCGAUACCCAGCCCAAAAACUAUGCAUCGGGGAUUGACUUAACUUUUUGUUAUUUCGAGGUCUAAUUGAUAACACUGUUUGAAUUACGUAUGGGUUGCCUGCUGCUGGUAAAUACAUCUAUUUAUCCGUCAGCAAAAACAUGCCUGCUGGGAAAUAUUAGUUCUGACUUCUGAGCGCAUACCAGCUGUCAGUUAACAUAUUGUCUGUCAGCAAAUCCCUGCCAGGGCUUACGAUAAGUGGUCUGUCAGAAGACGUCAUCCCCCAACGGGUACAGUACGGCAUAUUACCUUCUUUGUGUUUCAUGAUGAAUGCACGGUUGUCACACCUUGAAAUUUUUGGAUCUCACGAUGUGAUUAGGAAGAAUAAUUAAACAAUGAUUUUUCUCAUAAUUUUAAAAUUUGCCAACAUUUGUUUUCUUGAUAGGAAAUUUAGUGUAGGAAAAUAAUUGGUUGUUUUUCCUAAACUAAAUGAGCUUGUUCUAUGUGUGUGCAUUCAUGCCCAUGCAUCUUGGUGUUUAUUGAGUGCAAAGGUUUUAAAAAUAUCUUUAGACGACGACCAGGUUCUUCUGAGAAUUUACCAAUUUUUUCUGGAAAUUAUUCUCAUUUUCCUAGAGCUAAAUCCUUUUCCCAAGCUCCAGUAAUUUUAUUUAGACUCCUCGUGUCCCAAACUAUCUCUAGGAAUUUUCCUGGAAUUUUUAGGAUUUUCAGAGUAUUUUUUGUGGGUUUUAUUGAAUUAUCUGGAUUUUUCUUUAUACGGGAAAUUACUUCUGAAAAUAAAAAGAAAAGAAAACCUCAACCUACCCUUUUGGGCUAAGCCCGCACCCAAAAGCUCUACCAUAGCCCAACUCUCCUUCCCUCCCUCGAGCCUCGCUAGCUCAGCCCAGUCCAGGCCCGACCAGCCAAGCCAGGCCCGAUUGGGACCAUAUGCUCUGCAGCUCUCUCCCAAGCUGCACAGGCAGGCAACGCCACCGCCACGCCCUUUUGGUGUGCGUGCCACGCCAGGCGCAGCCACCCGCGCCCUAUCAAUAGCGAAGCCCGACCCCCGCACGCCCCUGCCAUCCUCGCAAGCCACCCUGCCUCGCCUGUGCUGCGCCGCCACCUUGCAAACCCGCCAGCCGAGUCGGGCGCCGCCGCCAACUUUCCACUCGAUUCACCAGCUCCGCUGCCCGCCGGAUGAAACCGGCCCCUUCUAGAGCUUCGGGACGUCGUACAACGGUAGAAGCACCAUCGGUGUAGCCUGGGAGGAUGAGCCACAGCGACGGCUGCGUUCUCUCACCGUAUUAACUCACGUACACGUAAGAUGAACUAGCUUUGCUGGCGGUAUACAGACGCCCUCGCAACCACCGUGUACGUGCCCUAAUCUGUCCUGAAAAUUCUAGAAUGCCUUAUAUUAGGAUAGAGGGACAGAGGUGGUACUCUUCAAAUAUCUAGCCCAAAAACCAUGUCAAGAACUUACAACAUGCCUAUAAAUACCCGACUCAAUUCAUUGCAUGCUGCGACACUCCUACCUUUUGCCUUUUUCUUAACAAAUCCUUGCAAUGUAAAUAUAAAUCAUAAGCAAAUCAAAUCAAUCGAAAUUUUUUAUAUAUCGUUUCUUUGUAAAUAGCCACACCAAGAACAAUGUCUUGUAGUCUGAACAGACGAAAAUGGUGGAUGCCUUGGCUUGCUCAGGUGGCUUCUCAAACUUGUAGUCUUAAUUGAUGAAAAUGGUAAUUGCUUUGACUUGCUCGGGUGUUUUUUUGAGCCCUGGCAACCUGCCAAUUGCCUCACCAAACAAGUUGAUAGCUAGAGUUGCCCAAGCUCAAAAAGAUUAUUGUUCUUUUCUCCUUCAAUAAUGAUUUUGCUCCCAUGUUUUGUGAAGCGCUUUCCACGAUUGUUUUCACAACAUGUUCCAUACUUAUAGCUCAAUGCAAUGCAAAAGCAUCCACAUAUUCCAAUAUUAAUUCACUGGUAUGUGGAAUAUCCAACACCUUCUUGGAUUCUAAAAAUUUUGUGCCCAAGUAUCAAUAUCAGGUGCAACAUUUUCGUGUCAGUUUACCUGUCCGCAUUGCUUCACAUAUCCGUACCUUGUCAAGAAAGGUCUAUUUUCCUGACAGAGAUUUCAUUACCGUCAGUGCAAUGUGACCUUCCACAAUAGCCUGUUGCCGCUUGGUGUCCAUUGUGCUGCCACGGACGGAGUGAUCCCUUUUACAGUUUCUUUCUUUUGUUUUCUGUGGAGGACUUGAGAAGAGUCCGGUUUUCUAGAGAAUACUUUGUGCAAAUGAACAGAAGUAACGUUCCUCCCUUCUAUACGAAGUUCACGUUAGGUGAGUACUCGAUCAUGUUAUUAAUUUAAUACUAGAUACUCCUCGCUCCAUAUGGUUGCGUGAGUCCGCGAAACUUGCUGACAUUGGCUUCUAGAGCGAGGAAAUAUGUUAACAAGAAUGAGAAUAUAUAACAAGCAGCUCGUACAACUAAGUGCGCGCCUUAUCACCUAAUCACCUAGCCAAGCAUCUAAUCACGUGGGGCACCUUUUUUUAUUUGUCUCCUCUUUGAGUAUCCUAUGCUUGACUUGAACCUAGUCUUGCGUAACCAAUCCAUCUUCUCCCGGGUUACUUUACAAGUUUUGAACUGAAUCAACACAGGAAUUUUCGUGGAAUUUUUAGGAUUUUUUGAGUAUAUUCCGUGGCUUUAAUUGAAUUAUCUGGAUUUUUCUUUAUACAGGAAAUUACUUCUGAAAAUAAAAAAAAGAAAACCUAAACCUAACCUUUUGGGCCGAGCCCGCACCCGCGAGCCCAACCAUGGCCCAGCUCUCCUUCCCUCCCUCUAGCCUCGCUGGCUUUCCGCUCGAUUCACCGGCUCCGCUGCCCGCCGGACGAAACCGGCCCCUUCUGGAGCUUCGGGACGUCGCCCCGCACACCCGCCGCUACACCCUGUCGUCGUUUGGCCGCCGGAGGAGCCCCGCCCUGUGGAGCCCGAACUAGCCGCCGCCUCCACAGUCCGCCAUCGAUUCCGGCCGGUGCCGUCGUCCUCUACCGUCGGUGAGCACGCCCCCGUGACCCUCUCGACCUCCUCUAUCUCCUUCGCCACCCACCUAAGCCCCUACCUCUCAACCACCGGCGAUUUCAUCUCCCAGUGCGCCGUCCGCCAUGGCCAAAAGCUCCUCGAGCUUUUCCGUGGAGGCCCCUGAAGAAAUCUAUAAUUAUUCCAAGAUCUCUGUGUCUUGGAUCUUUUUUGAAAAGCCCCCUAGAUCUAUUAGGUUCCUUCAACCGAGCCCAAGCCGUGAUCUAUUUCAGAUCGAACCCUGCUCUUUAUCGUAUUCACGGGCACUAUGUGUCUCGGGAAUCUUCCUCGCUAGCCCUUGUUCUCUAGGGUUAAUCGCGAUUAGACCCCUGCAGCUUGAUUAGCUCGUAGAUCUUAUGUUUCAACUCCGUUUAACCUCUUUCUUGUUGCGUUAGAUUCAUAUCAAUUUAAAUUACGCAUUAGAAGCAAUGUUAAUCAUUUUAUCUAUUUUAUAAUUUACUUCAAAUAUUAAUAUGAUUAAGUACUUACAUACUUGUUUUUCUAAUUAAAAUACAAUAGAGUUUAACCCCGUGUUUUCAUGCUAAUGUUAAUUUGUUUAAUGCUUAUCUAAAUAAUUUUUCCAAUUAAUAGCUAACUAGAGUUAUACCUCGGUUUUCAUAGUCAAACUUAAAUUGAUUAAUGUUUAUUCAAUUUGCUUUCUAAACAAAAGUUGCAUAGGUUCUAUCUCGAGUUUUCGUAAUUAAAUGUUAAUUUGGUUAAAUAUAAAUAUAAAUAUAAAUGUGUUUCUGAAUUAUAAUUUGUCUAGUUCAACACGAAUCAUAAAGUUAUGCGCUUAGAUCUUCCCACCUAAGUUAUUUUCCAAAUAAAUGUUUAACUAGUAUAAUUUAUACAUGAACAUUUAUAAAUAAAACUUGAGUAGGAUUUACCUCGGUUUUUGCCAAUAGAGUAAAAUUUGCAUUAUUUCUAAAUUAGGGUAUUUUCUUUCCAAAAUAUCCUUUAGAUAUGUUUUGCUAAUUAAAAUAAAUCCAGCAUAUAGCCUUGUGUGCUCUCAUAAUUGUUUGAUAGCCGUCUUUGUUAGCUUUAGCUUUGUAUCUCUUUUGUAGAUCUAGUCUUCUGUAAAGCUUUAGAUCUUUGUAGUUCCAGAUCAAGCUCACACUCAGUUUCUUUCACAAAUCUAGCCAAGCCUUUCCUUUUCAAGCACGGUUUGUGUGCUUUAGUGAUCCAAAUAGUUUAUCUUAGAGUUUUUGUUCUGCCUAAUAGUUUUGGUCUUCAUGAGUAGUUUGGUGCUGCUCAUUUCCCUAGCUAGUAUAUUUUUUAUCAUGCUUGUUUCCUGUUCCUCUUAGAAACCUGUUUAUCAAAAGCUAGCUCAUAAUUACUAUGUCCUAGUUGUCUCUUUGUGAGUCAGCUAUGUUCGUUAUGGCCAAACCUUUCGCAGCCAUCUCUUUAGAGCUAAUCUUGUUAGUUGUGUCUCUAUCGACCAGUUCAGUUUAGCUUUGACUAGUUUGUUAUCUUUGCAACCUAGUUGCUCUCUUUGUAGACUAGUUUUCCCUAAACCAUAGUUUAAGGUUUUCUUCUGCGCUCUAAAGUCUGAUUUUGAUGUUCUUGUUCACUUAACCAUAACUUAUGCGAUAGCAAUGUGUAUUGCCUGUUGCUUGUCUUUAAAAUCAAAAUUGAAUGUCAAUUUGACUAAUACUUAUUAAACCAGUUUUCUAAUUAAAAGUUUACUAGUUAUACAAUAUGGGAUUUCAUAUAAAAUUUUAAACUUUACUAAUUCUUAUUCAAUUAGUUUUCUACAUAAAAAUUUAUUAGGUUCUAUCCCGGAUUUCAUAAACUAAGAUUUAAUUAAUUAAUUCCUAUUUAUAACUAGCUUUUCUAAAUAAAAUAUACCUAGUGUCAUACAUCAUUUUCCAUGAAUGAAGUUAAUAUGCUUAAUGGUAUUAUAAACACCUUUUUCACAUUAAUAUGUUUAGCUGAACACAAAAUACAAAGUUAUUCGAUUAGAUGUCUUAUACAUGCUCUGUGUUUCUAAAGUUAACUGUUAAAUUGGUGUAACUUGUACUUCAAUAUUUACAAAUAAAAUAUGAUUAAAUUUAUCACGUUUUCAAUGUUCAAAUAUACCUUCUGUUAAUUCCAACUAAGGAUAUUUCUCUAAAAUAUCUACGCAUUGUUUUUUAUUAAAAUCUAAAGUUAACUGUUAAAUUGGUGUAACUUGUACUUCAAUAUUUACAAAUAAAAUAUGAUUAAAUUUAUCACAUUUUCGAUGUUCAAAUAUACCUUCUGUUAAUUCCAACUAAGGAUAUUUCUCUAAAAUAUCUACGCAUUGUUUUUUAUUAAAAUAUAUCAAGCAUAUAGUCUUUUUAUUUCUUUGAUAAUUCAAACCUCUCGAUAGCUUUGUCUUUUCAUCCAUAGUUUCAUUUUCAGCAUUUUUUCUACGUUGCGAUCUUAGAAUCAAGCCCUAUCCUUUGGUAUGAUCUUUUAAAGCUUUUCUUUUGAUUGGUGUACUGUUCUUAGUUGUGCUUGUUUGUUUGCUCUGUAUGGUUGUGCCGAUGAUUGUUUUGAGUAGAAGGAUUGCUAUUCGAAAGCUUUGAAGAUUAAGAGUUUCAAGAGAGCAAGAGCUGAAGAGCAGUAAGAGUAAUUUUUCAUUGGAGAAAGGCAAGUGUCCCCAACCUUCCUUCUAUCUAUGAUUAUUUAAAUACCAUGCAUGCAUUAAUUGGAACAUUGAGCGACCACCCAAGAAAACAAUGCAACCACAAGAACUACAUGGCUCUAGUCUUGGCUAAUUAAUUAGAUACUCUUGUUUGAAGCGGUCUUACCGAAAGGGCAAGAGGGGUGACGGCAGAUGGGGUAUAACCCAACCCUCAGACCGAUAUGCUCAAUGGUAGCUUCGCAGUCUUGAGAGAGGUUUACGCUCUGCUACUUAUCCGGAAACCUUAGCUGGCUACAUCUUAUUAGGGAAUCUUUGUAGAGGUCUUAUAGCUUCCCUAUGCAGUCACAUCUCGGUAGUGUGAUGAGUGCUUGAUUAGCACAGUAUGGUUGGGUCUAAAGUUUUUCUGAACUUCUACGCAACUUGUGGUGAAAAUGUACAACUUCUGCAGAGUGUUAUAUCAACUGUGCUCACAGUCAAGAGUGGCCUGAACCCUCACAUGAUUAAUAAACUUGAAGAUAUACUUAAAUCAUUAUUUUGGUUAUUUUUUGUGUUCUUGCUGAGUAGCAACCAUAAGUGUACUCACCCUUGCUAACCGCUGCUCAGAAUAAGGUGUCUGAAGUUAUUGAAGAUGAUGCUAGGCGUACGCAGCCCCAAUUGAUUGCUUGUGAAGUCUGAAGUCUUUGUUUUCAGGAUUAAGCUGUAUAUCUCUGAUAGACUCGUAAAUUUUUAUUUAUAUUCCUUUACGUGAUACUGUUACUGUUAUUCACUGAUAAUGUCACUAUAUGUAUGAUACUUGAUUAUGGGAUACAUAGGUAGCACUUGGUUUUGUUUUAAAAUCUGGUGUGACAUCGGUUCACAUCAAGCGUGACGAUAAGAAUUUAUAUAAAUGUUGCCCAACCACCCGAAUAUCAUAAAUUGAAGGUAUGUUUGAUUUUUUUACCAUACUUACCUGUGGCUAAACUCCAAAUGCUAGUUUUAGAAUAGUCGUAAUGGAAUUGCCAAGGGCGAGAGAAGAAUUGUUACUGUUGUGCCAUAACCCACAUUGGCUUAUGUGUCUAGACAGCUUAGAUGUCCAGCGUGGCCUAGCGCAUUUUAUGUAAACAUUUACAGGUGCACUGCUGCUGAUUUUAUGUAAUUAUUAAACCUAAUGCAGUUUCAUCAUGGCAAGAUGCAUUAAAGAAAGAAAGGGAAAGACAAAAUGAAAUACACCAAAGAGUUCAGUUCCAGCUGAAAACGUGUCUGCCCCAAGCGAGCUCCUAUACAUCUUCUGUGUUGAUUGCACAGCCCAUAAGGCCCAGCAAUUUACAGCCCAAGCAGCAAUAAUACACAUGCGCCGCAGGCCCCAAUACGAAUAUGUAAGUAUGGGGAAAAAAAAAGAUACGUACCACCUAAGCAGCAUGCCACGGCAGGCCCCAUCAGCCACCAGCCGAAGAUACGUGUUGCUUUACUAUUUUUAUUCAUAUUCCAUUCUACAGUAAUCCUCCUAAUACUAUAUUCAACAUUUUGUGCGAAUUGAUUCAAACAUUCAAAAUAACUAGUUAAACAUUUUGAUAAAACGAAUGCAAAAUUUUCUUAAAAUGUUGAAAUAGUAUAUUAAAAAUGUUGAAUAAAAUGUUGGAAUAGUGUAUUAAAUUUCAACAUUUUUUAUAAAUGCAAAUUCAACAUUUUUAAUAAAAUAUUGAAAUAGCGUAUUAAAAAUGUUGAAAUAGAAUUUAUGAUCUAAUAUAUUCAAAUAAUAAACUAAUAUAGUUAACAUUUUAAAUAAUAGAUUCAUCAUUUCUUUGCAUACUUAACUGUUGGGUAGUUCAUCAAAAAUUUUGAAUUUUAAAAAUUAGCAAAGAUAUAUUCGGAUAUCAUUAUGUUCGAUUAAUUCUCAAUAAUGUAGUGGUUUAAACGAUUAAAAAGGGUUCCCAGUUUGGGAGAAAAAUGCAUUUGAAGUUUGGAAUCCAAAAGCACCAUGCAACCACCACAAGAACCACACUGUCUGUCCUCCCCAUCAGCCGUGCAUGUUCUUUUCUACCUGGAGCCAUGGUGCGCCUGGGCUGUUGCUGUCAAUUGUGGUGGAAAAGGCAAAAUCAUUCCUACAGCUUGGAGAGUACGACACAAGUCGCGAGCAUUGGAAGAUGCUUAAGAAAAAAUUCUUCAAGAAGACACAUAGGAUUUCCAGCCCGGUCCAGCCUAGAAGAGUUUGACCCGCCCAUCAGUCUGUUCAGGCCUAUUAACUUCAGGUCCAAUUAGAAUGUGGGUCGUCCAUUCUCUCUCCUCUCAUAAAAAGACUCGUUCUGUCCUGCGUAACCCAUGGGCCGGCCCAGCUUCCUGUCGCGCUCGUGCCCAGAGCUCGCAGACGGAGGACGGGGAGCCACCAGUGUGGCACUCCGAGGGGCGACCGCGGCGGCGGGGGCACUGAGCAGUGAGCACAGCACAACCCAAUGCUAGCGCAUCGGAGAAGGGCGCGGAUGCCUCGACGAUCUCCGAAGGGUCCCACUGUAAUCUCGUCCGCCAUGUCCGACGGCCUCCUGCAGCCGCGUGCGUUCAAGCAGGUGAGAUCCCACAACUAAGGUUCGUGGCCACGGUCGGAUUCCCGGCCUGAAAGAAACUUAUCAGCCACCUCGUUCUGUUCAUGCUUCUUUGUGCUCUCCAAAUUAAAGUUUCCCCAAUUUUGAUGUAAAUUUCGGUCACGCGCAUGUGGUGUGGCAGUCACCGGAGUGUUGGCAAUACACAUAAAAUCGACAAAUACAUAGACAUCGUAGAGUCUUGGCACUAUGCAUAACUAAUAUCUUACGAAUUUCCCUGUAUGGUCUAACAAGUGCCCUGAAAGGUUGUAACAAGUCUAAGAUGGUGUAGCUUAGUCUCCACUUACCGUCCAUAUCGACCGAGUCUGAGGAGGACGUUACUUCUUCCAGAUGCUGACAAACAACUGCAGAGCACUCCGUCCAUCCUUCUUACUCGCAUUGAGCCCCUUCUCUCCUUCUCGAGACCAAUUCCAAGAGGCAAAACUUUUGGAAACUUUGGAGCAAUGGCAUGGUGCUUAAGUGUAUUAUUGUCAUGCGGUGCAGAACCUGAUUCCUUUCACCCAUUAUUAUUGUCAUGCGGUUGAUUCUGAAAACUUUAUUUUGCUCAGGUUCUAUUUCCAUGUUGCAGAGCCUCCAUGCCUGGUCGAGGCACUUUGUCCUCAACAUCAACUAAAGGUGUGUUUGGAUGGAGGGACGUGACGGAAUGGGAUCAUCCCACUUUUACAUAUGUUUGGUUGGAGGUUAGGUGGGACGAGGACGGCAUCAAAGUAAAAUAUUCUUCGAAAAAGAGGGAUGAAACAGUUCCUCCAAAUCGGUCGGACCAAUCCGUCCCACUUCGAUGACACAAACACCGUGACGAGCAAGACGACACAAACGCCGUGACGACACAAACGCCGUGACGAGCGAGCGCCUCGAGCGCAAGCGCACGUCCAACUCCAGCGCAGCGCCACGAGAAAAGCCAGGCGGCAGGGGCACGUAGCUCGGGCGGUAGAGGAAUGGAGCUGGGUGGUGGGGAGGGUGGAGCCCGGUGGCGCAGGGGACCGCCAGGAGGAGACGGGGAUCGACCUCCUGGGUUCCAGUUCCACCCCACCAACGAGGAGCUGGUGGUGCAGUACCUCCGUCGGAAGGCCCUGUCCCGCCUGCUGCCCGCUGCCAUCAUCCCCGUCAACCACGACCAUGCCAGGCUGGAUCCAUGGGACCUCCCUGGUGCGUCCGCACGCUCUCUUUCAGAUUAAUGGGAAGGAAGGCUGAGACAGAGUGUUCUGAUGUUCCUUGAUUGAUUGGUGUGUGUACAGGAGCGAGCGAAGGGGAGGGGUACUUCUUCAGCGCGCCUUCGUCGAGCAGCGGCCGCUGGAGGAGAGCUAGCAGCGGGUACUGGAAGGCCACGGGGAAGGAGAAGCCUGUGUUCCUGCAGUGCGGCGGCAAGCGGCAGCUGCUCGUGAGCGUCAAGACGGCGCUCGCCUUCCAUCGCAGCGAGCCGUCAUCGUCACAGGGGACCGCCGGUAGGAGACGGGAGGGCGAAGCCUGGCGGCGCGGGGUGGUGUGGGCCUCGGCUGCGGUGGCGCGGGUGAUUGCGCCGCGACACGCCGAGAAGGGGAUGAGGCUCUGAGGCUAAUAGUGAGCUCCGCGGCUAACGGAAUACAAACACCGUUUAUUUCAUCGGUCCUCAUCCCUCAAACCAAACAACGAAAUUAGGAUGUUCCCAUCUUUCCAACCAAACAUUAAGUGGGAUCAUCUCAUCCUAAAAAAGAGGAUGAUCCUAUCUCAUCCCACCUGUCCCUCCAUCCAAAUACACCCUAACUGCGCCGGUCGAUGUGAUUGCGACUGCUUGUUCUUACCGGACUGGUUAUAUGAAGCUGGCAUCAGAAGUAACCAGGUUCUGAUCCUCCCUGUGUUGAGUUCCAGCUAAUAUCACUCUAGGAUCAGUGCAAUGAAUGGUUUCUGUGAAAUCCAUCUUCAUCUCCUUUCGUUCCAAAAAACUAUCCUGUUAUCUAAGGAAGCUCCCAACUGCAAUCCACUCCUCCGUAUUUUUUGGGUCCCGGAAGAUAGAACUCUUUUUCAGUGUACAUUCUAUUUUCGGUAUAAUUAACAUACAUUAUGAAAAUCUAAGAAUGAGGCCCCCUCCCCCCGAGAGAGGCGACGCCCAUGGUGACACCCCGCCCGUACACCAACCUCGUCCCAGACCCCCCACCCCAGUAACCUCCACCAACCAACCGGCCCCAGAUCCGAGCGCAUCUGUAGAAGACCUCCAAGCUCGUACUAGCCGUGUCGUGAGGGAGCAAGAGAAGGAGGAGAUCGAGUUCACUCAGAAGAAGGUCCAAGAUCCAGAUCCCAUCGGUGAGGUCGCAGUACAGGAGCAGUUAUCGCCGGAAGAUCGACAGUCUGGCCAAGCUAUGCAUACCCAGAGGCUAGAGGCAGCGACGGAGGCCAGCAUCCUCCCGGAUCUCGUCCAAGAUUUGCGAGCACAAGCUAGCCUUAAGUCGACGCGGCUGGAAACAGGCAUUGAAUGCGACGAGGCAAAUCACACGCCAAGCACAAGCAUGCCAGUGAGGCUGGCGAGGGGCUCGACGAGGAAGAAGAAGACCGGUGGUUCGCGCCCUCCUCCAACGGCUUGUCAAGCAAGAGAAUCCACAAAAUCUGCCGCACAGCAGAGUUUUUGAGCCUGUAAAGCAGAAGCUCACCAGCGCAGUGAAAGGAAAAGGAGCAGGGACAGAACGGCAACCAUGCCAGCCAUCAAAUCUGCAUCAGAGAAGGGAGCAGAGCAUUUCAACAAGCAGCUGGCAAAAGCAGCGGGGUCAAUGCUUGAGAGAAGGGGAGGUGGGUAACCUUCAAUUCCCCUCUCCUCCAUUCAGGUCCAGCUCAAGGAAUAGACAGCAAUGACAUCAGCAACAAGAUCCGACCAUGGACAAAUCUUCAAGGACACAACACACUGCACUGCAGUCAGAGACCUGGAUUGAUGAACACGGCUUCCAAGUGGUAAAACCAGCAUAUUGGUGGCGAAGGACUGGAGACCAUUCAAGAGAAGAUUCAAGGCUUCACCAACCGGACAUGGAAGAGCAUAGGAGGAAGAGGUACAGGGAACAUGUCAGGGGAAAAUGUCUCAAUUGUUUCUCCACAGAACACAAAGCAGCUGAAUGCAAGCAACGCACUAAAUGCUGAAGAUGUCUGCAGACGGGGCACAAGGCCCUCGCCUGCCCAACCUGGAGAGACCAUGUUAAAAGGCCACCACCGGAGACUUAUUCUCAUUCUUGUCAAACCAAGACCAUCCCCACCACCACAUCUUUCCCCCCACUCCUGCUGGCCGGACCGUCUGCACGGCCGGCCGUUUCUACCUUCGGGCAGCAAAGGGCGAGGCAGCUCCCAUGGCGACAUACCCGGGUGACCCGCGUGCCCGCCCAGAAUACGCGGUCUGUGCGCUCUCAGCGACUGGGCACAUCAAGCGCAAGCAGGAGUCCAUGAUCGGCAAGACAGCAGUCUGUUGGCUCAACGGCAACAGCCACGACAUGGAGAUAUGCCACGUCGCUGAUGCCCUUGAAGAACAGCUCCUCAUCAGCCGCCAUGAAGUGCGCGUCGUCAAGCACUUCCCCGAGCAAUAUCUGGUGUUCUUCACCGACUGCCGAGCAUACCAUCGCGCUAUCGACCAGUGGGGCGUCCACAAAUGAGGAAGAGUCUUCAACUUCGAGCCAUGGACAGAGCGUUGGAACGUCGUGGAGAGCAAGCUAGAGUUCCGGGUCAGGCUGCGCAUUGAGGGAGUGGCGCUGCUGCAUGCCUGGUCCGAGGAGGUGGCGGCCCAAGUCAUUGGCCAAUACUGCGCCAUCCACUACGUUGAGGAACACGCACGCCAGUAGGAGUGCACACGAACCUACGAUCUGUGGGCGUGGUGCUCCAACCCCCAAGAUCCCUAAGAAGUUGCUGCUCACCAUCACCGACCCUGACAGGGAGCAGCCGGCAAUCGACAUCCCGCGGCAGCUCGUCAACCCCAACCACGACACACCUGAUGACAUCAAGGGCGCGUACAACUACAAGCUGCACAUCCACCUCGACGUGGUCGAGGACCUCUCCUUCCUCAGAGGGAGGGACGGAGGGGACGGAUAGCACAACAGGAGGCCAUGCCGUGAGUUCCUCUGAAACUACGGGGCACCGGACUCCCAGGGGGAACGGCGCAGUGACCAGUACCAUGAUAACUUUGCAAGCCGCGACUACCACCCACGCCGUGACAGAGACGACCAUGACGACCAGCACCAUCGAGGCACAAGGCGCCACCGUAGUGCCUCUUCCUGGGGGCGAGUGACGCGCUGCCGCGGAGCCAUGGAGGACUGCUACAGCUCCACACACCGCAACGGCAACUAGGUACACUCGGGUCGCCACAACAGAGUCCAGAACAACACAGCUGGCCAGGACAACAAAAGCCAUUCUCUGAUGGCUUGGCGCAAGAAGAGCACAGGAGGCAAGAAGGUCUCCUUUGCAAAUCCUCUGGUGCAGAUCAUGGGUGAGUUUGAGUUUGACCCUAGUUGCUAUCAUUUCCCAGCGCCUUCGAAUUCUGACUUGGUGGGUGAGUGGUUUGACCCCAUGAGGGAAGAGAUGCUCAUCCCUAAUAUUUUUGUAGGCGACCCAGGCAAGGAGGAUCGUAUCCUGAACAUGCUGCACUCGGCAGUGGGAUGGACCCCGGUUGCUUCACCAAGGAGUGCUCCGGAGGAAGGCGAGCUGCCGGAGCCAGUGACCGAGCUGCAGGAACCAGAAGGGCACAACAUGCAUUCGCCAAUCACCAACAAGCAGUCACAGGUCUGUCUGGUUUCUACUCCUCUAGAUGCAUCAGUGAGGCACACACAACAAGCUCAAAUUUCAGAAACUGUCAACACGGAAAACACUAGCUCAUCGCCUUUUGCACAGUACACCAACAGAGUAGAGCCCCCUAAUGUCAACAGAGAAGAGGUGAACGGUAGCAACAUCAUUAGUGAAAAUAACAACAACAUAGCAGCACCGCACAACACCGUAGCUACUUCAGUUAUAUGCAAUGAUCAAGAUAUGGUAGCCACUUCUGUUGAAAAUGGGGAGGGUAACAUAGAGGUCGGUGAGGGUCCUAAAUUUGACGACCUUUCAGCUUUCAUUGAUUUCAUAGCCUGCAAGCCAAAUGCGCAUAUUGUUUGCACUCCACCCAGAGCAAACCCCAUCACAUCAGGCAACGAAAAUCAGGGCCAAAACACAGCACAAAGAAAAAGCUCUAGGCUAGCGGAUAAAGCUAAGCUAAACCCGGGCAAGGACAGCACCCAACUUGCCCAAAAAGUCCUUAGUAAUAAGCUUGGGGAGCUGUCUCCAAAGUCGAAAGUUAAUUCUAAUGCUGAGGUUGAUCAUUUGGUGCAGCACCUUCCAAAGCCACUGACGGACCUGAAGAUGAUGGCCAUCAAAACCUUGGUGGAGCAGGGAAACCAGGCCAAGCACAAGAACAUGAAGAGGAGCAAGAUCACUCCAUCAGCAAUUGGAGAGAUGGAGGCCCAAGUGGCCUGAGGGAUAACCAUCCAGGGAGGAAGCGUUUCAGUGGUUUUUACUUCCCUAAUGUUAGGCAUAAAAUAAUUGAACUUAAACUUAGUCGAAUCUGUAUCUUUAAAUGGGCCAACAAUUAGGCCCUGCGACUUCAGCGGUGCUUUGUAUCGGGCAGAAUGCCCAGCAUCGACGUCCACGAAGCUCGCCAAGCUCUCCUCGAGGCAAUGCUUUAGUGAAAAAACAAGUCUCCUGGGACUUCUCAGCUUUGUAUCAGGACCAUGCGCCAAGCAAUGUUGUCCGCAGGUUGACGCUUUCCAUGAGUCUACUAUUAGUUGUGCACCUCUGAUCCAUGUCACAAAAGGAUUGUAAUGUGUUGUGUUGGAAUGUUCGUGGGCUUAAUGUGGCAGCUAGGAGAGCAAGUGUACGAAGCACGAUUCGUUCAUCCGGAGCAACGAUAGUAUGUCUGCAAGAGACCAAAAUAGCACACUGGACAUCUAAACUCGUGGCAGACACCCUGGGCAAUAAUUUUGCAAAGAACUUUGCUGUGUUACCAGCCCUUGGCACAAGAGGAGGCAUCCUUAUAGCGACAACGGUGAACCAUUUUGAUAUGCACAACAUCCACACCAUCGAUCACACAGUAUCCACAACAAUCACUAUGAAAGUAGACAAAAAAAUCUUGGACACUCACUUGCGUCUAUGGCCCUCAGGAUGAACACGACAAGCUACUAUUUCUAGAGGAACUGAAGAGCCUAAAAGAACAAGUUCUCACGGAAUGGCUCAUAGUUUGUGACUUUAACCUUAUAUAUAAGGCAGAGGACAAAAGUAACAAUAGGCUCAACAGAAACUUGAUGAAUCGUUUCAAGCAGGCAAUUGACAAGAACCAACUGAUGGAAAUCGACCUCCACGGAUGGUGUUUCACCUGGAGCAACGAACAAGAUCACCCAACAUUCACAAGGAUAGACAGGUUCUUCGGUACACCAGAAUGGCAUCUUCUCUUCCCAAACCUUGACUUGCAAGCCUUGCCAACCAUGGGCUCAGAUCACUGCCCAUUAUUUUUAACAGGUGACGUAGAGAGACAGAACUAUAUGGGCUUUCACUUUGAAUCUUAUUGGGUGAACAUGCCAGGUUUCUUAGAGACUAUACAAGAAGUCUGGAGCCAGCCAGUGCAUACUCAAGAUGCCAUACUGCGUAUGCAUGUCAAACUCAUUCGCACAGCAAAGGCACUUAAAUUGUGGAAGAGAAAAAACCUUGGCAAUCUAGCCCUUAGACUGGCAAUAGCCAAUGAGGUGCUAUGCUUCUUGGAUGCAGCUCAGGAACAAAGAGCCCUUACAACAGAGGAAUUAGAAUUUCAACGAUACCUAAAAGCGAAGUCGGUGGGCUUAGCAACGGUUCAGAGAGCCCGUGCAAGACAACACUCCCGGCUCACAUGGAUGCGAAAAGGAGACGCAUGCACACGCCUGUUUAUGCUGCAUGCUAACAACACAAGAAGAAAUCUACACAUCCCGUCCUUAACCACCGUAAAUGGAACAACAAUCAACAACCACCAGCAAAAAGAGGAAAUAAUAUACGAUCACUUCGUAAACCUGUUGGGCAAAACACAAGAGAGAUCCCUCAGCCUAAACUGGACAAAUCUCGGAUGUCAUCCACAUGACUUGACCGACCUGGAAGCACCAUUUGAGGCAGAAGAAAUAAAAAAGGUCGUCAUGCACUUACCAGCAUAAAAAUCACCUAGCCCGGAUGGAUUUAUUGGUCUAUUCUAUAAGAAGUGUUGGGAUGUGAUCGGAGAGGAUCUGAUCCAAGCUCUUCAUGCCUUCCACUCCCUUAGGACCAGACGCAUGGAAUUGAUUAACGAGGCCAAUAUCAUUUUGCUGCCAAAGAAAGAAGGAGCAACCAUGGUUGCAGAUUUCCGACCCAUCACUCUCAUUAAUAGUCUAGCCAAGAUCAUAACAAAGGUGCUAGUAGAUAGGUUGGCUCCGAGACUGAAUGAGCUAGUUUCCGGAUGUCAGAACACCUUCAUCAAAAAAAGAUGCAUUCAUGACAACUUCGUCUACGUACAUAGUGUAAUCAAGGCGUUGCACAAAUCAAAGAGACCGGCACUCUUUGUAAAACUCGAUAUCUCAAAAGCAUUUCAUUCGCUUAAUUGGGUAUUUCUCAUCGAAACAUUACAGGCCCUAGGUUUUGGCCAAAAAUGAGAGAUUGGAUUACAACACUAUUAGCCACCUCAUCAUCCAAGGUGCUACUUAACGGGAGACCUAGGAAAAAAUUGAAGCAUGCUAGAGGCCUCCGUCAAGGAGACCCACUAUCACCCAUGUUGUUCAUCCUUGCCAUUGACCCACUCCAUAAAAUGGUGGAACUAGUAGCCGGCAACAACAUCAUAAGACCAAUCCUCCCCAGAGCGGCAAAGCUACGAUGCUCCCUUUAUGCAAAUGAUGCAGCUAUUUUUACAAACCCAGACAGAGAAGAACUACAACGUAUCGGACAGUUGUUACAUAUCUUUGGAGAAUGUUCAGGACUCAAGAUAAAUAUGACUAAAACGGAAAUAUUCCCUAUCCGGUGUACCAAUGAAACCAUCUUAGAAGCUCUAGAGCACUUCUCGGGAAAAAUUUCCUCCUUCCCUGGAAAAUAUUUGGGCUUGCCUCUUCACAUGCGCAAACUCCGAAGGGUGGACGUCCAACCAUUAAUUGACAAGAUCGGUGGAAGGCUUCCUGGAUGGAAAGGUAAAAUGUUAUCGUCGGCCGGGAGAGAAACACUGGUGAAGAGUGUAUUAACAUCACAACCAAUAUAUCACCUCACAGUUUUCCCUACUCAAAAAUGGCUGAUCAAACAGAUUGAUCACCUACGUCGCAGUUUCCUUUAGAAAGGAGAGGAACCAAAAAAGGUCAAUGGAGGACACUACUUGAUUAAAUGGCCAACAGUAUGCACGCCUAAGGACAUGGGAGGGCUCGGGAUUCUCAACCUCGAGAGACUUGCGAGGGCUCUAAGAAUGAGAUGGUGCUGGUUCCAGUGGAAGUAUAGUGAGAUACCUUGGGUAGGACUUGAUAUCCCGUGCGAUAAGAAUGAUAAAGACCUAUUCUAUGCGUCAACAGUAGUAAUGGUGGGCAAUGGAAAGAAAGCAAACUACUGGAUAGCGCAGGUUUACCCACUCAUGACAGGAGAGGAAAUCAGAGAGUAUGUGCAGCUAUUUGAGGAAAUAAACAUGCUACAACGUGACACUAAUGCGGAGGAUGAAAUAUCAUGGAGGUGGACGCAGGACGGGGAGUAUACCACAAAGAGUGUAUACCGUAUACAAUUCCAAGGCCAACUGAAGAAGUUGAGUAUCACCUCAAUAUGGAAAGCUAGAACUGAACCAAAAUGCCGGAUCUUUGCCUGGCUUCUCCUGCAUAGGAAAAUCUUAAUAGCAGACAACUUGGAAAAGCUGGGGUGGCCUAAUGACCCUCAGUGCAAGCUAUGCAAUUCGGACCUGGAGACACCCACACACCUGUGCAAAGACUGCCCUUACACAACGGCAGUCUGUGACCGGCUGCAGGGAUGGUUUUCUCUUAACCACUUACCCCCAGGCAACACAUCGCUUUCGAUCCACAAGUGGUGGAAGAAAUGUAGGAGCAUGAUCGACAAAAGGAACAAAACUUUCUUUGACGGCCUCAUCAUAUAUUUCUAGUGGAACAUUUGGAAAGAGCGCAACAGACGAAUCUUUAAUCACGAAACCAAACUGGUGGAAGACGUCGCGUUCUCUAUCAAAGAAGACAUCCAACAGUUCCAGUUCGCCAAUAAAACGCAUGAAGCUCCCGCGGUUGAGCCAACCUAGCAGCAUUUUUCAUCUUUUAAAGUGGGGUUUUGAAGUGGAGCUCGUAGUUGUUGUUGUUUUUUCCUUUCUCCCUAGGGAGUGCUAUUUAGUUGGUGCAGUGAGAGCCAUGUACAUAGAGUUAUUUUUUGUUUUAUUUUCUUGUCUUGUUUGGUUUUACCUCUUCUAAUAAAAAUUCGGCAAAGCUUUUGCCGUCCGUUAAAGAAAACAUACAUUAUGAUAAUUUUAUAAAUUUUAAUGGAGACGGGGAUGCAUAUGAUAUACUCCCUCCAUCUAUAUUUAUAAGGCGUGGAAGGACUUAGCACGGUCUUCCAAAUAACACUUUGACCCUUUAUUUAUCUUAUAUUAUAGUAUUUAUAGUUAUAAACUUAUAAUCAUCGUAGAGUAUAUUUGAUUACGAAUCCAACUAUAUAAAUUUUGAAUUAUAAAAAUAAAAAAAUAAUAGUUAAAUUAUUGGUCAAAAAUUGUAAAGUUUAAAUCUUGAUAUGCGUGUGCGCCUUAUAAAUAAAAACGGAUGGAGCAUAUCCCCCAAAUGUUUCUAUAUAUUGUGGAACUCAACUUAACUGAAGGAUAUAAAGACAAGAUUUUCAUAGGAAAUCGAACCAUUUUAAGAGGCGGUUCACACGAGGGAUCUCCUAGGAUAAUGCUAUUUGUGCACAACCAUACCCUUACAUGAACCGUCUCUGGAACCAGAAAUCAUUCCGUUUUCACUUACGGCAGACACGAGUGUAAUGGAGCCGUACAGGUGCAGGAGGGCGAUCCCCAUCUAGACUUUAAUUUGGCCAUGUGGAAGUAGGACACACUAUCUCUAGCACCAGCACCAUGUGUAGUUGGUCCCCCGUGUAUGCAUCAAUGCUGCACCUAUCGACUGUGACCUGGCACCUAACCGGACAGUUGGUUACGGUAGCCAUUCUUGUGAUUUCACAACUCAAAGGCAUCGUUUAUCCUCCCUCUCCCUGCUGCUGCUCAUCCUCCCUUCACUGAACUACUUGUUGCAAUCAGAAGAAAGAUCAAUCGAGUUGAAGAGACAGAUCGGAAGCUAGUCAACGUUGAUUGGUUCGUGAGUGAUGUUAUGAUCCGUCCCUCUGUUAUAACCAUCCAACCCAGCUGGUGCAGAAGCUAAUUACCUGAAGCAAUAUAUUUGUAGAAACGAAUAGUAAUAUAUUUAUAGAAACGAAUAGUACUGGUUAGUUCACUUAUUUCUUUGCUCAAACUUAGCCGUUUGGCAAGGCUUCGUCUUGGGUUAAAAUGACUCCGGAGCUUCGGCUCAUCAAGCAACUUUUUAUAUCUCUAGCUCAUCCUAUUAAAAAAUAUUUGGUAAAAUGAUUUCUCCAAAUUAGUUUGAGGUUGAUAGAAAGAUAAAAUGUCCAAAAUACUCUAAGAACAUAUAUUUUUCAUUCCAUUUUUUUCUUUUCCAUCAUUCUUUUAUUCCAUCUACUAUUUUUUCCUUACGCUUUUUUUUUUGGCCAGGUGUGCCUUAUCCGCUUCGGCCCUUCCCACCAUGCCUUUUUUCCUAUUUCUUUUCUUGCCGAGCGUGCUUUAUCUCCUUCGUUGACUUCAGUAGCACCUGUUGCGUUCGAUGCUCGCGCGGCAGCCCGGGGACCUCGACCUCGCCCGCCUAGGAGCUCCAGCAGCCGGUCCGCUCCGCCGCCGGUGCGGCAACCACGCCGUCGUCAGACCGCCUCACGCGGCCACCGGUCGUCCCCGCGAUACACCGCCGCCGGUGCGCCGUGCGCGGCGGCGCUGUCCCGCCGCUCCGCCGCCUACCGUCGGCCUGCGCCACCACCAGCGCACCGGCAGCACCGCGAGCUGCCGCGCCGCCCCGACAUUGGUCCUUCCCGAGCCCGGUGUCGUCACCAGCGUCGCGGAGAGAAGGUAAGGGGAGUGGCAAUUUUGCAGUAGUUUUGACGAACUUGAGGAGCAAAGUUAAAGCACAUGGCUGUGGGGAAGAGGAGAAGCGGGGAAAGCUACUUUUUAUGACUCACGCUGCUCAGUUCGAUUUGAUGAUUGGCUUCACACCGGCUUUUCCUGUGAAGCCCUUUUCAACUCACCCGUUUGGUAGGGUUUGGCCUGAAGCCGGUUCAUAAGCGGGAGCCAGAGCCCUACCAAAACUAUUUGGUGAGACUAUGAGCCGUUUGGUUCUCUGACUUAUUUUUAGCACAUGUCACAUUGAAUGUUUAGAUACUAAUUAGGAGUAUUUAACGUAGACUAUUUACAAAACCAUUACACAGCUGGAGGCUAAAUGGCGAGACGAAUCUAUUAAGCCUAAUUAGUCCAUAAUUUGACAAUGUGAUGCUACAUUAAAUAUUUGCUAAUGAUGGAUUAAUUAGGCUUACUAGAUUCAUCUCGUCGUUUAGCCUCUAUCUGUGCAAUUAGUUUUAUAAUUAACUCAUAUUUAGUCCUCCUAAUUAGCCUCCAAAUAUUCGAUGUGACACGGACUAAACUUUAGCUCAAGGAACCAAACCUCGCAUAAAUUAGCUGCUUAUUCUGCUGGUUGCAUGCAGGAGAUCGAGCUGCGGGCACACGGCCGGAUCGGAGGAGGACAUAUCAGCCGGGUUCCUGUUGGUUGUGUACUUGUGUUCCUGCCAGCGGAGAAGCAACCAUGGCCGAGUUAGUGAUCGGGCCACUGAUCUCCAUGGUGAAGGAGAAGGCAUCCAGCUACCUGCUGGACCAAUACAAGGUGAUGGAAGGCAUGGAGGAGCAGCGCAAGACCCUGGAGCGCAUGCUGCCAGCAAUCCUGCAAAUCAUCCAGGAUGCGGAGGAGAAAGGAGCCUCCCGACGAGGAGUAGCAGCUUGGCUCAAACACCUCAAGACAGCAGCCUAUGAGGCCAACGACGUCUUUGAUGAGUUCAAGUACGAGGCGCUUCGGCGAGAAGCCAAGAAGAAGGGCCACCACAGCAAGCUUGGAGUGGAGGUAGCAAGACUCCUAGUCCCCACUCGUAAUCCCAUUGUAUUCCGUUACAGGAUGGGCAAGAAGCUACGCAAGAUUGUGCAGACCAUCGAGGCCUUGGUCACCGAGAUGAAUACAUUUGGUUUCAGGCACUUGCAGCAAGCAAAGCCAUCAAGGCAGUGGCGACAGACAGAUUCCAUAAUCAUUGACUCCGACAGAGAUAUUCUUAGCAGAUCUAGAGAUCGGGAGAAGAAGAAAAUCGUGGGGAUGCUCCUUGAUCAAGCUAGCAACAUGGAUCUCAUGGUUCUUCCAAUUGUUGGGAUGGGUGGGAUGGGCAAGACCACCUUUGUGCAACUCAUUUACAAUGACCCUGCAAUCGAGAAGCACUUUGAGUUUCGGAGGUGGUGCUGCGUAUCAGAUGAUUUCGAUGCAAGUACCAUUGCAAGCAACAUCUGCCAGACCAACGAGAAAGGACGUGAAAAAUCAUUGCAGGAGCUCCAGAGUAUAAUAAUUGGAAAAAGGUACCUCAUUGCGCUAGCUGAUGUAUGGAAUCGGGAUGCUGCUAAGUGGGGAAAACUAAAGACCUGCCUUAAGCAAGGUGGCAAGGGCAGUGCAGUACUAACAACAACUUGUGAUGCAGAAGUGGCUUGCAUUAUGACCAUGGGUGUAGCUGAAGCCCAUAAUAUCGAGAAUCUGAGUGACAAGCAUUUAAAGGAAAUUGUCCAAAGCAGAGCAUUCAGCUUGCAAAAUCCAAAUAUUGAAGAGCAAGAUGGCAUUCUCAGUGGAUUUGUUCGUCGAUGCGUUGGAUCUCCCUUGGCUGCCAAAGCCUUUGGCUCUAUGUUGAGUAACAGGACUAGUAUAAAUGAAUGGAAGGAUGUAUUAGCUAAAAGUAACAUUUACCGAUCCUCAAGCUCAGCUUUGAUGACCUAUCCUCAGAUAUGAAGCAAUGCUUUGCAUUUUGUGCUUUAUUUCCUAAAGAUUAUGAGAUCGAUGUGGACCUCUUGAUUCAACUGUGGAUGGCACAUGACUUCAUACCUGUGCAGGAGGAUGACAAUCCAGAAACCGUAGGAAAAUAUAUUUUCGAGGAGCUAACUCAGAGGUCAUUCUUUCAAGAGGUCAGGCAAACACAUCCAAAGUGCUAUUAUGGAAGUCUUCGUAAGUCAACCAUAUGCAAGAUACAUGAUCUCAUGCAUGACAUUGCUCUAUCUGUUCUGGGGAAAGAAUGUGUCACUAUAGUUGGUAAGCCGAGCAUCAACAAGGUGUUGCUAAAUCCGACCCGCCACGUCUUCUUAUCAACAAGGUGUUCUCAUUUCUGGAAAGAACAGGUUACAAGUCUACUGGAUCAUCUAUUGAAGAAACAAACUGCAAUGGUCCACACGUUGUUUUUUACAGAUUAUUCUGACCCCCUUGAUAUAUCAAAGUACACUUCACUGCGAGCAUUACACCUUCCAGCAUAUAUAUUCUCAUGUGUAGGACAGGAGCAGCUUACAAGACACAUACAACACCUAAGGUAUCUUAAUCUGUCGUCACAUGAGUUCGAGAAACUUCCUGAAGGUAUAAGCAUUAUGUAUAAUCUACAAACGUCGUCACAUGUUCAGGACAGGAACAACUUACAAGACACAUACAACACCUAAGGUAUCUUAAUCUCCCACCUUCCCUCAAACAAUUAGGCAUCUGCAGCUGUGAGAAGCUCUGCUCUGUGUCAGGAGACCUGCGUGCACUCGAGGACCUACAUAUUUCUGACUGCAAUAAGUUACAGUCAGUCAAUUCCUUGGGAGACCACCCAUCAUUAGAAACACUGAUUCUUUCUCGCUGCCGAUGCCUUGCAUCUUUAGGAUGUGAUGGUGGUCGUGGGAGUUACUCUGCUCUUCAGAGCCGUAAGAUUGUAGACUGCCCAGCCUUAGACAUGAAGCAGUUUUACUAACGCCAUCAAACAGCUGCUUGACAGCUUUGAAAAUGAAGACGUAUCACACGUUCAUUCAAGCAGCUCUGAUGAAGGUAUACGACCUUUCACUUUCCUCUUAUUCAAUUUGUUUCCUUCAAAUUUCCCUGCUUUGCAUGCCCUCCUAUUUUGUUGACGAACUGGUUGAUAGAUGGGUUUGCGGGGUGGGAUUUUGGGGUUUCAUCUUCAUUCCGGCUUUUAGACGGUCCUUUCUCACUGAUGUAAACCCACAUAUUGUUGGUUUAUACGGCUAUUAAUUGGUUUUCAGUCUUGGAUGCAGUUGACGUGCAUAGAGAAAUUCUGGAAAUAUGUGCUACCCCUUGGUGUUGAGAUCAGCUGAUGCGGAAUCAUUGAAGUACUACUGAAACGACAUCCUGAUCGGUCUCAGUUUUGGAGAGCAAUUUGUGGUGAAUGGAAGCAGUCCCAAGGCUUGAAGAACUCAUGGAGUCGUGCUUCAAGAACUCAUGGAGUCGUGCUGUACCAUUCUCCACUGCUAGGGCCUAAACUAGGUACGUGGAAGGCGCACUGUGUUUUGUCAACAACACAAUUCCUUUAUAUAAGUUGGGAUAGUAAAAAACCAUGCCUUCGUCUGUGUUAAUCAAAUCUCAUUUAGCACAUAUAUGGGGGACGUGUUGUUAACUUGUUACCCCCAUGCUUUUCAUUUUUUCUGUGCAGACAUCACCCAUUUGUCCUUAAAUUAAAGCAUAAAGGAGGGGCACUCACUUGUACACAUGUUCUUAAGCACUGCAACGACUGCCAUUUGUAUACUCAGCUUCAUUGCAAGCCUUUGCUAAUGACGACAGGCCUUCAGUGGAUGACAAAAACGACCAAGUUUGUUUUCACGGCACUACUAGCUGCUGGUAUUCUCUCGUCACUAAUGUACAGAACUCCAUUCUGUCAUCCAUCAAAGCUGUGGACAAUAUGAUGUCACUCUUGUUUUAAACGAAACCGGCAGGAGAGCUGCCCCGCUAUAUUAAAAAGAAGGGAUGCCCGAAGGGCCAGAGAAGUGUACAUGAAAAAGAGUGUUAAAACCCCUUGACAAGGAAGAAAAAACUAUACACACUAAAAAGAGAAACGGUGCACAAAAACACCCUCAAGAAAGCUGCAAUAAACAUGCCAGGUGCUUAGCCCUGACCGCCACCCAAGAAGCGGCCUCCCCUUUUAUCUUUGAGAAAACUUGUAAUGAAGAGGAUUCUUUGUGGUCGAAAAUUCUUGCAUUCCUUUCAAUCCAAAGUUCCUAACAGACCAAAAUGAUUAGGCUCCUCAGCCCACUCCUAUCGACGCUUGGUGUCCUUACCCGCGCUGUCCACCACUCAUGCACCAAAGUGCACGGCUCCUAGUUUUAAGACCUUCAUUUGCUACCCAUGCAGCGAUCGCAUCCCAAAUGCGCCUGGUAAACCGGCAGUCAGUUAGGAGAUGCAUUUCAGACUCUUGAACCGUGCAACACAAAGCGCAUGUGUCAUUGUGAGGCCAAUUUCAUUUUGCUAACCUAUCUGACGACGUCCAUAUCCAAUUUUGGAUUACCAACCACCUGGAAAAUUUGCACUUCGGGAGCACCCACGGCUUCCACAUGAUCGCUUUGAAGUUUGUGAAGGUGGAGCCGACACGGUGUAUUGAUUAUUCUCUGUUAUUUUCCAUACAAUGUUGUCUGGGUUGUCUGGUAUGAGUUGAACCUAGACUACCACUGUCCACAAAUUGCAGAACUCCAUAAAAUACCCCAAUGCUAAAUUUACACUCGAUCGGACGUUCAUAUCGUCGUGGUCGACGUGCACCAGUCCUCCCAUCAGCCCAUCACGUGGGCUCCACUCCACUUUUCCCCUCGCGCUCUCUCCCCCCUCUCCAUUCCACUUCUCAUCCUUCUCUUUCUCGAUUUCUCCACGAGAUCCACCUAAGCAACUCUGCGCAUGGAGCUGUUUCGCCUAGCGUUGAGCACAACGGUGGCAGGCCUAGUGGCGGGCGGGGAAAGCAGCGAGGCUCCGCCUUGCAGCACACGGUGGCGCUCGAGAUCAUCCGACGAGGCACGGAUGUGGGCCUGUCGGUGCGCGGGGGAAGGAUCACUAGGACCAUCGAGGGCACCUCCGCGCCCCGACGGUGAGUAGCCGACGGAUCCUGGCGAGCUCUGCGGGGGUCGCGGUCGACAGCGAUCUGUUCAUUUUUUCCCUUCCUUUUUUCUCUUCUACUUUUUGUCUCAAAAUCUUUUGUCUGUAUAAAGUUUUUGUUUCCAUUUUUUUAUUUCUUUGCAUCGUGAAUUUUUUCUCCAUUAUUUUGCUUCAAAACUUUGUGGACAAAAUUUCUUUUUCAAAACUUUUCCAAAAAUUUUGUCUCAAUUUUUAUUUUCUGAGUUUUGUUCCCAAAAUCUUGCAAAAUUUUUCCUCCAAAUUUUUGUUCGCAAACUUUUGUUUCCAAGUUUUUCAAAAAAAUUAUCCUCAAACUUUUGUUUUCCAACUUUUUUUAAAAAAAAAUUCUCAUUUUUGUUUAAUGAGACGGGAAUCGCACGUGGGAAGCCGUUCCGACGUGUGGUCGGAAAUCGAUCGCACGGAAGGCUCCCACUAGUCGCGUGUAAACUUGCGUCCCCCAUAAAAUAAAUCUGUGUGAGGCUCGAGGCUGGAGGCCUAAUAAGGCCAGCUACAAGACUAUGCUUGAUAGUAGAGAGAAGUUUUGGUUGCUAGCAGUCGAUGCUGAGUUAGAGCCCCAAUGCUUGGUUAGUAAAAUAUUGCUCCAUAGCAGGAAACAGGCGUCGCUGGGCAAAGAGAAGUGCAGGAGAACCAAAAGGAAAUAGGUACAACUAGCUAAAGAAGCCAGCAGAGAGUAUUUAUGUAAGGUUUCUUAAUUUAUAGGAACCAAAGCACACUCAAACCAUAUUCCAGAAUCUUAUUACAUGCAGAACCUGAAGUAAGGGAGAUUGAAACAUAGGGCACGCAUGCAUGCCUUUAAUUACACUACUACCAGAAAUUAAAAUACGCUGCUGCCAGAAGUGCUAUAUAUUGAGAGGUAGCUGGUGCAGUGUCACGCCAACAUAUGACGCAUGGUAAUGACGGGGAGGACCUGGACGUAGUACUCGAUCCUGUAGGCAACCUUGAGUAUGAGAUCGGGUUGCUGCCAAUCGUAGCCGCCGUCGACGCCGCAGAGGAAGGUCUGCGCGAUCCUGUAGUCGAUCUUGUGCUGCUGGUUGUGCAACACGAUCUUGUACGCAUCUCGGAGAUGUUCUUUCAGACUGCUCACCAUCGACCUGGUGUUCUGGUCCCGCGACAGCUUCCAGGACUGGGGCUGCUGCAUCAGGUCGGCUAUCUGCUGUACGAAUUGUACCAGCUGCUGGAUCUCCCCCCUGUUCUGCCUCAGCGCCUUCGCCUCCUGCACGAUAGAAAGUGCGAGGCGCACGACCUCAUCAUGGUCGCCGGUUCGAGCCCCCUGCUGGUCUCCACGUUCUCCUGGACCUACCGACAACGUGCUGCUCCUCACUGCAUUCACGUCCCUGCGCAUGCAUGCCGAUCAUCUCUGGUUAAAUUUUUCGUUAUUUACGUACUCCAUAUAGGAAGUACUAUAUGAAUGUUUUAUAUAUCAGCACACGAUGAAUACCCGUCCGUGAUGUCCCUGAUUAUCAACUCAAUCACACUUUUAGCGUCGGAUGACAUAUUGUCCAUGUUAGUCAAGUUCCUGAUAGAUGACUUCAGCUCCUCUUUUUCAGUCUGAGAGUGGUCAGAGUACAAAAAAUCCAAAGCUUCCAUGCAUGUUAAAUAUUCAAUAAGACAUGCAUAUAGUAUGAAUAUAGUCAUAAUGAUCAUGUCAUGCAUAAGCUUGGUCAAAAACUAUUAAUAUAUCGCAAAAUCAGGCAACAAUGUUAAUCUACCGCUCCCUCCAUUCUCUUUAGAUAUUAAUCCUUUUCGAACACUAGUACAGUCUAGUAUUGUGCACCUAAAAUAGUCCAACGUGAUGUAACAUGGUGCUGUCUAUAAAUCGUCAGUUUAUGUUUUGAACUUUACUACCUUUUAUUUUUUUAGAUAAUGGAUAAAUAUCCGGCUUCACCCUCCUCUUUCGACCAGGCGGAUCAGUCCACAAUUAUUACAAAAGAAAUGAAUUCACACUAUGGUUUCGACCAAUCAAACCGACUCAAAGAAAUCAAUUCUGGAAUCAAAAGGUAGCUUGUCACUACCUUUUAUUUAUGUUGCAUUGUUCAUUGCCACAAAUUAUUUGCAAAUAUGAAUCUUAUAAUGCUAAACUUUUAUGGUACAAUCUACGUACAGUUUCUUUCUCAAGUUUGCUGUAGUUGUUUGCCGUUGAGUAAUAUGUAAUUCCGAUGGAUUCAAGAGUCUAGCUAGCUAGAUUUUGGUACCUGUGGAAGGCGCUUGCAAGCACCAUUUCGAAGCAGCUUCUCAAGCACGUUCAUGAAGAAGCGCUCCUUAUUGAUGCUUACAAUGAGGAUCAUGUUGGCAAUGUGGAACGACUCCAGGAUUUUGGAUAUCCGUGCAUCAACGGCGACGAUCUUGUUGGCUUUCUUUUUGGUUUUGAAGACAAGCGACCAAGUCCUCUUCUCCCUGCAGGACUCAACGAGCGCCUUCCCGUCGUUGAGCGCAUCUUCAAGAUGUUUCAGCAUGCUGUAGGUCACUGGGUCCGGCAUCCACUGGCUUUUCAGCUCCGUCAGGAGGAGGUUAAUCAUUUGCACGUGGUCUUUUAGCAUAGUACAUUUCUCCCUGUUGCGCUGAGCCGCCUCCGCCAGCCGAUUGAUCUGUUCCACGAUGCUCAUCAACGACGAAAUAAGCCCAAUUGCUUCGGCCACCCCAACCAUCUCGAUCGAUUGCGCUGCGCCUGUAUGCUUGCAACGUCAGAUUUGCACGUAUAUGAGUAUACAUGUCUACCCUCCGCCAUCCAAAAACAAUUGGAUGCCGACAAGUGGUAUUGACAAGUCUAUGCACAACACGCGAUGUCAUGUCAAAUUUUAGCUAAUUUUAGCUUUUCUAGAUUCAUAGAUAGUAUUAUGUAUCUAGACAUCCACUAUAUCUAGGUGCGUAACAAAAGCUAUGCAUCUAGAAAAUUCAAAAUGACCUACAAUUUGGGAGGGAGUACACCCUAAUAAAAAGAUUAAUGGUGGAGCCUGAAGCACAAUUUAUCGUAUAAAAAUAAUACUUGUAAAUAUAUAAAUUUAUUAUAAAAUAUAGAAACUCGAUUGACUAUCUUCUUAAUUAAUGGAGAAAUAUAGGCUGUGAAUUUUCAAAAGGAAAAGGAAAAAGUGUAUUUUUCAUCCUUCAAGUAUUGCAAAAGUGUAACAUUCCUCCUUCAUGUUUCAUUUGGUGCAAAUCAAGCCCUUAACUAACUAAAUCGGUUGCAUUUAUCAUCCCCACCUUAGUUUAAUAAUUGUUUAGUGUCAUAUAACAUCGCUUUAGGCCAUGUAAUCAUCUUACUAAUCAGUAUUUAGCCAUGUAUAAUAUUUAGUCAAUUGAUUUAAUAGUUUGGUGUGAAUCGGUUCCGUUAAUUUUUCCGAUAAAAUAGUUAUAUGGUAGUCAAUUUAGAGGAUUUACUUUUUUUGUGGGCUUUAUAUCUUUGACUUAACAUAUUACAUCACUAAGCAGUGAUUUAGAUGAAUACAUGGCAUAAACCUUCAUUAGAUGUUACUAAACCAAUUGAACUAACGUGAGGAUGAUACAUGCACUGAUAUAAUUAGUUAAGGGGUUAAUUUGCACCAAAUGAAACAUGAGGGAUGAAUGUCACACUUUUGCGGUACUUGAGGGAUGAAAAAUAAACUUUUUCCAAAGAAAUAACUUGAUCGAUCCUGGUCCCAACUAUUUUAUAAAUCUCUUUUAACAUGAAUUUUGUUGAGCUCGCAUGAACACAAAUUGUGGCAAAAUUAAAGAACAUCUACACCGUUCAAUAUACCUACAAUCCCAUACUGCAUGCAGCCAUUUUAUAAAUUUCUUUUGAUGUGAUUUUUUUAGUUCCUAACGCAGACUAUCCUUCAAGAGAAAAAAAUGGGCUAUGGAAUAUAUGAUUAUAUAGUACGAUAUCUCCUGUACAAUGUUAGUAUAUGAGUUGAACCGGUCUUGUACGACAAGAUGAUCCAAGCAAAUGGACUCAGUAGGUAAGGUACAGUUUUGUAGCCACACAACUUUGGUGUGCAAGGAUAAACAAACACUUCAAAUGGAUUCCGUUAAAAUAACUUGUAGGGGAUGCAAUAUGGCAGAUCUGCUGGAGAUGAUCUAAACUUACAUUCACAUAUAUAGGAUAAACGAACACUUCAAGUGUUAACCCUAGCUAAUGCUUGCAAACAGAAACAAUGGAGGUUCCUUGACAUUUGACUGGAUAGUAGUGUAUUGUAGAAAAAAGGGAAAUCAAUAACCUGCCAUACCUUCUCAAAGCUCCAACCAAGAAAUAGCGCUACCUCACCCAAUAGGCUGUGUCGCCUUGCUUCAGCACAAGGUAGCGAGCACACGGCUAUUUAUACAAAUAACAUUGUAUAAAUGAACGCAUGCAGAAAAGUAUACUUUGCCUAGGUACGCAUGGAGACUUGCUUAGAUUGACCUGGUUACCUGUACUGUACUCACUUCAUACUCUUGACAACGCAAUUCAGCUACCAAGGAGUACGACCUGCGUCGACGAGACGAAGACUUGUUUAUACUCAGGGCAACGCAAUUCAGCUACCAAGGAGUGCGACUUGCGUUGACGAGACGAAGACUUGGACCUCGUCUUCGACUGCAUGCAUGCAUUGGACUAAUCUAACCACGCGGCGACUCGCCCCGGCCCGUGAUGACCCUGUAUAUGGAAUAGUGUGCAUGGAGGAUUAUUCACUCACGCUGCGCUGCCGACAAUGAAAGUACCGCAUGCCCAAACAGUACGUUGCUCAUGGUUGAGUAAAUGUAACUAAGUACACCCAACGUCCUGAAAUAUACUUACGGUAUAUUUAAGAACGGAGCUGUACUUACGGUAAAAAAUCAUUGCUCAUGGUUGAAACUUCAAAACAGACGGUUUUUGCCCACCAGCAGCGAUAGCCGGGACCGUUUCCGCGCUCAUCGGUGCAAAUUGCGCAACUAGCAGGACGAGACAUGCACGCAAACAGCUGGUGAAACAUGCAUGCACCUAGCAUGGCUAGUCGUCGGGCAGCAACUAGCACGAGACUAUAUGUUCAUGCAAGUGUCUCAUUAAUCAUAGCGCGACCUAACACCAAAACACAUCAACCAGCAGCGUAUCUAGAUUUUCGACCUAAUGUUACUAAUACAGACUAGGCUAUCACCGUCAGCUUAUCACCACUGGUUUUCGGUGAAUCUGCGGUGAUAGAGUGUCACCGCCGGUCCAAUAUUUAGUCGUACUCAAUGUUCAUUGGUCAUUAUGUCUUUACUAGAGAACCGGGCUUCAAUCCCGACCCAUCAAUCCUGAAUGCCAAUGCUCCCGGUUCAGUGGCUACAUAUCACGUCCGGUUUCUAAACAAAACCGGUAGAUGAUCCGUGGGGCUAACAUCUCUCCUAAUCAGUGGCUCAAACCUGCUGUCAAGUCCGCUACUGCUUGCUCAUCCUCCCAUGAAGUUAAAGUGAAAUCCAGUUUGGCUUAAAUAAGAUUUAUAUUUUUUUGGCCUGUUAGCUUGAGCUUCUUCCAGCGGUUGCGGCUGUUGCUCAUCUUCAGAGUUACCAUCCUCGCUCUUCAUGUUCACCCUUCCCAGCCAUUCUCAAGUCACCCAGAGGGGGGGUACAAAGGCUCUCCGCUAGAGUUCGGAGGCCGGACAAUGCCCGUCACAUCCGCCUUCCAUGAAGGUUUUUGCUGGCAGCCAGGCAUUUCGAGGGUAACAGAUCAAGUGGUGGAAACCUUUAGUAGAAUGCUUAUCACUCAAUUGACUCACAUCUCUUUUGUUUAAGGAAACCAAGCCCACUACUACAAAAUUAAUAUCAAGAUAAUAUGUUAUAAAACUUAUUUGUGAAAACUCAAGAUAAGCAUGCACAGGAAUUUCAGGAAAGUGCCGGGUGCCUCACAACCAAGCUCAUUAAUACCAAAGAAAGAUCAACAAACAAAACAAAUGGACACAACGUUCAGAACCCAAUCAUUUGCCCACCAAGAAUGCCAUACCCACACCAGAACAAAUAAGAACAGAAGUUUAAAAGGGUAAAAAUUGGUUGAUGAUGCAUGGAACGAAACGUAUAGAAUGCUUAUUACUCAAUCGACCCACAUCUCUUUUUUUUUCUAGGAAACCAAGCUCUCAUUACUACGUUGGAACAUCUAACCAACCAAAUGGACGAAAUUGUUUAUUUGGCCUCCAAGAAUGCCAUACGACCUGAAUAACUGAAAGCGCUAACAAAGCCACUUAUUGUUGUGCAUAGCAGCUAAGCUUGACUUAUUUGCAAACGGGUGCGAAAUGCGAUACAAUAAUUCAUAGUUCUAGACGUCAUGAGCCACGCGUGGGAUAAGAAGAAGCUUCUCCUUACGGUGCACAUCAACCCCAUAUGACUCUGUCAUAUCGAUGCUUGUCGACCCUGGUGGAAGCUCGGCUUGCAGCUUGCAGCUUGUUCAUUGAUUGGGGAUUCUGCAUCAGCUCAGCCAUGGCGUAGUCGAGCGCUAUGUACGUUGUGUCUGUCCCAGCUUCGAACGUGUCCUACACGCAUGUAUCAACAAAAUUCAAUCAAACUUUAGCAAACUAGUCCAUGAAACAUGUCCUAUGUACGUCUUGUAAGGAUUAGCUUGGAAGCUUCAAAAGAAACCUUCAAUUAGUAAAAGUUUGAUUUUUUAAAAAAAUUUGAAGUUUAGUUGCAUACAUGCGGUCGGUAGAAAUGGAACUCUGCAUAUACAUACCAUCAGUAUUGCCUUGAUAUUAUCUCUGGUCAGGCCGUACUCUUGUUGAACGGAGAGCAACACGUCGAUAAAGUCCCCCUCGUCCUCACCAUCCAGCGUCUUGCUCUUGUGCUUGUCGAUGAGGCUGUCCAAAAGGUCAUCCCAUCUCUUCAUGUGCUUCACGGCCUUGGCCGACACCAAAUCAAACCUUGCCAAGCUCGGGAAGUAGUCAUCCAGGUUGAAUCCUCCCAGGAGCUUGGUGUUCGUCUCUAGCAGCUCCCGGAAGAGCUGGUUCCGGCCUUGUUCCCUGGGGAGCCUGCCCGUCAUGGCCUGGCACACAAUGUCAUUGGCGAAGAAGCCCAAGAUUUCGCUGACGUCGAUCGCCGUGCCCGCGGCGGCGGCGGCCCUCACCCUGGCUAAGACCAGCCGGACCUCCUGCUCGCGGGCGGCGCGGUAUGACCGGACCUUCGCUGCGGUGAGGAGGUGGGUGGUGAUGACCUUCCUGGCUCGGCGCCAAUACUCGCCGUAAGGCGUGAAGCUAACGUCAGUGGAGCCGUAGAAGAGGAUGUCAGCGACCACGGAGUGCGGUCGGGAGGCGAUGACGUGGUCGUGCGUGCGCAGGACAGCCUUGGCGGCGCGGGGGGAGGAGACGACGAGCGUUGGCACGGCGCCGAGGCGGAGGAGCAUCACGUCGGGCCCGUGCUUCUUGGCGAGGUCGCGGAGGGAGUGGUGGGGAAGGGAUCCGAUGAGGUGGAGGUGGCCGAUGAUCGGGAGCUUGAACGGAGGCGACGGUAGCUUCCGGAGCAGGUUCUCUGUUCUGGACCUUGGUGUUGCCAAGUGCACGGCGACGAGGAAGAGGAAGAAGAGGAGGGCUAGGGACUCUGGAGAUGCGUGUUCGUAUAGAGGUGCGCUAGCGCUGGAGCCGCCAUGGCUGAUCAACCUGCUCGUUGCAGUUUUUGUAGAGCUCGGAAGUCGUGAUCCGUCAGACAGCAAGAAGAGUAUGCUACCAUUUUUUUUCUUUUCUGCAUCACCGCCAGAUCAGAUCAGACAGGAUUUUAUGAGAGAAUCCUAUGGAAUCAUCAUCCUUUUUAGUAAACUUCACCAGACGCAGGAACGCGAGCCGAUUAAUUGGCAAGCUUUUCUCUCAGAAUAUGUGUUUGGUGCUGGAUUAAUUGGCGUGCAGGUUGAAGAAAGGCUGCUUUAUAGAUUAGCCCCCGAAGAAAAAGGAAAUUCCGACGGAAAGUUUGUGUCUUGUGGUUUUGCAAAAAGGACCCUGGAAAGGCUAGAUUCUCAAGUUCCAGUCCUACCCGAGAUCUUUUGCAAAUAUAACCCUAUAAAUUCUGUUAUUUGCAAGUACUUUUACGUGUGUCUUGCAAAUCUUUCUUGCUAGCCCCUGCCGUCUAUGGCUAAUUGCAUCUGGGUCCCUGCCACCUUGUUUGUCUCAUAACUUCUUCCUUCUAGCUCCAUUUUGAGUGAUUCUUUCGCUCACACGUUCGUCUUAACGAGUAGAUUAGUUUGGUACUGCUUUUAUGGUACUGCUUUUAAGUAAUAUUUUUGAUGAUUGGUGUACUGUUUUUAAUUAAAUGCAUUUGUUUGCUUGUAUGUGCUUGUGUGACGCGUAUAGAAGAAGCGUAGUUCGAGGAAUCCAAAGAGGAGGGAGACUGAAGACUCUGAGCAGCAGAAGGGCUUGGAGGAAGGCAAGUGUCCUUGGUCAUUCCCGUUUAUACCUAAAUGACAUGCAUUGAUUCACAAUAUUUAUUUAUCGCAAGCAUUAAUAUGAUGGGUUCCUAUUAAGGAUGAUGCCUAGUUUCUUUUGAUCAUACCUUGCAGCCAGGUUGUUCAAAUAAUCUGGAGGGUAGAUGAUGCUUAGUUUGCUCAACUGGGUUGGUAAAUAAACAAUAUGGUUAAUUUUAUUUAUUUACUCUAUGUUCCUUUAUGUUGAUUUAAUUACAAGACCAUAUGUUCUAAACGAACAUGGAGCGACCACCCAGGAAAAUAGUACAACCACAAGGACUACAUGGCUCUGGUCUUGGCUAACUAAUUAGAGGACUCUAGUGUUGGAUUGGUGUUAAGGGGGGGCAUGUCUCGCGGAACCUCGUGCAUUGGAACACACUAGGGAAGUCUUUGUUAAGGCCUCUAGCGUCCCUAUGCAAUCACACCUCGGAAGUGUGGUAUUGUGCCUACUUUUGCACAGCAUGGUUGAAUCCAAAGUUCACCUGAACUUUUAUGCGACUUGUGGGUAAAGAUGUACAACCUCUGCAAAGUGUAAAACUGUUAUAACAGCCGUGCUCACGGUCAAGAGCGGCCUGGACCCUCACAUGAUUAAUUUACUUGAAGAUGAUACUAGUGUGUUAUUUAUGUUCAUGCUUAUGGUAUAUCAAUGCUCUAUAUUAAUUGUGGGAUGGUAUAAACUUACAUUUGCUAGUGAUUAGGUGUUGAAUAAAAACUUGACCAACUAAAAGUGCUAAUCGCAGUUAACCUUGUCAGCCUUCCACCAUAUAAAGCCUUGCAUAUCAUAGAUAUUUCUCUCUUGCUGAGUACGACAUGUGCUCACGCUUGUGUUUUAUAUAUUGCAUCUACAACGUCCGGAUUGCUGCUCAGACCCGGAGAACUUUGAAGAUUACUGAAGUUUUUGGAGGAGUUCUAGGUGAGUCCACCAGUCAGCUGCCUGUGGAGUUGUUGGAGAUGCGCUGCCUAUAUUAGAGAUUUCUAUCUCAAUUCUAGUUACAUAAUUUAUGUAAUUCUCUCUCUACGCUAUAACACAGUAUUUGAUAUUUACUGAAGUCAUCGUAUGUUUGAAACUUGAUCCUGGCAUACAUAUGAUAGUCAUCUGGUUUUACAUUUAAAACCGGGUGUGACAGGAUGCUACCGAUGGCUCUGCAACUUGAUGCAAUUCAUGCACGCUGCUGGGUGGCACCCAUGGUGCGAGAUGUCCAGGAAGAGUGCAUUGGCACUGUGGCGGCGGAUCCGACCAGUAGCAGCAGCUCGCACAGGUCACGACAAUGUGCAUCAUCACAAAAAUCCGAGGCUGCCCGCGCAGGUCGAGCUUUUAUUUGCUUGGAUCGGAUAUUCCUUCCUACUAAUAUCAUGGCUAUCUGUGUGAGGCUCAUAGGCUGGAGGUCUAAGGGUAGCCAUAGACACUACUAUAGAACUGACCGAGGGCUGAUUAGGCUCAUAGGCUCAUAGGCUCAUAGGCUGGAGGUCUGAUUAGCUCAUAUUCUUUGUCUCACCCUAUGGGUAUCGUGGAGGCACGGCGCCAAGCUGGCGGCACGGUGUAGCCUCAAUUCAGAACUUUCCUAGCCAGGGCGUGGCCGAGGGCGAUUGGUUGCUCAACCUGAUGAGAACUUGGGUGGGUGCUCCUAGAUGGGAGAGAAUAGGGUGACGGAUGAGAAUGCAGAUGAGGGACGGGGCUCAGACGAGGGGUGGGUUGGAGACAUGUUUUCACUGUUGAACUCUUAGCGUCAAGAUGAGAGGUGAGAUGAGAUACCGGUAGGACCUGCUCUUACCAUGGCACUUCAGCAACCCCACCCCAACCCCGCGCGCAAGUCAAAAUUUGAGGACCAUAUGUACAAUACGUGUGCAAACAGAACCAUAAUUUUACUAGUAUCGAGGGAUUUUAGUUAUUUCUUCUAAAAAAUCUCUUGGGAAAUCGUAUUUUUGUAGUACAACAUAUAUAGAAAAUAAGUAUUACUCACAAAUAAACUGCCCUUUUCUUUAGUAUUCUUGGUUUUUGUUAUUAUUUUAUUUAAUCUUAAGAUUUAUAUAUGCAUAAAAAAGUAAUUUAGUAUCUUCAAAUAUGGAAACGUGGUCUUAGGAAUAGGGCUCAUAUUUUAUUCUUGAGCAUGCCUAGUGGAAAAAUACUAUCUAAAAAACCGCAAAGAAAUUUAAUACCUAAGCCUUCGAUCCACUCUACUUUUUGUAUACUAGUUUACCUGCAAUCCACUGGCUUGCACAUUAUAUUUCAUCAUACGGAAAUGUCUGAGAUUGUGAACGGAAGCAAUUUCAUCUGUCUGCAACCCUGCAUAGCAUGUGACAGCCCGGGCUGCGUGCCAAGAAACACCCAGAGCUCCUGACACAACCGCGUGAGCACCUUCUCCGACAUGCGCACAUGAGGACCGCAUGCACCCAUAUGCAAGGUUCACAAAUACGUGCGUGCUUAAACUAUAUAUAUAUUAUACAUAGUUUAUUAUAUUUUUGGCAGGGAUAUGAUAAUCAUUAAUUAUUACUUGUAAAGAUUGGAAACGUUACAAACGAUUGUAGAAAAAAUGCGAGUCACCAGGAAGGUAGGUAGUAGAGCAUGCCGUCAGUGUCUUUCCUGUGACCUGUGUUCGUGGUGCACAUGGCAGAAUGCACAGUCUAUACAUAGGAACCAGAAGUUGGCUUCGAAACCAAAUCACUCAUUAGUCCUUCAGUACUGCAGUGAACGCUAUCUAGCUAGCUAAUUUCCCCUUGAAAUCAGUUUUCUUGCGUGGCCAUGGGUAGCCUUCCACUUGAAGCCAUGAUGCCACUGAACCCCGAUUCAUUCGCUGGGGAGUCCAGUGCCGUGGUCGACUUCCUCGCCGACUACUACCGCAACGUCGAUAAGUAUCCGGUCAUGGCCAACACCCAGCCAGGGACCAUCCGUAAGCUUCUUCCGGAGGCAGCCCCGGAGUUGGUUGGUACUCAACAAGUCGUGGGAAAUAGUGUAGUGUAAGGCCAACCAUGAUACCCUUAUACUACCUAUACUACUCAUGUAUACUACCCAUACCACAGGCGUAGGUUUCAGUAGUAUGAAAUUAAUCUUGACCGUCGGAUAUGUUUAUACUAGUCAUUUUCGAACACAAGUAUAGUCUAGUGUUGUGUUCCGUAAAAGAGCUCAUAUAAUAUGUUAUAAAACUUAUUUGUGAAAGCUGAAGACAACACCAGGGGAUAAAUUCCAGAAUAGGUGAGAACAAAAAUUUAAAAGGGCAAAAUUUGUUGAUGGAUGGAAAUGCAUAGAAUGCUUAUUACUCAAUCGACUCACAUCUCUUUUUUCUAGGAAACAAAGCUCUCAUUAGUACUCUACGUUGGAAACAAAGCACUUAUUGUUGUUCAUAGCAGCUGAGAUUGACUUACAUAUAUUUAUUUGCAAACAGGUGUGAAAUGUGAUACAAUAAUUCAGAAAGCUAGACAUCCUGAGCCAUGCGAGGGAUAAGAAGAAGCUUCUCCUUACGGUGCACAUCCAUCCCAUACGACUCUGACAUAUCGACGCCUGUCGACCCCGGCAGAAGCUCCCAGUUGAAGUGGUAGAUGAGGUUGGCAAGAAUGAUUUCGAAAGUGGCGGUGGUGAAGUUUAUACCCGGGCACAUCCUUCGCCCAGACCCAAACGGCAAGAAACGGAAGUCGUUCCCCUGGAAGUCAGAAGCAGCAUCCACGGCUUCUUCCAUGAACCGCUCAGGCAUGAACUCCUCUGCAUUCUCCCAGUAGGUGGAGUCCCUGCCUAGAGCCCACGCGUUGACGAUUACACGUGUCCCAGAGGGUAUGGUAUAUCCCUCCACCUCCCAUUCGGCCAUGGACAAGUGGGGUAUCAAAAGAGGCCCCGGCGCGUGGAGCCGCAUUGACUCUUUCAUCACCGCCGUCAGGUAGCUCAUGCCGCUCAGGUCUUGUUCAGUGACCAGUUCCUUCCCCUUGGUUGCGCACCCCCGCACCUCAGCUUGAAGCUUGGUCAUCACCUUGGGAUUCCGCAUCAGCUCAGCCAUGGCGUAGUCUAGUGCUAUGUAGGUUGUGUCCGUCCCAGCUUCAAACAUGUCCUACAUGAAUAUAUCGGUAAGUAGAACUCCAAAUCAAAUUUAACCAAGCUAGUCCAUGAAACGUCUCAUAUGUACCUCUCGUGAAAAAUAAACAUACCAUCAGUAUUGCCUUGACGUUGUCUCUGGUCAGGCCGUACUCUUGUUGAACGGAGAGCAGCACAUCGAUGAAGUCCUCCUCGUCCUCACCAUCGACCGGCUUGGUCUUGUGCUUGUCGAUGAGGCUGUCCAAAAGGUCAUCCCAUAUCUUCCUGUGCUUCACGGCCUUGGCCGAUACCAAGUCCAACCUCGCCAAGCUCGGGAAAUAGUCGUCCAGGUUAAAUCCCCCCAGGAGCUUGGCGUUCGUCUCUAACAGCUCCCGGAACAGCUGGUUCCGACCUUGUUCCCUGGGGAGCCUGCCCGUCACGGCCUGGCACACGAUGUCGUUGGCGAAGAAGCUGAAGAGCUCGCUGACGUCGACCGCGAUGCCCAUGGCGGCGGCGGCCGUCACCUUGGCUAAAACCAGCUGGACCUCCUGCUCGCGGGCGGCGCGGUUGGACCGGACCUUCGCCGCGGUAAGGAGGUGGGUGGUGAUCACCUUCCUGGCCUGGCGCCAGUACUCACCGUAGGGGGCGAAGCCGACGUCGGUGCAGCCGUAGAACAGGACGUCGGCCACCGCGGAGUGCGGCCGGGAGGCGAAGACGUGGUCGUGUGUGCGCAGGACGGCCUUGGCGGCGCGUGGGGAGGAGACGACGAGCGUUGGCACGGCGCCGAGGCGGAGGAGCAUCACGUCGGGCCCGUGCCUCUUGGCGAGGUCGCGGAGGGAGUGGUGGGGAAGGGAUCCGAUGAGGUGGAGGUGGCCGAUGAUCGGGAGCUUGAACGGAGGCGACGGUAGCUUCCGGAGCAGCUUCUCUGUUCUUGACCUUGGUGUUGCCAAGUGCACGGCGACGAGGAAGAGGAAGAAGAGGAGGGCUAGGGACUCUGGAGAUGCGUGUUCGUAGAGGUGCGCUAGCGCUGGAGCCGCCAUGGCUGAUCAACUAGUGUGCACAACACACGGCUUGCUAGCGCAACAAGUUAGAACCAGCUCGUUGCAGUUUUUGUAGAGCUCGGAAGUCGUGAUCCGUCAGACAGCAAGAAGAGUAUGCUAUUUUUUUUCUUUUCUGCAUCAUCACUAGAUCAGAUCAGACAGGACCGACCAGAUCUGAUCUUUUAUGAGAGAAUCCUAUCGAAUAAUCAUCCUUUUUAUUAAACUGCACCCGACGCAGACUUUCUUUAUUUGCCCAUGUGCUAUUAUAUUAAUUUUUAUCUCGACUAUAUACCACUGUCCUCAUGUAUGUUGUGUACCAAGAGGAACACGAGACGAUCGAGAUUCCAAUAAAAUAUGUGUUUGGUGCUGGAUUAAUUGGCAUGCUUUUCUCUCAGAUGAGCUGCGUGUAGUGACAGCGGCGCUCGCAAUAGUUGGUCGGCGCACUGGUAGACGGGCAGCUCAUGGAUGCUACCGACGGCUCUGCAACUUGAUGCAGUUCAUGCACGCUGCUGGGUGGCACCCAUGGUGCGAUAUGGCAUUGGCAUUGGCACUGUGGCGGCGGAUCCGACCAGUAGCAGAAGCUCGCACAAGUCUAAAUGUAUCUAACUUUGAUGAAUUUUAAUUUCAAAUCUAUGGAGGCUUUUGAGCUCGAACUAAUUGAAAUGGAUCACACUUUAGUAGUGCUUUCAACAUAAAAAAUUGACACAAAAUUUGGCGGUGAGCAGUCUGCCUAGCCCAGGCAGAAAAACAAAGGCUUGAAACAAACAAGCCCUUGGUGUGUGCCUGAUAAUCAUAUGUUCGAAACUCCGAUCCUGUCGCCCUUGAUUAAAAUUCAUAGUAGAGACCUAUUGAGGAUUAGCCCUGGCAUCGAUCCGGCCACAGGAGAGACCGGGAGCCAAGAAGUGAAGUAAGUUGCGUGCGUGCCUGACGGCGAGGAAGCACCUCCAUUGAGCCACGAGGUGGAGUACGAGGCAGAGGCGAGAUGGGAUGUGUUGGGGACAGACUCACAUGACGGAGAGUGGUGCAUCUCCUACCUACCAUCUGCCAUUGCCGAGGGCCUUUCACCGUGCACCACUCCGGUUCGCUCUUUUGCGUCGCUGGGAGGAAAGGGACCGCCGAGCGUUGGGUGCCGCCACCGCUCCUGCGUAGUUCGCCAUGGCCACCUCCUCCGAGAGCGCCCUCACCAGCGGCUCCAGCGCUGCACCUCAUUCCAGGGAUGGGGCAGCCGCUGCUGGGUCACAUCCGCCCGGGGAUUGGGCCGUUGCCGGGGAAUAAGAGGAGCGCGGCAGAGAAGAAAAGGAGAAAACAGAGGAGCCGUGAUUGACAGGGACGGAGGAAAGAUGAUGAGUGCGUACGGUGGGGUAAAAAUGGAAUUGGUUUUUGGUAGAAACAUUUUCUAACUUGUGGUUUUUAUGGGUCUCCACCUUAUCCUCUCUCAAUUGCAUGAUAGGUGGGUCCGACAUGAGCGGUAAGGUGGUUCUGGUUUGGGUGAGAAAGGUUUUCAAUUAUGUUGGAAAACAGGCUUCGCGGAGGCUCAAACACAAUGAGGUUUGAGCAGUCCUUGCAAUUCAAUUCCAAAGAAAUGAACAUAUGUUUACAUCGGGGUAGGGCUCUCCUUUUAUAGUAUCUCGGAGGACAUUUUGCAUUCCGCAAUUACCCUCACUCACCCACUACAAUCCUAGAAUAUGCUUUACAUGGAGGUAACUUGUAUAACUUGGUCUCCUCCUUGGAUCACGCUUCUCACGCCUUUAGUCAGCUCCAUGAUUCAUGCUCUCACAUGGUUCCACAAAUCAUGCCUUCACAUUUCCAACGCCUCCACGCUUCCUGACCUCAUGACCGAAGCCAUCUUAGCUUCGGGAGUCAUGAUCGCCAUAGAUUCGCACCUAAGAGACGCUAGCCUCGCGCCCUGCUCCUUGACUUGAUUCAGCGAUCCUGCAUGAGACACUAAAUAACUCAGCACUCGAGGUUAGCUUCGACUGCUCGAGGUCAAGCUUGGUUAGUGUUUGGUGAUCUGUGAUUGCCUCCGGGCUUCGAGGUAAGAUUCAGGAUAGCGAGGCUAUGAUUACUUUCCACGCCAGAUUAACCACCCAAGGUUAGGGCCCCUCACCCGAUGUUAAUUAUUUUGAGGGGCUAAGCUGUUGACGCUAAAUGUAACGACCUCGAGGGUGACCAUCUUUUUGGGCGAUCCCCAACAGUAGCCCCUCGUGGGCAAGGCUCGACACCGACGACCGAACCCGUGACUUAAGGAUCUGCUCCCAAAAAACGUCACUCUCGAGCAUCGGUUAGAAAUGAGCCAACAGUGACCUUUUUGGUCUUACGUGUCGAUUUCCUAUUGGGUGACCCUUCGUAUCUAGCUCGUGGUUACAGGCGCCAUUUCACGCAUUUUACCAUGCCUAUAAAAGAGGGGGGUGGGGUCGCUUUCGUUUUUACCCUCGCGGCUGAAACCCUUGCGCUCCUGCUUUUGCUCGCUGCUUCCGUGCUUUAAGAUUCAUGCAUUGUAUGCUGUUGUCCUUGGUCUCGAGGAUCUCGAAGGUAACAAUGUUACUUGUGUCUCUCUUUUAGUGUGAGAUUUUCCCUUGCUUGUCAUUUUGGAGAUGAUGUUUCGAUGCCUUGCAGCUGGCUCGUAUUAUGCAAACCGCUAGGCCCAUGACAUCAGAAGAGUUCACUAAACAAGCUGGGCUUCGCAACGAGGCUGCGGAAGACCAGGAUUUGUCCAAGGCUGACGAGAAGCAAGGAAUCAAGAGGAUUGAGCUUUCUUAUGCCUAGAAGAAUAGGUGGGAAGAUAAUUGGCUAAGCUACUAGUUCUAUAUCAAGAUUGACACAGCCGAUGCGUCUGGUAUCAACCAAUCUUUCUAUCCUUCUAUGCACCCCUGGGCCCUAUGGACAUUGCUACUACCCCUGCAUUUACAAGGUCCAAGGCAGUCAAGGAGUGCAAGGGCGCUUUCCUCCCGGACUCGAAGUCGAUCCCCGACUGGAUCUUGUUGAAGAGUUUUUAGCAGCCAACAUUUGGCCCCUUUCUGAUGGGUGGAGUCCAUUGGAGAUUGUGCCAAAAGAGGUUCCGUGGAGUACUAGCCCGCUCCUCUACCCUUGCUUUGGAGUGGAGCUGCCCGUGGAUGCCAACCCCGGUCUUUUUGCAGAGGAUGUUGAGAGGCAUGCUGUUGAUAUAAUUGGCCCGAGUAUUGAGACUGAGCUGACGUUAGCUCGAAAGAUCAUUCACACGAGCUUCGGGUCAACCGUGUGUUCGAGGAACUUGGGGUCGAUGUUAAGCCUUGUCCCAAACCUCGCAAGACCUUGAAAUGGGAACGAGAGGCUGGCGCGACACGCUCGGAAUAGGUUGGCGGCAGUGGCAGGUGGAAAAAGAGAAAGGCCGAGAGCACCGCUCCUAAGGCCGCGGCAGUGACUUCAAAGAAGGAUGACAGCCAAUCGAGGGUCGUGCUCGAGGUGCGAAAGCAAAAUUAAAGACCUCGAGCCUCGAAGCUCAGAAGAAGUAAGAAACAAUUGGACAAAGUUCCUCGAGCGAGGCCGCGCCCCUGUCUCUAAAGCCGUCCGAGUUGCGACCAAGUCCGAACUCGAGGCUGCCGGCGCGCUGGCCGGUAUGAAAGAAAAGAAGUCUACGAGGAAGUCUCGCGUCGGCAAAGCCUUUGAUGAUGAUGAUGAUAUUGUUUUGGAUGUGGACUUGUCUAUGUUCCCUAUAUCGGUCCCCGAGGCUAGUGUUCCUUCAAAGGAGACUGAGACUAAGGUUGUUGCACCCCUUCUACAGCACGAGGCCAAACCUUUGAAGGAGAAGAUCAUGGAUACCAUUGCUAAGGAGAUUAAGGCGUAUACUUCGAAGGUGACAAAGCCAGGUAAACAUGUCGUUGUACAUUUGCCUAGGAUGAGAUUUUUUGAUUUUGGUGAUGCGUCAUUUAGAUUUCUGAUGGAGCUGGAAAAAACCACUGGUGCACCUGGGGAGAUAUACAGGGAACCUCCUCUAAUAUUUAGGGUAAAACCUUAUUCUACAGAUUCUGAACUGUCACCCUCUCUGGAACGUUACAACGAGGCCUACAGCACCAACCUUAGACAGGAGCUCAUUGCUGUUCAUGUGCCGGGUUCAGGUGAGGACGAUAAUCGCUACAACCUACCCUUGUUGUGGGGAGCUAAGGAUGGGAUGCGUGGUGUAGAUAGAGCAGCCAAGGAGGUUUUCAAGAUGUCUGAGGGGGUUGUCGGUGAGGUUGGUGGGCAUGGAGAAAGGGAGGAAGGAGAGGUUAUCCCUACUCGAGGUCUUGGGAAAUCCACUGUGCCUUUUGAGGUUGAUUACGAGGACAAGUCUUUUAAUCCUGAGAGUAAGCGCUUGCUCCUUAGUUUGUUUUGUCUGUACUUAAUUUCUACUUUGCUAUGCUUUGACGUGCCUUUCUUUUGACAGAGUAUGAAAAAUCAGUUAGACGUUUCGAGCAAAAGGACUUAGCUAGGAUGUCAGCUACCAUCGGAUACAAGGUAUUUUGUUCGACGCUUGCUAUUUGUUUCUUAUCUCUCUUUUUUUACGAGGCUUUUCAUUUUGGUGUUUCGAUUUUGCAGUCCAUCAUCCUUGGGAAGAUGCUAUGGAGAAGGCUGCGGCUAAGGAAAAGAGCAUGCUAGCCGAGAGCACGAAGAUGAUGCAGCUAGAGGCUAGAGUUGCAAAGCUUGAGGAGGAAAGCAAGGUUUUAUAUGCCUUGAAGAAUGAGCUCGCCGAUUCUAACUCUGACCUUAAAAACAACAACGUGCUGCUAACAAAUACCUACAGCGAGCUCGUGCAACAAGUUGAGAAGCUGGAGAAAAGACCCGAAGACAAUCUUGGUGUUUUGGAGAAACUCCGAAGCGCCACAGAAAAAGACGCACAGACUAUCACAGAGCAGGAAAAAAUGAUUCAUACCCUUGGUCAGGAUCUCAAAGAGCAAAAGACCUUUGUUGUGGAAGCAGAGCGGGCUCUCAAGGAAAAGUUCGCUGAGAUCUAUGAGGGGUACAAAACUGCUCUUGCAAAGUUUGGCGCAGAGCCUCUUUUGUUUCUGGGUGAUGAAAGUGUAAAAGAAAUAUUUGAUUGGGUGGAAGAGGAGUUCAAAGGCCUGCCCGAGGUUAUUACUGGCAGCAGCAACUUUGCUGCUUCCUUCUGCCUUGAUAGCGCAGUUCAACUCCUUGAAAAGAACAGCUACUCUCAUUUCUUAACACUCGUGGCUCGCACCUAUAUGUUCCCCUCGGCCUCGGAGCUUGACGAAGAGGAGAAAUCUAAAAAUUUGAGAGCCACGAAGAUAAAUUUCUUCAAACAGCUUUGGGCUACCUCCGGGCGAGAGUACACAAGGCUGGUUGCUCAAGAGCGGCUUGCACAGGUUAGGGUUCACAUAACUUUGUAUUUCAUAAGGUUUUCAUUUUUUCUGUUGAUUUCCUGAUGUUGUUCCUCUUGUGUUCGUAGGCCAAGGCAUAGGAAGCAAAAGGCGAAGGUGGGAGCGAGAACGGUGAUGCUGAUCAAGGAGGGCAGUGAUUAUCGAAGCUAGUUAGAGAUUUGUUUUGUGGUUUGGGAUGUUUUGAUAAACUUGAUACUUAGUUGGCUGCUUUUGCAGGCCAGAUUGUAAAUAUUUGUUGCUCAGCCGGAACUUACAUGCUCGAAGCUGGUUACUUUUGGCGUUUGUACCUUCACGGAUUUCUUUUUGUCUUAACGUUUUUAUGUUUGAGUUAUUCUACUCAAAUGGCAACAAAGCUGUAGCUUAAAGAAACGAGCAAUGUUUUAGUUUAAAACGUCACCCCUGCCCUAGUUUCUUUAUGCGUAGGUUUUGUUGACUUUGCACGCUUGUUGUCUAAGCUUAAACGGAGCUUAAAAACGUCACCCCCUUCUUGGCAUGUGGGUCUUACCCGAGGCAAUUCUCUCAUGGAAAGAGGAUGAAAACGAUUUUUGUUUGCCAAAAAAUGUCACCCCCGCCCUUUUAUCCUUUUUUCGAAAAAACGUCCAACCUCACCCUUUUCUUUUGCAUGAACGAGGUUAAGUGAGUAUUGACAAACCACAAGAUAAGUCAAUAGAAAACUUGUUUUCGAGUUAUGUUGACUUAAAAAUAUGACAGUUUGGUUGAAAUCGCAACCCUUAUGAUGUGUUUGGUUGGGCUGUGGCUUUUCAAAAAGCUGCUCUGAGCUGUGGGGGCUGUUGAAAAGCAACUGUGAGAAAGCAGCUGUGGGAAAAGUAUAUGGCCGUUUGGUUAGAGCAGAUGUGGCUUUUGAAUAAAUUUUUGAGUGGACCCUGCAUGUCAUCCACAGUCCACCCCACUCAACUCUCUCCCUCUCUCGCUGAUGAGCGGGUCUAACCCUUCUUCCUCCCGCUGGCUAGUCCACCCCACAGCACCCCGAGUAGCACCAGGGCCGCAAUGGCAUCCACGACGAUGUAGUCCACAAUCAGGGUGAGGUCCAUGACGGCGAUGGCCUGCACCUCGCCUCCUCCACCUCGCACCACGUGGCGGGCACCGUAGCACCAACGGCAUCUAGGAGGCGGUAGCACCCCGUGGGCACGCAUGCGUCGACAAGGAGGUUGAGGCCGGUCUGUGCUGCCAAGAGCCCGCCCACGGCGCCCGCGCAGGUGAGCCCCACCUCGGUGACGAAGUAGGCUGCCGCCGCCAUGGUGCCCUUCGGCGCGGAGGCGGAGAGUGAUGAGGAGACGGAUGCCAUGGCAGCGGCGAGGAGGAGGAGACGCGCGAUGAUGAGUGUGUGCUGCUGGAGGUCGGAGGCCGGGAGCGAGACGGCAAGGAGGCCUGCGGCAUGGGCGAGGAGGAGGAACGACAGGGAGAGGAGGAGUGGGAGGUGGGGCAGGAGUAAUGGGAGUGGGAGGAACGGGAGCAACGGUGGGAGGAGCAGCAGCGGGAGGAGCGUCGUGGAGGCCAGUGGGAGGAAGGCGAACAGGAGCAUGAGGAGUAGCGGGAGGAGGCAGAGGAAUGGGUGGCGGAGCAGGCGGAGGAGGCGGUGGUGGAGGGAGGACGGGGAGAGGUAGGAGACGGUGGCAAUGAGGAGGUGGGACUGGGAGGUCGCGAGGAGGGAGAAUAUAAGGGCAAGGUGGCACGCGAGCAGCAGCGCCUCCGCCAUUGGGGUUGGGCAGCGUGGUCGGGGAAGUCCCGAGGAGGAGGAGCACCAGCCAGCGGGCGGCGGGCCACUGAGGUGAUUGUCGGGUGGGGGGGACUGGUGCGGGUGACGGGGAGUGGACAGGAAUAGAAGGGGAAAACGAACCAUUAUCCUCCAUAACAAGUGGUAGGUGGGUAAUUUUUUGCCCCAAAAGCAGCUAAAAGCAGGGGGAAGGUGCUUUUGAUUUUGGGCAAAAGCACGUAUGGCUUUGGACAAAAGCACGUAUGGCUUUUAGGCCCUUUGGUUGGCUUUUGGCUUUUGCAAAAGCAAAAGUAGGUUGGAAAGUCCAACCAAAGGCACCCUUAGUUGCUUCAACCAUGAAAUUUUGCGAGGUUGAGAAAAUAGGGAAAUAGGGUGCCUUUUUUGAAAAAAUGUCAGUCUUUCUAUUCUAUUGUGAGAGCUUUGGCUGAGGCUAGGGCCUUCGUGCGAAAGGACAAAAUGAAUUUUCGACUCUGAAAAAUGUCACCCCCCUUGUCCUUUUGCGCAGAGGGGGUUUAGACUCAGCAUGGCUUAUUCCGAGUGUUAUCGCUGCCUUUGAUCGCUUGCUGCAGCCUUUCUAUUCUCUGAGUUGCAAGUUCAAGGCCAAUCACUGUGGUGUUUGAGUGAGAAAAUACGUUUAUGUGCAUAUAGUGUGCAUUCAAUGUUAGACUAUGCAGCUUAGUGCUGCUUUAAAAUAUCUUGCGCAGAAACGUAGGUUUUCAACAUGCAGGAAUGUGAGGUUAGGCAAGUUGUUGUUGCAUCUGAGACUUGUGCAGACACGCAAGUUUUCAAUGCACAGAAACUCAAGGUUAGGCAACUUGUUGUUGCAUCUAAGACUUGCGCAGAAACGCAAGUUUUCAACGUGCAAAAACGCGAGGUUAGGCAACUUGUUGUUGCAUCUAAGACAAAGAUCAUAGGGGGAACUUCAUUUCAUUGAAUAAUGGAAAUUUUACAAGGAUCUACCUCAUUAAAAACAUUGCCUCCAGAAAGGAGGCCCUGUAGCAAGGAAAAGAGUGCAAUCCAAAUUUGAAAAUGUAAAGUGCUAUGGAGUAAAUUCAUUACCCUCAGCGUUGUUUAUAACCUUACAAGCCGAGGGUAGUGUUGAACAAAAUGCUAAGGGUAGUACUCACGCAAGCUAUCGAUAUUCCAAGAGUGUGGCAGCUCCGUGCCAAGCUGAUCCGUAAGAUGAAAAGACCCUGGCCUAUUGCUUUGCGUGACAAGGUAUGGCCCUUCCCAGGCUUCCUAUAGUUUCCCGAGGUCCUCCCAAUUUUUCUUCCUCUUGAUGACAAGGUCACCCACUUUGAUUUCCUUGCGCACCACUUUUUUGUUUCUCCACCUUCUCGUUUCUUGAUGGUACUUGUCAAUAUUUUCAGCAGCUUGCAGUAUCUCAAGCUCUAUCAUGUCUUUUUCAAUUCUUAUAUCAUCUGGGUUAACCUCGGGCUGCAACACUCUCAAGCUAUUGUUUUUUAUUUCCUUUGGUGUCACUGCCUCGGAGCCAAACAGCAAUCAGAAGGGUGUGAAGCCUGUCACUUGAGAUGCAGUGGUGUUGUGGGACCAGAUUACCCUCGAGAGCUCAUCCACCCAUUUCCCUUUCUUCUGAUCAAAGAGACAUUUCUUCAUACCUGAGAAGAUCAAGCCAUUUGCUCUUUCCACCGCCCCGUUUGACAGGGGAUGAUAUACUAAGGUGAAUUUUACUUUAGUACCAAUGCUGGCACAAAACUCUUUGAAAUUAUAACAACAAAUUGCUUGUCGUUAUAAACAAUUAGCUCCCUAGGUACUCCGAAUCUGCAGAUGAUGUUCUGCCAAAAGAAUUUUUGGACUGAGCCCGAGGUUAUAUUUGCCAGCGGCUUAGCCUCGAUCCACUUCGUAUAGUCAACUACUACUAUGGCAAACUUGCAAUUUCCUUGAGCUGUCAGGAGUGGGCCUACUAGGUCCAUACCCCAUCUUUGUAAGGGACAAGUUGGUGAGAUAUGUUGUAUUGGCAGCGAUGGCGCAUUUUGCUAGUUUGCUAUUUUUUGUCAAGCUUCACAGCUUCGCACGAGGCUUUGUGCAUCCUGGAAUGUUGUGCGCCAGUAAAACCCCUACCUCAAUGCUUUACUCACCAAGGCUUUCGAUCCGAUAUGCGACCCGGAAAAACCCUUGUGAAUCUUAGCUACUAGCUCUUUCCCGCUUUCUGUGUCUAUGUACCGAAGCCAAGGGGUCGAUAUCCCAGACUUGUAUAAUUUUCCAACAAUAAUUGUGUAGCCCCUAGCUUUUUGCUUUAAUCUAGCUAGUUCAACCUCAUCAUAGGGUUUGAAGUACCCUCUCAUAUAAGCCAUGAUUUGAGCUCUCUAGUCAAAACUUUAGAUUGCAUUUAUUGUCUUCGGGGUUGGAUCUUUUGUCGAUGGCGUGCGAAUGACCUCGUAAAAUACAUCGGGGGGCAUGGGCUGACUCUGUGCUGCAGCUUUUGCAAGUGCAUCAGCCUCAUCAUUUUCCGCCCUUGGGAUAUGUUGUACCGUGAAGCCCUUGAAAUGCUUUUCCAUCGCUCUUACUGCUGCAAGAUACUUGACUAGCUCCGGCUCUCUAGCCUCGCUAUCCUUUUCUAUAUGCUCUUUGAGUCUGUCUUUAUUACGAAUACUUGCUAACCUAGGGCCUUCAUUUUCCUUAGCCCCAUGAGCAGUGCUUCAUAUUCUGUGGUGUUGUUUGUAGACCUCGCAUCAUUUGCAAAGCUUAGCCUUGCAGCAUAUCCCAUUUUGACUGCCGAUGGCGAGGUUACAAUAGCCAAGAUUCCAGUCCCUCUAUCACACCAGGCACCAUCACAGUGUAUAGCCCAUGGAGUCUCGAUCUCGUCUUGGCUAGCACAUGGAGAUGUCCAAUCUACGAUGAAAUCUGCCAGGACUUGUGAUUUUAUAGCACUCCUUCUCUCGAAGUCCACAACAAAUUCUGACAAUUCUGAUGCCCAUUUAGUGAUCCUCCCCGAAGCUUCUCUAUUUGAAAAGAGAUCUUGUAGAGGUUUGUUAGUAACUGCCAUGAUUCUGUGGCCCUCAAAGUAAUGUCGCAGCUUGCGUGCUGCCAUAACCACUGUGUACACAAUCUUCUCUAGCUCCGAAUAAAACAGCCUCGAACCUGAUAGUGCUUCCGAUGCAAAAUAGACUAGGAUCUGUUUUAGCUUUGCCAUCGACUUCUUUUUCUUGAAUCAGGGUGGCGCUGACGGCUGUAUUCGAAGCUGGCACAUAAAGCAAGAGAGGUGAUUUGGCUCUAGAGCGCACAAUUUGGUCAUGUUCGCCAAGUAGUCUUUGAGGUAUUGAAAAGCCUCACUUUGUUACUCCUCCCACUCAAAAUUUUUAGAGUUUCUCAGGACCUAGAAGAAUGGUAAGCUUCGCUUCACGGCUCUUGAAAUGAACCUGUUAAGGGUAGCAACUCUUCUAGUUAGCCUCUGGACAUUCUUCAGCGAGGCUGGCUCCCUCAUAUCAAGCAGUGCCUGGAUUUUGUCUGAGUUCGCUUGGAUGCCUUAUGUUGUAACUAGACAUCCCAAGACUUUGCCUCACUAAACCCCAAACACACAUUUCUCAGGGUUGAGCUUCAGGUUUGCUGCUCUCAAGUUGGCGAAAGUUUCCGCGAGGUCGAGGAUGUGGUCUUUCCUCUUAUCACUUUUCACAACUAUAUCGUCAACAUAAGCGAGAAUAUUUCUACAAAGCUGUUUGGAGAGGAUGAUUGCUAUCAUUAUUGAGAAGGUUUUCCCUACUAUUUUUAGCCCCAUGGGCAUCCUCACAAAGCAAAAGGUCCCGAAUGGUGUUACCAAUCCUAUUUUUCUCUCAUCCUCUUUUUUUUAUUUUGAGCUAAUGGUAGCCUGAGAAUAAGUCCAAUAAUGGUAACAUUUCACUAUUGGCAGCAUCGUCCACCACCUUGUCUACUCUUUGCAAUGGGUAGUGAUCUUUCAGGCAAGCCUUGUUUAGGUCAGUGAAGUCUAUGUACAUUCUCCACCUGCCGUUCUUCUUUUUGACUGGAAUAGUAUUGGCUAGCCAUUCUGGAUAGAUAAUGGGCCAUAUGACAUUAGCCUCGAGGAGUCUUUCAAUCUUGGCCUUCACUACUUGAGCUUUUUCAUCUGACAUUUUUUGAGCUUUUGCUUUUUUGGCUUCAUGCUAGGCUUGAUGUUGAGGUUGUGCUCUAUUAUCUCUUUGUUGACCCCUUGGAGGUCACUUGAGGACCAGGCAAAAACAUCUUUGUUUUUGUUUAAGAAAUCGAUUAACUCCUUCUCCUCCUCGGGCUUGGGGUUGGCUCCUAUUGUGACGUAUUUGUCAACAACAUAGUCAUCCAAGAGGACUCUUUUUGUUUCGCCAUCCACACUUAUUUUUAUCUUCUCUUUGUCCCUUUUGGGCUCAACAUAUGGUUUUUUCUUUUCUUACUCUUCAGCCUCAUUGGGGGUUGUUAGGUGGUGGACAUUCUUUUGUCCUGGGGUUACACCCUUUUCUAUAUUUCUGGCGGUUUGCUAGUCGCCAUAGAUUGUGAUGACUCCUUUCAGAACUAGGAUUUUCAUGCAUAGAAAUAGUUGCCUGAUUGCUGCAUCGAACUUGUUAAUGAACCCUCUCUCGAGGAUGGUGAAGUAAGGGUAGUACAUUUCAAUGACAUCAAAUGUGAUGCGCUCUAUUCUUGCAUUGUCGAGGUUUCCAAAUGAAACUGGAAGUGCUACCUUUCCCAGGGCUUUAACUAGCCUCCCCCUGAAGCCAAGUAGUGGGACUUCUGCUGGCUCGAGCAAGUGCUGGUCAAUUUUCAUCUCCCUAAAGGUGUUUGUGAAGAUGAUAUCUGCGGAGAUGCCAUUGUCCACUAGGACCUUCCCUAUCUUCCAGCCAGUAAUGGUAGCCUCGAUUACCAUUGCAUCGUUAUGCAAGGUUGUUUUCAAUUUGAAGUCUUCUUCUAUGAAAGAACUUGGCAUGUGUGCCCAUUCCGGCUUAGCUGGGGGACCAUCAGGUAUGAUUGUGUUCACCUGCCUAAAACAAUCUCUUUUUUAGCCUUUUGUUCUUGAACUCGAGGGAACAGCCAUCGGCGAUUGGCAUUAUCAUGCCAUAGGUUGGUAUAGCAUUGGAGUUGUCCUCGCGAUGCUCGGAUUGUUAGGAUCCCCCUGAGAUUGGCAUUAUCAUGUUGUAGGUAGGUAAGGCUUUAGGAUUGUUGUUUUGUGGGUUAAGCUCAGCUUUUGGAAUUUCAUUGGGUAGAUUUGGUGGUGGUAGUGGUAUUUCAUGGUGGGGUUGAGAAGGUACGAAGUUUGCAUUCUACGAGGUUGGUUGAGCACGAGGCCGGAAUUGUGGCGAGUGUUGCCACAUCAUGGUGGGCUAAAAGGUUGCGUGGUUGGGGUUUGGGUAGUAUGGUGGAUGUGGCCAAAAGGUUGUAUGGUGGAUGGUUUUGAGUGCCUCAGCCACUUUCUUUUCUUCGGCUAUUCUUUCAAAAACCUUUUUGGCUUCUUGGCAAAAAUCAGUUGCAUGGUCGAGUUGUUUACCAUGGAAUGUGCAGUAAAAUGAUCUUUGUUGGUUACUUUGGUUAUUUCACCUCGGAGGUCCUCUGCCUCGGCCUCUUCCUCUUCCGACAUGGUUGCCUCUUUGGCCGCUUCUGAAAUUGGGUUGAUGUUGGUGGUAUCGGUUCUGGUUUUGGCCUAGGUUUUGGUUUUGGGUUUGGUUUUUGAAUGAGGGUUGGUUAUCCUUGAUGGCCAGCAGUUGGUUUGGGUGCGAGUGGUGCUGUUGUUGGUGACUGUAUCAUGAAGCUUGCCAGUUUUGACCUUUCUCUGCUUGCCUUUGGCGGUUUCUUUCCACGACCCUUCUUUUAUGGUCUUCAUCUGAUCUGCAAUAUUUAUCCAUCUCUGCGAAUAGGGCUUCCAUUCUUUUUGGCUUUUUCCUUGAUAGCUUCGAGGCUGUUGGCCCCGGAUUAAGCCCCUUGAUGCAGAUCGCUAUGACCAUGCUAUCCUCCACAUCUGGGGUUUGUGUCUUAAGUUGGAAAAAUCUUCUCACGUAGCUUGCUAAAGGCUCUUUAUCUUUUUGCACACAAUUGAACAAAUCCCCCUCAUCAGUCAUGGCUCUAUGAAAGCCUUGAAAGUUUUGUAUCAGUUUGGUUUGAAGAUCGACCCAGCUGUAUACAAAUUGCAGCAGGAGUAGAGAGUACCAAUUUAGUGCUACACCCUCACACGCUAUAAUGAAUGACUUUGCCAAUACUACAUCAUGUCCCCCUGUCGAGGCUAUGGCUGUUUCAUAACUCAUGAGGAACUAGCGGGGAUCUGUUUGUCCAUUGAAUUUUGGUAGUGCAACUGCCUUGUAGGUUGUGGGCCAUGGGGCUGUUUGCAGGCCUAAGGAUAGUGGGGAGCUUUUGUCGGUAGUUGUGUAUGCGCUCAUUGUCACUAGGGUGUUGUGCCCAACAAGGCUAGGAUUCGGGUAUAGGAUGGGUGUGUCAUUGGUGUUGAAGGUUUGAAGUGGUGGCUGCUGCGGCUAUUGUGGUGUGUUGCACAAGUAUUCCAAUUCGUUCAACUCUUGCUGCAACUCUGCCAGCUGCCUUUUGGCCUCAUUUAGCCUCACUAGCUUGUUGGCUGCUAGUCUUUGAGCCUGAAGCUCUUGAGCAAUUUUUUCUUUUUCUUUUUUAAUGGCUCUAGCUGCUUGAGUGCCGAGGCCAUCUCUUCUUCUAUUUCACUAAGGGGUUCAUCUUGCGUGCUUGUUUGCUGCAGAGUUUGGUUCGAGGUCCCCGCCUCAACCAUUCCUUUCUGUGAUCUUGUUCUUAAUUUAGCCUCGAUUCUUUUAAACUUUUUCUGCCUUCUCCGUGUUAACUUGUUCGACUGAGACAAGCUGCCUUUCUUGUCCAGCCUCAUCUUCGAUGGUUCUCUUCUUCUUUUGAGGUGGCAUCGUGGGUUUCUUAGUCGCUCAGAAUACGGUGGGUGCCAAUGUUGGGAAACAGGCUUCAGGAAGGCUCAAAAACAACAAGGUUUGAGUAGUCCUUGCAAUUCAACUCCAAAGAAAUGAACAUACGUUUACAUCGGGGUAGGGCUCUCCUUUUAUAGUGUCUCGGAGGACACUUUACAUUCCGCAAUUACCCUCACUCACCCACCACAUUCCUAGAAUAUGCUUUACAUAGAGGUCUUUUUAAGAGGUAACUUGUAUGAUUUGGUCUCCUCCUUGGAUCACGCUUCUCACACCUUUAGUUAGCUCCGUGAUUCACUCUCUCACAUGGUUCUGCAAAUCACACCUUCACGUUCCAAUGCCUCCAUGCUUCCUGACCUUGCGAUUGAAGCCAUCUUAGCUUCGGGAGUCAUGAUUGCCCUAGCUUCGCACCUGAGAGAUGCUAUGCACCAUGCUCCUUGACCUGAUUCAGCGACCUUGCAUAAGACAGUAAAUAACUCAGCACUCGAGGUUAUCUUCAAGUGCUCAAGGUCAAGCUUGGUUAGUGUUCGGCGAUCAGUGAUUGCCUCCGAGCUUUGAGGUAAGAUUCAGGAUAGCAAGGCUAGGAUUACUUUCCAUGCCAAAUUAACUGCCUGAGGUUAGGGACCCUCACUCGAGAUUAAUUAUUUUUAGGGGCUAAGCUAUUGACGCUAAAUAUAAUGACCUCGAGGUUGACCAUCUUUUUAGGCGAUCCCCAACAAAUUAUUUUCGAUCUUUAUAUUACAGAAAUGCAUGCACACGGCUUGCUUGAUGGCGUUGUCCGCUCAUCUUGCCAUGCCUCGCCUCGUCGCCGACCACACCAUCAUGAAUGGAGAAACCACGCAUGCACUGUGAUAAGUUUAGAGCAUCCUAGUGACGGUAUUCAAGGUGCUCAAAUAGUGGUAUUCAACUUAGAAAAAUUAGUAGCACCGGAAUAUUGAACGGUCAUCGGAGCAACCAUCAGAGCACUUGGUAUGAUUAAGAAAUAAGCUUGAGUUGCAGCAAGCACCAGAUGAUCCGACAGGGUUCUGUUUAUAAGUGUCAGAGCAAUUCGCAGAGAAGAUAGAGAAAUACCUAUAGCACCAGAUGUUCCAAUGGCUAGAAGAUGAAGGCGUUGGACCAAGCAUAUUUACAUUGAAAAAUUCAUGAGAGAUUCUAGGGAAAACUCCUUCAGCACCGGGUCUUCCGACGGUACGUCGGAUGAAUUUAGGCAAAGGUCCAAUGGCUAUAUGUGUCAGUAAGGCGCACUAGAUGAUCCCAUGCUUACCUUAAGUGACCAUCGGAUCGUCCGAUGCUCACAUAUUUUACUAGGUGUUGGAGCAAAUGCCCUUUGAGGUUCAUGGGCUAUUUAUGCCCCCUCCACUCGCCCAUUCAGAGUUGCUGGAGUGUCCAUACAUCGAUUGAUGACCAAGGCUCAUCAAGAACAUAUACAUGCCACCAAAAGUGCAAAAGCGAUAAUCCAAGGCUUAGCACGAGCUAAGAGAUUGAUUAGUGCUAGGAUAGGCCUAGAGAGAGUAGUGCAAGGUGCUGAUACCUUGUGAUUGGUUCAAGGAGUGAUCCACUAUUAUAAGCUUGGUGCACCGGUGGCUUGGGGUCUUAGUGGCUCUCCGGCAAGUAUUCGACCCUCCAGCUUGGUGUGGAGCAGCAUCGACGGCCAUAUGCGAGGGACAAGAAGACUCCUUCCUUCGUGGAGCAGCUUCGUACUUGAGUGCCUUGAAUGCCUUUACUUUCUAGAGUAGUACCUUGUUAGGAUUGGCUCUAGGUUGCAAAACUCUUUAUGGGUGGGAAGUUUCACUAGAUCAACCAUAGAUGCACAUGUAGAUAGCAUGAUCUAGUUUAUGUUUGGAAGCAAGUAGUGGAAGUCAUAGGCUAAGGAUCAGUAGUUCGUAUGUGCUAGCAAUCAUCGCCUCCAGCUUCGUCGCCCCCUCUCCAUCACCCCAUCCCCGUCGCCCCCGGCCCCGUCGCCUCAUCGCCUCAGCGCCACCGUGCCCCGGUUGUCUCAAUCCUCUUCGACGUAUGAUGACUCUGUGCUGCCCCAUCCUCGUCGACAUCCUCCUCUCUGAUGUGGCCCUCGCCUCCUCUCUAAUGACUCCACACUACUGCGGCCACUGGCCCUUGGCUCCUUCUCAACCCCGAUGUCGCCCACACCCCCGGCCGUACAUCGACUCUGGUCGUCGAGCUCACCCCUCUCUUUUCCGACUCCGCGUCGUCCGGCCACCGUCAACUACUCUGACACCUGCACCCCCGGCCGUCUCCCCUCCGACGUGUUGCCCAAGCCCCCGUCACCUCCAUCCUGUCUGACGACACCGCGCCGCCCCCUACACACUUGCGGUGACGUAAGCCCGCGACCGCCGUGAUGACGUAAGCCCCUGCGGCUGCCGACAUCAUUAUGUUUCUUCUGAGCUAGAAUAUGUCUACAAAUUAUAGGAAAUUAUAGAAAAAUUGUAGGAAAUUUGUGUAAGUGUUAGAAAUCAUGCCUUUUUUUUCAAUUUGUACGUGCGUAGAGAAUAGCUAGUAAUUAUAAAAAUUGUUGGAGUAGGUAUAAAUUACAUAGAAAUUGUAGGAAAUUAUUGGAAAUUUGCAAAAAAUUUGUAUAAGUACUGGAAAUCAUACUUUUUUUUAAUUUGUACAUGCAUAGAGAAUGGCUAGUAAUUAUAAAAAUUGUUGGAGUAGGUACAAAUUACAUAGAAAUUGUAGGAAAUUAUUGGAAAAUUGCAGGAAAUUUGUAUAAGUACUGGAAAUCAUGACAUUUAUUUUUCUGUUUCAUUCUAUUUAUAUGUUGUAUAAAUGUUAGAAAUUUGUGUAGGCAUUGCAAAUUAUCUAUAAAUAUUGUAUGAGUGAUGUCAUUAUUGUUUCAUCCUAUUUUUGUUGUCAUUUCAUACUAGUGUUUCAUUCUACUUUACAUAUUGUUGUAACAUGUUACAUAUUAUAAGUGUUUAGUUCUUUUAUAUUAUACUAGGUACAAUGGCAUGAUCAGAUGACGAGAUUAUAUAUGACAUGAUUGCUGGAGGGGCCUCUCAAGCAAAUGAAGAGGUCUAUCACAGCCAGGCUAACAUGUACCUCAACCUAGCUGGUGAUGGCAUUGAGGAGCAAUGACUUGCCGAGGGAGGCAACGUGGAGCAACAAGUUCCCGAUAGAGGCAAUGUGGAGCAACCAAUAUUAUACGUAAACAUUAUUUCAAUUACCAUCUUAUCAAAAGAAACAUCAUCAUGCAACAUUUCAAUUGUCGUUUUUAGCCAUCUAGAUCGAGCAAAAUGCCUCAAAAGAAACAAGGCAAGAACAAGAAAGAUGAGGGCCGUAUCAUCAUCAUAGAAAUUGCUAAAAUAGUGAACCGAUUGCCCAUCCCAAAGCUAAGAUCAAGUUGGUGAAUCAUAUUGGGUUCCUUAUCAGAGAUAACAUUCCAAUCUGGUUUCUGAAAUGGAGGAAACCCAAGCGCAUCCGGGUCAUCACAAACCCGCUCCUUUAUGUCCCUGAUCGAGAGAAGGAAAUGUUAUGGGUACAAGUAAAAGAACACUUCAUGUUCGAAAAUGUUGACAAAGCCAAAGUGAAAGAAUGGGGCAUGAAGAAGGGUGCAAUUGUGUUUCAGACCUAUAAAAACUUGACCAAAGACUAUGUAAAGAAGGGGGUUCAACCUUAUUUCAUUGAGCACACUAAGAUAAGGGAUAUCUGGGAUUCCUUUGUACAGUUCAAGGGCACGAGCUGGGUGUCUAUGGUGAUGACCAAUAAACACAGUGAGACCCUCAAGAAAUAAUUCGAGUGAAACUUCCAAUGAAAAACACUUCACGGACAAGAAAAUGCUCAAGCCAGGCAAAAUCUAGGAGCUCUGGGUGGAUGGUUUGCUUCCCAAGGACGGACGGUCCAUGAGCGGUGGACGGUCCAACCUUAUGACUUACACAACGCAGAAUUGUUGAAAACAAAUGCAUGGCCAAAGUUUUGGCCAAAACUCUAUCAAAUCAAGUCCAAAUGCCACCAAAUUUUAGCCAUAGCAUCACAACAACACAUAGAAGCUACUUCUAAGAGAUCAUCCCCAAAAGAUUGGUCAAUCAAUAGGAAAUCCAAAUCUUGUGAAGAAUACCGCUUUUUCAACCUUGGAAACUUGAAUCGCCCUGAUGUAUGAACUCGUGAGGGGUUAGAUGAAUUCCUUUGGUAGAAAGACUUCACUCACAUCCUAGUUCAUUUCCAAAUGAUCGGUUUGAGUCAAGAAUCCCUAGAAAUCACGAAUCGAACAAAAAACAUGAGAAGGGAAAAACGGGAGAAAACAAGAAUGCGAAGAAGACAAGAGAGAUUUGCACAAAGCCGCUGUCCCCCAACACACGGAGGACUCGAGGAGGUUAGGGCUUCCAUUCCCACAACAAAAACUUUAGUUCAAUACAUGAAUUCGAGUUCAAAUCAUCCGCGGACCUCUAGAGAGAGAAAGGAAAAAACCAAAAUGAAGUGCUAGAGAGAGAGGGGGUGAAAGAAAGGUGGAAGAGGUGCUAAAAAUUUCAGCCCCCAAUCUCUAUCUAUAGGCGCCGACAAAGGACUAGACAACCCCUAAUAGCUACUACUAAGAUAACUACCCAUGUAGGGGUAUUUUUGUCCAAGUUUUUGUACGUUCAUCAGACGGACAUGCCACCUUCUCAACUUUGCUUCGCCUUGAUGUAAGCUUCAUGAUGAUGCCACAUGCCCUCCUUUUUGAACCUCUAACCGCACCGAACUCGCUCCCCCCCCCCCCCGCUUUGAGGCCCAAACCGGGAAACCUGCCAACGUGGUGGUUUUGAGGCCCAAACCACCCAAACCGUCCAUUCUUUGCUUGGCCACCAAGUCGACGUGUGUCCUGUCUCCGCCAAGUCUAGCUUUGACGCCUCCAAGUCGUUUGCUCACGGCUCCCGGGCUGCCUACUUGACUUGCCUCCGUCCUGCUUGACUAGAUCGACGCCGUCUCUAUCACCAUCAUGUUCCCUUGCUGUUCCAGGCACCAUGUGGACCGCCUAUGACUCCACCUAGACUCCUCAGGUCCAUCGGUCCAAGCCUACUCACGUUCAUCCUUCACCGCCCUUGGUCCAUCGGCACGAAACUUUCGCUUGACCUUCACCACAUGCCGUCGGUCGUCACAUCGCAUCCUACACCUGCACAUCACAAACCAAGAGCAAUAUCAAUCUAACACAAUCGUUGUCAAUCACUCAUCAUCCAAGGGUGACCACCAUUGGUCCUUAGCUCUGAGCAACCGAACCAGUCAACAAGCAGCUAUUGUAGCAUCAGGGCCACAUGUCGAUUUAAGCCCAACUUAGCAUCGAAGCAGUGUCACUUCAACAAAAGCCUUAGUGGGAAGAUCCACUAAGGUCAUUGAGGAAGGUCACCCCAUGGAUGACAUCACAGGGACAACCCCUAGUAAGCUUGUUACUCCGGUUUAAAACAAGCUCAUAGUGGUGGCUUAUGGUGCGACUGAUCGACCGACACAAGGCCAAAUAAUACAUGGCAUGCUGGUUCAAGCUGGCUAUGCCAAAGUUGCGUUGGACCGAGUGGUCAACGGUUGGAGAACCUAGAACUAGAAAUCCCUAGAGGUGAUGAGGAAAAGAAUCUAGAAUAAGCUGUCCAUGGUUGGAUUCAGUGGCCCAAGCGCUUCAUGAGGAUUACGCAACCGAAUGAUGAGUCCACCUGUACCAGAAAGGGAUCCAAGCAUGACUCCAACUCCCCCUCCCAUGAAGAAGCGUUCAAUUCCACCUCCACCUCCACCUUGUAAGAAGAAGCAGAAGAAGCAGAAGGAGAAGGCACCACCUGAGAAAUUACCUUAUGAGAUGGCACACGAGGAGUCCAAGGCUGCAGCAAAUGCUUAGUUACAAGCAUGGAUUAAGGCUUGAAAAGAAGAAUGGUUGAAGAAACAGAAUCCAGAGAAACCACUGGAUAAGCGUAACCUUCAGGCUUUCAUCAGAAAAAGGAGGUGGAGAGAAGGAAAAAGCCAGUGAAAGCUCCCCUUUCUGAUUAUGGUAGGUAGAUCACAAAAGCAGUCAGCUCAUAAGAAGAAGAAAAGUGGGAAAUCUAUUUCUUAACUCAGAGAUCCACGUGUGCAGCUUUCUAACUUUGAAAAAAAACCUGCUUGAAUUCGCUAAUGAUACAAAUCUGACAGCAGCACAACUUCGAGGGGAGGCUGACAUCCCAAUGCUCCUUGUGCCUGAAAAAUGGAAAUAUGUGUAUGGUAAAGAGCUUGUGAUUCCGAAGUUGCUAAAUUAUCUGCCAACGAAGAUGCCCAAGCUCCACCAAUGGUAUAUGGAGGCCAUAGCAAAAGGUUUGGCCAUGAUGGAAGUUUGGAUUGCUGAUCACCAUGACUUCCGUGGUGAUGACAUCAUAAUGGCCUUACUAUCAGAACUUUUCAUGCUAUUCAAUCAACAAGCACUAGACAAGUCACUCAUCAGUUGAUGGGUCCUGUAAGUCUUUAAUAUAUUCCUCUAACUUCAAAAUCCCUGCUCUAGUCAUUUUGCAGUGUCUUAACUCCUAUUCAAUUUUGUAUCAUGCAGGAUGGAGAUUUAAACUUGUCGCAAAAAUGGAUACAAUGACAUGCGCUUCAUGGACCCCUCAACAAUACACAAGAAUACUCUAAGGGAUAACCUAGAUGAGACAGCGGACAAUAUAUUUUUGUUCCUAGACAAGCACUAGGAUAAGAAAUGCAUAUUAUUACUGUGGAACUCCAGGUAAGCAUUUUUACCAUCUCUUUCUUUUCUGAGCUAGCACUUAUACAUAAUACUAAUUAGCUUCAAUUUCGAUGUACAACAACCAUUGGAUACUCAUUGUUAUUGUGCCCUAUUGGAGUAUCGUGUAUGUCUUUGACUCCUUGAGGAGACCAAAGGAAAGUUACGCUGACAUAAUGAACACUGUGAAUAAAUGCUGGGCUCGAUUCCGUCGAACUCACAAGGGUGAUUUCAAGGAAAAACUUGAUUGGAAGAUAGAUUUUCCGGUAUGUGUUCUCAAUUUUCACAUCUCGUGAAACUUCCAUUAACAGAAAACAUAUUACAUAACUUUUUUUCAAUAUAUACAGUGUGCAAGACAGCCGAAUGGUACUGAAUUAUGCGGAUACUACGUUUGUGAUUACAUCCAUGCCUUGAUCAGUCCGAGCGGCCAUAUCAGCGAACACAAAUUAACAGUACGUAUAUUUUUCAACAAAAAGUUAGUUCAUGUGUAUAUUCUUCAAAAAUCAAUCCAAGUGUAUAUACUUAGAAUAAUUAGAUUAAGUAUUUCAAUUCAUUUGGUUGUACAUCAACAAAGUUUCAAUCGUUCAAAAAUUUUAGCUUAAGUAUUUCUAAUUCAUUUGCCAAUGACACAGAUGAUGACUAGGAAGGAAAGACUCGUAGAUACAGAAAUUUUCAGGGCAAUCCAAGAACAACUAUGUGGAUUUCUUCUAGAUAAGGUCGCAAAUCCUUUGGGGGAGUUGCACCAUGAUGGGACUCCGAUAGUGCACAAACCGGCCUCGGGUUCAUAAUAGCAGAUACGAUAUGUGUAUGCAAUGUGUAAUAUUAACCAAACAUCUGUUUAUGCACAAUACGACAAUAUUAUCUCAAAUGUUAUAUUCAAAAUAAAUAGAAAUUUACAUAUAUUAGUGUAUUAGAAUCAGUAUAUGUAAAGGAAACAGAUAUAAAAUAUGAAUAUACAAUAAAGUAACAGAAAAUAAGAAAAAAAAGGAAAACUGCAUUAGUACCGGUUGGGGAUACCAACCGGUACUAAUGAGGGCACCUCCCCGCGUGGCAUGGCAAGCCCUUUAGUACUCGUCGGUUUACUCAACCGGUAUUAAAGGUUACAAUUUAUUACUGGUUAUUUCAACCGGUACUAAAGGGACCACCUCUAGUACCGAUUGCACAGUACCAGUUACGGUUCCGGUACUAGAGGGGGGUUACUGACCGGUACUACACGUCAUUUUUCCAGUAGUGUAUAAACUGGCGGGAAAGAUUCCUUCAUCACCGCUAGCUCUUGUACUAGACCGUCAGUGCUGAUGGUCCUCUUCACAGCCCAUGGGACAGCAACCGGCGGUGAUGAACUCGCAUCACUAUCCGUCCAUGGUCCGGCUAUGAUAGGCAACCUCAUCACCACCGACAUUUAUGUGCCAGCAGGCCCCCAAACCACCCGUGAUGCAGGGUUUUGGGGCUAGCGGUGAAGGCCUGUUGUGCAGUAGUGUGCAUACAAUGAUUCAAAAUAAACCUAAUAUUUUCCCUUUAUAUCUUUUUUUCUUUUAUCGUACUUUUCUAGGCCUCACUUUGUAGUUUUUCUUUCAAUUUCACAGUGACUGAGGUGUCAGGUGGCUUGCCGACGCUGAAUGAAACAACCUGAGGUGGGCUGGCCAUGACGGGUACCUAAUAAAGGGAGUGUCUGUCGCACAAGCGUUGGAAGAGCAUCUCCAGCAGUUCCCAGUAACAAUGAAAUGGAUAUUGGAGUAACCCCAUGCACUAAUUAUUGAGAAAUAUUUAUUAAGAGAUUGCUGGAGAUGCUCUAAGGUGAGCUCAUACGAGAUACAUGCAUGCUAGUGCUCAUAUGAUGGUAUGUUUCUGUGUCAUCUAAUACCAACACAUGUAUUCCUUUCUCCAUCACAAUCCUCCUUCGCAUAAGGUGUUCAGUGCUGUUGUGAAAUAAGCAUAGCUCAGCUUGUAUAUUUCCUUGUGGAACCCGCCCAUCAAGGUUCGAGUUAUUGACUUGGCACCGGUGCUCGCAUUUUCCUGAUUAAUUCUAGAAUUUAACCAGCACUAUCCUUUCAGUGGUAGACAACAUGCUCGUCGAUAGCGAGGCACCAUAAGUGACUUCGCCAAUCUCGAGGAUCUGUCGGUUCAGUCUCUUGGAGGUGCUUAAAGGUAGGGUUGCAUGUGUACAGACACAGACGCUCACAUAAACUUACAUAAAUUCAAUGGUAUUAAUACACCCUACCCUUAUCAGCACCUCUAAAACACUAAGCCAAUAGGUCCUUGAGAUUGACCCUUAUGAGCAACUCUGGAAAACUAAGCCAGCAGAUCAUGGAGAUUGACAAACUCACCAUGGGCAGCUCGCCAUCGAUGACUAUGUUGCCUACCACUGAAAAAAUAACAUCGGUUAAAUCCUAGAAUAAAUCUAGAAAAAUAGAAGAAGCGCUAGCGUCGAGUCAAUAACUUGAACCCUGGUGGGCUAUUUACCAGCUGAGCUAAUACUGAGUUCUCUACCCUGGUGGUUUUUGGGAGAUUUGCUUCCUACCUACCGGGACUAAUACUGAGUUCUCUACGUGGCCAGAUUUCUACCACCAGAAAUCUAAUAACUGCAGCCUUGUUAAAUUUAAUUAGCAUUCUUAUUCGUGAUAUUCUGAAUAUACACGCACACAUGACACAUAUCACACAUGGUUUCCACUCCCUUUCUUGGCGCUCUCCGCCGCCACGGACAGCGCAAUGGCCGUCUCUAGCCACAAAUUCAACAGUACGAUGCAAGUCUUUUGACAACUCUCCUGAGCUUAUAAAUGGUUGUAGUGCUAAAUUGCUAAAUGCCACAUGUGGAAUUGAAUCUUGGCACAAACUUUAAUCGUGGGAAACUCGCACGGUAUGAGUUUGGCACAAGUUGGGAUUCCCUGCGUCAAGUAAUUGCAGGGCUAAAAGUAGAGUCCCAAGUAUGUGUUUUGUCCUUUGCAAACGUUGGUUGUUGGCAUUACUAAAAAAUUAGCUUUCUAUAUAUAUAUACUCUAUUCGUCUCACAAAAAACACAAUUGUAUGAUUCAAAUUUGUCCAUAAGGAAUGUAAUUGCAGCUUCUACCCAUUUCUUUUAAACUUCUCAUUUUUUGGAGCAGUGAUGUCAUAGGGUGACCCCCGCUACUGAAAAUGACCAUGAUCUGGCUCUACAAAUGCUUCUUCAUAGGUGGGACAUGCAGAAAGUACGGUAAGCCCACCCCUUUUGUAGAAGAGGGUGACCUUUUGGACCACCCAGAGAAAUAAAUCGGGAUGCGCCUACAAAUCCUUUCUGUAGUAGUGAGAGAAAGAGAUUGCGGUUGAAACAACAAUCCUUUCAUGAAAUUACCGCCUCAUAAGUCAAAUUUUAGGACAACAAGACGGCUAGUCCAUAUUUGUACGAGUUGUGGUUACUCUGCAACUCAUAAUAUAUUUUUUCUAUGCACAAAGUAAAAGAAUAGAAAUAUAUAAUUACAUCGAGACUACUUAAAAAUACAACACAAUGUAAAGGUUAUUUGUUAACUUGCCUCAAGAUUACAUGUUCUCUAUUAGGUAACACCAAUAUAUAUACUGGUUCUAAAGAUUCAAUUUAUCAUUAGCUAGACACAUGGCGAUCAUGUGCAUUUAAAUCUAUAGUGUGACUUGGAGAAAAAAAAAGUAAUCUUCAUCCGUAUGGCCGUACAGUGACUCUCGCUCUUGACAGGUAUUAGUGUAAGUAGCAUAUAUAAAGAACCCUCAUGCACGCUUUGGAUCCCCAUCCCUGCUAGCAUAUAUUCAUUCAUAAACUCACGGGUAUUCUCUCAUGGUCAUGGUGCUCCCAAUGUUGCUGGUUUGUAUGGUAGUGACGGUAGUGAUCACCGUUCAUGUCAUCUGUGCCCUAGAUGAACACAAGCGAAAGAGAUUUUCCGGUGCAUCUCUUCCACUGCCCCCUGGCCCGGUCGCUCUCCCCAUCGUCGGGAAUGCCUUCAGCUUCAUCGGGCCGUUCGGCCACAACCCACACCGCAUACUCACGAGCCUCGCCAAAACCUAUGGGUCCAUAGUGUCCUUUCGGCCAGGCAUGGCAGGCAAUUUCGUGGUAGUGUCAUCCCCUGAAGCAGCACGUGAAGCUCUCAUCAAGAACGAUGCCGCGCUCGCUGCCCGGUUCGUGCCGGACAAUACACGCGCCUUAGGCCAUUGCUCGGAGUCAAUGUUCUUCCUCCCAACCUAUAGCCAUUUGUGGAAGCAGCACCGCAUCACAUUGGGUACCAGCCUCUCAACUGGCCGGGGCCUUGACACAACCCGCCCCAUUCGGGAUCGCCAUGCCUGUCGGCUCAGCGAGCACUUAAGGUUCUGCUCUGGCAUGCCAAUCAAAAUUGGAGAGGCCGUCCAAGGCACAGUGCUCGAUGUUAUGUCCAACAUCCUCUUCUCUAAGGACGGGACGCACUUGCGCGUGAAGGGGGGCCAGUUGUUCAAGGACCUCCUGGUGGAGGUCCUCGAGGACUGGACUAAGCCCAACGUUUCUGACGCUUUUCCCUUCUUCGCGUCACUUGACCUCCUUGGCUCACGCCGCCGAAUCUCCAGAGGUUUGGCUAAACUGUACAAGUUCUUUGAUGAAGAGUUCGUCGAACGUCGGUUAGGCAGCAGUGAGAACCACCACGAUUUGUUGGACUUCAUCCUCUCGCAGCAUGCCAAGUCGAAGCUCACGCGUUCAGAGAUCACCAAGUUCUUCACGGUCGGCUAUACAUAUGAUCUCUGAACAUAAAUAUAAUUGCUGUCUUUCUGCUUUCUGUACAUUUUCUUGGGUAACUGAUAUACUAAUUAACUUACAUUUUUUUAUAUGCAUUUCUGUUCUUAACCUAUCAAUAGGAUAUCUUUCUUGCCGCGAGCAACACAAGUAGGAUCACCGUGGAAUGGGCAAUGGCACUCCUACUUAAGCAUCCAGAAAAGAUGAAGAAGCUGCGUGCUGAGCUUGCAGCGAGCCUUGGGACCAAGGAGUUUGUCCAGGAGAGCGACUUGGACAAGCUCCCCUACAUCCAUGCUGUGGUGAAGGAGACACUACGACUGCAACCAUCAGCACCGCUGCUACCACGAAUGGUGUCCACGGACGGCAUGUCACUUGGCGGAUUCUCAGUACCAAUUGGUACCAACAUUCUGAUUAACCUUUGGGCCAUUGGAAGGGACCCAACGGUGUGGCCUCAGGCGGGAGAGUUUCUGCCUGAAAGGUUUCUGGGCAGCCGAUCACUGGACUUCCGGGGAUCAGAAGACUUCACAUAUAGGCCCUUUGGGGCAGGGCGAAGGAUGUGCCCAGGACUGGACUUCGCUGCGCAGUUGAUUCCACUUUUGCUAGCCUCGAUGUUGCACAAGAUCGACUGGAGCCUACCUGAUGGGAUCGUGCCUGAGGAUGUGGACCUCAGGGAUCGCUACAGCAUGGUUCUGGAGCUCGCUAAGCCCCUCAUUGCGGUGCCAGUGUCAACGGUGUGCCGUGCUCCGCCGUGGCUGAUGUAGCGUAACUUCAUAUCAGCCGCCGGUACACAAGUGGUUUUAGAGGUUUGUGUGGGUGAAUAUAGGGAAUUCAUACCCAAAUCCAAACCCAGCUUAAAGGUAUGGGUAUAUAUAUACACACACUAGCAAAUUUGCUCGUGCGUUGCCACAGAACGUAAACCUUGGACAAAAUACCCGUGCGUUGCUACGGUAAAAAAUCAAUUGUAUUUUUUCAAAUUAAUAAUAUUUUUUAUUUUCAUCACUAAAUUUUUAUUCCACUUAUUAGAUAUCUACACAUUUAAUAGAAAACUAAAAGUCCUCCAUCCAGGCCCUACCUCCUCUCCUCCCCUAGAUUCGGCCGGCGCCCUUAAAGGCUAGCUAAGCCAGCAAUUCAACAUUCGCAUCCCACUUUCAUUCUUAAAGGCUAGCUAUGCCAGCAAUUCAACAUUCACAUCUUUUGUGUAAGCAAUACUGUUUGCGUUGUCUCUGACAUGGGACAUGGCUGGUGCAAACAUGCAUUGCAAAGAGAGCUCUUGUUAUACCCCUAGUUUUCUCACACCAAAGAAGGGGUAUAUAUAUUUGUUUCUUUCGGGUAAGUCACCAGCAACAUGGGCUUCAAGCCCACAAACCAGCCCACUAAGCCAACUCUCUGCCCUCUGAAGCUGGAGUCACAAGGCUGGAGUCUGCUCGGACGUUCUUAUCCACGCGCUCAUGACCGGCCGUCGACCCGCGCCCCACCGCAGAGGCCAUAACCUAUAGCCAUGUAGCCCGCUUGUCAGCCACUAGCCAUGCACCACGUUCUCGUCGUCCAUAGUCCAUCCUCUCCAUGUGCCCCACAUGCACAUUUACCGCCACUAAACACCUCGCCCCCACCCCAUUCUCUGCUCCCUCCCAUGCGGGCACGUGGCUCGUCCGUUUCGCUCCCAUGCCACCGCACAGCAAAACCCCGGCCGACCUGCUUACUUCCCUGAGCAGCAGCAGCGGAAUCAGACCACCGGGCUCGGGACCUCGGGUACACCGAGGGAAAGAAUGUUGGAGGCCGCACGCAGUGGCUCACACCCGUGGUGCUGUUCGUGCUCGUGAACCUCAUCAUCGCCACGUCGCCGUCGCGUCCAAGCUGAUGUCGUCAGGGACAGGGACGGCGGCGCCCGGGGGGUCGACGAGGUGGGCGGCGGCAGGUGGAGGGCCCUCCUGCGUGUGCCAUCCCUCACCGUCGACUGCCUCCGCACGUCGUUCAACUUCUCCCGCCUCGGCGGCCUCGCCGCCGACCACUCGCCGCUCUUCGAAUACGCGGCCUCGGAGCUAGCCUUCCCCCAGCUACCGGCGAUGAGCUACCGGUGACGGGGGUCGCGGCGGCGCCGGGAAUGGUGGCCACGACGAUGAGCUCGAGCGCGAGAAGGUGGUGUGCAUCUAGAGGAGCCGGUCGGAGGCGGCCAUGGAGCUUGCGCCCAGCAGCUGGCGUCCGCGGGCGAGGAGGACGCGGAGGGCGGCGGCGGUCGAGGAGCCGGCGCUCGCGCACGACGUUCUCGUCACCCCCGCGUGGCGGCGGUGUCGAGGGAGGCUAGCGCCGUCGCCGUCGCCGGGCGCGGCAAGGUGCCAGCGGUGGAGGUAGACGCGCGCGCGAAUGACUUCAUCCGGCGGUUCCGGGAGCAGCUCCGGCUGGAGCGCCUCGACUCCAUCCUCCGCUACCAGGACACGCUUACGCACCACGAUCAAUAAAUCAAUUGUUAAACCCACCCGUCAAUGUUGGAUGAAACUAAAAGAGUGGAUAUGGGAAGAAAUGGGAUUGGAUUGUGCACGUGUGUUUAAAAUAAAUGUCAAGAACUCAGCUAUGGAAAUCAUGACCUGAGCUUGCUCUCAGAUUGAACCAAGUUGCACGCACCUCUAUUCCCGUGUGUACCCUUGUUUUACGAACGGUAUAUCUUACCGUCACCUAAUUGGAGUCCUUUUCAGUUAAUCCUUUUCUAGGAAAAAGAUACCCUGUUGAAACAUAUAAGAUAAUGUUUUGGUUUCAUGAAAAUUGAAAUUAAGGAGAGUCGCAGCUAUCUAUUCGCAGCUUACAUGAUGUCACUGUCCUCGUCAUCCUCGGCACUGGCAGAGCGUCGUUGGGGCCUUAGAGGACCACGGCCCCCUUGCUUGGUAAAAAAAAAAAUCAGAAGAGCAAAGUGCAAAUUUCCAGUCCAAGUGCAGUCCGUGGCUUCUUGACACGUAAUUCAGCGCACAAUCAAGAAAUCCCACAAGGCAUUAACCAUAUAGGCACAAACAAACAUUGAAAACAAUAGAAAAAAACAUUGAGCCAAUUCCAGCAACUAGCGGAUGAGACAACGACCUCAGCCGUCGCAAGACGGACGCUUCCUUCACAGUUGACUCAUUGAGGUUGUCAUCGUCGGCUGUCGCCACUCGCCAGGGCUGGCGCCUUGCAGCCUGGUGCUAGAACUUUCAUCCGGCCAUUUUUGUUUAAGCCAGUUCAAGUUAGGGCAAGGAGGAAAGGAAAGUAUGGUUGCUUUUCUUCCUUCUUUUGUUUAUCUUCUAAGUUCUUAACACAUUAGAUCCGUAGAAUAUGCAGGCUACUAUUGCCUAAUUAGCUGGUAAUUUGUUGUCAGUUGAGAUCUAUUGUUAUUUCUUUUGAGAAAAUUGAGAUGUUUCGCUAGUUUAUUUGGCCCUAAUCCCCAAAUUGCACAGUUUAUACGGUUUGGUGGUUUUAUAACUAAAUAGAGUUCUGCAAUUUGGUAGGUAGGUACAAAUGGGUAAAGAGAAGCCUAUUGAUUCAUUUUUCAACAGCAAAAGAGAUGAACCAAUUGUGGACUGUCGAGCAACCUCUGGUUCAAGCCAACCAAUUUCCCCCCUACAAUUUGCUUCACGCUCCGCCACUGAUCCUCGAUCCUCGGUGAGAAUUUUUAACCUCUUUGAAAAAGUCGGCGAUUGCGAAUCUCCACCUGCAUUUUUUGUUCUAAACCUUUUUAAACUUGUUUGUGAUUGCGAAUCCAAGGAGAUGUACCUGCAUAACAGAAGCUAUCUUUGCUGCUAGACAGAUCGAGCAGCGAGCUCACCCAUAACUAUUGAAUCCACAGUAGUGGUUGCCAGGACUUGCAGGCGACAUACCUGUACAGAUGAUUUGAAGUGCAAAACCACUCCUAAACUUGCUGUUAAUUCGAAUAUUAUUACCUUGCCCAUCUAGUAAAACAGAUGCAUCUGCGUAGGCAAAGUUGGACCGCAAAACUGGACAGCUCUCUGUGGUGUUGUUUAGAUGGACGCUGCCCCCUCCCGUUUGCAUGUUUUCUUCCCAGCACAGACGCUGUUUCUUGAAAUGGAUUCUGAAAUAUUGUGGCGAAAUGUCCUUUUCUAAGUGGGCCUAGACCCAUAAAUUCGCGAGCUCCGCCCCACUCACCACUGCCACACCGUAACUCCGCCUGUGCUGUCGUGGCCACUUGCUCGCCUCGUCGCUCUCGCGCGUCACAGUAGCAGCAGUUCUUGAGGCGGCACGCUGCCUGAAAGCUAUGCGAGCCCGUCAGCUCGUCAGACACGCUGCCUGCCUCCCGCUACGCUCCACCUCCCCAUCACCACGCUGCAAGCCGACGCCCGCAAGCUGCCGCUCGGCCACAGCGCCGCUGACACUACGGGAAAGCAUAAAGUCGCCGAGUGUAAUAACUUCGCCGAGUGCUUUUUUUCGGGCACUCGGCGAAGAACCGUGUUGCCGAGUGUAACACCAAAAACACUCGGCAAAAAUAAAACACUCGGCGAACAACCUGUUUGCCGAGUGCCCUCCAAAAAACACUCGGCAAACACCCAGGCGGCACUCGGCAAACUUUGACACUCGGCAAACUGACGCCCACGUGACUUCCCCGUGCCGACGGCGGCGCCCCUCCGUGACGGCCGUUAGUGUUUGCCGAGUGUCAAUAUAGGGCACUCGGCAAAGGCACUAGUUUGCCGAGUGCCAUGAUGGGACACUCGGCAAACUAUAGUCUUUGCCGAGUGUCUUGUUGGGACACUCGGCAAACCCUAUAGUUUGCCGAGUGCUAGGGUGUACACUCGGCAAACUAUAGCGUUUGCCGAGUGUUUUUUUACACACUCGGCAAACAUAAUUUUUUUCCCCUCCUCCACCCUCCAAACUUUUUACACUCCACAUGUAUGGCAUUUGGCACUGCAUGGUAGAAGAUGGACUAUUUUUUGACCUGUUUGCUAUAUUUAAUCAAUUAAUUUCAUUUAGAGUAAUUUUUUGAUUUAAGUCAAAUUUGAACUGCAGGUGGUUGGAAUAAUGGAAUAAUAUGAGUGAAAAAAUCAUAUUGAUGUUAGUGAGUCUAAAUUGAUGUCUCACCCAGAAAAUGAAAACAAAUUUCGAACAUGUUGCUAAGGAAACACGACUACGAACGUGUGGCCAAAUGAUUGUUUAAUUCUUAAAAAUACAAACGAAGUUUGAAAAUCAUGAGAUUUUGCAAGAUGCUUUGAUUUCGUAUGCAGAGGCCGUGGUAAAAAAUUGAUAAGGUUUCGCACAAGUUUUGACAUAUGAUGUUUACAAUUCGAAGCAUCUCCGGAGAGGUUUCAGAGAAGUUCAAAGGAUCCGGUAAGAUUUUGAGAUGAAUCGAUAAAUAUAAUUCACAUUGAGUCCAAAUUUUUUUUUAUAGGCUAUAGAGAACAUAGAUAGGUUCAUGUCAAAUUUUGGGAAAUUUUCAGAUCCGUUUGGUAAUUUUUAUUCAUUAAUUGGACGUAUAUGAAUUUAAUAGAUAUAAAUUAAAUAUGAGCUAUAAAUCCAUGAAAUAAUGGUACAAUAUUACUUAAAAAAUGAAAUACGCAAUGUUUAGUGAAUUGGACUAGGGUUACACAAAGUUUACGUCCUUUUAAUUACUAAAAGUGGUGUUGGACAUGCAAUAUAGGUAGGUGUUUGCCGAGUGCUACCUAGGGCACUCGGCAAAGGGAUGGUUUGCCGAGUGUCACAAAUAGGGCACUCGGCAAAGUCACAAAUAGGGCACUCGGGUCCACGUCGCAGUGUCUGGCAAUGUUUCGGGGGGAAAAACACCCUUUGCCGAGUGCCCCGGAUCUAGCACUCGGCACAGNNNNNNNNNNNNNNNNNNNNNNNNNNNNNNNNNNNNNNNNNNNNNNNNNNNNNNNNNNNNNNNNNNNNNNNNNNNNNNNNNNNNNNNNNNNNNNNNNNNNGACGAGGAAGAAGAGGAAGAGAUCUCCAGCAUCCGGGGGAUGACUCGGUCGAGGACGCGUGACCGUGGAGCAAGAGACCACGCAGCAACCAGCACCAUCACCCAGCACAGGCGCUGCUCAUGCACCAGCACGACGCCCGUACCGGUCGUCGACUUGAUGGAUGAUGAGCCCGAAGCAGAUGCCGAGCACGAGACAUGGACCAAAUGGGUGAAGAUAGAUCAUGGCCAAGGAGUGCAAAUGGCUCGACAUCCUCAGGUGGACUUGUCACCGCUUGGGGUACAGCAUGAGGCCACUCUACAAGUCCUCUCGGUUCACCCACCCUCGCUAUCCCACUUUUUACGAGGUGAAGGUUGUCCUUGGUGAGGAGCACGAAGGAGGAUGGUAGGUGAAGUUUAUUCACCAUGAUGUGACCAUGAGGAGGCCCAUGGAGUCCGACGCGCACUAGGCCCCCAGAAGGGCAGUUGAGGUCGGCUCCCACCCGCAGCCCGUGCCACUGGUCCACAGUUACCACCGGUCCCUUCCUUACGCAGCUAGUGGGGAAGCCAGCCCCUCCACGCCCACUAAUCAGCGGGUCGCCCCGCCCACCGACUUCCGCCGCCAGGCGCCGUCCGCCCCCCUGCCGCCCCGCACCGACCGCCCCACGCCCCCGGCCCCGACCCUCGGCCGCCCCGAGCCGUCGCCGCCAGGCCGCGCCCCUGCCGCCGUCCCGCGCCCGCUCCUCCGUCACCCCUCCGGUAAGUUUAUGUUGCCGCUACACAUCGUAAAUUAGAGUAUGCAUGAAAAUGGAAAUUAAAUGUGAAAAUACUAGAGNNNNNNNNNNNNNNNNNNNNNNNNNNNNNNNNNNNNNNNNNNNNNNNNNNNNNNNNNNNNNNNNNNNNNNNNNNNNNNNNNNNNNNNNNNNNNNNNNNNNNNNNNNNNNNNNNNNNNNNNNNNNNNNNNNNNNNGCUUACCAGGGAUCUAAUAAAAUGAUCACGUACACAUCCUCGGGUGGGAUUAGGACCUAUCUUUACCUAGUAGACAAUAUAGGAGCGUGUAUAUGCCAUGUGAAUUUUGUAUUACUUAUUUAAAUGGUAGAGGAUGGAGGAUCGUCAGUGGAUGUACACGGGUCGCACUAGUCAGAAUACGUUGACCAAUGAAUGGCUUGACAAGACGGAUGCUUUCUUGGAACGGGCGUUUGCAAGUGUCAAUGGAGCUCGAUCGACUUGGUGUCCGUGCAGCAAAUGUGGAAACAUGCGUCGGCAAACCAAGCUGGAGAUGGGCAAACAUCUGGUGAAGAACGGAUUUACGUCAGACUACACCAGGUGGAUCUACCAUGGUGAAUAUGACCGUGGGAGAGAGGAGGUCUUGAGACAACGAAUCGAGGAAUUUGAUGAUGAUGCCGGGGUGGGAGAUAUGUUGAAUGACUUUCAUGAAGCACACUUCGAAGAGGCACGUAGGGAGGAGGAUCCAGAGGCUACCGCUAAGGCUUAUUACGAAAUGUUGUCUGCGGCACAGCAACCCCUUCACGGCCAUACCAAGGUUUCUCAGCUAGAUGCCAUUGCACGCCUAAUGGCUGUGAAGUCUCAGUUUAGUUUGAGUCGAGACGCGUUUGAUAUUAUGUUGACAGUUUUUGGAAGCCUGCUCCCGGUUGGUCACAUCUUGCCAAAGAGCAUGUAUGAGGCACAGAAACUCCUUCGUGCACUUAAGAUGCCAUACGAGCAUAUACAUGCAUGCCCGAAGGGAUGCAUCUUAUUUAGGAAAGAGUAUGCGGAAGCAAAAUACUGUGUGAAGUGUGAAUCGUCUAGAUUUCUGGAGGUUGAUUCGGGUGACGGUCAGAAAAAGCAGCUCGCAAUUCCUGUGAAGGUUCUACGGUAUCUUCCUUUCAUACCGAGGAUCCAACGGCUUUUCAUGACUGAAGAAUCCGCAAAACAGAUGACAUGGCACAAAAAUGGCCGUCGCUAUAAUCCAGAGAAGCUGGUACACCCAUCCGAUGCUGAAGCCUGGAGAAGCUUUGAUGCGAUUUAUCCUGCAAAAGCUCUAGAGGCCCGUAACGUACGCGUUGCGUUGGCAACUGAUGGGUUCAAUCCCUAUGGAAUGGCGGCCGCCCCGUACACCUGUUGGCCCAUUUUCGUUAUCCCACUGAAUCUCCCACCCGGCGUCCUAUUUCAACGACAUAAUAUAUUCUUGUCGUUGAUAAUUCUAGAGCAUCCGGGAAAUAAUAUGAGUGUGUAUAUGGAGCCUCUGAUUGAUGAUUUGCUCCGUGCUUGGGAGGAAGGAGUAUGGACCUAUGACCGAUGCACAAAGACAAACUUCAAGAUGCAUGUUUGGUACCAGUACUCACUGCAUGACUUGCCGGCAUAUGGGAUUUUCUCCGGAUGGUGUGUUCACGGGAAGUUCCCUUGCCCAGUAUGUAAAGCAUCUUUGAAGUUUAUUUGGUUGUCGAAAGGGGGCAAAUAUUCAUCGUUUGACAAACAUCGACAAUUCCUCCCUCCUGACCAUCCAUUUAGACGAGACAUGAAGAACUUUACCAAAGAUGUUGUAGUUACAGCCCCCGCACCGCCGAUGAUGACAGGGGCCGCAGUUCGUGCUCAGUUAGACGCUCUUGAGUUCAAUAAUGAAGAAGGUGGUUUUUUAGGAUAUGGCGAGCAACAUGCUUGGACGCAGAAGUCGUGCUUGUGGAAGCUUCCAUAUUUUGAUGAUCUACUUGUUCCACAUAACAUUGAUGUAAUGCACACGGAAAAAAAUAUCGCCGAGGCAAUUUUUGGUACUAUAAUGGACAUUCCUGACAAGACAAAGGAUAAUGUUAAGGCUAGAGUGGAUCAAGCGACAUUGUGCAACAGACCACAGCUAAACAUGGCGCCUCCAAGAGCUGGCAAGUCAUGGAGGAAGCCUAAGGCCGAUUUCGUUCUGACGAGGGCUCAAAGGAGGGAGGUUCUAGAAUGGUUCCAAACAUUAAUGUUCCCUGAUGGCUAUGCAGCGAACUUGAAGAGGGGAGUGAAUUUAGCAACUAUGCGAAUCAACGGGCUCAAGAGUCAUGAUUACCAUAUAUGGCUUGAGCGCCUCCUUCCGGUGAUGGUUCGAGGCUAUGUCCCUGAGCAUGUGUGGCAGGUGCUAGCGGAGUUGAGCAAUUUCUUCCGCCGGCUUUGUGCGAAGGAGUUAUCUCGUACCGUGGUUGCAGAAAUGGAAACAAUGGCGCCUGUGUUGCUUUGUAAGUUGGAGAAGAUCUUUCCUCCAGGGUUCUUCAAUCCAAUGCAGCAUAUGAUUCUACACCUCCCAUAUGAAGCACGAAUGGGGGGGCCUGUGCAGGGUCGUUGGUGCUACUCAAUUGAGAGAUGUCAAAAGGUUCUUCGAACUAAAUGUAAGAAUAAGUGCAAAAUUGAAGCAUCCAUUGCAGAGGCAUACAUUCUGGAGGAGGUGUCAAACUUCACAUCGAAAUACUACGCUGAGAACCUUCCUAGUGUGCAUAAUCCACCUCCUCGUUACAAUGCUAGCGAAGAUGAAUUAAGCCUUAGCAUUUUCCGAGGGCAACUCGGAAGUGCAAGUGGUGCGACCCGCAAGACCCUUAAUCAUGAAGAGUGGCGCUCUAUCAUGCUAUAUGUGUUGACCAACCUAUCUGAAGUGGAGCCGUACAUGAUGUAAGUCACCGACAAACUUAUUUCGACGUAUUAAUGGUAUCUCUUGCCUAAACGUAUCUUUCUCCUUGGCAUAGGCAAUUUCAUCGUCAAUUCUGGCGUAAAUCAAGGCAACCGACCCCGCACGAAGCUGAGACUCUUCUUAAAGAGGGUGCGGGAAAUGGAAUGCCCGAUUUCAUUUCUUGGUUCAAACAGAAGGUAAAAUUUCAUUUCCGCGAACAUUCUAGAUACUCGUGCAUACGAUUAAUAUAACGAACCGCCCUGUUCGUACUUGCAGGGCCGAACCGAUGCGUCUAUGAAUGCCGAGUUGAGACAGGUUGCCAAUGGCUGUGACUAUAGGGUCAGGUCGUUUGCCGGUUAUGACGUCAACGGAUAUAGGUUUCACACAACAAGGCACGAGCAGAGUCGGCCCAAUCGAAGAACCACAAAUACCGGAGUUUUCACGCCAGGCUCCGAUGGAGUCGAGUACUACGGAAGAAUUGAAGAAAUAUACGAACUCACUUUUCAUGGGUGUAAACCUCUUAAUCCAGUUAUAUUCAAAUGUCAUUGGUUUGAUCCAUCUGUCGUGAGACGGGCCCCUAACCUUGGGCUAGUCGAAAUUCGACAGUCAUCCAGGUUACCAGGAGACGAUGUCUAUAUUGUGGCUCAACAGGCCACGCAAGUUUAUUAUUUGUCAUACCCGUGCCAAACCGACAGCCGUCUUAAGGGUUGGGAUGUUGUGUACAAGGUAUCACCACACGGUAAACUACCUGUACCAAACAAUGAAGAUUACAAUAUAGACCCCGACACGUACGAAGGAGAGUUAUUCCAACAAGAUGGGCUCGAAGGGAGUUUUGUGAUAGAUUUAACCGAAGCGAUCGGAAUGGAAGUAGACAACGAGAGGGUUGCUGCAGAAGACGGUGGAGACGAGGUUCAGAAUGUGAAGGACUUAGAAUUACUUCAACGAUUACAGUUAGAUAAUGACAGUGAUGACGACAUUUCUUCUUCGGAGCACGAGCUUGACUAUAUCGACACGCGUGAUAGUGAUGAUGAGACUUAUGAUCCAGCUAAUCCCGAUCAUGAUGAUUAUUUCUAAUACAUGUAUGAUUCGUAAUAAUUUAGCUAUAAUUACUUGUAAUUUGCAUAUAUUUCUAAUUAUGUUUUGUUUGUCUAUGCUGACUCGUGUACUCUUUUUAAUUGCAGGUCAUCAAGCAAUGGUGGGCGGUAUCAGGAAGCUCACGUCGAUUUGCGAGAGACUGGCCGCGGCAGGGACUGGUUCAGGGUCAGGGUCACGUUCAGUCUCGGGUCGAGGGAGGCGUCGAGGCAGGCCUCGACGUAGGGUUGAGGAGGAGGAGGAGGAGGAGGAGCAGGAGGUGGUCCAGAGGCCUCGAGGGAAAGGUAAAGCGGCGAGGCCCCCGUCGCCUGAACCUGAGGAGGAGGAGGAGGAGGAGGAGGAGGAGGAGGUACCUUCCGCACACUCCUCUGGGGACGAGGAGGCGGAGGAGGAGGAGCAGCAGGAGCAGGAGGGGGAUGGGGAGGCAGGGGAUACCCAGGCCAAGAUAUGGUUGCGAGGUCCCUCAUCCCUCCCGAAGCGGCCGAUACCUGAGCAUUUACGCCCGCUCAUUAAACCGGUUGGGAUCAAGUAAGUAACUUUAAAUAUUCUUGAAAUUGUUCUUAUGUUGUAAGUUACAAAAAAUAAUAAUUCAUAUUAAUUACUUGUGCAGGAGUUGGGUUAAGCUCAGCGGGGGUGACCACAACCGUAAGGCCAACGGGAUCCUUGGCCUUUUGUGCAGGGUUCACUUCCCUGGCUUGGUGGUGUACGCCGGACAGCUGCAGCCGGCCUACACGUGGGACCACUACGUCGCCGCCCCCGACGUCCCUGAUCGUCAACAAAGAAGAUUCCCCAACAUAGCGGAGCGGGUCAAGGCCGAGCUGUGGGUAAGUACUCCUCGUACUAAAUUGCUCAAUACAUCACUACUUUCGACAUUCUUGAAAUAAUAAUUGUUUACGCGUGUAUAUGCAGGACUUCUAUAGAUGCCAGGAGGGGUUCGAGGCCAAGGCGAAGGCCGUCUGUGAUGUAGCCGCCAAGAAGCUCGUGAGGGACAUGCAUUACGAGGCGCGCAUCCAGGCCAUCAUAGAGUUCAACGCUCAAUACAAUCAUACGAAGGUUAGAAAAGAGGAGGCAAGAACAAUGAACCUGACUAAGGAUCAAUUCAUGAGGGUAAGUAAAGAACGUUGAUGCUUACUAUUUAUGAUUAAUUAGGCUCAUUUUCUUUUUCAUACGUCACACGCUUGAUGAUGUAGGUGCCUCCGUGGUGGUGUCGUGCGCAUAUGCCGUGCUGGGAGAGGAUGGUCGACGUGUGGUUGGAGCCCGGGUGGUUGGAGACCCACCUUUCUUGCCGGCAGCGGCGUUUGCAGAUGCCGACUGCAUCACACCAUCAAGGCAGCCUAAGCCUUGAUGAAUAUAGAGAAAAAUGGGUACGCAACUUCAAUUCUUUAUUGUAACGUUUAGUUCUACGUAAUUUUUAAUAAUUUUGUAUUUUGCCGCAGUCGGCGUCACAUGAUGGCCGACCUUGCUCCCAGCUCAAGGCAUGGGUCCUCUCCAAAAAGGGCAAGGCGACGGCCGAUAUAGAUUUCAACCCAGACGACCCGUCCGAGGCGUACAGCCACCCUAGCAUAUACAGCCGCGUCAGCGAGUAUACAAAGAUGGCUAGGGAGGUUCACGGGCCAGACUUCGAUCCGAGCUCCGAGGACAUUGAUGGAGAAAUCGUGAUGAGGGUGGGAGGAGGCAAGAAGCAUGGCCGAUAUUGGAUUGGCGACGGCGUCAUCGACACGGCCUCUACUCCCACUCUCUCCCAGAUCCGAGCUAGGAGCACGGACUCGAGCCCGGCAGUACGCCCACGACCCACCGCUGCACACUUCCAGAUGGAGGCUCUACAGGUUCUUUCUCUUCCAUUCAUCGUUCGUUUGUUGUUGUACUUUAGCUUUGCAUUAUAACAUUGCAAUGAAAUAUUGUAGGCCCAGGUGGAAGAAUCAAGGAAGAAACAAGAGGAGAUGGCGGCGCAGAUGGAGGAAAUGCGGCGGAGGAUGGAGGAGGAAAACCGGAUUAGGAUGGAGCAGAUGUUCCAGUACAUGCAGAACUUUGCUACGAGCAUGGGACAGACUUUGCCUCCGCCACCGCCGAUGAUGUUCCCUCCGCCUCAGCCACCCACGACUACUCCUGUGAGUCACUUGACACAUUGUGUUUAAGAUUCAAUAGUUUAAAUUUGACAACUUUAGAUGUUACCUCAGAAUGUCCUAUCCUAUGUGCAGAAUCAAUCGGCGGCUUCGAAUAAUGAAGAUCAAGAUUUGUCGCAGUGGUCUCCUUGGCCUCCACGGAAGUAGACUUGAUUGUGAACAAUGUGGAAACUAAAUUGUGAGAAGAACUUGGAUUUAUGGAUUAUUUCGUGCUUAUGUUGAACUAUGCCUGUGGUGUUUAUGAAUUAUGCCUGUGGUUGUGAAUUAUUCAUGUGGUUGUUUAUUACAAAUGCCUGUGAUAUGUGUAUUGUGAAUUGAGAGGGGUCCGUUAUACGUGGCAAAAUUUCGAAAAAGGGGCGGUUCUGGUCACUUUGCCGAGUGUUACACUCGGCAAAGAUGGGCCUUUGCCGAGUGUCGUGACCAUAGCACUCGGCAAAGGGGCAUUUCCCAGGUGUAGGAAAGGUCCUUUGCCGAGUGCUAUGGUCAAGGCACUCGGCAAAGUGGGCGGCUUUGCCGAGUGCCCUAGCGCCGGCACUCGGCAAACAUAUCCGACUUUGCCGAGUGCCCGGGAGCCGGCACUCGGCAAAGGGACAGUGUUUGCCGAGUGCCGGGAGCCGGCACUCGGCAAAGGGACAGUGUUUGCCGAGUGCCAGGCGCGUGGCACUCGGCAAACUCGCCGUUACCCGACGCCGUCAGUCCGCGGUUCGCCGAGUCCAUCUAUUCGCCGAGUGUUUUUUGGCCGUCGGCAACAUGUUUGCCGAGUGUCCGAGUUUUGACACUCGGCAAACUAGGCUUUGCCGACACAAUAUUUGCCGUGUGCCCUUUGCCGAGUGUUACACUCGGCAAAGGCUUUGCCGAGUGUUUUCGUGCCUUUGCCGAGUGCCCCAGGCACUCGGCAAAAGUUCUGUCUCCCGUAGUGUGAUGCCGUGCGUUUGAGCAGCCUUUUUUUUGUUUUCUAGCUUUUUUUUAGAUUCUCACAAAUACGGAAAUAUUUCAAAAUCUGGAUCCAUAGCUUGACGUCAUCCACACUGUCCACCGUCGUGUUCUUCUCCGUUCUCCCUUUACUCCUCCCCACCGUCCGGCUCUUCGUGUCGUCGUCAGCCUCCCGCCGGUCCUCCCUGCCUUCCACCCGCCGCUGGCCCUCGCCGCAGGGGGCCGCGCCGGCCAGCAGGGUGCCACCUGCACUUGCCGCCAGGCGCUGCCGACCCACCAGCCGCCGCCUCCUAGCCACCGGGCGGAGUGGGCACAAUGUGCCGAUGACACCCCACUUCACCUCCGUGCCCUCUCUCGUUGGAAGGUAAAUUUCUUAUUAGUUUUAAUAGUGAGAUAUAUAGAAUAGGUAGGUAGAAUUGUUAAAUAGAAUUUAGAUAGAUAGAUAGAUAGAAUAGUUAGAUAGUUAGUUUGAAAGAUAAUUAGAUAGAAUUUUCAUCUUAUGUAAUUUUCUUUUUAGAUAUAUAUAGUUAGAUAGAUUAGUUAGACAGAUAGUUAGAUAGAAUUUUAUUCAUAUGUAAUUUUUUGACUUAGAUAGAUAGAAUAGUUAGAUAGAUAGUAAUAUAGUUAGUAUGAUAGUUAGUUAAAUAGUUAUAUACUAAGUUUAUAAACUUGAUGGACAACGUAGUGAGCAUAUAUCAUGAAGGUACCAUGGAAAGAGAUGAUUAUGGAUGUGUUAAGUUUGUUAACAUGCAAAGCAUGGUUGUGUUAUUAAUUGAGAAGCCCUCAUUUAGUGAGUUGGUUGCAAGUGCUCGGGAGGAGCUAUAUUGCCACGAAGAUGAUGACAUCACAGUGGAGGGCGUACUUCACCUAGUUUCCCCUUUCAACAUCCAAAGGAAGAUGAUCCCAAUUUGGUGUGCAGAUAAGUGGGAGAAUGAUGUGAGAUCGGUUAUGAAGCGCCAGUUCUAAAGUUUGGACGUGGUUGUGCGUCGGGUGUUAGUUGAUCCCAUCCGUCAUCGGUUUUCCCGACCAAUGGGUCAGCAUGCACACUUUGACCCUUUCAUCCCAGAACCUAUUAUGGAUGUGGAGGUUGCACGUACGGUUCCCGAUGCUGAAUCUGCCCCCAAUGAGGUAGUUGGAGAUGCUUGUCGGACACUUGAUGCUGUGGUAAAACCUCCUCAUGAGAUCCCUUUGACACAAAAUCGUCCGAGUAAGUGUCUUAUCGGCACGCUUCUUGGGAGCUAACCUCCUUCAUUACAUCAAUUUUUUUUCUUCCUUUCUCAUAUUUCUAUCAAUGUUUUAGGAGACAUUCCUGAAAAUGUGGAUGUGCCCCCAGUUGCUACUCAACUGCACUGUGGAGAAGGAUUACGUGGCUCUAAUAGUGUUGAAAUUAUGAAUGAUUCGGAUGCAUAUGAGAUGGGAAUGUAUCUUGAUUCUGAUAAUGAUCGCCCUAUUGGAGAGAUGACAGAGAGUGAUGUUGAGAUGUUCAGGCGUAUCUUUCCUGGCCUUCGUGAUCCAAGAGUUCACGAGUUCAGUGAUCUUUCUCAUUCUGAUCAUGCGUGUGUAGAGGGAAGUGAUGAUGAGCUCCUAGAAGCUCCUGAGGCUGGACCUAGCAUAGUGAUUGAGGAGGGUAGGGUAUUCAAGGAUCUCCCCACAUUGAAGAGGUGGUUACAGGCGUUUGCAGUGAUACAGAAGAGACCUUAUAAGGUCUUGCAUUCAUAUGCAGAGCACCGUUACACAGUUGUGUGUGACAAGUAACAGUGCCCAUGGACGAUUUGUGCAAGGAAGAAAAAGAUCACCGAGAAGUGAAAGAUCACAAAAGUUGUUGGGCCACACAAUUGUGCUAACACUAGAACAUCGAGAAGUGGAAGAUCACUGGAUAGAAUGGUAAGUCAAGUACCUUACUUUCCCAUGUUAAAUUACUUAGUGAUUUACUGGUUUACUUUUUAUGGACUUUGUGGACUCUUGUUAUGAACUAUUUUGGACUUUCAUUAUGGACUAUUGUGCAUAUAGACAUUCAUUAAUGAAGUUUUGUGUGUAUGAACUAUUGUGGACUUUCAUUGUGAAUUAUUAUGUGUAUGAACUAUUGUGGACUUUUAUUAUGAACUAUUGUAGAUUUUCAUUAUGAAUGUGGCAUAUGUUUGUAUGUUUGAACAUGUUGUAUUCAGGUAAAAUAUUCAUCUCAUAAUUGUGUAUGAAUUACAUCCAAAAAUACGGGAAAUUCUGCCGAAAUUUCACAAAAAUAUAGGAUUGCAUUUCGCUUACAAAAAUUCUCCACCAUGUAAGCUUAUGUGCAUUAGGCAUGUGCUCACAUAUUUCUCGCAAAGAAAACGACAUCGCACAUACUACUAGGGUGUCCAUACUUAAAGUGCAUUACAUGACAACAUAAUGAAAAGUCCAACAGUAGACAACAUGUUUCAUAAAUAAACUAUCAGACUACAAGUAAUGGAGACUACUGAGUGCAACGAGUCCACUUUCCCUUCCUCAAUCGCUGCUUUCGCUCGGCGCGCAUGCUCAAGCUUCUUCUCCCUCUCCUACCUAUCGAUAGCAACACACCUCCUUUCCUCCUCUUCCUUGUGCUCCUUUUAUGCAGCCUCCUCUCUGAGUCUCUUCUCCAUCAUCUCCUUCCUCUCUGCUUCCAACCGCAAUAUUUCUUGUAUCUCCUCCUUGUCUUCAGGCUUGAUCUCGGUGUUGAUCCACUGCUCAAAAUCACAGAGCGGUGCAGGGGUCUACAAAAAAUGCAAUUGUUAUAAAAUAAAAAAAAUCAUGUAAAAUAAUUAUAACCCAACAACAAUUCCUCACAAUCUUGUUAAUGCAGUGUUGACGAAGUGUAGGCUCAAACUUAAAAUUAGAACACAUUUAGUACCUCUACCUAUACGUGUCAUCUGCAUCGGACUUGGCUACCUUGCAAGGAUCGCUGCAAAAGCACAUGGGUAUUGGAACACCACUAGGCAGAGGCAAUGGGUCAAAGGCAUUUCCGGUCAUCCGGGCAUAACUACAAUUUAGUCAUUUUCGUUGUAAAAACCGAAAGCAGUUAACAUUAAACCUACACCUAGGGUUUCCAUUUGAUCCACAAGAAUGAAUCCAUAACAUAACUACGUGCGCUGACCUUACCUUUGUUUCCUAGCUUUUCCACGCCUUGGCAUCCUAUGGUUGCACGAAACCCUAUGUUCAAAAAUCUGACUAAUAUAUAGCGAAUCGAUGUGAAAAAAAACUUGGAGGGAGUGGAUAUCUUGCUCUCGAAGAUCCAUGGAUCAAAUAAAAGUUUCUAAGAUUUAAUAUGCCGAUUCGUGGUGUAGGGCGAAGGGGGGAGAGAAAAAACCUGAGAGGGAGGAGAAAGAGGAGGAAGAAGCUUCGGGCAAGAAGAAAGGGUGCGGCCUUAUGGUAGCAGGUUUGGCUCCAGGCUGGCUGGCACAAGGCCACCACUAUGUCAGCUGCCCCGUCAGCAGCUGUUGAGUGACCUAGGUGUUGGGAUAGCCGGCGCCGAGAUGCCUAAGCUUGGCGCCAGCGUGGAUGGCGCCAAGUUAUGGGUCCAGAUUUUGAAAUGUUUCCGCCAGAUGCGUAUUUGUAAGAAUCUUUCAGAAAAAAGGCUAAAAACAAAAAAGUUAGAUGUUUGAGCCGCUCCACAGCCCUUACCAUCACCGACUAUAAAAGGCAGGGUCGAGCGCCUCUCCGCAACCGAACUUGCCGAGCCGCCAGCUCCGCUGCUCAACUUCUUGCAAUUCUGCCUGCAAUUUAUUUAUGGAGUGAUCGAGAAAUUGAGCGAGUUUGGAGGCUAGUGGUUGAUACGUUUUUUGCAUCGAAUUGACAUUGAAUUAGUUUUCUUUGAACUGCCAUUUCAAAUGUUUUUUCUAUAGUUGCAUGUGAAACACGUCUAUUGCCGCUAAUCAAUCUGUCGACGCUUUUUUGGGCCAACACAUGAAUGUACGCGAUUGUGCGGCGCGUGGAGGGGCUCACUGUAGCACGUCGAUGCAUGCCGGUUUGACCACUUACGGUCUGACCGGUUGUUAGGCCACCUAGUAGUAGAUUGGAAAAUUUAGGGAAAAAGAAUAAAGGAAAAGACAAUAAAUAGUAGCUUGGUUUUUUUCGAUUAGGUUGGAUGCCCUCAAUCGGCCGAAUCCCUUUAUAUUUCUAAGGAGGGAAGGUCUUUAUAUUUAUAGGAAGGGAAGGUCUUACCCAUGAGGGAGUCAAAAUCCUAAUAAAAAUCGUGCUAAAUUAAAAGUUCUACUCGGUUUACACUGAGCCAGAUAGGUCAGACCAGCCUGGGCAACCUGUCGGACCAGUCUGCCCGGGUGUAUAUCUUGCGAAGGUCGUAUCUCUCUCAUCCGAACUUCAAAUCGGACGUUCUAUAUAAGAAUCUUGAUCUACUCAACAAGAUACAGGAAAUGGUAGAGUCCAAUCUUCAUUUGGAGCACUUUGAUCCAACCAGUCCGACUGGUGGCAUCAGGACUGGUGGCAUCAGCUGGUCUGACCUGUCUGUACGGGGGUGCUGAUCUUUCCGAGGGCAUAACUCUCAGGUCCGAAAUCCAAAUCGGACGUUCCAUAUAUGCAUUUUGAUCGCCUUGAUGAGAGAUAUGUCCUGGUGAAGUCCAAUUUGCUUUUUGAGAACUUUCCCAAACCGGUUUGACCGCUUGGAAGACCGGUCUAAACAUGUCUGAUCAGAUCUAUCCAGACCUGCCACUUUUCGGCAUCAACACGAGUUUUCCAGUAGUGACAACACAACAACUGUAUUACCCACGGCAUGAAAAUAACACAUAACAAGAAGCUAUGUACCACUAAGCAACACAAUCAAUACUCUUGCAAAGGGGGCGAAACACCAAAGGAAAUGGCGAUGAAAUUGAAACCCCGCCAACAGAGCUUUGCUUGAGCACGUACAGCUCUUUAUUACAGAAACAGUAUAGGAUACGAUCGAUGUGCCAUCAAGCAUAAAGCAGCAACACUUAUUUCUUUUCUCAAAGCAAGCAAGAACAGAACUGGUCAUCAAAGAAGUUGACGGGAUUCAUUCAUUCAGAUGGCCGCCGCGGUCGGUGUGCAGCGGCGCUUGCAGAAGUUAGUGAGGACGUCGACGCACCGGUAGACAGGCGCCUCGGUGGUGCUGGUGUACUUGACGCAGUUCAUGCACGCUGGGUGGCAACCCUGGAACGAGAUGUCCAGGCAACUGCAAUCUGGUGGAUUCUUCCUGUUGCAGAAGCCGCACUGGUUGCAGCACGGCCAGGAGCUCGCGUUCGCGGCGUCGUCAGCGACCGCCGCUCCUCCCUCCUCCCCGCUCCCUGCGGCCACCAAAGAUUAGUCGACGCAUCCAGUUGAGUUGAGUUGAGUGUCAAACUGUUAAUUUCUCACCUUUGCUGAGGAGUGGCAGAGUUGCGAGGACGGCGAGGACAGCCAGUGUGACGAGCAACACCUGAGGUCUCAUGCUUGUUUCUCUUGGUAUGUAGGAAUACAGGGUGUUGCCAGGUUUGUUGUGGUUGGACUUCCUUCCUACUGAUGGGUGAUGGUUAUCUGUAUGAGGCUAGAGGCCUUAUUAUAAGAGGAGGGGGUGCCAUGACAGCUGUGUGCCUGCCAAGUUAAGGCUAGCUUGGCACGGCUCUUGAACAAUGGCUUUAGCUCUAGCUUAUCUAAUGAUCUUGUAUGUUGGAGAAACAAUCUUUUAAGAUAGAUGGAAGAGGUCAAAUAUCCAAAAUACCCUUAUUUAUUUCCUUUCUUUUCUCUUUUCUUUUAAUUUCUUUUUCUUUCCCGGUCAUUUUUCUUCCUUUCUCAUUUUUUCCUUCACCAUUUAUUUUUCUUCCUUUCUUAUUUCCUCUUCCUUCUAUCCUUAUCUUCCUUUCCUCAGCUCCUGCAGAACGCCGCCCCUGCCUCUCAUGACCAUGGCCAUCACCCGCAGCUCUUCCGGCUCGACGUCCCUGCCUCCCCACUCCUCCAACUCGACGCCCUAUCUCCCCUAGCCCACUCCCUCUCCUCAGCCCGAGCGCCCAACAACCCCUUCCUCCCAGCACGUCCGGCCUCGCUUAGCAGUUUGUGCGGCACGCCUGCAGCGUCGCUUGUGCAUCCAACGUGCUCGCCCCGUCCCGCCGUGCUCCACCCACCGCCGGUCAGGUCAGCACCGGCGUUACUCCGUCCGUGCCACUGCACCAUCCGCCACCGCCCACCAACACAGUGGUUUCAAGAAAUUUCAAACAAUUUAAAUAUUUGAUAAAUGAUUUCAAAGUUGUUUCAAACUUUUACAAGUGAACAUAAAUGUUAUUUAGUGAAUGUAAAAAAUAUAAUUUCAUACAUAACACAGAUAUUUUGACUAGUUAGUUCACAUGUCCCUAUAGGUUGAAACACCUCAUGAGUUAUAGGGUGAUCAUGACUUGGAUAUCCAUUUGAGAAAAACGUACUGUUACAAUAUCUCAAAAUUAUGUUAAUAUUUUUUAAUCCAUGUUGGUUCACUGCUGAAGUGGUUACAUGCAAAAUAUCAUGAAAAACAUUCCCCCUUAUAUUUGAUGUUUUUGGAGCGUUCCCGAGCUAAUCUCGGUCAAGCUCCAAAUGGAAGGUUGACUAAGAUAGAAGAUGCCCGCGGUCUUAAAUGGGUACUUGCGUUGCCCGCCAGCACAGAGGCUAGUAUGCUUACGAGUUCUCCCCCGCAGGUCCAAGGAAGAUUUGUGCUGGUGGGUGCCAAUCAAACCCACCAGCACACUAAUUUACCUGUGUGAACACAAAUUAAAUCUGGCGUAGUGUUUUCUUAGUAUCUUUUGCUGUGGUGAGGCAUGUGAGUACUGCUGGCACGAUCAUCAGCUUGUCCUGGGCUGCUGCUAAGCAUGCACCACGAGCCAAAGGUUUUCGGGAUGCUCAGCUCAUAAGGAAUUGACUGAAAGUGACUGUUCGUUGUGUGAGCUAGCUGUCUCCACUGGUGGCUUCUGAAUUAUUGGUCCUAUAUACAUGCACCACGCGCAACAUAAGGGAAAAAAAGUCUGCAACAUGUGCGGCACUGGAUAAUUGAGCUAGCAAUAACAGUGUUGUACGCUUGUCUAUGAGGGAUGCAUGGUGCCUAACAAUCACAAUGAUCUAUACUGACUACUCCCUCCGUUCCAAAUUAUAAGUCAUUCCAAGAAUCUUGGAGAGUCAAAGCAUCUCAAGUUUGACCAAAAUUAUAGAAAAAAUUAUAAAGAUUCAUAACAUUAAAUAGUUAUACUAUGAAACUAUAAUUGAUGAAGAAUCUAAUGAUACUUUGUUGACAUCACAAAUGUUAUUAUAUUAUCAUAUAAAUUUAGUCAAACUUGAGAUACUUUGACUCUCCAAGAUUCUUAAAAUGACUUAUAAUUUGGGAUGAAGGGAGUACAUCAUAGCUUGUCUGCUUGCCUAGUGCGCGUGAACCAUGAGGGCAGGACUAGUGGCUGCACACUACUCCACGAGGGUAGGACUGGUGGCUGUGCAUCGACAGAAUUCACUAUUCGACACUAAAAAAACUAAUCGUGACACUAAACAAAUUUUGGUUCCCGUUUGAUACUGAGUUCAAUUUUCAUUCUUUAUAUAACAUUCUGUUGGAUUUUUCAUAUGAGAACCAUUAAAUGCCCGAUGAAAAGACGAUUUUGCCCUUGUGAGCCCCACCACCCUUCUCCGAUCUACUCACCUUCUCCAUCCGCUCUAUUGUACCUCCCCCACUGCUCCAUCCAUCCUCCUUAUUUAUUUCCAAGAUACCCUUAUUUAUUUCCUUUCUUUUCUCUUUUCUUUUAAUUUCUUUUUCUUUCCCGGUCAUUUUUCUUCCUUUCUCAUUUUUUCCUUCACCAUUUAUUUUUCUUCCUUUCUUAUUUCCUCUUCCUUCUGUCCUUAUCUUCCUUUCCUCAGCUCCUGCAGAACGCCGCCCCUGCCUCUCAUGACCAUGGCCAUCACCCGCAGCUCUUCCGGCUCGACGUCCCUGCCUCCCCACUCCUCCAACUCGACGCCCUAUCUCCCCUAGACCACUCCUUCUCCUCAGGCCCGAGCGCCCAACAACCCCUUCCUCCCGGCACGUCCGGCCUCGCACCUCCGGUCCACUUAGCAGUUUGUGCGGCAUGCCUGCAGCGUCGCUUGUGCAUCCAACGUGCUCGCCCCGUCCCGCCGUGCUCCACCCACUGUCGGUCAGGUCAGCACUGGCGUUACUCCGGCCGUGCCACUGCACCGUCCACCACCGCCCACCAACACAGUGGUUUCAAGAAAUUUCAAACAAUUUAAAUAUUUGAUAAAUGAUUUCAAAGUUGUUUCAAACUUUUACAAGUGAACAUAAAUGUUAUUUAGUGAAUGUAAAAAAUAUAAUUUCAUACAUAACACAGAUAUUUUGACUAGUUAGUUCACAUGUCCCUAUAGGUUGAAACACCUCAUGAGUUAUAGGGUGAUCAUGACUUGGAUAUCCAUUUGGGAAAACGUACUGUUACAAUAUCUCAAAAUUAUGUUAAUAUUUUUUAAUCCAUGUUGGUUCACUGCUGAAGUGGUUACAUGCAAAAUAUCAUGAAAAACAUUCCCCCUUAUAUUUGAUGGUUUUGGAGCGUUUCCCGAGCUCCUCUCGGUCAAGCUCCAAAUGGAAGGUUGACUAAGUUAGAAGAUGCCCGCGGUCUUAAAUGGGUACAUGCGUUGCCCGCCAGCACAGAGGCUACUAUGCUGACGAGUGGUCCCCCGCAGGUCCAAGGAAGAUUUGUGCUGGCGGGUACCAAUCAAACCCGCUAGCACGCUAAUUUACCAAUGUGAACACAAAUUAAAUCUGGCGUAGUGUUUUCUUAGUGUCUUUUGCUGUGGUGAGGCAUGUGAGUACUGCUGGCACGAUCAUCAGCUUGUCCUGGGCUGCUGCUAAGCAUGCACCACGAGCCAAAGGUUUUCUGGAUGCUCUGAAAGUGACUGUUCGUUGUGUGAGCUAGCUGUCUCCACUGGCGGCUUCAGAAUUAUUGGUCCUAUACACAUGCACCACGCGCAACAUAAGGGAAAAAAAGUCUGCAACAUGUGCGGCACUGGAUAAUUGAGCUAGCAAUAACAGUGUUGUACGCUUGUCUACGAGGGAUGCAUGGUGCCUGACAAUCACAAUGAUCUAUACUGACUACUCCCUCCGUUCCAAAUUAUAAGUCAUUCCAAGAAUCUUGGAGAGUCAAAGCAUCUCAAGUUUAACCAAAAUUAUAGAGAAAAUUAUAAAGAUUCAUAACAUUAAAUAGGUAUACUAUGAAACUAUAAUUGAUGAAGAAUCUAAUGAUACUUAGUUGACAUCAUAAAUAUAAUUAUAUUAUCAUAUAAAUUUGGUCAAACUUGAGAUACUUUGACUCUUCAAGAUUCUUGGAAUGACUUAUAAUUUGGGAUGAAGGGAGUACAUCAUAGCUUGUCUGCUUGCCUAGUGCGCAUGAACCAUGAGGGCAGGACUAGUGGACGCACACUACUCCACGAGGGCAGGACCGGUGGCCGUGCACCGACAGCAUUCACUAUUCGACACUAAAAAAUCUAAUCGUGACACUAAACAAAUUUUUGUUCCCAUUUGAUACUGAGUUCAAUUUUCAUUCUUUAUAUAACAUAUGAGAACCAUUAAAUGCUUGAUGAAAACACGGUUUUGCCCUUGUGAGCCCCACCACCCUUCUCCGAUCUACUUACCUUCUCCAUCCGCUCUAUUGUACCUCCCCCACUGCUCCAUCCAUCCUCAUGUCCAGGUGAGAGCUUAGGCACCAGGAGCUCACUACAGUUCUAUUUGUGUGGUUAUUGUCAUCGAGGAUGGUCGGGACAGUGGAGCUCCAAGGGAGGGGGGUCAUGGCAGGCUGAUGGCUCGAGUCACCAAGGAAAGGAUGAUUCCCGGCGGGGUUGAGCUCGUCCUAGCCAACAAGCAGGUCGGGGAGGUCGAGCGCAAGGUGAGGGAGGUUUGGGUGCGACGGAUUGGGUUUUGGCAGAGGUGGUGAGAAUUUGGCUGGCGAUGAGGUUCGGUGGCUGGUGGCAGUCGCAAGACAUGGAAUUCCCAGCACUAAGUAGUUUGUGAUUGGGCUGGAACUAGCCUGGUGUCGGGGAUACAUCCCCAAUACCCGCAAGGAAGGAAGAAGUCAGACUCCUACUAGGAUUCCCUUGUAAUCCGACUAGGACUCAUACCGUGUACUCCUACUAGGACUCCUCCUUGUAAUCCGACUAGUACUCUGCCCCCUGGAGUAUAUAAAGGAGGGUAAGGGUACCUAGCUCGGUAGGUCACACCUCAACACCCAAGCGUAGGGCGCAGUAUACAAAUACCCCCAAACAGGACGUAGGGUAUUACGCUACUCCGGCGGCCCGAACCUAUCUAAAUCCGUGUCUUGUGUCCUCGCUUUUACCUUCAAGUUCCAGGUCCGGCGAUCCCCCACUACACAUUCUGCUACCUCGGGUACCCCUUGGUAGACGGCCGAUAUAAAUCACCGACAUUGGCGCCCACCGUGGGGCAGCUCGUCGAGAUCAUCAGGCGAGCUUGAAGGACCUCAUCUUCAAGCCGGCGUUCGCUUUCAAAGCGGGCACAACCUUCGUCUUCGACUCCUGACUUUGCAUCACCGACGGCACUGGGUCCUUCCAAUGCUGCAUCAUCGACAACCAGGAGAAGAAGCGCCUCGACGGGAACUCUCUUCCACAAGAAGCAGAAAAUCUCAUUGAGAAAAUCGACAAAUUAAACCUUGGAUCAAGGUUCGACUGCAAACUCGUACUCCAACGGCGACUUCGGGUUCGACCAUGAUUCGAACUCGAACUCCGACGGCGACUACGGGUCUGACUACAACGCGGAGUCCGACAGCGACUCCAGGUCUGGCUACGACUAUGAGUCCGAUGACGACUCCGGGUUCGAUCGCAACACGGAGUCUGACGGCGACUCCAGCUUCAACUCCGACUCAAAGUCUAACAGCGACUCUGAGUUCGACUACAACUCAAAAGUCCGACUACAUUGCGAGCCCUCCGACGACUACAGGCGGCUCGUCGAUGAUUUCUUGGACUAUGUUGCGGGCACGCCGACGACCACGGUCGACUUGCCGACGACUCUGUUGACUACGGGCAGCUCGUCGACGACUUCAACUACGUUGCAAGCUCGCCGACGACUACGGGCGGCUCGGCAAUGACUUUGACUACUUUCCUCGACUACUUCGCUCGGCAACACAUUGAUGACUACUUCGUCAUGACGCUCGCCGACGACUUCUCCGAGUACGUCACGGCGCUUGCCGACUACUACGGGCAGCUCGCCGACGACUACUCCGACCACAUCGCGACGCUCGCUGACGACUACUACUCGUCUCGACUACAAGGCUAGUCGAGGGCGGAUUACAACUCGUCUUGACUAAAAAAUUAGUUGGGGCAAACUUCACAUCAUCGACAACUAGUCAGAAUCUCCUCCGACUAGUCGAUUUCGUUAACAACCAUUACGGCUUCAUCAACGACCAUCACGGCUUCGUCAAACAAUCAUCCACGAAUCAAGCUAAGUCACUUUUCUAAAUUAUUUUCCGGCUUACUUUCCGCUUGCGCGCAACACGCGCUCUACUCGCUGGAAACUCUCGCGCACAACAUGCGCUCUAUUCGCCGGAGGGCAGCAAACUCUUUCGCGCUACCUCGCUCUCUUUUUAUCGCAACAGUGACUAUUCCUUUUUGUCUUCUCUUAUGGUCACUACUCUUCUCGAGCAGAACAUGCCUUAACUCGUGAAAGCCUCAGGCGCAUCUGUCACGCCUAAGCCUAUACGUGUAUACGAGACAAAGGUCUCACACACGCAGUGGCAACGGCUACCCAGAGACUGAGAGUCUAAGCAUAACAGGCUAACUACUCAGGAAGAGUAUGACUAAAACAAGAGCUUGACUCGCAAUCAUGCAGUCUCUUUCUUGUCGCAGCAGCGACUACUCUCACUUUUGUCUUCUCUUAAGGUCACUACUCUUCUCGAGCAGAACACGCCUUAACUCGUGAAAGCCUCAGGCGCAUCUGUCACGCCUAAGCCCAUACGCGUAUACGAGACAACGAUCUCACACACGCAGUGGCAACAGCUACCCAGAGACUGAGAGCCUAAUCGUAACAGGCUAACUACUCGGGAAGAAUAUGACCGAAAUAAGAGCAUGACACAACAUUCAUAUUGAUCACUGAAUAAAUUUCAGCAGUUUCAAAAUCCUACAAAAAUGCUACAUAAUGUAUGCAUCUUUUCUUUCAGAUCGAGCUUCAGUGACACUAAGCAUGCCUCCAAUGGCACAGGCUAGUUCCCGAACUCGGGGGCUAAGCACCAAUCAGUACUCGGAAUAUCUCCAGUGGCUCAGCUAGCUCCCAGGCUCGGGGGCUGGAUGCCGCAAAACCACUCGACGUGGCUCCAACGACUUACCUGGCGCACAAGCUCGGGGGCUGGACGCCGCAAGACUACUCGAAUGAUGACCUGAGUGAAGAUUCAAGACCCUCGGGUUGAUUAUUCAAUCAAUCAAAGGCUCGGGGGCUGAUAAGCUACACCCAACAAUUGAUUUUUUCAAGUCAAAAGAGGAAGAUUCAAGAUUUUGACCCUCAGCCUGAUUCUGCGAUUCAACCUAAGGCUCGGGGGCUACUCCAUAUGGAGUGUGACUUUCACCGUCCUCCAUACAUGAAGACUUCAAUAUCAUGUUGAUCAAGACUUUGAGCACACCAUAGCCUCAUGGUGGCUUUGAGAAACAUUGAAAGAUUCAGUCUGACAAAGUACUCGAAGAGCACCAAAACUACCCGGCGAAUAUCUCAAGACUACUCGAAGACUGCUGCAUUCGACUAUGAAGCGCUCGGAGGCUUGUCAGGAAUACAUCCCCACUACCCGCAAGGAAGGAAGAAGUCAUACUCCUACUAGGAUUCCCCUGUAAUCCGACUAGGACUCAUACCGUGUACUCCUACUAGGACUCCUCCUUGUAAUCCGACUAGUACUCUGCCCCCUGGAGUAUAUAAAGGAGGGCAGGGGUACCUAGCUCCGUAGGUCACACCUCAACACCCAAGCGCAGGGCGCAGUAUACAAAUACCCCCAAACAGGACGUAGGGUAUUACGCUACUCCGGCGGCCCGAACCUGUCUAAAUCCGUGUCUUGUGUCCUCGCUUUUACCUUCAAGUUCCAGGUUCGACGAUCUCCCACUACACAUUAUGCUACCUCGAGUACCCCUUGGUAGACGGCCGGUAUAAAUCACCGACACCUGGGAGGGAGAUUGGAAUUUGGAGAAUUCUUGUGUGAGACCACGGGGCACCGUCUCAUACACCAGCCUUGCCGUGCUGAAAUCAGCGAGCUUCACGCCGUAGCCUUUGGUGUCGCAGCAGUCGAGGAGCACGUUCCGGCCCUUGACAUUCUUGUGCACGACGGCCACCCUCCUGAGCCCACACACCGAGCUCACUGUAACACCCAAAAAUUCCAUCAUAAACACAAUAUAAGCAACAUGUGGUCUAGCUCUUUAUUUUCUAAGAACUAAAUAAAAUACUAAUAUUAAAUUAUGGCCUUUAAAAAAUUAAAGAACACUUGAAAUAACUUUUUAGAGACAAGUGCUUGUUAGGGUUCUUCGUUUGCUUCCCUUUUUGUUUGCGUUUGCAAAAUUUUACAUGAUGUCACUGUCCUCGUCAUCCUCGGCACUGGCAGAGCGUCGUUGGGGCAUAGAGGACCAUGGCCCCCUUGCUUGGUAAAAAAAAAAAUCAGAAGAGCAAAGUGCAAAGGCCCAGUCCAAGUGCAGUCCGUGGCUUGUUGACACGUAAUUAAUAAAUCAAUAAAUCCCACAAGGCAUUAACCACAUAGGCACAAACAAACAUUGAAAACAAUAGAAAAAAAUAUUGAGCCAAUUCCAGCAACUAGCGGAUGAGACAACGACCUCAGCCGUCACCCCUUCGCAAGAUGGACACUUCCUUCACAGUUGACUCAUUGAGGUUGUCAUCGUCGGCCGUCGCCACUUGCCAGGGCUGGCGCCUUGCAGCCUGGUGCUAGAACUUUCAUCCUGAAGGUAUGGUUGCUUUUCUUCCUUCUUUUGUUUAUCUUCUAAGUUCUUAACACAUUAGAUCCGUAGAGUAUGCAGGCUACUAUUGCCUAAUUAGCUGGUAAUUUGUUGUCAAUUGAGAUCUAUUAUUAUUUCUUUUGAGAAAAUUGAGAUGUUUCGCUAGUUUAUUUGGCCCUAAUCCCCAAAUUGCAGAGUUUAUAUGAUUUUGUGGUUUUAUAACUAAAUACAGUUCUGCAAUUUGGUAGGUAGGUACAAAUAGGUAAAGAGAAGCCUAUUGAUUCAUUUUUCAAAAGCAAAAGAGAUGAACCAAUUGUGGACUGUCGAGCAGCCUCUGGUUCAAGCCAACCAAUUUCCCACCUAAAAUUUGCUUCACGCUCCGCCACGGAUCCUCGAUCCUCGGUGAGAAUUUUUAACCUCUUUGAAAAAGUCGGCGAUUGCGAAUCUCCACCUGCAUUUUUGAAAUGGAUUCUGAAAUAUUGUGGCGAAAUGUCCUUUUCUAAGUGGGCCUAGACCCAUAAAUUCGCGAGCUCCGCCCCACUCACCACUGCCACACCAUAACUCCGCCUGUGCUGUCGUGGCCACUUGCUCGCCUCGUCGCUCUCGCGCGUCACAGUAGCAGCAGUUCUUGAGGCGGUACGCUGCCUGCAAGCUAUGCGAGCCCGUCAGCUCGUCAGGCACAGUGCCUGCCUGCCGCUACGCUCCACCUCCCCACCACCACGCUGCAAGCCGACGCCCGCAAGCUGCCGCUCGGCCACAGCGCCGCCGCUGAUGCCGUGCCUUUGAGCAGCCUUUUAUUUGUUUUUUAGCUUUUUUUUUUUUGAAGAUUCUCACACAUGUGGAAAUAUUUCAAAAUCUGGAUCCAUAGCUUGACGUCAUCCACACUGGCACCAAGCUUACACGUCUUGGCACCAGCCGUUCUGGUGCCUAGGUCGUUGCGCAGCUGUUGAUGGGGCAGCUGACGUGACGGUGGCUUGGCGCCUGGCUGUUUAACACACGGCCUCCGCCUCUAACUUCUCCCACCGGCUGCCGCCUCCUAGCCACCGGGUGGAGUGGGCGCAGUGCGCCGAUGACACCCCACUUCGCCUCCGCGCCCUUUCUCGUUGGAAGGUAAAUUUCUUAUUAGUUUUAAUAGUGAGAUAUAUAGAAUAGGUAGGUAGAAUUGUUAAAUAGAAUUUAGAUAGAUAGAUAGAACAGUUAGAUAGUUAGUUUGAAAGAUAAUUAGAUAGAAUUUUCAUCUUAUGUAAUUUUCUUUUUAGAUAUGUAUAGUUAGAUAGAUGGUUAGAUAGAUAGUUAGAUAGAAUUUUAUUCAUAUGUAAUUUUUUUACUUAGAUAGAUAGAAUAGUUAGAUAGAUAGUAAUAUAGUUAGUAUGAUAGUUAGUUAAAUAGUUAUAUACUAAAUUACAUAGUAACUCGACAUAGUUAGUAGUAUUUAGUAGUUUGUAGUUAAUAGAUAGUAUCUAUUUAGUUAGUUGGUACGUAAUGAAGAUUUUAUACUUAGAAUGCUUCAUUUAUAUUGGACUAAAUGAAUUGUUCUGUUUAUAACCUUGAUGGACAACGUAGUGAGCAUAUAUCAUGAAGGUACCGUGGAAAGAGAUGACUAUGGAUGUGUUAAGUUUGUUAACAUGCAAAGCAUGGUUGUGUUAUUAAUUGAGAAGCCCUCAUUUAGUGAGUUGGUUGCAAGUGCUCGGGAGGAGCUAUAUUGCCAUGAAGAUGAUGACAUCACAGUGGAGGGCGUACUUCACCUAGGUUCCCCUUUCAACAUCCAAAGGAAGAUGAUCCCAAUUUGGUGCGCAGAUAAGUGGGAGAAUGAUGUGAGAUCGGUUAUGAAGCGCCAGUUCUAAAGUUUGGACGUGGUUGUGCGUCGGGUGUUAGUUGAUCCCAUCCGUCAUCGGUUUUCCCGACCAAUGGGUCAGCAUGCACACUUCGACCCUUUCGUCCCAGAACCUAUUAUGGAUGUGGAGGUUGCACAUAUGGUUCCCGAUGCUGAAUCUGCCCCCAAUGAGGUAGUUGGAGCUGCUUGUCGGACACUUGAUGCUGUGGUAAAUCCUCCUCAUGAGAUCCCUUUGACACAAAAUCAUCCGAGUAAGUGUCUUAUCGGCACGCUUCUUGGGAGCUAACCUCCUUCAUUACAUCAAUUUUUUUCUUCCUUUCUCAUAUUUCUACCAAUGUUUUAGGAGACAUUCCUAAAAAUGUGGAUGUGCCCCCAGUUGCUACUCAACUGCACUAUGGAGAUGGAUUACGUGGCUCUAAUAGUGUUGGAAUUAUGAAUGAUUCGGAUGCAUAUGAGAUGGGAAUGUAUCUUGAUUCUGAUAAUGAUCGCCCUGUUGGAGAGAUGACAGAGAGUGAUGUUGAGAUGUUCAGGCGUUGCUUUCCUGACCGUCGUGAUCCAAGAGUUCACGAGUUCAGUGAUCUUUCUCAUUCUAAUCAUGCGUGUGCAGAGGGAAGUGAUGAUGAGCUCCUAGAAGCUCCUGAGGCUGGACCUAGCAUAGUGAUUGAGGAGGGUAGCGCAUUGAUGAGGUGGUUACAGGCAUUUGCAGUGAUAAAGAAGAGACCUUACAAGGUCUUGCAUUCAUAUGCAGAGCACCGUUACACAGUUGUGUGUGACAAGUAACAGUGCCCAUGGAUGAUUUGUGCAAGGAAGAAAAAGAUCACCGAGAAGUGAAAGAUCACAAAAGUUGUCAGGCCACACAAUUGUGCUAACACUAGAACAUUGAGAAGUGGAAGAUCACUGGAUAGAAUGGUAAGUCAAGUACCUUACUUUCCCAUGUUAAAUUACUUAGUGAUUUACUGGUUUACUUAUUAUGGACUUUGUGGACUCUUGUUAUGAACUAUUUUGGACUUUCAUUACGGACUUCGUGGACUUUCAUUAUGGACUUUGUGGACGUUCAUUAUGAACUAUUGUGCAUAUAGACAUUCAUUAUGAAAUUUUGUGUGUAUGAACUAUUGUGGACUUUCAUUAUGAAUUUUGUGGACGUUUAUUAUGAACUAUUGUGUAUAUGGACUUUCAUUGUGAAUUAUUAUGUGUAUGAACUAUUGUGGACUUUUAUUACGAACUAUUGUAGAUUUUCAUUAUGAAUGUGGCAUCUGUUUGAACAUGUUGUAUUCAGGUAGAAUAUUCAUCUCAUAAUUGUGUAUGAAUUACAUCCAAAAAUAGGGGAAAUUCUGCUGAAAUUUCACAAAAAUAUAGAAUUGCAUUUCGCUAACCAAAAUUCUUCGGCAUGUAAGCUUAUGUGCAUUAGGCAUGUGCUCACAUAUUUCUCGCAAAGAAAAUGACAUCGCACAUACUACUAUGGUGCCCAUACUUAAAGUGCAUUACAUGACAACACAAUGAAAAGUCCAACAAUAGACAACAUGUUUCAUAAAUAAACUAUCAGACUACAAGUAAUGGAGACUACUGAGUGCAACGAGUCCACUUUCCCUUCCUCAAUCGUAGCUUUCGCUUGGUGUGCAUGCUCAAGCUUCUUCUCCCUCUCCUACCUAUCCGCAGCAACACGCCUCCUUUCUUCCUCUUCCUUGUGCUCCUUUUAUGCGGCCUCCUUUCUGAGCCUCUUCUCCAUCAUCUCCUUCCUCUCUGCCUCCAACCGCAAUAUUUCCUGCAUCUCCUCCUUGUCUUCAGGCUUGAUCUCGGUGUUGAUCCAGUGCUCAAAAUCACAGAGCGGUGCAGGGGUCUACAACAAAUGCAAUUGUUAUAAAAUAAAAAAAAUCAUGUAAAAUAAUUAUAACCCAACAAUAAUUCCUCACCAUCUUGUUAAUGCGGCGUUGACGAAGUGUAGGCUCAAACUUAAAAUUAGAACACAUCCAGUACCUCUACCUAUACGUGUCAUCUGCAUCGGACUUGGCUACCCUGCAAGGAUCGCUGCAAAAGCACAUGGGUACUGGAACACCACUAGGCAGAGGUAAUGGGUCGAAGCUAUUUCGGGUCAUACGGGCAUAACUACAAUUUAGUCAUUUUCAUUCUAAGAACCGAAAGCGGUUAACAUUAAACCUACACCUAGGGUUUCCCAUUUGAUCCACAAGAAUGAAUCCAUAACAUAACUACGUGCGCUGAGGUUACCAUAGUUUCGUAGCUUUUCCACGCCUUGGCAUCCUAUGGUUGCACGAAACGCUAUGUUCAAAAAUCCGACUAAUAUAUAGCGAAUCGAUGUGAAAAAAACUAGGAGGGAGUGGAUAUCUUGCUCUCGAAGAUCCAUGGAUCAAAUCGAAGUUUCUAAGAUUUAAUAUGCCGAUUCGUGGUGUAAGGUGAAGUGGGGAGAGAAAAAACCUGAGAGGGAGGAGAAAGAGGAGGAAGAAGCUUCAGGCAAGAAGAAAGGGUGCGGCCUUAUGUUAGCAGGUUUGGCUCCAGGCUAGCUGGCACGAGGCCACCACUACAUCAGCUGCCCCAUCAGCAGCUGUUGAGCGACCUAGGCGCCGGGAUAGCCGGCGUCGAGAUGCGUAAGCUUGGCACCAGCGUGGAUGGCGCCAAGGUAUGGGUCCAGAUUUUGAAAUGUUUCCGUCAGAGGCGUAUUUGUAGAGGCGUAUUUGUAAGAAUCUUUCAGAAAAAAGGCUAACAAAAAAGUCAGAUGUUUGAGCCGCUCCACAGCCCUUACCAUCACCGACUAUAAAAGGCAGGGUCGAGCGCCUCUCCGCAACCGAACUUGCCGAGCCGCCAGCUCCGCUGCUCAACUUCUUGCAAUUCUGCCUGCAAUUUAUUUAUGGAGUGAUCGAGAAAUUGAGCGAGUUUGGAGGCUAGUGGUUGAUACGUUUUUUGCAUCGAAUUGACAUUGAAUUAGUUUUCUUUGAACUGCCAUUUCAAAUGUUUUUUCUAUAGUUGCAUGUGAAACACAUCUAUUGCCGCUAAUCAAUCUGUCGACGCUUUUUUGGGCCAACACAUGAAUGUACGCGAUUGUGCGGCGCGUGGAGGGGCUCACUGUAGCACGUCGAUGCAUGCCGGUUUGACCACUUACGGUCUGACCGGUUGUUAGGCCACCUAGUAGUAGAUUGGAAAAUUUAGGGAAAAAGAAUAAAGGAAAAGACAAUAAAUAGUAGCUUGGUUUUUUUCGAUUAGGUUGGAUGCCCUCAAUCGGUCGAAUCCCUUUAUAUUUCUAAGGAGGGAAGGUCUUUAUAUUUAUAGGAAGGGAAGGUCUUACCCAUGAGGGAGUCAAAAUCCUAACAAAAAUCGUGCUAAAUUAAAAGUUCUACUCGGUUUACACUGAGCCAGAUAGGUCAGACCAGCCUGGGCAACCUGUCGGACCAGUCUGCCCGGGUGUAUAUCUUGCGAAGGUCGUAUCUCUCUCAUCCGAACUUCAAAUCGGACGUUCUAUAUAAGAAUCUUGAUCUACUCAACAAGAUACAGGAAAUGGUAGAGUCCAAUCUUCAUUUGGAGCACUUUGAUCCAACCAGUCCGACUGGUGGCAUCAGGACUGGUGGCAUCAGCCGGUCUGACCUGUCUGUACGGGGGUGCUGAUCUUUCCGAGGGCAUAACUCUCAGGUCCGAAAUCCAAAUCGGACAUUCCAUAUAUGCAUUUUGAUCGCCUUGAUGAGAGAUAUGUCCUGGUGAAGUCCAAUUUGCUUUUUGAGAACUUUCCCAAACCGGUUUGACCGCUUGGAAGACCGGUCUAAACAUGUCUGAUCAGAUCUAUCCAGACCUGCCACUUUUCGGCAUCAACACGAGUUUUCCAGUAGUGACAACACAACAACUGUAUUACCCACGGCAUGAAAAUAACACAUAACAAGAAGCUAUGUACCACUAAGCAACACAAUCAAUACUCUUGCAAAGGGGGCGAAAUACCAAAGGAAAUGGCGAUGAAAUUGAAACCCCGCCAACAGAGCUUUGCUUGAGCACGUACAGCUCUUUAUUACAGAAACAGUAUAGGAUACGAUCGAUGUGCCAUCAAGCAUAAAGCAGCAACACUUAUUUCUUUUCUCAAAGCAAGCAAGAACAGAACUGGUCAUCAAAGAAGUUGACGGGAUUCAUUCAUUCAGAUGGCCGCCGCGGUCGGUGUGCAGCGGCGCUUGCAGAAGUUAGUGAGGACGUCGACGCACCGGUAGACAGGCGCCUCGGUGGUGCUGGUGUACUUGACGCAGUUCAUGCACGCUGGGUGGCAACCCUGGAACGAGAUGUCCAGGCAACUGCAAUCUGGUGGAUUCUUCCUGUUGCAGAAGCCGCACUGGUUGCAGCACGGCCAGGAGCUCGCGUUCGCGGCGUCGUCAGCGACCGCCGCUCCUCCCUCCUCCCCGCUCCCUGCGGCCACCAAAGAUUAGUCGACGCAUCCAGUUGAGUUGAGUUGAGUGUCAAACUGUUAAUUUCUCACCUUUGCUGAGGAGUGGCAGAGUUGCGAGGACGGCGAGGACAGCCAGUGUGACGAGCAACACCUGAGGUCUCAUGCUUGUUUCUCUUGGUAUGUAGGAAUACAGGGUGUUGCCAGGUUUGUUGUGGUUGGACUUCCUUCCUACUGAUGGGUGAUGGUUAUCUGUAUGAGGCUAGAGGCCUUAUUAUAAGAGGAGGGGGUGCCAUGACAGCUGUGUGCCUGCCAAGUUAAGGCUAGCUUGGCACGGCUCUUGAACAAUGGCUUUAGCUCUAGCUUAUCUAAUGAUCUUGUAUGUUGGAGAAACAAUCUUUUAAGAUAGAUGGAAGAGGUCAAAUAUCCAAAAUACCCUUAUUUAUUUCCUUUCUUUUCUCUUUUCUUUUAAUUUCUUUUUCUUUCCUGGUCAUUUUUCUUCCUUUCUCAUUUUUUCCUUCACCAUUUAUUUUUCUUCCUUUCUUAUUUCCUCUUCCUUCUAUCCUUAUCUUCCUUUCCUCAGCUCCUGCAGAACGCCGCCCCUGCCUCUCAUGACCAUGGCCAUCACCCGCAGCUCUUCCGGCUCGACGUCCCUGCCUCCCCACUCCUCCAACUCGACGCCCUAUCUCCCCUAGCCCACUCCCUCUCCUCAGCCCGAGCGCCCAACAACCCCUUCCUCCCAGCACGUCCGGCCUCGCUUAGCAGUUUGUGCGGCACGCCUGCAGCGUCGCUUGUGCAUCCAACGUGCUCGCCCCGUCCCGCCGUGCUCCACCCACCGCCGGUCAGGUCAGCACCGGCGUUACUCCGUCCGUGCCACUGCACCAUCCGCCACCGCCCACCAACACAGUGGUUUCAAGAAAUUUCAAACAAUUUAAAUAUUUGAUAAAUGAUUUCAAUGUUGUUUCAAACUUUUACAAGUGAACAUAAAUGUUAUUUAGUGAAUGUAAAAAAUAUAAUUUCAUACAUAACACAGAUAUUUUGACUAGUUAGUUCACAUGUCCCUAUAGGUUGAAACACCUCAUGAGUUAUAGGGUGAUCAUGACUUGGAUAUCCAUUUGAGAAAAACGUACUGUUACAAUAUCUCAAAAUUAUGUUAAUAUUUUUUAAUCCAUGUUGGUUCACUGCUGAAGUGGUUACAUGCAAAAUAUCAUGAAAAACAUUCCCCCUUAUAUUUGAUGUUUUUGGAGCGUUCCCGAGCUAAUCUCGGUCAAGCUCCAAAUGGAAGGUUGACUAAGAUAGAAGAUGCCCGCGGUCUUAAAUGGGUACUUGCGUUGCCCGCCAGCACAGAGGCUAGUAUGCUUACGAGUUCUCCCCCGCAGGCCCAAGGAAGAUUUGUGCUGGUGGGUGCCAAUCAAACCCACCAGCACACUAAUUUACCUGUGUGAACACAAAUUAAAUCUGGCGUAGUGUUUUCUUAGUAUCUUUUGCUGUGGUGAGGCAUGUGAGUACUGCUGGCACGAUCAUCAGCUUGUCCUGGGCUGCUGCUAAGCAUGCACCACGAGCCAAAGGUUUUCGGGAUGCUCAGCUCAUAAGGAAUUGACUGAAAGUGACUGUUCGUUGUGUGAGCUAGCUGUCUCCACUGGUGGCUUCUGAAUUAUUGGUCCUAUAUACAUGCACCACGCGCAACAUAAGGGAAAAAAAGUCUGCAACAUGUGCGGCACUGGAUAAUUGAGCUAGCAAUAACAGUGUUGUACGCUUGUCUAUGAGGGAUGCAUGGUGCCUAACAAUCACAAUGAUCUAUACUGACUACUCCCUCCGUUCCAAAUUAUAAGUCAUUCCAAGAAUCUUGGAGAGUCAAAGCAUCUCAAGUUUGACCAAAAUUAUAGAAAAAAUUAUAAAGAUUCAUAACAUUAAAUAGUUAUACUAUGAAACUAUAAUUGAUGAAGAAUCUAAUGAUACUUUGUUGACAUCACAAAUGUUAUUAUAUUAUCAUAUAAAUUUAGUCAAACUUGAGAUACUUUGACUCUCCAAGAUUCUUGAAAUGACUUAUAAUUUGGGAUGAAGGGAGUACAUCAUAGCUUGUCUGCUUGCCUAGUGCGCGUGAACCAUGAGGGCAGGACUAGUGGCUGCACACUACUCCACGAGGGUAGGACUGGUGGCUGUGCACCGACAGAAUUCACUAUUCGACACUAAAAAAACUAAUCGUGACACUAAAUAAAUUUUGGUUCCCGUUUGAUACUGAGUUCAAUUUUCAUUCUUUAUAUAACAUUCUGUUGGAUUUUUCAUACGAGAACCAUUAAAUGCCCGAUGAAAAGACGAUUUUGCCCUUGUGAGCCCCACCACCCUUCUCCGAUCUACUCACCUUCUCCAUCCGCUCUAUUGUACCUCCCCCACUGCUCCAUCCAUCCUCCUGUCCAGGUGAGAGCUUAGGCACCAGGAGCUCACUACAGUUCUAUUUGUGUGGUUAUUGGCAUCGAGGAUGGUCGGGACGGUGGAGCUCCAAGGGAGGGGGGUCAUGGCGGGCUGACGGCUCGAGUCGCCAAGGAAAGGACGAUUCCCGGCGGGGUUGAGCUCAUCCUAGCCAACAAGCAGGUCGGGGAGGUCGAGCGCAAGGUGAGGGAGGUUCGGGUGCGAGGGAUUGGGUUUUGGCGAAGGUGGUGAGAAUUUGGUCGGCGAUGAGGUUUGGUGGCUGGUGGCAGUCGCGAGACAUGGAAUUCCCGGCACUAAGUAGUUUGUGAUUGGGCUAGAACUAGCCUGGGAGGGAGAUUGGAAUUUGUAGAAUUCUUGUGUGAGACCACGGGGCGCUGUCUCAGACACCAGCCUUGCCGCACUGAAAUCGGCGAGCUUCACGACGUAGCCUUUGGUGUCGCAGCAGUUGAGGAGCACAUUCCGACCCUUGACAUUCUUGUGCACGACGGCCACCCUCCUGAGCCCACACGCCGUGCUCACUGUAACACCCAAAAAUUCCAUCAUAAACACAAUAUAAGCAACAUGUGGUCUAGCUCUUUCUUUUCUAAGAAUUAAAUAAAAUACUAAUAUUAAAUUAUGGCCUUUAAUAAAUUAAAAAACACUUGAAAUAACUUUUUUGAGACAAGUGCUUGUUAGGGUUCUUCGUUUGCUUCCCUUUUUGUUUGCGUUUGCAAAAUUUUAAAUCAAAAAUCUUAUCAAUCUUCUUUCUCUCUUUCUGUAAAACUCAGCAGGCCGGCCCACCUUUCCACUUUCUUUCCCUCCCGGCCCGCUCUCUUUUUCCUUCUCCAGCCGGCCCACCUCCUCAUUUCUUUGCGCAGGCCCAAGCUGAUCCGCCGGCCCAUCAGCAUCUCCCCAGCCCAACCCCCCCUCUCCUCCCACCGAUAGGUGGGGCCCACCUGUCAGGCGCGUCCUCAACCUCCAGCUGCACCGCAACUCCAGCACUGCCAGCAGCGCCUGCUCGCCUCCCAUCGCCACUCCAUCUCCUGCGUCCCUCCACUUGCUGGAACUACAUCGCCUUCCCACGCGUGUGCGCUGCUAGCGCCCUCUCCUCUCCUAACUCCAGUUACAGGCGUCCCAUUUUCCACUCGCGAUUAAUGGCCAUCGGAGCUCGUUUCAUCUACCCAAGCGCCGUCUCAACUCCUCCUCACGGCCUAUAAGUAGCGCCUACUCCCUCUCCCCGGCUCCAUUCUCCCAUUCUCGCCACCACCAACGCUACCCGCACCAGAGCGCCAGAGCGCCACCGCAUCUCACAGCACCGCCACCGUCCAAAUUCCUCCGCCGCUGGGUACAACGCCGGCCUUUCUCGCCCGCCACAGCCGCAGGUAUGGCCUCCCUCGCUUUCCCCUCGCUCACCUCCGUCGCCUGCGCCACCCGCUUUGCUCACCGCCGCGCCUGAGCUCGCCGGCGAGCCACCGGUCAUGCGAGCCACCGGUCAUGUGCCUAUGCGCGUGCGCGAGAAAGGAAAGAGGAGGAGGAUAAGGCUAUUUUGCAAUCUAGUCCCUAAACUCUCUGAUAUUCUCUUGCUUGAUUCAUGUGUCUAGUAAGGCUUGCAAAGAAUCCCCUGCAAUCCUUAGAACCUUUCUUUUUAACCUGAGCUCUACAAUCUUGCAGAUCUAACCCUAUACUUUUCUAUAUUUCUUAGUUGUUCACUUAGUCUUGUGAAACUUCCUUGGUAGCCCCUAAAGUAUAUAGUUAAUUCCGUUUAAGCCCCUAAAACUUGUUUACUACAUAUCUUCAUCAUUUCAACUCCGAUUUCAGCGAUUCUCAGCUAGGCACCAUACCACACUUUCGAGGUGUAAUUGCAAAGGGACGUUACGAGGCCUUUACAAAGAUUCCCUAAUAAGAAGUAGUCCGCUAAGGUUUCAUGAUCAGUGCAAUGUAUAACAGUCCCCUAGUGGGUAUAGUGUCUUAGCAAAGCCCACUUCCUAAGAGAGCGAGUGCUAUACACCAACUACUGUCUCUCCCUCUUGCCCUUUCGGUAAGACCGCUCCAAAAUAGAGUUUCUAAUUAUUCAGCCAAGACCAGAGCUAUUUAGUCUUGUGGUAGCACUGUUUUCCUGGGUGGUUCUCCAUGUUUCAAUUAACAUUAUUAUGAUAUUAUUAACAAAGCAUAGGUAGAAGGUUGGUUAGGGACACUUGCCUUUUCUCCAACGAAAAGUUACUCCUACUGCUCUUUAGCUUUUUGCUUUCUUGAAACUCUUACUCUUCAAAACUUCGAAACAACGAUCCUUCUACUCGGAGCAAACAUCAGCACAAACAUACAAGCAACAAACAAGUACAACUAAGAACAAUACACCAAAACAAAAGACAGGCUUUAAAAGAGCAUACUAAAGGACAUGGCUUGAUUCUAGGAUUACGCAGAUGCAGGAACGCUUACAACGUAACUAUGGUUGAAAAGAUAAAACUAUCGAAAGAUUUGAAUUUUAAAAGAAAGGUGAGAGUUACAAACUUCAUUUAUUUUAGUUGAGAAAAAUAAUGUAAAGAUAUUUCAGAGAAAUAUCCUUAGUUAGAAUUAAUCAAGUCAUAUUUAUAUUUUCAUAAGAAAAGACGGUGUAAAGCUUAGCCCAAAUUUAUUUAUAAAUAUUUAAGUACAAUUUAUGCAAAUUAGACAUUUAAUUUAAAAAUAAGAUACAUGUAGACAUAUAAGCGUAUAGCUUUACAUUUCGAGUUCAACUAAGUAGAUUAAAUUAAAAACACAUUUAUAUUUAUAUUAGCUAAAUUAACAUUUAAUUAUGAAACUCGAGAUAUAACCUAUGUAGCUUUUAUUUAGAAAACAAAUUGAAUAAACAUUAAUCAAAUUGAAUUUAAUUUAUGAAACGUCGAGGUAUAACUCUAAGUGGCUUUUAAUUGCAAGAAUUAUUUAGAUAUGCAUUAAUCAAUUUAACUUUAGUUUAUGAAAAACCGAUAUAUAACCUAAUUGGCUUUUAUUUAGAAGAGGGUAUGAAGUAAGCAUUAACCAAAUUGAUGUUUAUUAUCAAAAGCGGUGUAUAACUCUAAGUAGAUUUUAUUUAGAGAAGACGCAUGUUUAUGUGGCAUUAAUCAAAUUAAUAUCAAAUUUAUUUUUUUAAAGACAUGCAUGAUCGCAAACAUCACUACUAACACGUCAUUUAUGUUAUUAUGAAUCUAACGCAACUUGAACGAGGUUAAACGGAUCUAAAACGUGAAGUAUAGGAGCUAAACAAGGUUGCAAGGGUCUAAAUGUAAUUAACCGUAGACUUGGAGGGUUAGUUGAGAAGAUUACCGAGACACAGGGAACAGGACUCAUGAAAAGCUGAAAACACUAGGUUAGAUCUGCAAAAGGUCAAGGUUUGGAUUAGAUUGAAAGGAUCUCAAAGUUACAGGGGAUUUUCUACAAGGUUUGCAAGACACAAGUAAUAGGAACAGAAAUUAACAGAUUCUCCAGGGGCUAGAUCGAAAAGCAGCGCUUCAUCUUCUUCCUCACGCCACAAGCAUGGCGCAGCUCCAGGCCGGUGGUUUGCCGGCGUUCCGGCGCGGCGGAGGCCUGGGCGGGUGGUGCAGGUGGCGAUGGCCAGGCUAGGGGCCAAGGGCACGGCUGUACACCUCGGAAGUGUGGUAUGGUGCCUAGCUUGCACCGUAUGGUUGGGUCCAAAGUUCUUUGAACUUUUACGCGACUUGUGGGUAAAGAUGUGCCACCUCUACAGAGUGUAAAACUGAUCGAUCAGCCGUGCUCACGGUCAAGAGCGGCCUGGACCGUCACAUGAUUAAUUAAACUUGAAGAUGGACUUAAAUCAUUAUUCUGGUUAUUUCUAGUGGCCCUGCUGAGUACCAACCAUAAGUGUACUCACCCUUGCUUACUGCUGCUCAGAAGAAGAAGGUACGCAACCCCCAGUCGAUUGCCUGUGAAGUUUGGAGCCUCCAUUUCCAGUAUUUAAGCUGUGUAUCUCUGAUACACUCACCCUCACGCGACCGUCUCUGCAUGACUGUUAGUUUUAGGAGUUUGUUUUAAGUCUUUUUUUUUCUCAUGUUUGGUGUACUAUUUUAUUUAUUGUUUAUUUUGCUUGUGUCAUCGUGUGGACGACAUGUCAUUCAAGGAGAUUUAGCAGCAGCAGCCGUUCGACGAAGAGUUCCCUCAGUUUUUCAAGGAAGGCAAGUGGUCAUCUUCCCCUGCAUAUUCUUUUUUGUCCCAAUAAUAGCAUGCUAAAUCACUUUACUAUUUUCUUGUAUGUGUAUAAUUUGAUGGGAAUACCUAUUAAGGACUUACCUAGUUUUUAAUCCUGAUCCUUGAACAAUGGUUUUAAUCAUGUUGGGUAGAAUUGCUUAGUUGCUUAAUUUUGGGAUGGUAAUAAUUUUGAGAAUAUUAAUCAUGACUUUAUUAAUGCUAUACCUAUGUUAUUACAAGAUCACUUGAUUUAAUCGGAACAUGGAGAACCACCUAGGAAAACAGUGCAACCACAAGUACUAUCAUGACUCUUGUCUUAGCUAAUUAAUUAGAGACUCUAGUCUGGGGUAAUCUUACGGAAGGGCAAGAGGGGUGGCGGAUGAUGGGGUAUAACCCGCUUCUCAAACUGAUCUACUCUAUGGAAGCUUCGCAGUCUUGAGAGGAGCUUAUGCUCUACUACCGAUCCAGAAAUCUUAGCGGGUUACCACUUACUAGGGGAUCUUUGUAAAGGCCUCAUAGCGUCCCUAUGCAAUCACACCUCAGAAGUGUGGUAUUGUGCUUGGCCAGCAUAGCAUGGUUGGGUUUACAGUUCUUUUGAACUUUUAUGCUACUUGUGGGUAAAGAUGUGCAACCGCUGUAGAGUGUAAAACUAAUAUAUCAGCCGUACUCACGGUUAAAAUGCGGCUUGGACCCUCACAUGAUAAUUGAACUUAAAGAUGAGAAUAAAUCAUGGUUCCUUUAUCGUUGGGUUUUUUAAAUGCUUUAUGCUUAAGUGGGUUGGUAUAAACUUACACCUAAAAAUUAGGUUCUUGCUAUGCAUUCAAUUUUGUCCAAAAAUCGGGUGUGACAAAAGUGGUAUCACAGCUGUGUUGACUGUAGGAUAUAAGCCUAGAUAAAAAUGGUCUAAAUAAGGACUCAUUUUCUUAGCAAGCCAUGUCUUCUCAAAAAUAUCUUAUUUUUCACAGAAAAAUCUAUUUUAUUUUUGUUCUUUGCCACAAAAAGUUGUCUCUUGUUGGCUUUGUUUUGAGUAUCUUUUCUUUCUUUGUCAGAUGGCUAAGACCAGGUUGACCGCUCAUAAAAGCACUAGAGGAUACUAGGUUGGCCUUGCCCCUGCUUAGCCAGCUGCUCUGAUUCAGCAUGUAGAGGAGGUUGAAGAAGAUUUGGAGGAGGUCUACAAGCUGCCCCAGCUUCAUACAGUCCUGCAUCAAUUGCCCCUACAUCAGAUGCUCCAGCACUAGCUGAUCUAGCUCCACCACCUGCUACCGAUGGUGGAGACCCGGACGACUCUGGGAAUGACAGCAAUAGUGAGGAUAAAGAAGAUGACGAUGACGACUACAACAAAAACAAUGACCACAAUAGCAACAAAGACCACAACAACAACCAUGAUAACAAUAGUGGUAGAGAUGGAAAUCAGAAUGGUGGACCGCAGAAUGUGACACCAGCUUGUGACUACCACACUUUGGAGGAUGAGUCUGGAUACUUUCCCACACUGCUCUGGGAAGUACUAUAGAGUUUGGGAAGCACCAUGAAGCCCCUCUACGACACUCAUCGUGUCUCCCACUCCACCAUGGAUGACUACUACGCCAGUCAGGUCCACAUAAGGGAACGGUUGGCGACUUCCAGAGUAUUGAGGACUUGCUCAGCACACGACUCCACUACGGCCCACGCCACCUAUGCCUCAGCCAUCAGCGACGCCGCCAGGAGAGCUCUGUCUUCCCUCUGCUUCACCCAUCUCCAGGAGUUGAGCAACACCAUCUACCGUAACCUGCCUCGCCGAGCUAGUGGCACUGAGGACACAGCUGUACAGUUGGGAGAAGCAGGAGAAGACUGCAUCAACAUCCUUGCUCGAGUCACCACUGCUCUCAACACCAACCUCGACGGAGCUAUUGCAGAGCUUGCCAAGACCAAUGAUAAGCUGCAAGAUGCUCACGCCAGGAUUGUGUAGCUUGAGGCACAGCUUGCCGAACAAGAGCCACCUGAGGAGGCAGCCGAGUUCCACUACCCCACCAUUUCACCACCCCGCAAGAGGCUUCGCUAUGGCGCGUCUGGCUCCAUCACCGGUCUUUUAGACUAGGUUGUGCUUUUAGGUUGCCUUCCAAAGUCUUUCUGUUAGAGCUGUUACUGUGAGGACGUGCGAUGUAAUAACGUUUGCUGGUUGAAAACAUGUUUGAUUUGGACCUUUGUAUUUUCUAGGAUAUUUUGUGAAGUGAUGGCCACAAAUGCAUCAUUACAGAAAAUAAAGUUUAUUAGUUUAUUGGGUCUAAAUCUUGGUUCUUUGCCCCUAUAUCUACCUUAUCAAAUCAUGACUCUUAUCCGAGAUUUAUUUGUCUAAUACUCAGAUGGUAAACACCAGGUCAGGAGGAGGACAAGACAUUCCAAGUGAGAGGCAUGCUCACAUAAUUAAUCAGCAGAAUCAAGCACCACCUCCACCACCAAGUUCGACAAUGGAACAAUUUUUGGCUGCUUAGAUGCAACUACUGCAGAACCUCACUACUACUAUUUAGAAUCUACAAGCUUAGCAGAAUCAACAACCACCACAAGCACCUCAGGCACCGAGAGAUAAGCAUAGGGAAUUCAUGAGCCACCACCCUCCUCCUUACUCUCACUCAGUGGAUUCAUUGGAUGCUGAUGACUAGAUGAAGGUCAUUAGUAAGAAGCUAGAUAUUACACAGUGCAACGAUCAUGAGAAGGUUUUGUAUGCUGCAGGAUGCUUGGAAGGAGUUGAAGCCAACUAGUGGGAUGCCUAUACUACUGCCCACGCCAAUGUUAAUGCUAUUACUUGGGAAGAGUUCACGAACAACUUUCGCACACACCCCAUUCUAGCUGGUGUGAUGAACCUCAAGUAGAAGGAGUUUCGAUCAGCGAGUAUUGGGACAAGUUCACAUAGCUGUCUUGUUACACGCCAAAUGAGGUGGACACCAAUGAGAAGAGACAUGAAAGUUUCCUGGAUGGACUGAUAGGGCCACUUAACUAUCAACUGCAGAGUCACACGUUCCCUAAUUUUUAGACACUACUAGACAAAGCCAUUGGUUUAGAGAACAAACAUAAGGAGCUCGGGGAACAAAAGCGGAAGUUUCAGUCGCAAGGUCAAUCUAGCAGGAACACCCACCCUUGCUUCAACUUAUCGCAGGGAUCACAAUUUCAUUCAGGAGGACAAGGUUGAAGCUAUCAACAGAAUCAGCAAUUCCAAAGUACCACUCAACAACCAUAGCGAUUCAAUCAACAAGCAUAGUACACCUCAAACCCACAGCAAAACCGAGCAAACAAUACCACAGGAGCACCCGUGUGUAACAAUCCAAUUACCCUGGUUCGACCCAAUGGAUGCUUCAAGUGUGAUGAAGUGGGACAUUAUGCCAAUAACUGCCCCAAGCAUGGAAUGCAGACCCCUCAGAAGACCAAUGGUUAGAAGUCUGGUCAGCAACAGUUGCAAGCGCGUAAUGGAAAUCCAAACUCUCAGGGCAACAAGGGCUAGCAGAACUUCAUGCAUGGUAGGGCGAACCACGUGAGAAUUGAGACAACUGAAGAAGCUCCAGAUGUUGUUUUUAGUAUGUUCCUCAUGAAUUCCGAACCUGCGUCAGUUUUAUUUAAUUCUGGAGCAUCACACUCAUUUAUAACCAAUCAAUUUGUGGCAAAACAUAACAUACCUAUGCAACCUAUGAAGAAAACUUUGCUAGUUAGCUCACUAGGUGGUGAUAUAAGAACAAGUCAAAUAUGCUCGCAAGUCAAUAUGAAAAUCAUGUGGGUAGAUUUCAUAGCCCACCUAGUGGUCCUAAACUCCAAAGGUAUUAAUGUGAUUCUUGGAAUGAACCGGUUAGGAGUAUAUGAUGGAAUUAUCCUAUAUGCCAAGAAGUCAGUGCUUUUAACUACCCCUCAGGGGACAAAAUUGAGUUUGUGGCUACUACCUCAUCUGAAGAAAAGGGUAUAGUCAAUCAAAUAAAAGGAAAAUCUUUGGAGGUGUUGACGCAAAAUCCUGAAGGUGGUGGACCCUGCAUCACCACAUGAGGACCUGGGAGAUCUGCUUAACUCCAGUGCAGAAUCCAAAUCGGCGCGCAUGGUGUGCGCGGGCAUGCCAUUCAGUUUGACCAUUCAACUGACAAGGUGGAGAUAAUUCUCUCGAAGUUCGAUGGAGUCGGCCGAUCGGGCCGAUUUAAUAUAAUUUACAAUAACCAUUAGCCAUACGGACGAUAGGAAACACAAUGCUGUUGAGUUGUUGCUCCACCAUAGCUAGAGCCACAAGCCGAUGAGAUCAAAACUAACAUCACCACCAAUAUUUUUAGGUGAAACCAUAGCGAUGCGCCCGGUAGUUGCAGUCUAGAAAUAUUUAGCAAGACGUUAAUCUGAACCCCGCCAGCUGAUGAAUCCAAUCACAAUGGAACUUACUCCCAACAGCACUCGAAGGGGUAACCAAGAUUAAGAUGCAACAGGCUAUUAAAUGAUCUAUCGUCUAUGAUGAACCGAUCUAAAGCUAAUUAAAGCAAACUGAACAGCAAGACGAAAGAAUAGAUAAAUAUCAGCCGAUGCAAGCUUAAUCAAGGCGUGAUAACUGGUGAAUACCGUAGAUCGAGACAGAAGCGAUGCGCCGUAAGUUAAAGAUCCAAGAUACUUGAUAAUUGGUAAAUGAAACUAGACAAAACCACAGCGAUGCGCCCGGUGGUUAAAGCCUAGAACACCUGGUGAUGGAACUUGCAGCUCGCCGGAGAUCGAGGUCGAUGCAGCCCAGCUUGCUAGAAGGAACUCGUCGAGAAUCUACAUUACUCCUACUCCUAGGGCAAUGGCGUGAAGCUGAAAGGUAAAGGUAAAUAUGUUGUAUUAUUGAUCGUGUGAUGAUUCCUUACAAUGGCCACGUCCCUUUAUAUUUAUAGGGCGGACGUUACAUAAUUGGCAUCUAACCACGCACAAGGCAAGUCACGUACACAAUCUUUUCUAAUAAAAAACUCUAUCUCUAACUAACCCAACUCUAUCUCUAAAAUAUUUAAUUCUAUGAAACAACCUCCCGUACAUGCACAGAUCGGCCGCAUGUAUAAUUAUUCUGGAAGCCUCACACGCAUGGCAUGCAAAGUGCACCAGAAUCCAUGUUGUAUAUUCUAAUCAUUUUUAUCCAUACGUGCUGGCCUUUCCUUUAUAUCAUCCUUGCCUCUCCUUGCCGAUCAAUCCAAUGAAGCCGAUUUGGACUCCGUGCCCAUAUACACGCAUGCUACCUUUUUAUUGUUGUACGUGACUCCAAUUAUCUUGUACUCCGAAUUUAUAGGAUUGGUCAAAAUCCGGUGUCAACAGGAGGAUAUCAAGGUUGUAUGCGAAUACCCCAAAAUGUUUCCCAAGGAUUUACCAGGUACGUCGCUUGACUGAGAUAUUGAGUUCUCCAUUGAUCUUUUACCUGGCACUUCACCAAUAUCUGAAAGACCUUAAACAAUACAUGUUAAGGAUUUGGUUGAGUUAAAGAAACAAAUAGAAGAAUUAUUAAGUAAAGGUUUUAUCUGUCCUAAUUCUUCACCUUGGGGAGCACCUGUAUUUUUUGUUGAUAAAAAGGAUGGCACCAUAAGAAUGUGUGUGGAUUAUAGAGCUCUUAAUGAUGUGACCAUUAAGAAUAAAUAUCCACUCCCUAGGAUUGAAGAUCUGUUUGAUCAGAUGAGAGGUGCAAAAGUCUUUUCCAAAAUCGAUCUAUAAUCAGACUAUCACUAGUUCAAGAUCCCAGCAGAAGAUAUACCUAAAAUGGCGUUUACAUCCAGAUACAACCUAUAUGAGUACACUAUGAUGUCUUUUGGAUUGACCAACGCUCUAGCAUAUUUCAUGUACUUGAUGAACAAGGUGUUUAUGGACUACCUAGAUAAGUUUGUGGUAGUGUUCAUCAAUGAUAUAUUGGUAUUUUCUUGAAAUGAAGAAGAGCAUGAGGAGAACUUAAGAUUAGUGUUACAGAAGCUUCAGGAGAAUCAAUUAUAUGCCAAAUUGAGUAAGUGUGAGUUCUGGUUGAAAGAAGUUUCCUUCCUUGGACAUGUUAUCACCGAUGGAGGAAUCACAGUAGACUCAAGCAAAGUUCAAGAUGUGCUGAAUUGGAAUCCUUCCAAGAAUGUGUCUGAAAUCAGAAGUUUUCUUGGAUUAGUAGGUUAUUACUGCAUGUUUAUUGAAGGUUUCUUGAAGAUCGUCAAACCCCUCACUUCAUUGUUAGAAAAGGGAAAAGAGUUUAAAUGGGAUGACAAGAAGUGAGUUUUGAAGAGCUGAAGAAGAAGUUGACUACAAACCCUAUACUGAUAAUGUCUGAUAUACACAAAGGCUUUGAUGUUUAUUGUGGUGCUUCACGUCUAGGUAUUGGAUGUGUACUAAUGCAAGAAGGUAGAGUAGUAGGUUAUGCCUCAAGACAGUUGAGAAACCACGAGAAAAAUUAUCCAAGUAAUGACUUGGAACUAGCUGUCGUUGUGCAUGGAUUUGGAGAUAUUACAUGAUCGGGAACAAGUGUCAGAUCUUCACUGACCACAAAAGCCUAAAGUACAUAUUCACUUAGAGGGGUCUUAAUUUAAGGCAACACAGAUGGUUAGAGUUGAUAAAGGACUAUGACUUGGAUAUUCAGUAUCAUCCCGGCAAAGCAAAUGUCAUAGCGUACGCCCUAAGUUGAAAAGGUCAAGCUAAUGUGACUAUAGUACUGUUGAUAUCUCAAGAGUUAUGUUGGGAAAUAGAGCGACUCAAUUUGGGAAUCAUUGCCCAUACUGAAUCCAUGACCAUGGAAAUUGAACCUACACUGGAACGAGAGAUAAGAAAAGGGCAAUUGACGAAUGCUAAAAUCUAGGUAACCAAGAUCCAAAUUGGUUUAGGAAAGCCCCCCAACUUCACUAAAGAUGAUCAAGGAAUGGUUUGGUUCAGGAAAAGGAUCUAUGUACCAGAGAUCGACCAUCUUCGUGAAUGCAUAUUGAAGGAAGCACACGAUUCGGCUUAUUCUAUUCACCCUUGUAGUACUAGAUGUAUCAAGAGACGUAGCAACCCACGUUGCUUUGUGUGAUGUAUGUUAGCAAGUGAAAGCAGAGCACCAAAGACCAGCAGGUUUACUUCAGCCAUUGAAAGUACCUGAGUGGAAAUGGGAAGAGAUCGGAAUGGAUUUUAUUGUUGGGUUACCCCACACUCGGGAUGGCUAUGAUUCCAUAUGGGUUGUUGUGGACAGAUUAACUAAGGUUGCUCAUUUCAUUCCAGUUAAAAUAACCUAUAGUGGACCAAAUUUGCAGAGUUGUAUAUGUCAAUGAUUGUAUGUUUACAUGGUGUUCCUGUUGCGUUCCAAUCUCUUGCGAGGUUAAGAAACAACACAAUAGGUAGUAAAUGAACUGCUCUCUAUUAAAUGAAGUGUCUGAAUCUCGUUACAUGAGGGGACGACCCCCUUUUAUACUGUCCAGAGGAUACCUACAAUUUACAAUUUUACCCUCUCUCACCCACUACAUCCUCAGUAUAUUCUGUACACAUUUGUCAUCUCAUGAAGUCACGUGUUUUGUCCUCCCAACAAUCCCAUAAAUCACACUCUCACAGGGUAUCGUAAUUGGUGUUGUCCUGUCGGUCAAGUCGCCUUCCCCCUUAGCUUCGCGUCUAUGCCCUAAUUCGUUCGCCACUCCUUAAUGAUGCUCCCAUAGCAAGUUGGCUUCAGUCUCUCGUGUUAUACUGACUUCGGGCCCACAAGUCCCCUGGCGAGGUUGAUGCUGCUCCUGCGGGCACCGAAGACAACGGACGGGCAAUGAGUCAGAAAAACAAAGGUUAGCUCAUAUUACCUUCACCUUUGAUUUUGGUUUGUCCCGAAGCUGGGUAAUCACGGCCCCGACCGAAGCUGAGCCCUUGGCGUGAAGUUGCAAAGUCCGCUGAGCCCUGGUGCAUAGAAAAUAGAGGUUAACCCACCUUGCCUUCGCCCCCGAUUUCGGUUUGUCCCGAAGCUGUAAAGUUCACCGAAUCUUGUCGCAUCUUUCGGGAGAGAGAUGACCUUGAGGGGGGCUGUUUUGGGCGAUUCCCCAACAGUUCCAAAGAAGAUAGUAUCUGAUCGAGGUACUCAAUUCAUGUCACGUUUCUAGUAGAAGCUACAUGAAUCAAUGGAUAGAAAGCUUAAUUUCAGUUUGGUGUAUCAUUCACAAAUGGAUGGUUAGACUAAAAGAAUCAAUCAAAUAUUAGAAGAUAUGUUAAGAGAUUAUGCUUUAAAGCAUAGAGGUAGUUGGGAUAAAAGUUUACCAUACGUAGAAUUAUCUUAUAACAACAAUUAUCAAGCCAGUCUUAAGAUGGCCCCGUUUGAAGUGUUAUACGGAAGAAAGUGCAGAACACCAUUGUUCUGGAGUCAGACUAGAGAAAGCCAAGUCUUUGUACCGGAAAUUCUUAAAGAAGCUGAAAGACAAGUUCAAAUAAUUUGAUAUAAUCUCAAGACUGCAUAGUCACAACAGAAGAGUUAUGCUGAUACUCGGAGGAGAGAAUUGACAUGUGAUGUUGGAGAUUACAUGUAUCUCAAGGUAUCACCUAUUAGUGGUCUUCGUCGAUUCAAGGUUAAAGGGAAGCUAUCACCUUGUUACAUUGGUCCUUUUCAAAUUUUGGAAAGAAAAGGAGAAGUGGCAUAUCAGUUAGACUUACCUGCUCAGCUAUCAGAUGUUCAUGACAUGUUCCACGUAUCUCAGUUGAAGAAGUAUCUAAGAGUACCUGAAGAACAAUUACCAUUGAAAGAACUCAAUGUGAAGGAUGAUUUGACUUAUUUAGAGUACCUUGCCAAAAUACCAGAAAUAUCUCAGAGGGUCACUCAGAGCAAGGUAACCAGAAUGUGCAAAGUAUAGUGGAGUCAUCAGUCAGAAGAUGAAGCUACUUGGGAAAGAGAAGAUGAGCUUAUCGAAUAAUUCCCUCAGUUGUUUUCCAAUCUCUCUGAAUCUCGAGGACGAGAUUUUCUUUAAGGGGGUAGGAUUUGUAACACCCAAAAGUUUCAUCAUAAACACAAUGUAAGAAACAUGUGGUCUAACUCUUUCUUUUCUAAGGACUAAAUAAAAUACUAUUAUUAUAUUAUAGCCUUUAAUAAAUUAAAGAACAAUUGAAAUAAUUGUUUAGAGACAAGUGCUUGUUAGGGUUGUUUGUUUGCUUCGGUUUUUGUUUGCAUUUGUAAAAUUUUAAAUCAAAAAUCUUAUCAAUCUUAUUUAUCUCUUUUUGUCCAACUCAGCAGGCCAGCCCACCUUUCCUCUUUCUUUCCCUCCCGGCCCGCUCUCUCUUUCCUUCUCCAGCCAGCCCACCUCCUCAUUUCUUUGCACCGACCCAAGCUGAUCCACCGGCCCCUCAAGCAUCUCCCCAGCCCAACUCCCCCUCUCUUCCCACCGACAGGCAGGGCCCGCCUAUCAGGCGCGUCCUCAACCUCCAGUUGUACCGCAACUCCAAUGCCUGCUCACCUCCUGUCGCCGCUCGAGCUCCUAUGCCCCUCCGCGUGCUUGCACCACGUCCAUCCUUCCUCGCAUUGAGCCCCUUCUUCUCUCCUUCUCUCUGUGCAGGUGCAGGAGGGCGAUCCCCAUCUAGACUGGCCAUGUGGAAGUAGGACCACCACCAUGUGUAGUUGGUCCCCCGUGUAUGCAUCAAUGCUGCACCUAUUGACUGUGACCUGGCACCCCGACAGUGAGCCAUGUGAUUUUCGCAUCUCAAAGGCAUGGUUUAUCCUCCCUCUUCCUGCUGCUGCUCAUCCUCCCUUGACCCUUCACCAAACUACUUGUUGCAAUCGGAAGAAAGAUCAAUCGAGUUGAAGAGAUGGAAGCUAGUCACCAUUGAGUGAUGUUAUGAUCCGUCCCUCUAUCAUAACCGUUGGAACCCAGCUGGUGCGAAAGCUAAUUACCUGAAGCAAUUGGUAGAAACGGAUAGUACUGGUUCGUUCACUUAUUUCUUUGCUCAAACUUAAUUUCUGCUUAAUGUUUGUGCCUUGUGGUGAGACUAUAUUAGCUGCUUAUUCUGCUGGUUGCAUGCAGAAUAGUUAAAUCAAGGCACAUGUCUUCAAUUUCUGAGCUAGUGCUGCGUGUCCGUGACGCAGAAGCACUGCCUCAGAUAGAUUAUCUUUGGGUGGCGCAGAAACUGGAACUAUCUUUGGGUGGCGCAGAAGCCGCACCUCUGUCACAACUGAGCAUAUCUGGCUGCAACUUUUUCUUCGUAUCAAGCCAGUCACAGCUAACACCUGGGGUCUGGAAAUGGUUUGAACAUCUUGCAAAUUUCAUAAUUGAAAAAUGUGAUGUGCUCAUCUACUGGCCAGAAGAAGUGUUCCAAAGCUUGGUAUCUUUGAAGAACUUAUGGAUUCUGUCCUGCAACAAGCUAAUAGGGCCCACAAAAGCGAAAGGUGGCGAACCUACACAAACAACAGAUCAAAUCUACACAAACAACAGAUCUAAAAAUAAGAGGAUGUGAUAGCCUGGUAACACUUCCAAAUCUACCACCGUCCCUCAAACAUUUUUUUAACUGCUGUGAGAAGCUGUGAGAAUCAUCAGCAGCUGUGAGAAGCUCUGCUCUGUGUCAGGAGACCUGUGUGCACUCGAGGAACUACAUAUUUUUAACUGCAAUAAGUUACAGUCAGUCAAUUCAUUGGGAGACCACCCAUCAUUAGAAACACUGUUUCUUUCUGGCUGCCGAUGCCUUGCAUCUUUAGGAUGUGAUGGUGGUCGUGGGAGUUACUCUGCUCUUCAGAGCCGUAAGAUCGAAUACUGCCCAGCCAUAGACAUGAAGCAGUUUUACUAACGCCAUCAAACAGCUGCUUGACAGCUUUGUAUAGGAAGACGUAUCACACGUUCAUUCAAGCAGCUCUGAUGAAGGUACGACCUUUCACUUUCCUCUUAUUCAAUUUGUUUCCUUCAGAUUUCCCUGCUUUGCAUGCCCUCCUAUUUUGUUGAUGAACUGGUUAAUAGAUGGGUUUGUGGGGUGGGAUUUUGGGGUUUCAUCUUCAUUCCGCGGUCCUUUCUCACUGAUGUAACCCCACAUAUUGUUGGUUUAUACGGCUGUUGGUUUUCAGUCUUGGAUGCAGUUGACGUGCAUAGAGAAAUUCUAGAAAUAUGUGAUAUCCCUUGGUGUUGAGAUCAGCUGAUGCGGAAUCACUGAAACGAGAUCCUGAUCGGUCUCAGUUUUGGAGAGCAAUUUCUGGUGAAUGGAAGCAGUCCCAAGGCUUGAAGAACUCAUGGAGUCGUACCGUACCAUUCUCCGCUGCCAGGGCCUAAACUAGGUACGUGGAAGGCGCACUGUGUUUUGUCAACAACACAAUUCCUUUAUAUAAGUUGGGAUAGUAAAAAACCAUGCCUUCGUCUGUGUUAAUCAAAUCUCAUUUAGCACAUAUAUGGUGGACGUGUUGUUAACUUGUUACCCCCAUGCUUUUCAUUUUUUCGGUGCAGACAUCAACCAUUUGUUCUUAAAUUAAAGCAUAAAGGAGGGCACUCACUUGUACACAUAUUCUUAAGUACUGGAACGACUGCCAUCUGUAUACUCAGCUUCAUUGCAAGUCUCUGCUAACGAUGACAGGCCUGCAGUGGAUGACAAAAACGACUAAGUUUGUUUUCACGGCACUACUAGCUGCUGGUAAUUCUCUCGUCACUAAUGCACACUACUCCCUUCUGUCAUCCAUCAAAGCUGUGGACAAUAUGAUGUCACUCUUAUUUUUUUUAAAAUGAAACCGGCAGGAGAGCUGCCCCACUAUAUUAAAAAGAAGGGACGCUCGAAGGGCCAGAGAAGUGUACACCCUUGACAAGGAAGAAAAAACUACACACACUGAAAAGAGAAACGGUGCACAAAAACACCCUCAAGAAAGCUGCAAUAAACAUGCCAGGGGUGCUUAGCCCCGACCGCCACCCAAGAAGUGGCCUCCCCUUUUAUUUUUGAGAAAACUUGCUAUGAAGAGGACUCUUUGUGAUUGAAAAUUCUUGCAUUCCUUUCAAUCCAAAGUUCCAACAGACCAAAAUGAUUAGGCUCCAUUCGUUCAAAAAAAAAUUUAUUCGUUCAAAAAAAAAUGAUUAGGCUCCUUAGCCCACUCCUAUCGACGCUUGGUGUCCUUGCCUGCGCUGUCCACCACGCGUGCACCAAAGUGCACGGCUCCCAGUUACUAGCAUUAAGACCUUCAUCUACCCAUGCAGCGAUCGCAUCCCAAAUGCGCCUGGUAAACCGGCAGUCUGUUAGGAGAUGCAUUCCAGACUCUUGAACCGUGCGACACAACGCGCAUGUGUCAUUGUGAGGGUAAUUUCAUUUUGCUAACCUAUCUGACGACGUCCAUAUCCUAUUUGGAUUGCCAACCAACUGAAGAAUUUGCACUUCGGGAGCACCACGGCUUCCACAUGAUCGCUUUAAAGUUUGUGAAGGUGGAGCCGAUAAAUUGUGCUUGGUAGGCCGAACUCACAGUGUAUUUAUUAUUCUCUGUCAUUUUCCAUACAAUGUUGUUUAGGUUGUCUGGUAUGAGUUGAACCUGGGCUACUGCUGUCCACAAAUUGCAAAACUCCAUAAAAUACCCCAAUGCUAAAUUUACACUCGACCGGACGUUCCCAUCCUCGUGGUCGACGCGCACCGGUCCUCUCAUCAGUCCAUCAUGUGGGCCCCACUCCACUUUCUUUUCCCCUCGCACGCGCUCUCUCUCCCCUCUCCAUUCCCCUUCUCAUCCUUCUCUUUCUCGAUUUCUUCAUGAGAUCCACCGGAGCGACUCUGCAUGUGGAGCUGUUCCACCCAACGUUGAGCACAGUAGCAACAGGCCUGGUGGCGGGCAGGGGAAGCAGCGAGGCUCCGCCCUGCAGCACACAGUAGCGCUCGAGAUCAUCCCGCGAGGAGCGGGGGAAGGAGCACUAGGACCAUCGAGGGCACCGCCGUGGUCUUGACGAUGAGUGGCUGAUGGAUCUUGGCGAGCUCCGCCGUGGCCGCGGUCGACAGCGAUCUAUUCAUUUUUUUCCUUCCUUUUUUCUCUUCUACCUUUUGUCUCAAAAUCUUUUGUCUGUAUAAAGUUUUUGCUUCCAUUUUUUUUUAUUUCUUUGCAUCGUGAAUUUUUUCUCCAUUUUUUUGCUUCAAAACUUUGUCAAAAAAAUUUCUUUUUCAAUACUUUUUCCAAAAUUUUGUCUCAAUUUUUAUUUUCUGAGUUUUGUUUUCACAAUUUUGUCUUUUAAAAUUUUUUGUCCAAAUUUUGUUUCAAAAUUUUUGUUCGCAAACUUUGGUUUCCAAGUUUUCUAAAAAAAGUUAUCCCCAAACUUUUGUUUUCGAACUUUUUUAUAAAAAAUUCUCAUUUUUUGUUUAAUGAAACAGGAAUCACACGUGGGAAGCCGUUCUGACGUGUGGUUGGAAAUCGACCGCACAGAAGGCUCCCACUGGUCACAUGUAAACUUGCGUCCCCCAUAAAAUAAAUCUGUGUGAGGCUCGAGGUUGAAGGCCUAAUAAGGGCAGCCACAAGACUAUGCUUGAUAGUAGAGAGAAGUUUUGGUUGCCAUUAUAGCCGUCGAUGCUGAGUUAGAGCCCCAAUGCUUGGUUAGUAAAAUAUUGUUCCAUAGCAGGGAACAGGCGUUGCUGGGCAAAGAGAAGUGCAGGAGAACCAAAAGGAAACAGGUACAACUAGCUAAAGAAGCCAGCAGCAGUAGCGGAGGGAGGAGGGGGGGGCACGGGGGCCUGGCACCCCCCACCCUCUGCGGCAUCCGCCCCUGCCCCUGGUGGCCUGGGCCUCUCCUGGCAGGCAGGCACCCCCUGAUGGCCUGUGUGCCUAUCGGCCUGUCACCAGUCACCCCUGGCGAGCGGCCUGCCCGGCUGGCCUAAUAAAAAAUUAGAAGCACCUCCCAGGAGUCCUGGCCCUGGAAUAGUCCGCCCCUGGUAGCAGAUUAGCAAAUAGGCACAUCAGGUCAAAUCAUAUUCCGCUCCUGGUAGCAGUUUUUUGUUCCUAGCUCGCGCCGCUAGUCGAAUCGUAUUCUGCCACCACCAGUCAAAAAAGCAAAUAGGCACAUCAGGUCAUCCGUCAUCAGGACAUGAGCACGAAGCACCAGAGUACGAGGACAAGGAUGAAUGGAUCACUGACAUGACUCGCUGUUGUUUUCUUCGCCAGGCGUCAGAUUGUUGCUGUCCGCAGGUAAUCCAUAAUCAUAAAUCAUCCAAUGAUAUUCUCUUAUCUAAUUAACAGUCACUAGUAAUUCUAAAUUUCCCCCUCUAAUUUAAGUAUUGAUGAUAUUAUUACAGCGUACGAUCUUGCUGCUAGUCGAAGAGCUAAAUUUAAGUUGAUAGAUAUGUAAUUUUAUUUUAGUUAAGACUUGUGAACUAUGCUAUUAUUAUAUCAUUAUAUGCGACUAAAAUCAGCUCACGUGGCUAUCAGUUCUACGUUGCUUUGUCCAUUGCUCCCCUUACCUCAAAUCCUAGCUCUGCCCCUAGCCAGCAGAGAGUAUUUAUGUAAGGUUUCUUAAUUUAUGGGAACCAAAGCACACUCAAACCAUAUUCCAGAAUCUUAUUACAUGCAGAACCUGAAGUAAGGGAGAUUGAAACAUAUGGCACGCAUGCAUGCCUUUAAUUACACUAAUACCAGAAAUUAAAAUACACUGCUGCCACAAGUAGUAUAUAUAUUAAGGUAGCUGGUGUCACGCCAACAUCUGACGCAUGGUAAUGACGGGGAGGACCUGGACGUAGUACUCGAUCCUGUAGGCAACCUUGAGUAUGAGAUCGGGUUGCUGCCAAUUGUAGCCGCCGUCGACGCCGCAGAGGAAGGUCUGCGCGAUCCUGGUAUUGUUCUUGUGCUGCUGGUUGUGCAACACGAUCUUGUACGCAUCUCGGAGAUGUUCUUUCAGACUGCUCACCAUCGACCUGGUGUUCUGGUCCCGCGACAGCUUCCAGGACUGGGGCUGCUGCAUCAGGUCGGCUAUCUGCUGUACGAAUUGUACCAGCUGCUGGAUCUCCCCCCUGUUCUGCCUCAGCGCCUUCGCCUCCUGCACGAUAGAAAGUGCGAGGCGCACGACCUCGUCAUGGUCGCCGGUUCGAGCCCCCUGCUGGUCUCCGCGUCCUCCUGGACCUACCGACAACGCGCUGCUCCUCACUGCAUUCACGUCCCUGCGCAUGCAUGCCGAUCAUCUCUGGUUAAAUUUUUCGUUAUUUACGUACUCCAUAUAGGAAGUACUAUAUGAAUGUUUUAUAUAUCAGCACACGAUGAAUACCCGUCCGUGAUGUCCCUGAUUAUCAACUCCAUCACACUUUUAGCGUCGGAUGACAUAUUGUCCAUGUUAGUCAAGUUCCUGAUAUGAUAGAUGACUUCAGCUCCUCUUUUUCGCUCUGAGAGUGGUCAGAGUACAAAAAAUCCAAAGCUUCCAUGCAUGUUAAAUAUUCAAUAAGACAUGCAUAUAGUAUGAAUAUAGUCAUAAUGAUCAUGUCAUGCAUGAGCUUGGUCAAAAACUAUUAAUAUAUCGCAAAAUCAGGCAACAAUGUUAAUCUACCGCUCCCUCCAUUCUCUUUAGAUAUUAAUCCUUUUCGAACACUAGUACAGUCUAGUAUUGUGCACCCUAAAAGAGUCCAACGUGAUGUAACAUGGUGCUGUCUAUAAGUCAUAGUUUAUGUUUUGAACUUUACUACCUUUUGUUUUUUUAGAUAAUGGAUAAAUAUCCGGCUUCACCCUCCUCUUUCGACGAGGCGGAUCAGUCCACAAUUAUUACAAAACGUAGCUUGUUGCUACAUCCACACUAUGGUUUCGACCAAUCAAACCGACUCAAAGAAAUGAAUUCUGGAAUCAAAAGGUAGCUUGUCACUACCUUUUAUUUAUGUUGCAUUGUUCAUUGCCACAAAUUAUUUGCAAAUAUGAAUCUUAUAAUGCUAAACUUUUAUGGUACAAUCUACGUACAGUUUCUUUCUCAAGUUUUGUAGUUGUUUGCCGUUGAGUAAUAUGUAAUUCCGAUGGAUUCAAGAGUCUAGCUAGCUAGAUUUUGGUACCUGUGGAAGGCGCUUGCAAGCACCAUUUCGAAGCAGCUUCUCAAGCACGUUCAUGAAGAAGCGCUCCUUAUUGAUGCUUACAAUGAGGAUCAUGUUGGCAAUGUGGAACGACUCCAGGAUUUUGGAUAUCCGUGCAUCAACGGCGACGAUCUUGUUGGCUUUCUUUUUGGUUUUGAAGACAAGCGACCAAGUCCUCUUCUCCCUGCAGGACUCAACGAGCGCCUUCCCGUCGUUGAGCGCAUCUUCAAGAUGUUUCAGCGUGCUGUAGGUCACUGGGUCCGGCAUCCACUGGCUUUUCAGCUCCGUCAGGAGGAGGUUAAUCAUUUGCACGUGGUCUUUUAGCAGAGUACAUUUCUCCCUGUUGCGCUGAGCCGCCUCCGCCAGCCGAUUGAUCUGUUCCACGAUGCUCAUCAACGACGAAAUAAGCCCAAUUGCUUCGGCCACCCCAACCAUCUCGAUCGAUUGCGCUGCGCCUGUAUGCUUGCAACGUCAGAUUUGCACGUAUAUGAGUAUACAUGUCUACCCUCCGCCAUCCAAAAACAAUUGGAUGCCGACAAGUGGUAUUGACAAGUCUAUGUACAACACGUGAUGUCAUGUUAAAUUUUAGGUAAUUUUAGCUUUUCUAGAUUCAUAGAUAGUAUUAUGUAUCUAGACAUCCGCUAUGUCUAGGUGCGUAACAAAAACUAUGCAUCUAGAAAAUUCAAAAUGACCUACAAUUUGGGACGAAGGGAGUACACCCUAAUAAAAAGAUUAAUGGUGGAGCCCGAAGCCCAAUUUAUCGUAUAAAAAUAAUACUUGUAAAUAUAUAAAUUUAUUAUAAAAUAUAAAAACUCGAUUGACUAUCUUCUUAAUUAAUGGAGAAAUAUAGGCUGUGAAUUUUCAAAAGGAAAAGGAAAAAGUGUAUUUUUCAUCCUUCAAGUAUUGCAAAAGUGUAACAUUCAUCCUUGAUGUUUCAUUUGGUACAAAUCAAGCCCUGAACUAACUAAAUCGGUUCCAUGUAUCAUCCCCACCUUAGUUUAAUAAUUGUCUAGUGUCAUAUAACAUCGGUUAGACCAUGUAAUCAUCUUCAUAAUUAGUGUUUAGCCAUGUAUAAUAUUUAGUCAAUUGAUUCAAUAGUUUGGUGUGAAUCGGUUCUAUUAAUUUUUCUGAUAAAAUAGUUAUGUGGUAGUCAAUUUAGAGGAUUUAGUUUUCUUUGGGGCUUUAUAUCUUCGACUCAAUAUAUCACAUCACUAAGCAGUGAUUCUGAUGGUACGGAAUAUCCCUAGGAUGUAGUGGUUAGGCAUGGGUAUAACAGGUAUACGGAAAUGUAACUUUACAACACUAUAUAAGGAGGGGAACAGCCCACUAUAAUGGACACUAUUCAUUGAUAAGACAGCGAGUGAUAUCUUGUUUCCUUCGUGUUCGACUGUUACUUCUUCCCAUUUAUUGUGACCUCGCCUGCCCGUGAGGUUAGGUCCUAACACUCCCCUUCACUCCCGUUGUUGGCCGUGCCCGGUGCCAUCUUGAAGCCGAUGCUGCUCAAGCCUAGUGAGCGAGUGAAGGCCGGAGGUGGUUGGCGUGGGCCACGGAGGCCCUCGGGCGGCUACCGGGAGGAAGGCAUGGCGACAGGCCACCUGGGAGUGGCACGGUGGUGCAUAAGUGGCGUCGUACUUAGGAGUGGCAUGGUGGUGUGCGGCGUGGGUGUUGGCAGCAGCACGUCAAGGAUGCAGCUCUGUGUGGCUUGGAGGCAUUGUGGUAGCGCAACCAAGGGUGGUUCGCGCGAGUCUUGCUAGCGACACCAUGGUGGUAAAGCCAUGGAGGUGUGGUUGGGCAGCAACUAGCACGAGACUAUAUAUAUGUUAAUGCAAAUGAAAACUGUAUAAAUGUUCAUGCAAGUGUCAUAUAUGUGUGUGUGUUCAUUCAAAAAGUCGUAAGGCAGCAACUAGCACGAGACUAUAUAUAUGUUCAUGCAAAAGGUCGUAGGGCAGCAACUAGCACGAGACUAUGUAUAUGUUAAUGCAAGUGAAAAUUGUAUAAAUGUUCAUGCAAGUGUCAUAUAUAUAUAUAUAUAUAUAUAUAUAUAUAUAUAUAUAUAUGUGUGUGUGUGUGUGUGUGUGUGUGUGUGUGUGUGUGUUCAUUCAAAAAGUCGUAGGGCAGGCACUAGCACGAUACUAUAUAUAUGUUCAUGCAAGUAGUGUCUCAUUAAUCAUAGCGACGUAACGCCAAAACACAUCAACCAGUUGCAUGCGUAUAUCUAGGCGUUUUUGACCUGGUGUCACUACUACAUACAUAGUUCAGCUAUAACCAACGCUUUUAGAAAGAGUGAUAAUUUCGGCACCGUUACAAAGACCGCAAAAGACCUCUUUCAGAAAGAGCUUAUAAUGUUGCCAUGAUGCACCCACAAACGUCGAUCGCAAAGUCAGGACAGCAAGACAAUUAAGCAAGGAAUCAAAUACUCCUUGGCAUCAUCAACACCCGAAUCACCCUACUAGCUAGCUAGCUACUUGUACAUUCAGAAUUCAGAGCAGCCCUGAACUAUCCUGCUGGGGAAAAGGGGAUAGCCGAGAGACGCUUGCUACCGGCCAGACUCCAAUCUCAGGCCACCGACUGGAUCAAAGCUACCGUACCCUUGAUAAGAAUCCUAAUGAGUUGGAGAGAGAGAGAGAGAGAGACGGAGCCCAAGAACUCACCUUUCUGCAGGGGUCUGUAGCCUCUGGACGCUUCCUCCUCGUCCUAUACUCUUCCGAGCCCAGGCCUCUCCUUCCCCUUUGUUUCUUCCUCGAACCCCUGCAGUUCUUGGAAGUUAUAUUAUGCCGCACUCGCUUCGCAAGAACCCCUGCAGUUGAAUUUUAUGUUAGAAUAUUGUAUGGGCGAAUCAAAGAUGAUAUGACCAGUUCGUUCAAAAAAAAAGAUGAUAUGACCAAGGCAUAUAUAAUAAUCUCUAAUUAAAGGACUCAAGCUGUUUCGCGUACCAUAAUUAUUCUCGGAAUUUAUAUCAAAAGAAACUCUUAAUUUUAAUUCUUCACACAAACUAUUUUAAUAGAAAUAUUCUAGAGAAUACACAAACUAUAGCACAUAUUUACCGUAGCAUCACAUAACCAAGCCAUCACAUAUUUCACUACUUCAGCAGACUGAAUAUAUAUAGAAACUCCAUGUACAAGCAAGAGUGCGUUGCACGUAGGCAAAGGCAGACACUUCUCCAAAUUUUGGUCCCAGCAGAACCAAAAGAUUAAUUAGAGCCACGCGCUUAGGACACAAAAGGUGUCUUUCCCUAUCAACUUGAUCUUUUGUACUACUUAAAUGGUCCAUGACGAUGAAACUCGAUGCUUGAAAUAGGAGAGCCCUCAUGAUUACACACAUGAGUUCUUUCUGUUGGAACAUGAAGAUGUGAGUGUACUGAAUUCGAUCUAAUGAUCUGCAUGAGGUGUUCUGUCAAAGCAUAUAAUCAUUCACCUACAACGCUUCCAAGUUCUGUCUUUCUGAGUAUAUAAAAACCAUGGUAUGUAUGAAUCUAACUCUGUCCAUACGUCUGGUAGUUCAGUCCCUGCUAUUUUUACUAACCUUGUCCUCUAGGUAGAAGUACGGUGGACUUUCAGCGUUGGGUCCUGCAGAGCGAUGGACUUUUCGGUAUGGUGCAGUGUGCUCCUUUCUUGACUUAUGCUAACAGUCUAACACAAAGUUAUGAUUAGGAGAUUGACGACCGUGUGUGUGAUCUGAGGCUGACAACGGCAUGGUGGAGAAGUUCUAGUAGCUACACGGCUUGCAGCGGACUGUGGCGGCCAGUCCUGCAUGGCAGCGACUGGUUUGGCGUGGGGCAUCAUCAGAAACGAUGGCGCUGGCGAUAAGGGCUACUUGCCGGCUUUUUCUGCUAGGUGGUAGUGGUGCAGAGUGGUGGUGGUGCGCAAUGAAGCUUCCAUAUGGCAGUCGUGUGUACAUGUGACUAUGUGAGUCCCCUCCUUUAUGCUUUUCCAGAAAAAAUGAAAAGCAUAAAGAGGGCACUCACAUGCCUCCUUGAUGAAGCUAGCAGCGUUGGGAUGGGUCUCAUGAUUCUUUCGAUUGUUAACAUGGAUCUCAUGGUUCUUUCGAUUGUUGGGAUGGGUGGGAUGGGCAAUGCCACCUUUAAUUUGUGCAACUCAUUUAUAAUGACCUUGCAAUCGUGAAGCAUUUUGAGCUUCAGAGGUGGUGCUCUGUGUCAGAUUAGAAAAAAUCAUUGCAAGGAUGCAUAUUAGUGAUGGAAACUUAUAGAAUGUUUAUCAUUCAACUAACUCAGAUUUUUAUUUGUUCGGUCUGCCUACGCGUCACCUGAGUGAAACAUUAGCCUUCCUCACUCGAACCUCACUCGAACAUCCGAUCCGACACCUUUCCUUCAUCUUCUAUCUUCUAGUGAAGUAUAUAUCUAGGCACGUAGCAAAAAUUAUGUAUCUAGAAAAAAUGACCUACAAUUUGAAACGGAGGGAUUACGUUGGAACAUCAACCAAACAAAUGGACAAACCCUUUAAAUUAUUUGGCCUCCAAGAAUGCCAUACGACCUGAAUGAAUAACUGAAAGCUAACAGUGCUUGUUGUACAUACCAGCUGAGCUGCUUGACUUAGCUAUGUUUAUUCGGUCUGUUCGUGACCCGCGCGUGAUCUAGAGUAUUCGUGUGUUGGCUAGAAAAAGCACCAACACUAUAUUUAUUUGCAAACAGGUUUUAAAUGCAAUACAAUAAUUCAGAAAUCUAGACAUCCUGAGCCAUGCGAGGGAUAAGAAGAAGCUUCUCCUUCCUGUGCACAUCCAACCCAUACGACUCUGCCAUGUCGAUGCCUGCCGACCCCGGCGGAAGCUCCCAGUUGAAGUGGUAGAUGAGGUUAGCAAGGAUGAUCUCGAAGGAGGCGGUGGUGAAGUUCACACCCGGGCACAUCCUUCGCCCGGACCCAAACGGCAGGAAACGGAAGUCGUUCCCCAGGAAGUCGGAGGCAGCAUCCACGGCUUCCUCCAUGAACCGCUCCGGCAUGAACUCCUCUGCACUCUCCCAGGUGGUGGCGUCCCUGCCGAGAGCCCACGCGUUGACGAUCACACGCGUCCCAGAGGGUAUGGUGUAGCCCUCCACGUCGCAUUCGGCCAUGGCCAGGUGGGGUAUCAGAAGAGCCCCCGGCACGUGCAGCCGCAUCGACUCUCUCAUCACGGCCUUGAGGUAGCUCAUGCCGCUGCUCAGGUCGUGUUCGGUGACCAGUUCCUUCUUCUUCCCCUUGGAUGCUGCACACCCCCUCACCUCGGCUUGAAGCUUGGUCAUCGCCUUGGGAUUACGCAUCAGCUCGGCCAUGGCGUAGUCUAGGGCUAUGUAGGUUGUGUCCGUCCCGGCUUCAAACAUGUCCUACAUGAACAUAUCG
This 192916-nucleotide long non-coding RNA is filed under the name Setaria italica (foxtail millet). RNAcentral's name for it is "long non-coding RNA (SITA_LNC006297)". Lineage: Eukaryota; Viridiplantae; Streptophyta; Magnoliopsida; Poales; Poaceae. The record is from RNAcentral.